Molecule: long non-coding RNA, 236358 nt
Filed under: Citrus x clementina
Lineage: Eukaryota; Viridiplantae; Streptophyta; Magnoliopsida; Sapindales; Rutaceae
Description: Citrus clementina (C. clementina) long non-coding RNA (CCLE_LNC002765)
Rfam family: Plant small nucleolar RNA R71 (bases 74503-74606)
Source: RNAcentral
UCACUUCAAUAAUUUUUUGUAUUAUUCCAUAUCUUUCACUUUAAUAACCCAAAAGCUUUCCUCUGUUUCAACUAAGCGAAAAUUUACAUAUUAAAGCCUGGCUCAAAUUCCUUUUUUCAAUCGAAAUAAAACGUAGCCACAAAACCCUAAUUCACCACACCAAUUUAUCUCUGCCCGGUAUUCAUUUAAACCCUACCUCGCGGUUCAAUGUCAUUCUAUACGAUUGCAGAUGCCGUUUCAACUUGUCAUUUAGUUAGCGCCAUCCAGUUCUCUAUGGUAAGCCUUAACCCUAACAACUAAUCGACUGUGGUAGCACGUUGCUUGUUAGGAGUGGGGAUACAUUAUUUGAAUAUACGAAUUGGGUGAUGUUAGUGAUUCAUUCCCCUAUUUGUCGUGAAUUGAGAUUUGUGUAUAAUGCUCGUAAGAUUGCUAAAAAUUUCAUAUUUUGUAUUGUUCCAGUUGAAUUUCUUGCUUGUGGAAGAUAGAACAAAAGUUCAAUUUCAUGUUGAUUUAAUUCUUCUUUUUCAUCUUUUUUUUUUCUUCUUUAUAGUCACGCUCUGGCUGGUGCUAUGCUUAGUGCAGUCUAUGGUUUCAAGAUUAAGUCACGUUUAUUUGAUGGCGUCGACUCCAUCAUUAAGAAGCUCUUCUUAUUUUAUCUCAGUUUCAAUUUUCUUUUAUUAUCUGCCUCUACCUGAAAAUGGACGUGUUUUACUAGUAAGCAGACUUUUUUUAUUUAAUUGAUAUUUUAAUUUUAUGUAUAAGAAUGGAGGUUUAUUUUAAAAAAAAAAGAAAUAAAAAAAUAGACUCUGUUGAAGCUAAUUAGUACUGUUUUUUUUUGGUGGUGCGACCAGAGGUGGAAACCGGGUAUGACAAUGUGUUACUGGUGAGGUUGCUGCUUAAGAUGAGAAUGCAUUCUUUUCAAAAAUCCUUUGUAGGUGUUAUCUAAUUAUCUUUGAUGGAAUAUUAAAUGGCCAAAAAUCUGUCAUACGUUCAAACUUUGUUUGUGUUUAGAAGAAUGGUGUUGAUUGUAUAUUCAUUUGCUUAGCCUUUUGACAGAUGGAUUUGGAACUGACGAUAAAUGUGAUUCAAUUCACAAGGUUUUCAAGGGGCUCACCGUGGAAGGGAUAUUGAAGAGCUGGUCUAGGAUAAAGCCUAUGAUUGUGAAAGAUUGGAGUGAGAAUAUAGAUGCUCGUUUUCAUCUUUUUGGCAAGGUCAGAGAUGAAUGGAUAGAUAAGGAUUUAUUUGACUACCUGGAUUGGUGCUAAUAGGUAUUUUAAGCAAGCUUUUUGAGAUAACACUGAGCAAGUUGUACUACUAUUUUGCACAUGAUGAUCAAAACUCUCGAAAAGUAAAAUAAAAUAAAGUAUUAACUUUUACUUUCAUCUUUUGCAUAGCAAUCAAUGUGGUGCUUGUUCUGUAACAACUUUGAUAAUCUACUUUAUUGGUUAGCGUUUGGACCAAAAAGGUUCUUAUGAUUUACAUGUUUUGUAGAAAUGCAUGAACCUUAAAUGUGCUGAUCAGGGAGUUUAAUUAUUGCACCUUGAAAUUCAUUUAUUGUUAACUAAUUGGCUUUCCUUUGCAUAAAGCCGCUUAUAAGGCUUGAGUGGACGUCUUUAUGGGCAUAUUAUUCGUAUUUCUUUAUGCAUGCCUUUAUCAUUUAAUGUGCUGCUUGUAUUUCUUUAUGCAUGCCUUUAUCAUUUAAUGGCCAGCUCCCUUUCCUCAUUUGUAAUUUGAAUAGUAGUAUGGGCCUCCAUUUUACAAAUCUUUAACAUUUUUUGCUGUAAAUUAAUUUUUCUUUCAAAUAUUUUGGAGGUCAUUGGAAUUCCUGUAGGUCUAUUUACCAGAUUUUAGUAUGUUUAAGGUUUUAAUUUUUCUUAGACUUUAAUUUUUCUGAAAGAUUGUAGUAUUGAUCCUUAAAGUAAGAUCAUGCUACUUCAAAUUAUUUUGAAGCGUUGCUAGUUAUAGCCUUACAUAUCAAAUUCCAUUUGUCUGGAAAUUUAUUGAUAGCUGUUACAGCAGCAUAUUUUAUGACUCUACUUCUUAGUUAUGUAAGUUCAUUAUGUUUAGGUCAGAGGCAGUCAGCUAUGGGGAAUCGAUAUAUGCACAGAUGACUCUGAUCUUGUUGCUGGUAUGUGGUUCUAUGAAUAAUUGUUCACAAUAAUUGUGUUUGCCUCACUGUUUUUGUUUUAUGAGAUCUAUAAUUGAUCUUGGGAUAUUGCUUUCUAGUUCUCAUGCAAGCAAGUUACUACCUUCCCACUGCAUCUCCUCCUUUAUCUGCUAUUCAAGAGUUGCGUGCCAUAAUCUGGUAUUACCUCUGCAAGAUUGUGAAUCAAUAUAUUGCGUCUAAAUUUAUUUUAUACAUAAUGCUAAUGCUGAAUAAUAUAUUGUAGCUCCUGUCAUAUUCUACUUUGACUUUUUAUAUUCUGUUUCAUAUAAAAAUCUUAUUCAACUUUAGUUGUUCAUGAGCAAAUGUCACAUGUAUAAGCCCAAAUGAUGUUUAAAGGUAGCCCGGCUACCUUCAGUUUGAGCUUACAAUGGGUGAAAAAGAAUUUGAGACUGAUAUUUUGCUGUUUUUGUGAUUUUUCAAAGUAUUUUAGAUCUUGACUUUUGUUUGGACUUGAUGGUUAUAGAUUGUGUCUAGAUUUGUUAAGUUGUUUCCAACACCUCGUGCCAAAUCAAAGCACAAUCUUUCUGAUUCAGAUGUCUGGUUAAUUAUGCUUCAUUUUUUCGUUAAAGAUUGGAUGGUUGCAUGGAUUGAUGGAGUUGGAGUUCAACCAGUAAUUCUAAUUUUUUGGACUUAAAAUGCUCUGUAUAAAAACUUUAGUAAGUGUUAUUGAGUUGACAGAAGUUGAAUACUUACAGGUUGUUUCACACUUUCUAAAAGUUUUACAUAAAUGAAUUUCUGUUUUUUGAAUUGCAGAAAGGAGGUGGAACUAUUGAUUUGGAGCCUUAUCUUACUCACUCAUCGACAACGGAGCCUACCCUCGCUCCCAUGGCAGUGGAACGGACAAUGACUACUAGGGCUGCAGCAUCGGUUGGUUUGGGUCUGUUUUGAGUUUUAUUGUCAUUUAUUUGGCUAUGUUUUGAUAGCGAAUUUUGAUAUGUCAAUAUAAUGUGUAAUUGUUUUGGGUUGAGCUGGUAAUUAUGCUGGAUUAGAUUGGUUUGUUUUGGUGGUUCUCUGAUGGAACACUGCUUUCUUUUAGAAAUUUUGAAUAUAAUAUGAGACUACAUAUAGUUUAAUUGAACACUGCAUCUAGUCUAAUUACUAGAAGUGUGGCAUUUGGUUUGGUUUAUCCGAUAUUCUCUAGAAUUUCACUUGCAUCUGGUUUUGUUGCAUAUGUUUGCUUGCAUUUGAUGGUAGUAGCAGACUGUUUGGUUUUGUGGCAUUUGAUGGCAGUUUGAUCUGUUCUUGGUGCUGAUUUAAGAUUGUUCCUGUUGUGCUGAUGUUAAUUGCAGGUGCUUGAAUCAGCUAGGGUUGCUGGUUUAUUCAGACGACUGACUCAGGCGUUGUUAUUGGUUGAUUCAGGUGGUUCAUUUAAUGUUAGGAAGCAAAUUAAGAAAUAAUGAAGUAUUCAUUUAACUAUAAUUAUUGUAGUUAUUUUAUUUCAUAACUGAAUUAUAAUCUAUGAUACUUGUGAACAAAUUAGAGAAUUUUUAUAUAUGAAUUAUAUAUAUGUGUGUAUGUACAUUUUGCUAUUUAUAUAAUAAUUUAAAGAAUAUAUUUCAAUUCCCACAAAAAAUGGCUCCAAUUCCAAUAAUUCCUGCCAAAUAAUUAAAUUUUUUAAAUUUACCACCAAAAUAUAUCUUAAAGAAAUGUUAGUUAUUCUUGCUAGAUUUAACAAAAAUAAUUUGUAGGAUUAAUAUUUAAUUAAAAUGAUUAAAUAAUUUUAUUAUUCCAAUUAAAUAUGUCAUGUUUAUAUGACAGGCAAUAGUCAUGAAUGGGAAGUAUUAGUUACAUAUUUUUCCUUGGGAUUUCAGGCAAAUGAAAAAAAGAUUGAGAAUGAUUUCAAGAGGACAGGUGGAUGAUAAGUAUUCAUUUUUGCAUAUUUGGCUAAUGUCCUCAGCAGUGGAUUUUUAUGGUAUUGAUUUUAUAAUUUUCAAUUAGUUGCAGCCCUAGAGGAAGAGUAGGCUGAUCAAAUUGAUUUGUCUUGUUUUUGGGGCAAUUUGCGACACGAUGACCGUGAUAAUGCUCGUGACUGCUGGAAACUUUCUGAUGGAAAUAACUUUAGAGUUCGUAGCAAGCAUUUCUGUUAUGACAAAACAAAGGUUCCCCCAUAUUUUGGUUGUUUGUUAUGGUAUUUAUAUAUCCUGCAUAUGCUAGGUCGACAGGUUAUGAUGUAGUUUGGUUGGCUCUUCUUGUGCUUUGUGCAAUUUGUAACUGCAGAUACCUGCGAGAAAACAUUUAAUGGAUCUUGUUGCUGUUGAUUGGUUCAAAGACACAGAGAAUGGACCAUGUAGCUAGGCGUCAAGGCUGUGCUGCACAAGUAACUAUUCUUUUCUUUUUAUUUUUCCUUUUCCAUUGAUGCGUUAGGAGAAAAUACUGCCUGUGAGAUACUACAAUGUAAAUAACUUCUUAUGGUUCAUUGAAUCUAUAACACACUGAGCCCUAUUCUAAAAUAUGUAGGUUGCUUCUGAAAAAGGACUUUUCUCACUGAUCUUUAAUCGUCAAGUAAGUUUGUUUCAUUUCAGAAGGUAUAAGUUUCAAACUUAUUGUAUUGGGAGGUUGUAUAGUUGUAACCUAAGCAUCUGCAGCUUCCUGGUUCAACACAUUAUAGUAUGGUAUUUUAUUUUGUCACAAGGUAAUUGGUUACGGGAUCACUUUUGCGACGGUUUGUUGAUGGCGAUGAUGAAUUUCGCAAUAGUAGGUUGAAACUUAUUCCAUCUGUUCCUAAGGUAUCCAUCUUGGCCUUCAUGUAUUAGGACUAUAUUAAUGUAUACUUACCCUUUACUACACGGUACACUUCAAUUUGUACAAAGAAGGCAUGCAUUUAGGUGUAAAUGUACUGAUGGGUUGUAUCUUCAAUCUUCAUGUCCUUUUUACCCUCUUGAAUUUGUUUUGCACUUGUUCUUGAUUUGAAGCACUGAAUCAUGCAGGGGUCAUGGAUCGUGCGCCAUAGUGUUGGAAGCACCACUUGUUUAUUAGGGAAAGCGGUUGAUUGUAACUAUCUUCAUGGUCCCAAGUACUUAGAAGUAAAUGCUCUUGGAAUUUCUUUAGUACACGAGAUGUUCCCCUUUCAAAUAGUGUCCGAUAUCAUUAACAUGGUUUAACAUUGUUCAUCUUUCUGUAGAUUGAUGUUGACAUCGGUUCUUCUACUGUUGCUAAUGGAGUUUUGGGCCUUGUAAAUGGUGUAAUUACGACAUUGGUGGUUGACAUGGCUUUCCUUGUACAGGUAUGUAUGAUUGUUAUUUUAUUUUAUUUUAUUUUUUUACCCCCACUUCUAAAUGGACACAAGGGAAAAGACAUGAUUUUGAGAUAUUGCCCUACAAUUUGCAUUUUUGCAUACUUGAAUGUUCUCAGAAUGGUAUAAAUAAUGCUUCGAGUGUCUCUUCUUUAUCUUGCUUUUUUGUAUGCAGGCAAACACUACAGAUGAAUUACCAGAGCGACUGAUUGGAGUUGUACGUGUUUCUAGUCUGCUAUUGUCCCAAAGUUGGAACCAGAGACAUCAUCAUGACUGUGGUUUCAUUUCACCUCAACUGUUUUUUUUUUUAAUUGAAAAAAAAAAUCAUUUGUUUUAGGUAUACGUACAUGUAUUUUGAUCCCGUUUUCAUUGUAAUUUCUCAUUUACUUUGAAAGAAAGUCAUUGGUGUUUUCGAAUGGGAAUUUUGCAUUAAAAAAUGAAGAAUACUUAAUAGGAAAUUUCAUGAUUCUUUAGUUACUAUUUUUGGAAUGAGUGUAAUAGUAUUAAAGUUGGUUUCUACUCGCAAACAAGUGAACUACUCGAUCCCAACUGCGACCACGCUAAUUGUCAUUGUUUAAUAGCUACUACUUUUAAAACUCAACAACUAACAAAAAUACUAAAAAAAAAAUGAUUUUCUUAUGAUGCUGUGAAAACAUUUAUGGGUUCACUUAUUUCCACAAGAUCUAUAACAUGGUCUUGACUUCACGAAAUUCUUUUAAUUUAAAGGGUGCUGGUCUGAGAAAGUCAGUUUGACGGAUUAAUUCUUUUUAAUAAUGGUCGAGUUAAUUUUACUAGACUCAUAAAAUUAUUCUUAUUCUGAUAAUGCCACAAAUGUUAUGUUGUUUUCUUCAGCUAAUGAUCUUCUAUCAGGACUAGUUGGAAAUCAAAUGCUUAAAACACCAAUUGAAUGAAUAAUGCAGAAGUUUAAACAGUAUCUAAUUGAAAAUUGCAUGAAACUUGAAACAUCAAUUCAAGUCCUUCCUUAAACAGAGAAUGCAUCAAACAAAUCCAAAGUGUCUUUCAAGUCUGUAGCAUGACUAAAAAAUUGUAAAUGCCUUCAGAACCAAAUUAUUCAAGUACAGGAGAACGAGCAAGUUGAAUCAUGUACAAGAGGUUGGCUUGGUUCCAGAUAGCUUCUUCACUGUACCUGAAGGGUUGGCUCAAUCUUUUCUUUAGAAUUCUGCACAUUUUGUAAUUACUCAUGUAAGCAAGCAUACAUUACAACCAUAAUAAUAAUAAAGCAAGAGUAAUGAUACGACCACAACCUCUUGUGCACAAAUAAUAUUGUACAAACUAAUAUGACAUAAUAUGAUUGAGUAAUGAUACGACCACAAUCUUUUGUGCACAAAUAAUAUUGUACAAACUAAUAUGACGUAAUAUGAUUGAUUAAACAAAAACAUAACAUAACCCUCAUAAUUUAUUUAUUAUUAUUUUAUAUUUUCAAUCAAGCAAUCAUAUUAUGCCACGUUAAUAGCUAUAGAAAUAAUUUGCUAGAUAGUGCAACACUUCAUUGAUACUCACCAUUUCAUUGAACAAUUUUUUUAUGGUGUCAUUGAGGUUUCCUUCCCAACAUCCUUCGUCAUCACCAUCUUCUUCUUCGGUGGGUUUCACUUUGUUUAGCUUCGGUGCGUCUACGACUCCUUGAGAGAAAAUCUUCAUUGUUGGGCACUGUCUCACAACUACGUGUUCCAAGGACGGGAACUCAAGAGCGUAAUUACCCAAACAAAAGCUUGUUAGGCUUGGCAAACAAUCAAGUCCCAAGUACUCCAAUUUCCUGAAAACAAUGCAAUCUUCCGCUUCUUCUCCAACCUGCGAUUGUAUGAUUUCUUCUAUCAUUUUGCAAUCAGCUAUCUUCAUUCUUUCGAGAUUCACUAGAGUUUUAGAUGUUGAGAGCGUCAACACAUUUAUCAACCCGUGACACUUCGAUACUUCUAGUUCCCACAGAUUUUCCAAAUGCCACGAAGGUGGUACUAAUUUUUGCAACUUACUACAUUCCGAUAUUUCUAGACUUCCCAAGUUUGCAAACGCUUUGCUGGAUUCGUCAUUUUCCUUCCAGAGAUGCUGCACUUUGUGUAAUCCAGAUACUUUAACUCUAUCAAUUGAGGGAAUGCAACCUAAAAAUCAACAAAAUUAAGUUGUAAAUGAAAAUAUGUAUCCAAUCUCUGCAGUCUUCCCCUGCAUAUUUUAUGGACAAGAUUAAUCACAGCAUUUUAUAUUUUUUUUUCCAAAUUAGUAUGCUUUGCAGUAGGAUCCCAAAUAUAAGUAUCAAAUCGAUUACCCUUUGAAACACAUAAAUGAAAUCUGAUGCUAAAUCUAAUAUGAAUUAGCUAGGAAAACAGAGAUGUUACACACAUAAUUAAUAUAGUUCAUCACCUCGUGUUACCAGGCAUCCAAUUAAUUUCAGACACUUUUAUAAUUCAUACUAUAAAGUUAGUUAAUAAUUGCGGUUAUAUUGUUAAAUCAGAUAUAAAUUAAGACGACAUGUAAAAAGAUGAGUCAUUAAAUUUGAUUUGAUUCUAAUGAAAUUACAACUGUGCGAAAGAAAGUGAAGGGAAAAAUAAUAAUAAUGAUUACCUUUUCAUUGAAGAGAUGUUGUAUUUGAUCAGCUACCAAGAGGUUCUUUUCUGAUUUUAAUUUUUGAGCUUCCUUAUUAUCUGCUGUCAUGUGCAGUACAGAUGUAGAAUUGGAUAUGAAUGUUUCCAUAUCAGGGCAAUUCUCAAUAGUUAGAUAUCUCAACUUAGGCAGUUCAAUUAUAUUCCUAGUGAAGUUGAAAAAUCUUUUGAGUUUUGGAAGGUCAGUGAGCCCUAGCUUGAAAAGCUUAGGAAACAGGGGGCCUAUAUGUUCUUUGUCAGCAUUAAUUAGCUCUUCCAAAUGAAGCACCUCUUCAAGUGAAUCACAAUUCCUCACUUCCAGGUAUACCAAAUUGUUCAAGCACCGUAGCAGAUUAGCAGGAAUAGCACUCGACAUAUUCGUGCAGUCAUCCACCACCAGGUCGAAUAAAUUGUUGAAGAAGCUGACAGGCAGUGCUUGGCCAUGCCAUAUUUCUUUCAAACGUGGAAAAUGCGAGAGUUGCAAAUGUAUUAUGUCACGAAAUCCAAUCUGCACAAACCAAAACAAUUGCACUGGAUAUAUACAAUUUUUUCUUUUUGAAAGGCAUAGAUAUAUAUAUACAUUAAACUUAUAUGUUCAAAUGUGCAAGUGCAAGGGAGAUGCAUAAGUAAUUUCGACGAAUCGAUUUAACACAUACCAUUUCUUCGUAACACUUUUGUAUAGUGGAAUUAAGGUUGCCUUCCCAACGGCGCAAUUCACCCUCUUCCUGUUAAGAAUAGAAUUAGUUAGUUAAUGAGUAUGCUGACAUGGCAGCUGAGUCAGCUAAAGGUUGUUAUAGAGGUUGUUAGUAGUAACCUGUGCGUGUGUGCAAUGUGUGUAGAAUCUUCUAUGCACAUAUAAAAAGGCUUGUAAUUUCCAGAUUCAUUAGAUCAAUAAUAACAGAAUUCUCAGCUUACAGAAGUUUUCUUUCUUCCUAUUUUCUUAGUAACCUAACAACAUCACAGUUUCAUAUAAAACUUAAUACUUCCUUUUACUCACUUGCACUUUGCAUAGCUUUGGUGUGGAUAAGAUUCCCUGAGAAAAAGUCUUCAUGUUCAGACAAUGUGUCAUAGAAACUUGUUCCAAUGAUGGGAAUUCAAGAGUGUAAUUCUCCGAACAAAAGCUGGUAAGCCUUGGUAAAUAAUCAAGUUCCAAAAGUUUUAAUUCGCUGAAAGCAAUACGAUUCUCCUUCGCUUCUUCUCCAACAUGUCCUAUGAUUUCUUCUAUUUUUUCACAGAGUGAUACAUUAAGAUUCACUAGACUAUUGGGAAUUCCAACCUGAAAAUAAAGAGUAGCAUUCAACUAGAUUCAAAGUAUGUCAAAAUCAUACAAUUGUUUUAUGAAAAAUAACAAACCAUGAAUGUCUACUAGAUAUUUUUUGUUAAAGAAAAAAAGGAAAAAAUUAAAACAAAAAUAAAUAAAUAGAAGUCCAGAAAAACAAAGAUAAUGAAAAUGCAUUUACACUAUUUAGUAUUAGGAACGGAGAAAGAAUUUCAGCUAAUUUUUAAAUAUUAUAAAUUCAUUUUUCAUCUUGAUGCUAGUUUUUAAAAAAUUUUAAUUUUCAAACAUGCCUAUUUUUAAAAUAACUAAACUAAAACGCUGUAUUUCCCAUUUUUUUUUCCCGAUAUUCAUGCUUUUAAAAAUGGAAAACAUUUCUGGAAAACACUUCCCAACGCCAUCAACAUGGGACUGUUAUAGAGUGAAUAUUUGAGGAAUUUUUUUAAUCAACGGUCGAUUCAAAAUGACCAUCAUGAAUUUGUGCUUAAUCAAUGGCGUAAUCAAUUCAUAACUAAACUAGAGAUAUUAACUACAUUUGAACACUUUUUUUUUUUAAAUAGAAAUCUAAAGACCCAAGGAAAAGAGAAAUAUAUAUGAAUUUGUGAACUUAAAAGCUGAGUAAUUAAGUAUCUUUUAAUUUCUGAAAAUCUUAUUUAUUAGGAUUUAAGAAAAAAAAACAAUUAAAUUGAAUUAUAUUAUGCUGUUAAAUCGUGUUUAAAACAAUUAUAUUGUUGACUUUAAUGCAGGUGAACCUAUAAAUUAGAUUGAAAAUGCAGAGUUCAGAAUGGUGAUUUGAAGUUCAAUACUUUUGUUCCCUCCAGAAGUUUGAAGUACAAUACUUGCAAUAAAUAAUUUGUGAAUGAAAAUUAUUUGUAAACACAAAAAUGAUUAAAAUAAUUGUUGAAUGUUAUUUGAAAUAAAAAUUCAAAAUGAAUAUAGCAAUCUUACCAAUGGAGGAAAAAUAUUCAGUAGAUUAUCACACUCAGAUAUCUCCAAUUUUUUCAAUUUGCUAAAAGACUUCGAAGCAAGCUGGUGGUGCCAUAUUUUUCUCAACUUAUCCGCCUCACUAAUAUGUAAUACCUCCAGACUUGGGAGUCGUACCUGAAGUUAAAAAUUCAAUGCAAUUAGAGAUGUAUAUUAAUUAAAUUUGAAGACUCAACGAAAAGAGAAAUUAACUAUUGAGAAUAAAAUUAAUUUAAAAAAAAAAAACCUUUUCAUCAAAGAGGGGUUGAGGUUGCAUUUCAGUGUGAAUGACGUCUUCUGGUGAGGCAAAGCUACAUAGUUUUGGAAGACCAUCGAGCCGCAGGUAGUGUAGUUUGGGAAAAACCUUUAAUUCAUCUCUUCCUCCUAACCCCCCCGUGGUGUCGACUACCCCUUCCAUUGACUCACAAUCCCAUAUCUCAAGAUGUUGGAGUUGCCCAAGACUAUUAACCAUAGAACAUGAAAACAGAUACUUCACACAAUGACACCUUUCCACAGUCACUUUUGUUAAAUUUUGACAACAAUACAUUCCCUGAAAUUGAUCGAGCCAUAAUUUUUCGAUGUUUCGUAAAUCGAAAAGUUUCAGUUUCUCCAAACGUGGAAAAGAAACCUGCAAAGCAAAACCGUACAUUUUUGUUCCUUCAACUACAACUUCUAAUAUAAUAUUCUUUCGAUGAUUGAAGAUCAAUCGUAAUAAUAUAUUAAUUAAUUAAUUAUUAAACAGAAAAUUAUUACCUGUUGAACAGGAUCAUCCUCUGCAUUGAUUUCUGUGAAUCCCUGAGUAGUUGUUGGUUUCUCCAUGUCGGGCCCUAUAAAUGAACAAAAACAAUAUGUAAUAAACAUCCGUGUUUUUUUUCACCAAAAAAAGAAAAAGAAAAAGAAAAAAAGAAUGAGUCAAUGUCAAUAAUCCUACCAAUAAUUAAUUUCAAUACUUACCAAUAAUCAUUUUCAAAUCAUCGCAGUUUUCCACUUCUACUUUUUGAAGCCGCAAUAGGUUUUUGGCCAUAGAGAAUGAGAAGAGAUACUUCAAUUUUGGACAGCAAUCUACGUUUAUAAUCCUUAAGUUGCUGAAAGAUUGAUCUUCUCUGAGUUGGCUGUAGCAUAUCGUCUCCAAAUUAGUUAAAAACAUAAGAGACAAUGACUCCAGCAAGGGAAAGACUUUGCAACGAACCCGUCUAACUGAACCGACAAUAUGUAAAAUCUCAGAACAACUUUUUACAUGAAGAUGCUUCAAUCGUGGAAAACCUUCCCCAUCGUCUAAUUCAUGAACAACACUUUGAACACCCUCCAAUGUUUCUAGCCAGAGACCUUCAGUUCUCUGCAGCAACAUUUUUGUCCCAUCAUUCUCCUGAAGAAUGCUAACUUUUUCUAGCCCCUUGAGCAUCAUCAAUCUUGGUGCUUCAGAUUUGACGAGCAAUGGGUCAAACUCAUCUUCGGACUCAUCUCCUAUGCGUAUCCUAUAUCUUUGCAAUUCCACAGAGACAAAAUUCGGCGGCAGAAUUUCGGCAUCCGCAACUUCUAUCUCCAAAGUAGCUAGCUUUGUCAACCUCUCCAACUCGACAAGACUGGCAUUACUUCCUCCUUCAACCUUCUCCCACCCUGAAAAGCUGUUACCCAUAUACAAUUCUUCUAAUUGAGAUAAUUUUGAUAUGACAUUCGGUGCUAUCACCUCAAGCAACCAACAAUUGCUCAAAUCUAGCAACUGUAACCGCGUCAAUUGUCCAAUUUCAAGUGGUAACUGCUUGAUAGUGGAACGUGCAAGGAUGAGAAUCUCUAAUUUCUUUAGCUGUCCAACUAUUGCUAUAUCUUUUAGUCGGCAAUAGUCUAAACACAAUGUUUGGAGGUUAAUGAGGCAACCAAGUGAUGAAGGUAAUGAAGAGAAGUGAAUUCGAGUAAAAUUCAAAACUUUGAGUCCUUCCGUCCCUUUAAAGAAGUGAUCUGAAACUUGCAUAGAGCCAUCACCCUCCGUAUGCAAUAGCUCAAGACAGGGACAUUGCAACCUUUCAGGAAGCACUUGAAUACCUCCAUAAGUUAAAGAAAUAGCAAUUGGAUCUUUUCGUAUUGUCUCUUCCAUCUUUUUCUCCAAGUCGGCAACAUUUGGAAUAUUAAACAUGCGCUUCUCAAAUAACUGCAAUGCUUCUUUUCGUGGCAAAGCAUCGAUCGGAAAAUUUUUCUGACAACUCAUAUCAAUGCGCAAUAAAUCUUGCUUUCUAGACGUCAAUAUUAUUGUGCAUCUUCUCUGAUCAUCCUUUCUAUCUUUCUCAGCAACAUCCCCAGAAGGAAUUCCAACAACAUCCAACUCAAGUUCUGUCCAAAUAUUAUCCAAUAUAAUGAGGACCCGCUUCUCUUUCUUCAAUCUUUCACGUAAUCGAUCAGCUCUUUCGAAUUUAUUCUCAUCCGAGCCAAAUUUCAUGCCUAAGUCAAAAGCAAGUUUCUUUUGAAUUUCCUGAUGAUCUGGGGUCUGUGUUACCUCAGCCAUAACGACCUUAUCGAACAACUUAUCUUCCAUAACUUGCUUUGCAACUUGCUUGACUAGCGUGGUUUUACCCACGCCGCCCAUGCCGUAGACCCCAAUAAUGUUGAGCUUAUCAUCCUUCAACGCCUCCACAACAUCUUGAAAUACUUUCAUUCUUGAAUCAAAGGCCUCGUAAUCUUUCACUUGCAUAUGUUCUGCCCGCUUUGGAGCAGGACGGUAGGAAACAUUAGAGAAGUUUCCUUUUCCCAGGAGACUAGCGGCAGCUUCUGCGGCCUUUGCUGCUUGUUUACUAAGCUUGUAACGAGAAAUCAAGUUUGGGCACAAUCCUUUGAAGCAGGACUUCUUAGCUCUAUCUUCAUCAUCACUGAUGGAUUUUGCAACCCCUUCACUGAAUUCAUCAACUUGAUUUAGCCAGUCUGUGACACCCUCAUAAAUCUCAUCCCCUUGUAGUCUAGCAUGAUUAACAGGUUGUUGCACCGUUUCUCUUCUAUAUCCCAGCUGCUUCACUUGAUCUUUUAGGCCAUCUAUGUAGCUCUGGUACUUGAACACAUAAGAUAUCUGCCGUACAAUCGGUUUGAACAGUGACUUUGCACCUUCUGCUACGAUGCUGGAAAAAGCAGCCAGACCCACUUCUGCCAUCGCCUGCUGCUUAACAAAUCUAAUAAUAUGUCAAAGAAAGGAAUACAAAUAAACUAAAAUGAACUAGAGGGAAAGACAAAAAAUGGAAAAGACAGCAAACAGUAUCGCAACAUUGAUCUUGAAUCAACUGAAACAUGAACAAAGCAUUUUUUCUUCUUUCUUAAGGAUCAGAGUUUUUGCUAUUAACAGAAACGUACUUCAAGUGUCUAAAAAAAAUUAACUAUAAAUGAACAAUAACUACAAAACUCAAGCAAAACAAGCCAUAAAAUUUUUAUCUUGGAAAGUGGAUGGAAAUUAAGAAAGAAAUGGUAUAGAGAUCAAGCAUCAGAGAUUAUGCUAUUAAAAGAAAUUAAUUGAAGGUUUUAGAACAAGUGCACCUGUUUAAUUAUGUGGGAUCAGAAAGUUGAUGAGCUUAUGUAAUCGCCUUGAAUAUUUAAGAACAAUUUCAAUGAGCAAAAAAUUUCUGUUACCUGCAGAGGAAUGUGAUUAUAGAGAGCUUAUGAGAGUAAUGACAAUGAUUUGGAAAAGAAGAAGACUUAAUCAUGCAGCCCUUAAUAUUUAUUGAAUGACUUGUGAUCAUUUCUUUUAUGAAUAAAAUGCCAACAGCAAAAAGAGAAGAAAGGGCGAAAUUUACUAAGUCUUAUUUUAUUUUUAAUUUCUUUUAUUUUCAUUCGGCGAAGAGGGAAUCUCUCCCUCUUUUUGUUUUUUUACGGGGAAUCUCCUUACCUAAUGUGACAUAAUGAAAGCAAUCUGUAAAUAGUAAUAUAAUGUAAUAAUUAAAAAUACCCACAUAUUUAUAAUAUUAAUGAUGGGAUCCAUAUGUUUAUACUGAUUAAAUUGGUGGACCAGAAUUUAUUUGACCGUACUUGUUUUCUAUUUAAUUAAGAUUGAAACGAUAGAGAAAAAUUUGUCGUAUUGAUUUGUUUCGAUUGUGGAGUUCCAACACUGAAAGUGAAGAUUUCAUCAACUUUCUCACAUGGACACGUACCGUCAUGCAUAUUGCAUUAUUUUCCUAGAAAAGCAAGAUUAAUUCUUUUAAUAAGCAAACGCGUAGGUGGGAAUCCAUUCAUGAAACAAGUGGAACGACAAUAUCAAACCAAUGAUAAUUCAAAAUCUGAAUCCGCCUGAUGGACGGCAACUAAUCUGAACCAUUCUCCUUUAGUAACAGGGGAAUGAAAUUAUAUCGAUGAUAGAUAAUUUCAAAACAGGGGAAUGAAAACAGAGGAACCUGUUUUUCCUUCCUUUUCUUCUUUCCCCCAACUCUUCUUCUAUUUAUAUUUUCCUUGGAAUUUUCGGCAAACGAAAAAAAAUUGGGAAUGAUUUCAGGAAAACAGGUGGAUAAUAACUAAAAUAUUUAUUUUUAUAUUUUUGAUAAACACACUCACUAUUAAUAGAAUUCAUUAGAUAUCAUAACUUAAAUAACUUCUUGUGAUUAAUUGAGGGUACAUUUGGGAUUUCUUUUAUUUCCCAAUAAUUAGCUUCUAUGUUGAUUCUCAGAAAAUUAAUUUUACGAAUAAUUUAGUAGGGUGUUUGGUAAAUGAUGAUUAUUUGACAACCAGUUUUCAAAUAAUCUACUAUACAAAUUUGAUAAGUAAAAAUUAGAAGUGUAAUAUUCAAGUGCAAAUGUGCAAUGAUAAAAAUGUAAUUGUUUGUUUAUUUGUAGUUUAUUUAGAAUAUUAUUACUAACAUCAUUUUUUUAUUUACUGGAUUUUUAAAGAGUAUAUUCUAUUUUCUUUAUUACAUAUCUAUAUCAAUUUUUUAUUAACUAUUUUAAUUUGUAAUAAAACUAACUUUAAUUUUUUUUAACUAAAAAAUUUGUUAUGCAGUUUGUUAUAUUAAAAAAAAAAUUCGGACGGUGUCUAAACAUGGUCACCAGUGAUUGUUAUAUUAAAAAAAAAUCUAUUCAAUUUUUUCUCUGAUUUUGUGUCGAUAUCUUUCUUACGUAUGUUGAUAUCAUAUUAAAGUGAAUUCAAGACCCUAUAUUAUUUUGCAUAACAUCAAAAUUUAGCCGAAUGGUAAUUAAGAAUUUCCUUUUUUGUUUGUCCCACAAUUAUAUAGUCUCAUUUUUUACAAUAAGCUCACAAUAUGCACGGAAAUGAAGAUCUAUUAAAAACUUCCCUAUAAUAUUAAACACUAAACAAUAUCACCAUGUUAUGCAUAUGGUGCCUCGUCAACAAUUUGAUGUUUAUUUUGUUUCUCGGGUGAAUAUGACUACUUGCGUUGCGAGUCCAUGCUUUUGUCGUUUGGAUGGAGGACGUGCCAUCUUUUUAUUUUAGAUGGUUUGUAAGACUUCUGAUUUAAUGAUUGAAUGCAGUCAAUUAACAAAAGCUUACAUAUUAUGUAGGUGCUGAUAUGUCUGUUCUUGAUAAAGUAGAUUUAUUUACAUCCAAGCCAACGGAGCCAAAGACAUUUCGUUAAUAAAAUACACGAUAAUUAUUUUUGUUAAACUGAUUUCUGGUUAAUAAGACCUAUAACAGCAUUCAAGGAAGCCACCGAACUCAAAGGAAAGGCAUGGUUAAAUAUACUGCGAAGCAUGUGAGUUCGUUUUUUAAUCUCUUGAUCACUCAUAAGCUUUUCUAUACCACUCACUGUAUCAUCCUUUUGAAUCGAUUUUGAUUGAUCAUCAGAGAUCAUGUACCCCACCUUAAGAUGAUUGAUCACAAAUUUGGCAUUGUAAUGUUGGUCACCUCUAAUUGGCCAUGCUAAAAUUGGGACUCGACAACCAAUUGCUUUUACUGUUGAAUUCCAUCCACAAUGAGAUAAAAAUCCACCCGUGAUUGAUGACUCAAUAUCAAUAAUUGUGGCGCCCAUCCAUCUAUUAUCAAAUCCUUUUUACCGACUUUAUUAUCCAAACCACUACGAAAAUAACUGCCUUCAGCUGGUUUGUCCAAAUGACGUAGAGGAUCCAAUCUACCUGCACCACCUUGAAUUACCCAAAUAAACGAUCGAUUUGAUGCUUCUAAAGGAUUAGCUAGUACUAAGUACUCAUCUAAGGUCAGAUCCACUUCAGUACCAAAUGACACAUAUAACACAGAUCCGCGUGAUUUCAAAUUCAACCUUUGAACGAUCUCAUCUUCCGUCAUAUUAGAACUCCGCCGGUUGGUUCUCAUCUCAUGAUCAUCAAGCACUGAACCGGCCGAUUUGUAAAAUUGUUCAGGUAAUAGUGGGCCCACUCCCCACAUCGGCUUUCCCAAUUCAUUGGCUAAAUAAUUAAUAAAUGGUCCCUCAAGACCAUCACACGUGUUGAACAUCAACGCCAUUGAUCCCUCCACUUCCUUCAUCCAGUGUGGUUGAUCACCGGCUUCUGGUGGACCUAUUUUCUCGGAACCGGGUGCACCUCUCAGAGGUGGUGGACCACCAGGAGGGGGCCCAUGAGGCCUGUGUUUUAGGUCCGAUUCAAAUAAAGCCAUAUCCUCGGGUAACCGAGGAAGUAAACGGGCCUCUCCCGGUUUGACAUCUUGGAUGCGAGCCUGCCACAUGGCACACUCCGCAGCUGCCGAGCAAGCACCAGAAGUGAAGAACCCAACAAUGGGAACUUCAAAAAUCUUGAAAACAUCAGCCGUCCAGCCCAUCAUAACGUCGAUGACUGCACAAACGGGUCGGCUUUUGGGUUCCCGGGUUGAAAGGAGGUUUCGAACUUCGAAGGCCUUGAAGCAUUUGGCUGUGCAUGGCAACAUGAGGGUGAGGAGGCGAAGGAGGGUAUUUCAGUAACUUCAAAGAGAGGGUAUUGGUGAAACGAGGAAGGGAUGAUGCUGGGGGCGGAAAUGUGAGAGGGAAUGAUGAGGGUAGAUUUGUAAUUACGAGUAGCGAUUUGCUUGCAUAAUUCAAUGCAUGGAAACAGAUGUCCCUGACCGAAGAAUGGGACAAUCCAAACCUCGGCCUCAGCAGCAGUAGCAACAGAGCUUGACAUCUUUUUGAAUUAUUUGAUACUUAAUUGUUACUGUUUGCUUUUACAUCUUUCAUAAAACACUCUUUGUUAUAUAUAAAGAGAUGACUUAAUGGAGAAGUAAGUGUUUUAGUUUUACAGUUUUACUAGUAGGUGAGCUCUGAGUUUGAUAAUUUGAUUGUUAGUUUUAGUUGGUUAGUUAUGAGAAAGCAUCUUUUAGAAAAUUCAUUCCAGUUUCAACUAAAAUUAAUAAUAUUGUUCAAAUUAAUUACUCGAUAAAUAAAUAAUUAGAGAUAAAUCUAUCCCUAAUCUCACAUUUAUAAAAUAAGGAUUGAAAUAAGUUCUUGUGGAUUCGAACUCAAGCCCUCAAGCCGAGUGGCUGGAUCUUGACUACUUUGACUUAAUUAUUAUUAUUAUUAUUAUUAUUAUUAUUAUUAUUAUUAUUAUUAUUAUUAUUAUUAUUAUUAUAUAUAUAUAUAUAUUUCAUUCUUUCAUUGAACAUCUUUUGUUAUAUAAUAAAGAAGAUAAGUUGACGGAGAAGAGUUUUACUUUUACUAGUAGAUGAGCUUUGAGUUGAGAACGUUAGUUUUAGUUGAUUAAAUAUCUACCAUCCAAAUCAACAUUCCUUAAACUAUUAUUCAAGUGAGAUGUCUGAGUAACAUACGCUUGAGUUAGUUGGUGCCUAACAAUUCGUGUGAUACAUGAAACCAACCAAUAUGAAAACCAAAUCAAGUUGGUAGGAUUACAUUAAUUUAAAUUAACUUUCAAGUUCCAACAUUAUAAGAUAAAUAAAUAGCAUAAACUAAUUUUUUUUUUCAAGUAAAUAUGUUUAUCGUUUAAAAAUUAUUUUUUCUUGCGGUAAAUGCAACACUAAAUAAGGAGUGAAGAGGGUAUUUUGUAGGGUAUACCCCCACCUUUUAUUUCAUUUCAUUAUUAAAAAAUAAAGGCUUGAUUCAACAUUCAAGUAAAAUUAACAAUUCCAUGAUAAAAUUGCUUGAGAAUAAGAAUUAAAAUAAAAAAAGAAAACAGCAACUCAAAAACGACAUACAAAUACCGCAUAGAGGUUUUUCGUCACGAGAUAUUUUUGGGUUGAGACAACAGUUGUAUAACAGAGCAUACAGACUGAAUGACGGUGAGAAUAAGAAGGAAAACGGCGCCACACACCGAAAUGCCAGCCCAUGGAGUAUUGAAGUAAUUUUGUUUCAAGUUUGCCCUCCAUUUGUAGCACGUUCUUUUGCAGUGAUCAUUCAAUCCUUUGCAUAGCCCAGAAAAAUAGAAGCUAUUAGACAGCAGAGUAGUACCUCUAGAAAGGAACACAUAAUCAUUUAUGUAACACAUAAUCAUUUAUGUAAUUCUCUGAGUAAUGCCGUUGUUCAAAGGCAAUGAGAUUACGAAAUAAGGAUUCUGUUUCUAGCUGUAGCUUCAGUUUCGGAAUAUGCGAUGUCCUGUUUUUGAAUUCUAUGGCGAACAAAUCAUUGCUCUUGCUCAAACUGAAGUGGACUCCAGCUUGGUGGAGAUUAGUCACACUUGGUGCGGUUUUACCUUUGUGGUAUUGCUGACCUUCUUGUUUUUCCUGAUUCCUCGAUGAUGGGAGAUGGCAAAUCCUUAGAAAAUCAAGGAAAUGCUCUACCCUAGCCUUAGUGUAAGGAGGGAAUUUUUGCUGAUUACCUUGUACUACCUCUAAACCCUUGAAAUACUCGUAUGUGACUGUGAUGAUGGUUGGAUUUUCAUGUUGGUCGGGGAUUUCAAUUGCCGCUAGAGCAAAAAGAUCCUCAAGAAUGAAGAAAGGAAGCUGAUUCUCAAGCAACCACAUAUCAUACCGUAUAUCCUCUAUUAAAUAGGGUUUAUGAAAUAUAUGAUCAUCUUUUUUUUGAAGUUGACGGAAAUGAUACCUCAAUAAGAGUUCAAUGAUGAAGGCAGCAUCCAGCAGAAUCAUUUCAACAAAUUUAUCACUACUUAGUUCGACUUUUUCUGCAUAAGAACCUCGUAAUUCUGCUUCUCUGAACUUUAUAAUUUGAACAAACUCGUCAAAGCUUAUUUGGGUCCGUUGAAGAAAGUAAUGCAGGUACCGCUGUUUAUGUUCUUCCAUGAACUGUAAGUUUGCUUUGCCAUGCUGAAGAGGGCCAAUUGAGACUACCUGAGGUGUAUGUACCUUUUCAUUUAUCUGACGUAAUCGCUCUGGAACUCUGUAGAUGCAGCAGUUUGAGGGCAAUGGUGAUAAUUUUUUCAACUUAACUUGCAAGCAUUCUUCCAUGUUAUAAACUGAAAACAUGGCGCGAAAUUUAAUCAAUUCAACACUUAAUAAGGCAUAGUAAUUAAAAAAGAAUUAAAAAAAAAAACCAAAUACAAGAGCAUUCUUACACGUACAGAAGCACCUCAAUCCCUACUAUUUGCAGAGCUGUAGCCAGGAGUCAAUGAUAGACCAGACUGAACUAAAAGGAACAACUUUCUUAGGAAUAUGUUAUCGGUAUUUUCUCUGGCCUCAGGCCAUCAACAAAGCAGUUUCAGUGCUUCUUAUAUAAUUCCAUGGAUUAUUCCUUGCCUUUACAGAUGAUAUAAGUCACAAUUCAUAUAUUAAUUUCUCCAGAUUCCGUACAAGUGGACCAUAACUAUGGAAAAAUUCAAAGAAUGCAACAGCCAUUUGAUUGGUCCAUGUCAGAAGUUAAUCUGGGGAAAGAAGCUUGAUCUAGCAGUAAAAUUCUCUCCUUCAAUCAGUCAGUUUGGGGCAGCAACAAGAUCAAAGCCACCACGCAAACAUUUACUAAAGUUUAUAUAAUAUUCACUAGUUUAUAUAAUAUUCUUGAAACUCAUCUUAAGUAAAGCAACAAAAGCCUUCACUGUUUCUUAACAACUUUAUUGCUCUAACACGUAGCAUAACACUUUUAAAUUUGCAUAAAGCACAAUAGUACUUUAGUUUGUAACAACAGCACAGAUAAUAAAUCGCAUUUUAUAGCUUUAACAAAAGCAUACAAAAUUCUUAAACCUUGUUUCAAGCAAUUCAUUAAUGCCACAAGGAUGUCUUUUUGCUUCCUACAGUUUUUAUUGAAAUUCAUAUAUUCUUCUUUAUCAAAUUAAGUAAUUUUCCUUUUUCAAAAAAUCAAGAAGGUUUCGACUGCAUGGAAAUACAGCACACAAUUACUACUAUUCCCGGAGUAAGAAAUUCAUAAAUGCAAUAUAAACAUACAUUUUCAUAAGACAUCAGAAUCAAAGAAUCAUCAAUGCAUCAAAUCUGUACACCCAAAAAAGUUGAAAGCAUCAAGAGAAAAUUAUACCGCAUGGACCCUUUACAACCCUUAUAACGAGUUCAGACAGCCUAAUCCAAUUUAAUAGAUUUGAGGACAGCUACAAUGUGCAAUACAAAAUUUCCCAAUACUAUUUAGAACAAAGUCUAGAAAAUAAAACCUAUAUAUUGUACAAAAUCACGAAAACCAGAAAUGACGAAAAACCUGCGAAUGUAAUUUUUGGGUUUCUUCAACAUAUCUUCCAUCCAAAUCAAACAAGAAUCGAUAAAUCAACAACAUUCAUCUUUAAACGACAUAUUACCACAAUAAAAUUGUCAACCAAGCCUCAUAUAAACCUUUUUUGUGUUUUUUGGUAAAUAUAUUUGUUAUUCUCUAAGAAUACUAGGGAAAAAAGAAACCCACUUUCUUAAUCAAGAAUCAAAUAGUAUAUAUGAAUCUAAGCUGAAGUAAGUCUUGGGUUUGAUGAAAAAGCUUGCAUUGUGAUUUAGAUUGGAAAGGAAGUUGAUUUUUGCUGGUUGAGAGAGAGAGAUUUGAGACUUAAGGAGUGUUGCUAAUCUUCGAUCGUGUAAACAAGGGUAACUGGGUCAUAGUUCAAAAUAAGGGUCCAAAAUUUACUAAAGCUAUUAAGGAGCCCAAAACUCAUAAUGGCUUCCCCAAAAUAAAUAAAAUUUUCUAGCAUUAAGUUUUUGUUUCUUCUUGAGAUUUCCUUGUCGUACUUACCCAUAUUUCGAUAUUGCCUCCAAGUAAACUUAUAUAUAUUGAUUAACAAUAUAAACAAGCACUAUGAAGUUUUAGGCCUGAAAAAACAUUGAGGUUGAAAUGAAAACCAUCUAUUUAAGUAACAAAAUCUUCUGAUAAUUUGAUGCUUAAUAAAUAGAGCAGAGAUGACAUAUUAAUCACGCUAUGAUGUGGAAGUUAUGAUUAUAUUCAUCUUAAGAAUAAGAUCUUUCAAACACUGGCAGAUUAGUAUCAAAAUACUCAGCAUAAGACCUACAAACUAGAAAUCAUGAACCAAUUAUUGAACUCAGUACAUAAGUUGAUCUUUUAUAAGCUAUAAAACAAAUCUGCUAUAACAUAAGAAAGUGGGAUUUAUCACCAGACAAAUAUUUUGGUGAAACUCAAGAUGACGGAAGGAUAUCCAAAACAACCUCCUUAAGGGAAGGCAUCACUUCCUGCUGAUGCAAACAUAUAUAUUUAUUACUCACUUUCUUGAGGACCUUCCAGGAACCUGGGUAGCAUCUAACAGAAAGUGGAAAAGAAUAAAAUGUAAAAUAUAAGUUAAACAGCAGGAAAACAGUGAGUGAUACUAGGCAAGCAUUAAUAGGUUGCCGCAGGAAAAGUGUCAGUAACUAGCUAGCAAACCUGAAAAGGGUUCCUCCAUUGCGACCCUUAAAAUUGUGAAUGUAAUAUAUGGUCUCCAUCACAGGAAAAAGUGUAUUGGAUAGUGCAGCCAGCUUAGUGUUGCGGACCGCCCAAAUUCGUAGCCCAAUUUAUUCACCAAGAGCCCAACACAAGGCCAAGAGUGCUACCUUGGCCCGAUUCCGGAAAAUUCUAGGCAACUCUAGCACAUUGAGCUUGUAAAUACUCUAGAAUUCUCCAUAGAAUUCCAGCACAUGUAAAUAGCUAGGAAAUGGUAGAAUUCUCUAGAAUCUCUAGAGCUUGGCAAGCCUCCCCUAUAAAUAUGGGAUGGCAUUAGGCAUUUGUAUCCAACAAACACUACAACAAGCAUUGUAAGCAACUCAAGCAAUGUAAUUCUCUCUUUGUGCAAUACAAUUUCUCUUAUUCGGCUCUAUUGCUCUCUUCUCUAGUUCGAGAAGCUCUAAGCUUACUUAGCAACAUUCGGCAAAGUUGUCUAAGUGCCGCACGAGUUAGCUGCGCAAAAUACUCAUCCCGUGACAAGUGGUAUCAGAGCUAAAGUUUGCACGCACGCAAAUUAGCUCACGAGCAAUGGCCAACCUUUCAAACGUAGCACAAUAGGGUGUUGUUGGUGUGGAUGUUCCACUGGAACCAAGCCGCGACCAAGAGGGAGAACGCUCCCAAGGCAAGACUCGUGGCAAGUCCAAGGCCCCAUCCGUGGAUGCGUUGGAGCCUCGUGUGACUACUCUCGAAAUCACAUUGUCCGCCGCUCAAGAAAGUCUCGAGGGAUUGGAGGAACGAGUGGACGGUCUCGAGGGGGAAUACGCCGAGUUCACGGUGGCAACAAAAGCUCUCAUCCAAGAGCAAGCGAACACUCUCCGAGGUGAGUUUCGUUCUUUCCAUGAUGAGUUGCUCAAACUUCGUAGCUUUGUUCAGGAUGAACUACGAGCUGUCCGUGCAGAAGUGGAUGAAGUCCGCUCGGAUUGGGCAUGGCACAAGUGCACAGUCUCUGCUAGUCCAGCUUCCGCAAACUCGAGUGAUGCGCGCCGCAUUGACGUGCCAAAGCCCGACACCUACGAUGGCACACACAAUGCCACCAUCGUGGAUAAUUUCCUCUUUGGGCUCGAUCAAUACUUCGAUGCCAUGGGUGUCCGAGACGAGGCAUCGAAAGUGGGCACUGCACCCACCUAUCUUAGAGGCGCUGCACAACUAUGGUGGCGUCGCAAGUAUGGCGAGAUGGGCAAGGGCAUUUGCACCAUCGACACUUGGGCCAACUUCAAGCAAGAACGCCGAAAGCAGUUCGCCCCAAGCAAUGCGGAGAAGGAAGCACGAGCGUGCUUACGUCGCCUCAAGCAAACGGGUAGCAUAUGGGACUACAUCAACGAGUUCACUACCCUUAUGUUGGAGAUAAGCGACAUGUCCGACAAAGAUUCGCUCUUCUACUUCCAAGAUGGCCUCAAGGAUUGGGCCAAGACUGAGCUUGAUAGGCGUGGUGUUCAAACACUUGACGAUGCCAUGGCCGUUGCGGAGUCGCUCACCGAAUACUCUAUCCAAUCCAAGGACAAAAAGGCCAACCAAGGCAAAGGUGGGGGAGAGAGUCGCAAGGACAAGGGCAACAACCGCAAAGAUUGGGGGUAGAAAAAACUGCCUAGCAACAAGAGCGAGCAAGGAAAAUCGGAGGGUAAGAAGGAGGCGCCAAAGCCGCGAAGCCCAUGCUUCAUAUGCAAUGGUCCUGAUUGGGUACGCGACUAUCCGGAGAAGAGGUCGCUAAACGCUCUUGCUGCCCAACUCAAGAGCAACCCUACAAUGUCCACAGAGGAACCCCAACUCAGCAUGGGUUCUCUCCAACGCCUCGGCGCACUUAAUCACUAACAGCCUGCACUCGUCAAGAAAGGGCUCAUGUAUGUAAGCGCAAAGGUAAACGGUCAGUUCGUUCGCGCGCUGCUAGACACGGGAGCGACGCACAACUUUGUGUCCGUAGACGAGGCCAAGCGCUUAGGCCUCAAGGCCACCAAGGAAGGAGGCACGAUGAAAGCGGUGAACUCACCCGCCAAGCCAAUUGCGGGGAUCGCACAAGGCGUGCACAUUAUGCUUGGAACAUGGAGCGGAAAGCUUGAUUUCUCCAUCGUUCCCAUGGAUGACUUCAAGAUGGUCCUCGGCAUGGAAUUCUUCAACCAAGUCCAUGCCUUCUCGCUGCCCGCUCCGAACUUCCUAAGCAUCCUCGACGGGAGUAAGGCAUGCAUGGUUCCCACGGAACGAGGCAAGUCCGAGGAGAAGACACUCUCUACCAUGCAAUUUAAAAGGGCUUUCAAGAAGGACCCAAGUUUCUUGGUCUCCAUUCGGGAACUAAACGAGGUAGGAAAUAGCGGAAUCUCGCCAAACCAAGUCCCUCCGCGAAUUCAAGCCGUCCUUAAUGAGUACAAGGACGUGAUGCCUCCAGAACUUCCGAAGAAACUCCUACCUCGACGAGAGGUUGACCAUGCAAUUGAGCUGGAACAAGGCACGAAGCCACCAGCCUUGGCGCCCUACCGCAUGGCGCCACCCGAAUUAGAGGAGUUGCGGAGACAACUCAAAGACUUACUGGACGCAUGCUACAUUCGCCCCUCAAAGGCCCCAUUCGGUGCACCUGUGCUCUUCCAAAAGAAAAAUGAUGGAUUGCUGCGGAUGUGCAUCGAUUAUAGAGCGCUCAACAAGAUCACCAUCAAGAACAAGUAUCCGAUUCCCUUGAUCGCGGACUUGUUCGACCAGCUUGGCAAAGCGCGGUACUUCACCAAACUCGACUUGCGCUCCGGGUACUACCAAGUGCGCAUCGCCAAGGGAGACGAACCAAAGACAGCGUGCACAACAAGGUACGGGUCUUUCGAAUUCCUUGUGAUGCCUUUUGGCCUUACUAAUGCACCCGCCACAUUUUGUACGCUCAUGAACAAGGUGCUCCAACCAUUUCUCGACCGCUUCGUGGUCGUGUACUUGGAUGACAUAGUGGUGUAUAGCACCACGCUCGAGGAUCAUGCCCAACACUUGCGACAAGCCCUCCAAGUACUUCGAGACAAUGAGCUAUUCCUCAAAUUGGAGAAGUGCUCGUUUGCCCAACGAGAAGUGGAGUUCCUUGGCCACAAGAUUGCGGGCGGGAAGCUCAUGAUGGAAAAUGCCAAAGUGAAGGCCAUUCUCAAAUGGGAACCUCCCUCGAAAGUGCCCGAGCUUCGCUCAUUCCUUGGGCUGGUGAACUACUACUGCCACUUCAUCAAAGGCUAUUCGGCCAAGGCAGCACCCUUGACGGAUAUCAGAACGUGGCAUUAGUUCGAAGAGUGCCAACGCGCAUUCGAGGAGUUGAAGAAGGCAAUUUCAGAAGAACCUGUCCUCGCUCUACCGGACCACACAAAGCCCUUCGAAGUCCAAACAGAUGCCUCAGAUUUUGCCAUAGGUGGAGUCCUUAUGCAAGAAGGCCACCCCAUAGCGUUCGAGAGUCGAAAGCUAAAUGAUACGGAGCGUCGCUACACGGUGUAAGAGAAGGAGAUGACAGCCAUCAUACAUUGCUUGCGUGUGUGGCGACAUUACUUGCUAGGCUCACACUUCACGAUUAUGACGGACAACGUGGUGACAAGCUACUUUCAAACUCUAAAGAAGUUGAGUCCGAAGCAAGCACGGUGGCAAGACUUCCUUGCGGAAUUCGACUAUUGGCUCGAGUACAAACCGGGGAAAGCCAAUGUCGUUGCGGACGCUCUAAGCCGCAAGGUGGAAUUGGCAACACUUAGCAUGAGCCAACCGAAGUUCGACCUUAUCUCACGCAUCAAGGAAGGCCUCCAACAAGAUCCGCUAGCAAAGGAUUUGCUGGAGAAGGUGCUCGAGGGAAAGACAAGGCGUUUUUGGCAAGAGGAAGGCAUCCUCCUCACCAAGGGAGAUAGGCUGUUCGUGCCAAGGUGAGGAAACUUGUGGAAGGAAGUUAUCAAGGAGUGCCACGACUUCAAGUGGGCUAGUCACCUAGGAAUCGAGCGCACCACCGCACUAGUUCAAGCCUCGUAUUUUUUGCCACACAUGAGGGACGACAUCGAGGCAUAUGUGCGAACUUGUCUUGUGUGCCAACAAGACAAGGUGGAUCAUCAACUUCCAGCGGGAUUAUUAGAGCCGCUAUCGCUAGCAACAAGACCAUGGGAAAGUGUCUCCAUGGACUUCAUCACAUCGCUGCCUAAGUCCGAAGGAUGCGGAAGUAUCAUGGUCGUUGUCGACCGAUACAACAAGUAUGCCACAUUUAUUGCCGUACCAAUCGAUUGCAAAGCGGAUGAGGCAUCUCGCCUAUUCGUCAAGCACAUUAUGAAGCUUUGGGGAGUUCCAAAGAACAUUGUGAGCGACCGAGACCCUUGGUUCACUGGGCGUUUCUGGACGGAGCUCUUCAAGAUGUUAGGGACCGAUCUCAAGUUCUCGACAAGCUUUCACUCACAAACGGAUGGGCAGACCGAGCGCAUUAAUGGCCUCCUCGAGAUGUACUUGAGGCAUUAUGUGAGCGCUCAUCAGCGAGAUUGGGCGAAGCUAAUCGACAUCGCCCAAUUUUCUUAUAACUUACAGCGAAGCAAGGCUACGGGCAAGAGUCCGUUCGAGAUCAUCAUGGGAUUUCAGCCCAUGACCCCCAACGCCAUAGCCUCGACUUACGGAAGGAAAAGCCCCGCGGCACACAAGCUCACCCGCGAAUGGCAUGAGGAAGCGAACACCACGCAAGCCUAUCUCGACAAAGCCGUGAGGAAAAUGAAGAAAUGGGCGGAUACAAGGAGACGACAUGUUGAGUAUAAGGAAGGUGAUCAAGUUAUGAUCAAGCUCCUACCCCAACAAUUCAAGAUGUUGCGGAAAGUCCACAAGGGGUUAGUGAGGCGCUACGAGGGACCCUUCCGAGUUGUUCGACGUGUGGGCAACGUCUCGUAUCAACUCCAACUUCCGCCAAGACUCAAGAUCCAUCCGGUCUUCCAUGUGAGUCUUCUCAAGCCAUAUCACGAAGACAUGGGAGACCCAAGUCGCGGAGAAUCGAGGCGCGCACCAACUGCCGUUGUCACCGCGUUCGACAAAGAUGUGGACUACAUCAUUGCGAACCGCGUGGUUUCGAGGAGGGGCGUGCCAGCACAUAGCGAGUACUUGGUGAAGUGGAAAAACCUCCCCGAGAGCGAAGCCACUUGGGAACGUGAAGACAAUUUGUGGCAAUUCGUUGAGCACAUCCAGAGGUUCAAGCACGAGAGCGCGAUGAGGACGCCGCGAGGUUAGGUGGGGGAGGAUGUUGCGGACAGCCCAAAUUCGUAGCCCAAUUUGCUCGCCAAGAGCCCAACACAAGGCCAAGAGUGCUAGCUUGGCCCGAUUCCGGAAAAUUCUAGGCAACUCUAGCACAUUGAGCUUUUAAAUACUCUAGAAUUCUCCAUAGAAUUCCAGCACAUGUAAAUAUCUAGGAAAUGGUAGAAUUCUCUAGAAUCUCUAGAGCUUGGCAAGCCUCCCCUAUAAAUAUGGGAUGGCAUUAGGCAUUUGUAUCCAACAAACACUACAACAAGCAUUGUAAGCAACUCAAGCAUUGUAAUUCUCUCUUUGUGCAAUACAAUUUCUCUUAUUCGGCUCCAUUGCUCUCUUCUCUAGUUCGAGAAGCUCUAGGCUUACUUAGCAACAUUCGGCAAAGUUGUCUAAGUGUCGCACGGGUUAGCUGCGCAAAAUACUCAUCUCGUGACAUUAGGGUAGAAGAAUGACGGAUAAUCUUUAGCUCAUUUAAGGAAAUCCUCUCUGAUCCUUUCAUUGCACAUUCCAAAACAACUCUACUACAACCAAGUUACCAAUUCUUUUUGUUAAGUCAUUGUUAUUUGUUAAAAAAAAAAAAAGUCUUCCUUGCAACAUUUUAUUGAAAGAUAUAACAUGAUCAUCCCUAUUAAUUCCCUUUUAGAUUUCUGUGAGUGAAUUUCAAAUUAUUGUAUUCAAAAAUAGAAGCAAAAGACCCACUUUACUUUCAAUUUCUGCAACAAGAUACCAAUUGAAGGACCAAAAAGUUGUAAACAAGCAAUUCAAUGGGUGGGCAUCUAGAAACUGCUAAAUAGCAUCAAAAUCAUACUAAAUUUACAGAAAGUACAAUAAUAAUGAAAGAAUGGUGAAGGAUACACCCAGACCUUAUCCGGUCAAGUUCUCUAUUGAAUAUAAUCAGUUUCUGGGCAGUAUUGAAGACAGCUUCUUUGUAAAGCUCUUCAACGACAAGCAUUUCUACAAGACGAAAGAAAAGCAAAAUUAAUUACCUUAAGGAAUGAAUAUCAAUAAGAAGACAAGGUGUAAGACUACCAUUGACAUUAAAAUAUGGAUAGGCGACUAGAAACAAUUCAUCUUCUGGCUUCACACGGUCUGCCAUUUUAACCUUCUCAGUGAAUCCAAAAUCCUCAAAGAAUGAAGGUUUUGUUAGAUAGUCCAACUUAAAUAAUGAUCCUUCAAAGACCGAUUUUCUUGCAUAUUUGACUUCAUUUGCCUCUGGGAAAAACUAAAAACCAAAUGACAGACCAAGAUCACGAAACGAAUCAUGAACAUAGAUAUCAGAUAAUCAGAAAUGGGCAUUAAACAGACUACUAACAAGUAGGAAAUGCAUACAGAAAACAUUAUUCAUACACCUUAUGCACAUGAAAUAUAUAUGCAGAGGGAUCCUCUUGUGAAUUUAGUUUAUAUCCUAAUAUGAGACAAUGAACAAUUGGAUGGCAUCUAAGGGCUAACAUUUGUUUGAUUAUUAUAUGAAAAAAAAAAACAAAACAGAGUUGAUUGAUGGCCUUUGAUGGAUUGCCUACACUCUUAAAGUGCAGAGAGCCUGAUUAAUUGCUUUACCUGCCCCCCCCCCCCACACACACUUGGUUUUAUUAUCUCUCUUUUCAAAUAUAUAAUCAUUGGCUGUCUUUCAUCCUGAUCCGGCUCUCCUUCCAGGCCCCAGCUGUGUUUUCUUCAAUUCAGUGAAACAUUCACAUUCAGGUAAGAAUAAACUUGUCCUUCCUCAAAAAUCAGCUUCUCACCAUGAAGCUUUCUUUUUUAAACCAAUUACUAGUCUAGCAUAACGCAUCUAAUUGAAGACAACUCAGAAUUGAAAAAGCCAUACUUUAAUGUCUGUUGUUGGGACCUCAAGACCAGGAACAAAAAGCUUCUUUCUAACAGUUGGAUUAACAAGUAGAAAUAGCUUUUUUUCUGAAGGACCCAACAUUGCAUUGAAAAAUUCAACAAAAGGAAUGGCAUCAUAUUUAGUCCUGCUAGAAUUUUGUGCACUUAACACAAUGGUUAAUAAUUGGCCCAGCGGACACUUUGUCGAACUAUUGGCAACCUUGACUGUGGAAAUGCAUAUUUCAAAUGUUGGCAGGCUCUAGCUUCUUGAUGUACUGUUGAUAGAAAUGCCUAUUUCAAAAGUUGGCAGGCUCAAACUGCCGAGACUUUGGUUUCUUGCAUUUCAAACCCACAAAUAAAACUUUGGCAGAACCCCAGAAAGAGCUACACCUCCCAAAUUUGAUGACAAAUGAAGAGACCAUGCCUAGUGCUUAGUUCGGCAAAUGAGUAAGUUUGAAAGAAAUUAAGGGAAACCUUUCCCACAGAGAGUCAUAUUGAAGGUUACAAUUUGAAGACUUUGUCCCCUGUCGCCCACAACCUUCUUUGAUCUCUUUGCUUAGUCAUAAAUAAUCAAACAUAUGUUAGUCGUUGGAUGCAAUCCACUCACUGACAUCUCAUGUCCACAAUCAAUCAACCAUAUUUUAAUAGAAAUGAAAACAUUUUAAUUAAAAAAGAAUGAGAUAGGAACAAAAUGAAACUUGGCAGACAUGGGUCUAUGAGAUUUUAAAGAUGCUUGGUGAAAGUCGUAUUCAAGAGUUCAACAGUCAGUUCUAUCACCUAUGGCAAAGUAACCACCAUAACUAAAGCAAUUACAAAACAUCAAGAAGCUUGAACUUGGCAAGAGGUCUCAUUAACAGUAUACCUCAGAAAUUAAGACAGACUUAAAGUACAAGCUUUUGGAUUUAUUUAAACACUGAAAAUAAUAUGGGUAGAAGCUCCUAUGGUCACAGCAAACAAUUACAAAGCACAAAACCCAAAAAAUAGAUAUGCAAAAAGCUGCAAAAGAACAUUAUUAGCAAUUGACAUCUGCUUUGCUCAGACAAAGGUUCUCAUAACAAAGGACUUAGUGAUUAUCUUUCAUAUGUUUAUGUUAAGGGGAAAAAGGAAGUUUGUUUUAGUCAAUCUCAUGUCUAAUGGCAUUCAUAAGGAGCCCAAAAAUAAAAGAAAAAAUAAAGAGUUAGUAGGUGUUUCUCGCAGUAUAAAGAAAAUUUAUCAUCCAUGAAAAACUUAGUAUGGAAAAAGCUAACUCAUUUAUCUGCCAAUGGAGAAAAACUUGUUGUCCACCCACUAAGGACCCACCAUUGGGAGAUGGAUCCCAUGGAUGGGAACCACAAAUAUUUUAUUCUAAAUGAAAUGGGUAUUGUACCAUAUCAUUUAAUUUGUAGAUUCCACUGAUGGAACUCAUCAAACUUUUCAAAUGGUAGGUCCUUCAUGGGUAGGCGCAUCACUUCAGCAUCCUUCUCCACCGAUGACUAAAUCUGGACUCAUUUAAAAAGAAUACAAAGCAAAACUAAUUGACACAAAUUGCAUAGAGGUCUAGGAGCCAAAUCAAUGUUGUUAACUCAUCCAAUUAAUACAUUCUCUUAGAGGUCAUACCUUGGUAACUCAUUUCAAAAGAAAUUAAAAGAAAAACGACUGCACAAAUUGUACUGAGCUCAAGAAGACCUGUUCAAGGUGUUCACUUGUCCAACUAAUAAAAGUCAUCAAGGAUUGUAUCGGGGACUUGGGACCAAUCCUGCCUUAACUAGAGAAAGGGAAUUUAGGAUGAAGAAGAUAACCUCUUCUCCUAGAGCCCUUUUGGACAAAAAUGAAUUCCUACUAAUUCUGAGAAUAAAACCAUAGACAUCUAACUUCUGAUAUCUAGUCAAUCUGGUAAAAUCUUGUCAGUUGCACUUGGGGCAGAAAUUAGUUCCACCUUGGUUUACAGGACAGAAAUUCGUCAUAUGCAUGUAUUUAUUUAUGUUUUAUACACAAACGCAUACAUGUACACACAAACACUACCUUCACUUUGAAGAAAAGAUUAAAAUAACACUGCUCACAUACACAAUACUUACUAUUCUAGUUCGUGUAACUUUCUCUGGAGUCACAAACAGGUCACAGAAUUCACGUAUUAACCGCAUACUUCCAGUCAUUUCUAUUCCUCCUUCACCAUCACCUGUCCCACAAUUACAAAAAGUGAGAGGUAAUAACCAACAUAUUUGGGUUGCUCUUCGGUAAGGGGUGGGAGGUAAGGGUUAGUUGUGGAGGGCACCUGGUACAGAAUCAAGGCCAGCUGUUGGGAAUUCGAUCUCUUGUAACAUAUACUUGUUCAUCAUAAACUAUAUACUUAUUCUGCAGUCGAUGUGUGCAUAUAGCUCUUCAAUUAUCCAGUAAUAACUCACCAUCAACUUCCUACCAUCCUUCAUGGCUAAUUCAGCAGCCAUUUUUGCCUGUUUAAAGGUCAAAAGCCCAAACUAAGCAGAUGCUCCUACUCCGAUACUUAUUAUCUAACUACUACAGAACAGAUGAUACACAUCAAGUUGUAUCAAGAGAGACACCAAGUUGUGUUUUCCAAGAGGUUCCAAAGAGGAUCUGUUUCUUUGUGUAAUUUUUAGACUGCUUUGACAACUCAUCUUAAAGGUGCCACUCAUCCAAUAUGAUGUGGUGACAGUAGUUUAGAGUUUUAAACUAAAUGCAGAGCUAAUAGUAUUUUGGAAAUAUAAUCAUCCUAAGAUACUAUAACACAAGGAUUCUUACACAAAAACAACAACUUCGAUGUAGAGAGAAGAUGAUUUCACAAAAGCAGAUGUUUUGAUUUAAGUCUCCAAAACCCCCACCAAGAAAAUGUUCAACGGAUAUAGAAAUAUGAUCCACAUAUCUGUAACUUAAACUGUAAAAGUUGUUGAUGUUGUUCUAAAAUUGCCACAAUCUAUCUACCCCAUGAAUGUUUUUGGAUAAAACAAGAAGCAGGACCCAAUGCCUGUUUUCUAAUAGCUUCAAAAAGGCCAAAUUGGUUUUGAAAUGUCUCCAGCUUUUCAUUUAACAAGUUUAAGGAUCCCUUCGGCAUUGCAAUUGGGGAGCUCAGAUAUAUAAAAGUGCCUGGUAAACUCUUACAGCCGCAGCUUUUGAGCAAAAAUAAUUUUAUCUCAUAAUUGUUUGACUAAAAACAUAUAUCACCUUUUAUCAGUUUUGUAAAAAAUAUUAUUUAUAAGUCAUAUUUACCAAACACAGUCAACUUUUACAUCACAACUAUAGCUUUUUUUUUUUUUUCACCACACAUAUAUAGUUAAAAACUACAAGAACUCGAUAUCAAACAGAUCCUAAAGCGUAAUCUAAUAAAAAGGUAAAUAAACAAAUGCAGAAGCCAGCGUACUUGAUCAAGAAGCUCUGAAUAGUCACUGGGAAAGGGAAUAUCGACGUUAAUGGGGUUAUUGCCAUCGCUUGAAACCGAAUUGGUGAGACAAUUGCGUUUUCUUCUGUACGGCGAAAAUGUGACGAUUGAGUAACAACUUAUAUCGAACUUUAGGUUAAAAUAAUUACUAUGGAAUAUUGGAAUACGAGAUUAUUAGCAUUUGAGUGCUUGAGUGGGAAUCAAGAAAACUUAAAAUAGUUCAGUUAACCCAAAAAGAAAAAGGGGGGAAAAAACCCAUGGAAAGUGCGAUGAAUGUAAAUCCACUUUAAAACUUUAAUCAUAAAUGGUUAACUAAUUUUAAGUAAUUUGGAUUAACUUGACAAAUUGAAAAACCAUGCACUAGAGGAAAAUGUUCAUAUUUGGAGGUCCGAAUUUAUCUACCAUUCAACCCUAUUUUCAGCUCCUGCAUGGAGGAUAAGUUAGUUUGGUGAAUCUACCACUAGCUAAUUAGCUAAUUUUUUUUUUUGAAGAUAGCUAAUUAGCUAAUUAAGAGAGCAUUAACGUUGAUAAUUUGUCCUAUCUAAAAUGAAAAGUAAGAAAUUUACACUAGUAAAUUUUACACAAUCACAGUUGGAAUUUCAAAGAAACAAAAACGGAUCAAUAGUGCAAUUGUAAUUCAAAUUUGCACUUUAGGCCACACGUUCGGCCCAGUUCUUGUAUUAACACUUCAAUACUUGACAUGUGGCCAUUUUUUUAUUCGUCCACGUUCUUUGCAUUCUCAUGGUAGUACUCGAACAAGACAAAAUUUCACGAAUAUUCAGUUGAAUUGUUGUUGAAACAUGUAUAAGAAAUCAAAUCUCGUUAGUUUUGAAUAUUACCAGCAACUCAAAUUAUUUUAACCUAAAGUUCAAUAUAAGUUGUUGUUGGGGGUUAACGGCAUUUUGAACCACAAAGUAAAGAGAGAGAGAGAAGAAACGCUCCCCUUUCAAAUACCGUGCUCUUUUGUACCUGGGAAUUUAAUAAUUCAUGCGAAUAAAAAAAUUAUAAAUUUAGUAAAUUAUUUAUUAAAAAAUAUUGAGAGGUUGUGCAUUAUUUUAUUAGUAAUGACAUAGUAAUCAUCAAAUUAGUUGAAUUAAAAUAGUUGUUGACUCACGUAAUUUAUUUUUAUUAUUUUUAAAAAAAAUGGUCUGCGUUAAUAAGGUUAAGGGUGACAACUGGGAUCAAUAUACAGUUUAUUCGGGUGCUUAAAACCUAAUAAAUAUCCACUAACUCAUAUAUAGUUAAAAUAUAAUUAUUUUUAAAUAAAAAAUUUAAUAUAAACUAAACAAAUUGAUCGGAUUUUGUUUCUCAAGGUACAUCAUUAGAACGUUACUUUUAAUUGAACAAAAGCACACAUAACUAGCACAUUCGCCACAAAAGCCUCGGCUUAGUGGUCGGCUUAUUAAUUAUCCUAAUAAAAUCAUGGUCAUAAAUUUGAGUCCCCGUAGGUUAGGUAGCUUUUUUAGACUACACUAUAAAUACAUGUAUUUUACUUCUCGCGGGUAUUGCUUCUAGUAGUUAUCCAUCCGAGUAUAGAGCUUUGUAGCUUUCUUCAUGACCUUCCCCAAUUUCAAUGCUUGUUAAACAAUCUCCACAGAAAAUGUGAUAGAAAUGUCCCGCUGCCACUUGUUGUGCAUAGUCCAAAUCUGCAAUUUAAGGUCAUCAUUUCAUUUAAUUUUCCGUUAUAUAUAUUCAUCUUUCUUAGAGGCCAAGAAGUCUUCGACAGAAAUGUGAUCUUUUUCUAGUAGCCUCCCGGUGAUGAGCUUCUCCCAAGUUUCAAUUAAUUCGCUUUGAGUGAGGAUAUUUUCUGGUGGCCUCAAAUACAAUGUUUUGUUCAGCACUCGAGGAGCAUCUAUUCUCUUAAUAGUAUAUAUGGCAACAUCAUCGAUAUGCACCAUAGAAAAAAAGAUAAUCAUUUUGUUUAAUAUGAACAUAAAUUCUUACAGUCUAACUCAUAUUAUAGUGAACGAUGUUGUUGUGUGGUGCGUGCAUGCACUAUCUAUAGUUUUAAUAUUAUUAAUAAAGAGUUAAAAGUCUUGAUUUAAUUUUAAAUUGUCAUUCCUCUAACUUCACCGUCUUCAUAGAUCCAGACUUUAUCUUUUGAAGGGCGAGGGUAGCUAUAUUUGAGAGAGGUGUCCGGGGAACCAACCAGCAAAAAACAGCUAGCAGAAACAUAAAUGACAGGGAUUUGAGCAGCCUUGAUUGCCCUUCUCACACAUGUGCUCUGCGUUCUCCCUCUCGCUCUCACUCACUCACGCCCAAAUCUCACCUCACUCACGCCCAAAUCUCACCUCACUCACGCAUCUCUCCUUCUGACCGGUGGUUUUCUCUCUCUCGCCGUGGGUCUCUAGGCUGGCAGGGAUUUCUCGACUUGACUACUAAAACAUAAUCCAAAAACUACUAAGAGAUGUAUAUAUUACUCUGAUAUACACAAUAUGAAGAAACUGCAGUUAUAUUUCAAAUAUUAUAUGAAGGAAGAGGCUGUAUGGAUUAUCCAAAGGUGCUGAAAUUAAGAGACCCACACCAACCGACAGACCCCCGGUGAUAGAGAGAAAGUCGACCGUGAGAUGCAUUCAAGACGGGGGAAGAGUGAGAGAGAAAACUGCCCGGUCAGAAAGAGAGAUGCAUGAUUGAGGUGAGAGAUUUGGGCGUGAAUGAGUGAGGAGUGAGGGAGAGGGUGCCGCGUGUGUGGGAUGCGUACAGUGACAAUUUAUACUUACAUCAAAACGCCGAGUUCGGUGCCAUGUGUAGGGCUAACUGUGGUUUGAAUCUCACUUUGGUAACGGAAAUGACUUUGCAAUUGACAGUUUUUGUCAAAAGUUCGCACUGCAUGAAACUAGUGUUAAUAUAAUUUAAAAAAUUAAUUUCAGUAUUAAUUUUUAAAAUGUUAAUUAUUAUAUUUAUUUUAAUAAUAUAUUUAUAUUUAUAAUAAAAAUUUUAGUUAAAUAUUUGUGUUAAAUAGAAUUUAUAAUUAAUAUAAUAUAUCUUAGGUAUUAAUUAUUAUAAUUAUUCUAUAUGCUAUUGAAAAUCAUUUAAAUUUUUAGAUGUUUAUUUUCAUACUAAGUUUCUAUUUAUUUUAAAAUUUAGUUUAAUAUAAUAUAAGCAAGUAAAGUAUUAAAAUAUUUUUUAGUAUUUUUAAAAUAUUAAAAUUAUUUUAAAAUAUAAGUCAAUUUUUUAAGUUAAUAGAACUAAUAUUUACAGUUUAUUUGAUGGCCUCAACAAGCUAAAGCAGCAUCAAAAUUAUGUGGCUCCUUAUUUUAUUUUUUCCCUUUCAAAAAGGGAAAAGGAUAAGUUUGGGAGAAUGUUUAUAUUUUUAAUAAAUUCUUUUUUAUUAUAAUACUUUUUGUCUUUAUUAAUUUAAAAAUAUUGACUCUUAUAUUUUAAAAAAUAUAAAUAUAAUAUUAUAAUAAAAUAUAACAAUAUAUAUCAAAUAUUUAAAAAAAAUUUAUAAUUUUAUAUUAUAUUAAAAUAAAUUUUUAAUAAAUAAAAAUAAUCUAUUAAAAUAAAGUACAAAAAUUUAAAUUAUUUUCAUUAUCAUCUAAAAUAAAUUUACUAUUAUUAAUGCAUGAAAUAUAUUAUAGUAAUUGUAAAUUUCAUUUAACUCAAAGAUUUAUUUAGAAUGUUUAUAAUAAGUCCAAAUAUAUUAUUAAAAUAAUUAUAAUAAUUUACAUUUUAAAAAUUAAUACUGAUAUUAAUUUUUAAAUUAUAUUACUCUACCAGAAAAAUUAAACUAUUAAAUUAUAUCAAUAUUUAUUAAAAAAAUUGAAAUUAAUUCUUGUUAUAUUUUUAAUUGGAAUUUUUUCAUGUGAUAUAACCACAAUUGCUACAUUUUUUCCCCUGAAUAAAGAUGGAGUUAUAAAUUAUUUGUAUAAGUGUCUGUGUGGAAACUAAUGUGACAUGAAAGUAAUAGUUGAAUAACAAUAAUGGGGCUUUAGGCAAUUUUUUCAUGAGAUUUUCUUGCGAUUUCAACACUUAAACAGACUUGUCCUUCAUCCCAAUUUAUUUACCCCAUUUGGGCCCGUUAUGACAUAGACAUAUUCUUGUGGAAUGAAAAACUUCAUGAGAAGAAAUUGUUUUAUUAUAAUAGAAAAAAGUGGUCCAUAAGUCUAUUCAUUACUUUUUUUAUUCAAUAUAAAUGGCUAACUUUAAAAAUGGUAAAAAUCACAUAACGCGCAAGCGAAAUCUAAGAUUUAUAUUUUUUAAUACUCUCCAAGUCUCUCUUUCUCUUUUUCUUUUUUUAAAUAAAUGUCAAUAUAAAAUUAGAAAAAUUUUAGAUAUAAAAUUUGGCGAUGACCAAACAAAAAUUGUAGAGGAAACCUUGAUAUCAUUGAAAUACUGAUCAUAGACACUACAGUAUAAAUAACUUAUUGUGAUCCACUCAACUUGUAACACUUUAAUCCAUAUUCUAAAAUUUUCAUGUUUGUUAGGAUUUUUAUUAUUGAUACUACUGUAUCAAUAAAAUUAUAAUUUAUUCAUAUGGAAUGAAAACAUCAAGAAAGGACCUCUGAUUUUUAUUAUAACAGAAAAAAAUGGUCCAUAAGUCUAUUAAUUAUUUUAUUUAUUCAAUACAAAUGUCCAACUUUAAAAAUGGUAAAAAUCACACAAUGCACAAGUAAAAUAUUACAAUUACAUUUUUUAACUCUCUUUGAGUCUCUCUCUCUCUCUUUAAAAAAUAAACCUCACUAUAAAAUUAGAAAAAUUUUAGACAUAAAAUUUGACAAUCACCAAACAGAAAACAUAGGGAAAUGAAAAUGGAGGAGCCCUAUUUUCAUUAGAAUAUUGAUCAUAGAUACUAUAAUGUAAAUGAUUUGUUGUGGUUCAUUCAACUUGUCACACUCUAAGCCAUUUUCUAAAAUUUGUAAGGUUUAUAGUAUUUUUAUUAUUGCCAUCAUUGUAUCAAUAAUAUUAUAAAUUAUAUAUUCUAUUGUAAUGAAAAUUUGUGUAAUCUUAGGUAUUUAUUAUAUUAAAUUGUGUGGAUUAAUUAAGAAUAUUUUUGGAGACAAAAGAAGUGUGUGUACGUAGGAUUAAUGAUAAAAAAUUUCUAAAUAAAGAUGAUUGCUUCAUUGACAAGCACAUAUUUAUAUUCCUCUAUUAAUAUUUGGGUUGUAAACUCUAUAAUAAAGUUGGUUGGUGUGAGUGGUUCGGCACUCUCACUCCUUAAGAAAGAUCAGGGGUUCAAGCCUCGCUCUCGUAUGGAGUCACCACUUUGGCCAGCACUUUACCUCUUACGGGCCGACCCGAUGCGAGCAUGAAUUAGUAUGAGUUGUGGUACGGGCUUAAAGGUGCCUCCCAUAGUUUGGGCCCACUUAGGAUCACCUCGUGGUUCAAACAAAAAAAAAGUGAAUAUAUUGUGGUAAGCGAUGUGGGCAAUAUCGGUUGCGAAAUAUUGAGAGAUCAUUAAUGCAUAUAAUUAUUGAAGAUGCAUAUAGAGGGAAGAGUGUAGAUCUGGCUGUAACAAUUAUGAAGCUUUCCCCAAGUAUACUCAUGCUUCCUUAAUUGUUCCGAAGUAUUUUUCAUAGUGUGCAGAUUUACUUUAUGGUGUCUUAAUUCGUCUUAAAUGAUUACUUUAGUUGUUUUGGGAUUUAAUGUCAUUUAUUGUGUUAAUUUUAAACAAUAGAAAAAAUAAGUAAUGGUAACGAAAGACUAAUUUGUGAUAUUGAAGCAUACGGGCUUAACUCAAUCCAAAAAUUAGUAAGUUAGCUCAAGAGUUAAGAGUUGUCCAAAUCUUAUAUGCUGAAUCCAAGUUUAAUACACAAUUGAUGCGGGAUGUUAUUCCUAACACCUUCCAUCAUGCGUAGGAUUGGCAAAAAAAUUCGGGUCAGUCCCACCUAAACCUGCAGGCUUUAUGCAUGGCUCGCAUGAUGAAGUUACGGAUAUUAACCUAAAAAUUUGAAACUUACUAUGAAUGGCCUUGCUUAAAGACUUUUGCAACUUUAAUUUAUAACAAGUAUGUAUAUAUACACACACAUAAGCUUAGAUUGCAUUUGGAUGGCUUUUUUAAUCAAUUCAAACAAUUUGAAAUUUAUCGGAUUAAUCUGAAUCUUAUCUGUAUCCGAUUUUGUCCGCCCCUACUAUUUAUAAGCCCAGGUGACUCUCUUUUACUAAUUAAUAAGAGAAUUUUUGACCUUAUAUCCUUGCUGUGGUGUUAGACUGUUGGUCAUUUUGAUUGUUUCCUACCUUCCAUUUACGCCAGCUAUAACAUUGUAUUAUCACCAUUUUAGCCAUUUAAAUGAAAUUUUAUUUUUGUCAAAAAUAAAAUGACACCCUUAAAAUUAAAAAAGAAAUAGUUAUGUAGACCUCAAAUUUUUAAUAAAGAAUGCCAAUACCCCUUUUAACUACAAGAUUCUUAGUAGAUGAUAACUAAAAAAAUUAACUUCAAAAAUUUUCACUAAAUGUAAAUCUGAUUGAAAUAGUUUAAAUUUUUCUAGUAGACUAAUAUAUAUAACUUAAAUAAUUAAUUUCAUUAUUAAUUUUUAAAAUGUUAACUAAUAUAUUUUUAAUUUAUUAUAAAAAUUUUAAAUAAAUUCUUGGAUUAGAUAGAUUUUACAAUUAAUGUAAUACUGUUGAUUUAUUAAUAAUAUUAAAAUUAUUUUAUAUGAUAUUCAAAAUAAUUUAAACUUUGAUAUAUUUAUUUUAAUAGUAUGUCUAUUUAUUAUAAUUUGGUUUAAUAUAAUACGGGAUUGCAAAAUAUUAAAAUAUUUUUCAAUAUCAAAUUAUUUUAAUAUGUAUAUAUCAUUACAUUUAUUUCAAUAUCGCAUUUAUAUUUAUUAUAAGAUAUAAAAUUAAAGAGUAUUGCAAUAAAGUAAAAAAAGAAAAAAAAAAGUCUUAUUAUCCCUUAUUCACGAUAUGAGGUUCUAUAAAAUUAUUUCCCCAAACGGGUGUCCUUUUCUUAUUUUCAAAAGAAAAACUAAAGUAAGAAUAAGUCCAUGGGUUUCAAAAGACUUAUAGUCCUAUCCCGGAACCUACAUUAUCUGCCACUAUGACUAAUGACAAAUUUUUGGUGGGAUAUAGGAAAAUUGUCAAAAGUUCAUGCUGCGUGAGAGUCUUUGGUGGGAUGUGGAAGGAUUGUCAAAAGAUCACACCACGUGACAUAACCACAAUUGCUACAGUUUUUUUUUUUUAAAAUAUUGAUGGGAGUUAUAAAUUAUUUAUAUAAAUUUGCGUAGACUGAUGUAACAUAAAAGAAGUAGCUGAAUAACAAUAUUUGGUGCUUUAGGUAAUUUUCAGAUGGGCCUUUCUUUUAUUUAGCGACUUUAGUGCUUAAACAAACUUGUGCUCGAUCUUAAUUUAAGCCUAUGAUGACAUAAACAUAUUCUUUUGUGACGAAAACAUCAAGAGAAGACAUCUCAUGUUUUAUUAUAACAGAAAAGAAGUGGUCCAAACGUCUAUUCAUUAUUUUAUUUAUUCAAUAUAAAUGGCCAACUUUAAAAAUCACACAACGCUCAAGUGAAAAUUUAGAAUUACAUUUUUUAAUACUCUCGGAGUCUUUCUCUCGUGCCCCCUUUUUUUCUAAAAAAAUAAACCUUAGUGUAAAAUUAGAAGAAUUUUAGAUAUAAAAUUUAACAAUCGCUAAACAGAAAAGCAGCGGAUUGAAAAUAGAGGAGCUCUGUUAUCAUUGGAAUAUUGAUUAUAGAUAAUAGGGUAUUUUUUAAUUGAGUCCUCAUUAUUUCUAGAAAAAAAUUCAGAGACCAGAAAUUUACUAAAUGAAUUAAUUAAAUCCUUUCAAGUACAAAUUAAUAUCAUUCAAGUCCAUAACUUAACUCUUCAGUUAGAAAUAUUAACAACGUUGAGGACAUUUUAGUAAAAGAACAAUUGAACCCUUCCUCAUUCUUUUAUUUUUGACAGGUGGCAAUAGUUUGCUUACAGGUGGCAAUAGUUUAAAGCAAAGUCAAUUCACCUAACCAAGUUAAAGUUCUUUCAAGCGGAAAAAAAAAAAACCUCUAGAAGAAACUGCCGUAUUCUUCGUGUGAGAGGAGGGAUUGAGAGAACGUGGGAUGGCGUCAAAAAUGUUAUAUAAAUAUACUGUAAUUUUGACCAAAGCUUUGUUAGCAUUGGUUGAGUUCAAGUAUUGGAGAGAAGCCGAGCUUAAAGGUUAGUAACUCUAAUUUUUAAGUGAUUUUUGCAAGUAUUUUCUGAUAAAAUUGUUUCCAUAUUUAGUGAUCUUUGUGAAAAAUUAUGUUUUUCAAGUCUAUUUUUCUAAAUGACAAACUAUGUUUAAUUAUUGGUGGAUUUUUUUAUUGAAUGUUGUAUUUUGUUAAUAUACUUUUUUUAAUUUGCUCUUUAUAUAAUAAUUAGACCAAAUACACCAUAUUUAUAUAUGUAUUUAUUGAACUUAUUUUGCCUAUUUUAUAGGCUUUCUUGAGUUGUUGUAUAUGUACAAUAUUUCAUUUCAACCAAUUGGUAUCGUUAUAUUAAUAAGAUUGAAUUCAUUGUAUUUGCUUUUUUGUUCAUGUAAAAUUGAAUUCUAUGUGUUAUUAUGAGUGGUAAUUUUUAUAUAUAUUAGACUAAAUUCUCUAUAGUUGUUGGGUUAUUUUUUCUUUUCAGUUUUUAUUUUUAUAUGUAUUAGAUUGAAUUUUCUUUUAUACUUUUUUUAAUCGAAUUACAUGUAUAUUUCAUUUAGGUUGAGUUUUUUAUUCUUUGCUAAAUAAAAUUGUAUUAGUUUAGCCAUUUUUUGAUGCAAUACUUUUUUGUUUUAAAAUUGAUGCAGGUAGUCAUGUUACCUUUUUUUUUGUUGGUUAAAAUUAAUGGGGCGGUGUAUGAGAUAGGAUAUAGGGACCCAGAGGAAUAUAAGAUUAUUAGGUUGUUUCAUGAAAUUCUAGAAGUCAUGGUUAAGUAUGGACACAAUGAAAUGGAUUUGAUUGAAAUUUUUGUUGUGUUGCCAUGGACUACAAGUAGGCAGAGGAAGCUAAUUUCAAAUGAUAGUGAAUUGUAUUCGGUUUUUGAGGAGUUUUUUUACUAAUAGUUGUCAUGUUAUUGAGUUUGAGGUGCACACUGGGUUAGGUGGUCAAUCAUGUCAUGAAAGUGUUGUAAUAGGAUCUGAAAAUCCUGUCAAUAUAGGUGUUAGUAUGGGUAGUGAUAAGUUUGAAAAACUUAGUGAGGAUGGCUUUAUCGGAGGGCACUUAUCUGAUGAAGAGAAUGGUCUCUUACAUAUGUAUGAAUCCAUUGUUGAUAAUGAGUGGAAACCAAAUCUAAAUGGUUCAGUUAGUCUAAAAGUAGGAAAUACCUUUGAAUCUGUUGCAUUAUUAAAAGAGGUUAUGGUGAAAUAUGCAAUCCAAGAGGGUUUUGAGUUAAAUAGGAUUAAAAAUGAUGGUGUUAGGUAUACUUGUUGUUGUGUUAAUCCAAAAUGCACUUGGAAACUUCAUGCUUCAUCGAUGGUUGAUGGGAUAACUUUUAAAAUUAGGUAUAUUAAAGGGAAACAUGAUUGCCAGAUUAAAUCAAUUAACAAAGAUGCAACAGCACCUUGGAUAGCUAAAGUUUGUGCUGGACUUAUUCAAACUAACCCAGGAGUUGGUGUAAAUGUCAUAAGAAGUGAGUUAAAAGAUAAACAUGGGAUUGAAUGUGACAAACAAAAACUAUACAGGGCAAAAAAAAUUGCAUUAGAAAACCUAGGUGCUGACCACAUUGCUUGCUAUGGAAAGCUUUUGAAAUAUGCUCACAUUCUAAUGAAAAUGAAUAGAGGUGCUUGUGUUAAGGUAAAGGUUAAAAGGCCAUUGUCAAAUAGCCCAGUUUUUCAAAGGUUUUUUUUGUCAUUUCCUGCACUUAAAGUGGGGUACCUAACUGGGUGUAGACCUUUCAUAGGAUUGGAUGGGUGUCACUUGAAGGGGCCAUACAGGGGAGUAUUGUUAUCUGCUGUUGCAUUAGAUGAUGAUAGUGGAAUUUUUCCAUUGGCUUUUUGCAUAUGUGAGGUAGAGAACUAUGAUAGUUGGAGUUAUUUUUUAUCUUUGCUGUAUGAAUUCAUUGGGGCUGAUGAUCAUAGGUCUGUAACUAUUAUUAGUGAUAGACAAAAAGGUCUUUUAUGGGGAUUGGAAAAAUAUUGGCCUAAUGCUAGUACUAGAUAUUGUGCUAGGCAUAUCUUUGCCAAUUUGAAGUGUAAGUUUCCUGGUUUGAAUGUCAUGGGGUUAUUUUGGAAAGCUUGUAGGGCUGCAAAUCAGUAUGACUUUGAGAGGGCAAUGAGUCAAAUUAGGGCUAAAGACCAAAAUUGUUAUGAAUGGUUGAGAAAAAUACCACCUGCACAGUGGUCUAGAAGCGGGUUUGAUCAUCAUGUGAAAUCUGACCAUGUUACAAACAACAUGACUGAAUCUUUUAAUAAGUGGGUGGAUGAGGUUAGGGAUAAGCCUGUCCUAACCAUUCUUGAGCAUAUUCGUAGACAACUAAUGGUGAGAAUGUUGAAAAAAUAUCAGCUAGGUGAAACUUGGCAAGACCAUUUGACCCCAUAUGCUAGAGAAAGACUAAAUCAAUCCUCAAAUGAGGCAAGGAGAAUUAAGGUCUUUGGAGGUAGAGGGGAGCUGUUUGAAUGUUGUCAAGCUGGCUAUAGAAACAUCCUGGUACAUAUUACAGAUGGUACAUGUGAAUGUGGGAUGUGGCAAGUUAGUGGAGUGCCUUGCAAACAUGCAGUAGCUGCUAUUCUUCAUAAAGGAGGGCAACCUGAAAAUUAUGUGCAUCAUUAUCUGACCAAGGAAUCUUUUAUGAUGACAUACAUGGGGACUAUAAAUCCUAUUCCUGAUGAGUGUGCUUGGCCUGAAGUGGAAGCUGAACCUUCCCCUGAUGUUGUGGUGCCUGUGAAGGUUGGACCACCUGACAUAAAGGCUCCAGUUGGUAGACCGAAAAAGAAAAGAACAAAAGAACCUGGUGAGACCAAACUAACUAGUAAAAGGUUUACUAUCAAAUGUAGUGCUUGCAGAUGUCUUGGGCACAACAAAAGGGGUUGCCCUAAUUUUCCAAAAACCACAAGAACUAUAGAGGUAUAACAUAAGAGUCAUUUUUGUUUUUUAAAUUUCAUUUGGUGAAGCUAACAAAUAUUGAUCUUGAUGUUGUGCAGGGAAGCAAUAGGACUUCAUCAAGUGCACAGGUUUAAUUUAAUUAUACAAUUUUAAUUCAAAAGGAUUUUUUUUUCUUUUGCACUAGAUAUUGCUUAAAACUUGGUGAUAUUGGUUGUGUGCAACGAAGAAAUAAGGCUUAAUCAAGUGGACAUGUUUAAUCUAGUUCUGAAAAUUUAAUUCUAAAGGAUUUUUUUCGUUCUUUUUCAUUAAAUUGCUUAAAACUUGGUGAUUUUUUUUGUGCGCAGGCAAGCGAUAUCACUUCAUCAACUGCACAGGUCUGAUUUUGUAAUUGAAUCUCCUUAUAUAUGUUUUGUUAUGUUAUCAAAUGGAUUAAUAACUUGGUACUAUAUAUGUUUGAUUUGAUCAUGGAAUUAUAUUGAAUAGAUUGAUUCUUUUUUUUUUAUUAAAUGAAAUUGAUGUCUUUUUUUUUUUCUUUUUGGACAGCAUGGAACUAACCCACAAUCUCAAGAAGUAGAUGUCAAUGAUCAAUCAAUUGGCAAUAGUUCUGAACAAGCUAGUUAGGCUUCAAUCAAUGUCACUCAACCAGUGGGGCUGUAUACACAACUAUUGUGGACUGUACUUCAACCUCAAAAUGAAGAAAUUAUCACUGUUAACAAGGAGUAGGAUAAUACAAUUUCACCUUGGGUUGACAUUUAAUUCUCCAUUAUAGAAUUUAGAAGACAAUUAACUAUUUUUUGUGUUUAAAUUUCAGUUUACCUUAGUAUUGUUAAGGUAUUUGUUAGUUUGAAUUUAAUUGACUUUCAUACUUUUAAUUUCAUUUUUAGACCGAAUGUUAUUGUGAUUUUUUUAAUAUUAUAUUCAAUACAUAUGUUAUUUAGUUUAACAAUUAUUAUAUUUUUAUAGAUGUGAUGAAAUUAUAUGGAUAGCAAAUUACAUUUUCAUGUAUAAUUCACUCAAAUUGAUAAAUAGGCUGUUAGAUUGAAAAAAAAAAGUCCAAGGUUAAAAUUGUACUUUAAAUCACUAAUAUGAUUAUAGGGGUAUACCUGUCUUUUAUGUUUAACUUAACAUUUUCACUAAUUUUUUUAACGGAAGAAUUGGGUUAAGGGCUUGAAUGACAUAAAUUUACAGUUGAAAGGAUUUAAUUGAUUCAUUUAGUAAACUUCUGGUCUCUGAAUUUUUUUCUAGAAAUAAUGAGGACUCAAUUAAAAAUUACCCUAGAUAAUAUAAUAACUUGUUGUGGUUCAUUGUAGCACUCUGAGCCAUAUUUUAAAAUUUACUGGUUUGUUAAUGCUUUUAUUAUUGACAUUAUUGUGUCAAUAUUAUUAUAAUUAAUUUAUUCAUUUUAUUGUAAUGAUAAUUUGUCUAGUCUUAGGUACUUAUUAUAUUAAAUUAUGUAAAUUAAUUGAGAAUACUUUUAGAGACAAAAGAAACACGUGUAUGUAGGAUUAAUAAGCGAAGAGUUGUAAAUGAUGGUGAUUGCUUCAUUCAGAGGCAUAUUAAAUAAUUAUGGAGAGUUGCUCUAUUUCGGAAGCAUAUAUUUAUACUUCCCUACCAGGAUUUGGGGUAAGCGAAGUGCUUUAUGUAUUGCAGUAAGGAAAUGUGGGCAAUAUCAGAGCCGAAAUAUUAAAAGAUCAUAACGCAUAUAAACAAUUAGUAUAUUCAAGACACAUAUAGAGGAAAGAGUGCAGAUCCGGCCGUAACUAUUAUGAGGAUUUCCUCAAGUAUUCUCAUGCUUCCUCAACUGUUCUGAACUAUAUAUUCUUCAUUGUGGGCUGUUUUGCUUAAAUACCAACACAAUGAUUCAAUACUUCAAAGGUCAAGGAAAUGUCAAAAUAUGAAAUGAAAAUACUUAAAUAGCCUUCUACCUAACAAAACUUAGUACUUCUAACUGCCUUCGCAGAGAAUCUAUAAAAUAAAAAAAAAAUCAUCCAGGAAAAGUUUCGUAACAGAAAAACCGUCUUUCAAAAAAUAAAAAUAGAAAAACCGACUCAUUUAUCUGCCAAUGAACCAGUCGGGACUCAUUUAAAAAAGAUUAAAAAGCAAAAGUAAAUGACACAAAUUGCAUAGAUAUCUCGGAGCCGCAUCAAAGGACAAAGGUGUUAAUUUGUCCAAGUAAUAAAUUCUCCUAGGUCAAAAGCAAUUAACGAUGAAAACUUUCUUCAUUAAGGGUCUGGCCUACGUAAAAAAAAAACAGAAAAACCACCCCAAGGUCAAAGCACAACCAUAAGUUUUGAGUUGCAGUUUUUAAAUUUUUUUUAUAAUAAAUCAACGUGUAUAAAAAAUAGAUAAUGAUUUUGAAUAAUCUUUUUGAUAAAUAUAGACAUAAAAUUUUAAAAUCACCAAACAGAAAAACAGGGAAUUAAAAGAGAGCCCUUGUUUCUCCUCUAUUUUGUUUGUUUGUCCUCUAUUUUAGCAGGGCAGCUAAAAGGGUUUGGAAGUUGACUGAAUUUUAUGAGGAUGUAAAGCAAUUAGCUCGGCAAGACAUGUUGAGUGUGCUGCAGGAUUUAACUGUGAAGAGAAAAAAGAAUGAGCUGGAGCUUGUUGUUGCGGUGUGCUGGGCCAUCUGGUACUCUAGGAAUCGUUUGGUGUUUGAAGGAAAGGAUGAAGAUCCAAAAAAUUCAGUGGCCAGAGCAAUUGCUAUGGUGGAAUCAUACAGGCGAAUAAAAGUUCCAAAUGAACAAAAUUCUCCAGGCCAUAGCAGAAUCAGUCAACUAGAAUGGGCAAAUCCUCCAAAGGGGUGUUAUAAAGUCAACGUUGAUGCUCCAAUCAAUGUUUCAAACCAAAAGGCAGGGUUGGGGGUAGUCAUUAGAAACUCUGUGGGUAAGGUUGUUGCUGCAGCAGUCCAAGGAACUCCAUAUAGGGGAGAUGUGGCGUGUAUGGAGGCUGAAGCUGUUCUGUUUGGUCUUCAGAGUGCCCAACAAGCAGCUGUUUCCCCAAUAAUUAUUGAGUCAGAUUCAAAGGAAGUGGUGGACCUAUCCUUAAAGAAAAAGAUCAGCAAGACUGAAAUUGAGUGGAAAAUUGCAGAAAUCCAAGCAAAUCUGGAAAAUCAGAAUGUGUCCUCGCUGUCAUAUGUCCCUAGAAACUGUAACUCUAUUGCUCAUUCUAUUGCAAAGAUAGCUCUAGGUUUUGAAAGUCAAGUCUUUUGGCUGGAAAACUUUCCAGAACAUAUCAGGUGUACUCUUGCUAAGUUCAUCAAUUGAAAAGCUUUACUUUUCUCAUCAAAAAAAAAAAAAUAGGGAAAUGAAAAGAUCGUAGGUGGAAAUUUUUUUUCUGCGUUGUAUCUUCUCAAUGCUGCAUGCAUUCAAAUUGUCAUAUUGCGAAAAUCCCUUUUCAAUGUUUCAAUUGCAAUGUCAUUGCCAUUAUUCAUAGUGGCAGACAAUGGACAUCACGGGACAUGGCUAGAAGUCUAUGUUACGGCUUCUGUAAGUAACAGCAGCCAAUGGGGAACUUCCACGGGUGCUAGAGGAGAGAGAAAGAGGUCCCAAUGCAAGGUGAUGGAAAUAGGGAUGGCAAUUGUACCCGCAAACCCGCAAACCCGCCCAAACCCACCCGCCAAAACCCGCCCGUUGCGGGUAAUUUUACCCGUUGCGGGCGGGUUUAGUAUUAUAAAUUAAAACCCGCACAUGGAUGCGGGUGGGUUUGGUAUUAACCUUAUAUCCGGUGGAUACCCGCAUGGAUAUCCACCAAACCCGCAAUAUUUUUUUUCAAAUAUUUUUAAUUUAAUUUAAAUAUAAAAAUGUAUAAAGAAAAUAAUGUCAUUAAUCAAAUUACCAAAUAGACAAAUGCUCAAAGUUGUGUAUGUGUGUAUGUGACCCAUCUCUUAUUCUAAAGUCAUAAGCUAAAGAAAACUAAAGGCAUUACCCUUCGAAUUAGUAUUUGAAAAUAUUAAUCUUAAUUAUUAUUAUAGGCAUUGUGUUGGAUGGGUGCUUAUGGUGGUGAAUGAAAUGAAUAUAUUCUCUUGGAUCUUGUUUUAAAUGAUAAUAUGAAAUGUAAUUAUUAUUUUUAGAUACUAGUUUGUGUUUUUUAAAUAGAUUUGUGUAAUUUAUACUUAAAUUUGAGAAUUUGUAUUGAAUUGAUGUGGAAAUUUUAAUUUUUCAUUGACAUUGUUUAAAUAUAAAAUUGAGUAUGCUAUAUGGAAUUUGAGGUUAUUAUUAUAAAUUUAUAUAUUAAAUAUUUGUGAUUUUAAAUACGGAAACCCGCAAAAAAUCCGCCGGAUACCAUUGCGGGUUUGGUAAUUGUUAAAACCCGCUGCGGGUGGGUUUUUUUAAAAAAAUUAAAACCCGCUGCGGAUUGCGGGUGGAUUUGGUGAUUUAAAUUUUGUGCGGGUUUGGGUUUGAUAAUGGCAAACCCGCUGCGGGCGGUGCCCAUUGCCAUCCCUAGAUGGAAAUGGGAAAGUUCAAAGCUGUUACUUUCAGCUUCUGCACCGUAGCCAUGUCCCACGGGACAAGGCUAGAAGUUAUCAUGACCAUAGACUUUUCUAAUUUAUUUUUUCCUUUCAAAAAGGGACAAGGAUAAGUUUGGGAGAAUGAUUAUAUUUUUAAUAAAAGAAUUCUUUUUUAUUAUAAUACUUUUUGUCUUUAUUAAUUUAAAAAUAUUAACUCUUAUAUUUUAAUAAAUAUAAUUAUAAUAUUAUAAUAACAUAUAACAAUAUAUACAAAUAUUUAAAAAAAAUUAAGAUUUUAUUAAAAUAAUUUUAUAAUAAAUACAAAUAUAUUAUUAAUAUAAUUAUAAUAAUUUUCAUUUUAAAAAGUAAUACUGAUAUUAAUUUUUUAAAUUAUAUUACUCUACUCAAAAAAUUAAACUAUUAAAUUAUAUUGAUAUUUCUUAAAAAAGUUGCAAUUAAUUCUUAUUAUAUUUUUAAUUGGAUUUUUUUCCCGAGAUAUAACAACAAUUGCUACAGUUUUUUCCCAAAUAAAGAUGGAGUUAUAAAUUAUUUGUAUAAGUGUCUGUGUGGAAACUAAUGUGACAUGAAAGUAAUGGUUGAAUAACAAUAAUGGGGCUUUAGGCAAUUUUUUUAUGAGGUCCUCUUGCAAUUUCAACACUUAAACAGACUUGUCCUUGAUCCCAAUUUAUUUACCCAUUUAGGCCCACGAUGAGAUAAAUAUAUUCCUGUGAGAUGAAAAACAUCAGGAGAAGAAAAUGUUUUAUUAUAAUAAAAAAAACAAGUGGUCCAUAAGUCUAUUUAUUACUUUUUUUAUUCAAUACAAAUGGCCAACUUAAAAAAUGAUAAAAAUCACAUAACGCACAAGCGAAAAUUUAGAUUUACAUUUUUUAGUUCUCUCCGUGUCUCUCUUUCUCUUUUUUUUUUAAAAAAAUAAAUAAAUGUCAGUGUAAAAUUAGAAAAAUUUUAGAUAUAAACUUUGGCGAUGACCAAACAAAAAUUGAAAUACUGAUCAUAGACACUACAAUAUAAAUAACUUGUUGUGAUCCACUCAACUUGUAACACUUUAAUCCAUACUCUAAAAUUUGUAUGUUUGUUAGGAAUUUUAUUAUUGACAUUAUUGUACCAAUAAAAUUAUACUUUAUUCAUAUGGAAAGAAAACAUCAAGAAAGGACCUCUGAUUUUUAUUAUAACAGAAAAAAGUGGUCCAUAAGCCUAUUUAUUAUUUUAUUUAUUCAAUACAAAUUGCCAACUUAAAAAAUGGUAAAAAUCACAAAAUGCACAAGUAAAAUUUUAGAAUUACAUUUUUUUAAUUCUCUUUGAGUCUCUGUUUCUCUCUUUAAAAAAUAAACCUCACUGUAAAAUUAGAAUAAUUUUAGACAUAAAAUUUGGCAAUCACCAAACAAAAAAUGUAGGGAAAUGAAAAUGGAGGAGCCCUAUUAUCAUUAGAAUAUUGAUCAUAGAUACUAUAAUGUAAAUGAUUUUUUGUGGUUCAUUCAACCUGUCACACUCUAAGCCAUUUUCUAAAAUUUGUAAGGUUUAUAGGAUUUUUAUUAUUGGCAUCAUUGUAUCAAUAAUAUUAUAAAUUAUAUAUUCUAUUGUAAUGAAAAUUUGUGUAAUCUUAGGUAUUUAUUGUAUUAAAUUGUGUGGAUUAAUUAAGAAUAUUUUUGGAGACAAAAGAAGUGUGUGUACGUAGGAUUAAUGAUAAAAAAUUUCUAAAUAAAGGUGAUUGCUUCAUUGACAAGUACAUAUUUAUAUUCUCUAUUAGUAUUUGGGUUGUAAACUUUGUUUAUAAAGUGAAUAUAUUGUGGUAAGCGAUGUGGGCAAUAUCGGAUGCAAAAUAUUGAGAGAUCAUUAACGCAUAUAUUUAUUGAAGACGCAUAUAGAGGAAAGAGUGUAGAUCCGGCUGUAACAAUUAUGAAGCUUUCCCCAAGUAUUCUCACGCUUCCUUAACUGUUCCAAAGUAUUUUUCAUAGUGUGCAGAUUUACUUUAUGGUGUCUUAAUCCGUCUAAAAUGAUUACUUUAGUUCUUUUGGGAUGAAAGGUCAUUUAUUGUGUUAGUAUUAAACAAUAGAAAAAAUAAGUAAUGGUAACGAAAGACUAAUUUGUGAUAUUGAAGUAUACAUGCUUAACUCAAUCCAAACUUAGUAAGUUAGCUCAAGAGUUAAGAGUUGUCCAAAUCUUAUAUACUGAACCCAAGUUCAAUACUCAAUUGAUGUAGGAUGUUAUUCAUAACACCGCCCGUCAUGCGUAGGAUUGGCAAAAAAACUCGAGUCAAUCCCACCUAGACCUGCAAGCUUUAUUUAUGGCCAGCAUAAUGAAGUUACAGAUAUUAACCUAAAAAUUUGAAACUUACUAUGAGUGGCCUUGGUUAAAGACUUUUGCAACUUUAAUUUAUAACAAGUAUGUACACACACACACACACACACACACACACAUGUUUAGAUUGCAUUUGGAUGACUUUUUUUUAUCAAUGCAAACAAUAUCAAAUUUAUCGGAUUAAUUUGAAUCUGAUCUAUAUCCGAUUUUGCCUACCCCUACUAUUUAUAAGCCCAAGUGACUCUCUUUUACUAAUUAAUAAGGGAAUUUUUUGACCUCAUGUCCUUGCUGUGGCAUUAGACUGUUGGUCAUUUUGAUUGUUUCCUACCUUCCAUUUACGCCAGCUGUAACAUUGUAUUAUUCACCAUUUUAGCCAUUUAAAUGAAAUUUUAUUUUUGUCAAAAAUAAAAUGACACCCUUAAAAUUAAAAAAAAAAUAGUUAUGUAGACCUCAAAUUUUUAAUAAAGAAUGUCAAUACCUCUUUUAACUACAAGAUUCGUAGUAGAUGAUAAAAAGAAAAUUAACCUCAAAUUUUUUCAUUAAAUGUAAAUCUGAUUGAAGUAGUUUAAAUUUUUCUAGUAGACUAAUAUAUAUAACUUAAAUAAUUAAUUUCAUUAUUAAUUUUUAAAAUGUUAACUAAUAUAUUUUUAAUUUAUUAUAAAAUUUUUAAAUAUUAUCCUUGGAUUAAAUAGAUUUUACAAUUAAUGUAAUACUUCUUAUUUUUUAAUAAUAUUAAAAUUAUUUUAUAUGAUAUUCAAAAUAAUUUAAACUUAUAUAUAUUAAUAUUAUGUCUAUUUAUUAUAAUAUGGUUUAAUAUUAUACGGGAUUGUAAAAUAUUAAAAUAUUCUUCAAUAUCAAAUUAUUUUAAUAUGUACAUAUCAUUACUUUUAUUUUAGUAUCGCAUUUAUAUUUAUUAUAAAUAUAAAAUUAAUAAAAUUAAAGAGUAUUGCAGUAAAGUAAAAAAAAAAAGUCUUAUUAUCCCUUAUUCAUGAUAUGAGAUUCUACAAAAUUAUUUCCCGAAACGGGUGUCCUUUUCUCAUUUUCAAAAGAAAAAAUAAAGUAAGAAUAAGUCCAUGGGUUUCAAAAACUUCUAGUCCUAUCCCGGGACUACAUUGCUGCCACUAUAACUAAUGGAAAUGACAUUUCAAUUGACAUUGCCUUUCGCAACAUGAAAAAUUUUUGGUGGGAUAUGGAAGAAUUGUCAAAAGUUCACGCCGUGUGAGAGUUUUUGGUAGGAUGUAGGAGGAUUGUCAAAAGAUCACACCAUGUGAUAAAACCACAAUUGCUAUGGUUUUUAUUUUUUAAAUAAUGAUGGGAGUUAUAAAUUAUUUAUAUAAAUUUGCGUAGAAACUAAUGUAACAUAAAAGAAAUAGCUGAAUAACAAUAUUUGGUGCUUUAAGUAAUUUUUAUAUGAGCCUUUCUUUUAUUUAGCGGCUUUAGUGUUUAAACAAACUUGUUCUCGAUCUUAAUUUACUGACCCCAUUUAAGCCCAUAAUUAAACAUAUUCUUUUGUGACGAAAACAUCAAGAGAAGACAUCUCAUGUUUUAUUAUAACAGAAAAAGAAGUAGUCCAAACAUCUAUUCGUUAUUUUAUUUAUUCAAUAUAAAUGGCCAACUUUAAAAAAAUGAUAAAAAUCACACAACGCUCAAGUAAAAAUUUAGAAUUACAUUUUGUAAUACUCUCUGAGUCUCUCUCUCCUGCCCCCCCCCCCCCUUCCUUUUAAAAAAAAUAAACCUUAGUGUAAAAUUAGAAGAAUUUUAGAUAUAAAAUUUGGCAAUAGCUAAACAGAAAAGCGGCGGAUUGAAAAUAAAAAAGCUCUAUUACCAUUGGAAUAUUGAUUAUAGAUAAUAUAAUAACUUGUUGUGGUUCAUUGUAGCACUGUGAGCCAUAUUCUAAAAUUUAUAGGUUUGUUAAGGCAUUUAUUAUUGACAUUAUUGUGUCAAUACUAUUAUAAUUUAUUCAUUUUAUUGUAAUGAUAAUUUGUCUAGUCUUAGGUACUUAUUAUAUUAAAUUAUGUAAAUUAAUUGAGGAUACUUUUAGAGACAAAAGAAACACGUGUAUGUAGGAUUAAUAAUCGAAGAAUUGUAAAUGAAGGUGAUUGCUUCAUUGAGAGGCAUAUUAAAUAAUUAUGGAGAGUUGCACUAUUUCGGAAGCACAUAUUUAUACUUCCCUAUCAGGAUUUGGGAUAAACGAAGUGCUUUAUCUAUUGCAGUAAGCAAUGUGGGCAAUAUCAGAGGCGAAAUAUUAAAAGAUCAUCCAUGAAAAGCUUCGUAACAGAAAAACCGUCUUUCAAAAAAAAAUAAAAUAAAAUAAAAAUAAAAACAGAAAAACCGACUCAUUUAUCUGCCAAUGAACCAAUCAGGACUCAUUUAAAAAAGAAUACAAAGCAAAAGUAAAUGACACAAAUUGCAUAGAUAUCUAGUAGCCGCAUCAAAGGACAAAGGUGUUAAUUUGUCCAAGAAUAAAUUCUCCUAGGUCAAAAGCAAUUAACGAUGAAAACUUUCUUCAUUAAGGUUCUGGCCUACGUAAAAAAACAGAAAAAAUCACCCCAAGGUCAAAGCACAACGAUAAGUUUAGAAUUGGAAUUUUUAAUUUUUUUUAAUAAAUCAACGUGUAUCAAAAAUAGAUAAUAAUUUUGGAUAACUUUUUUUGAUAAAUAUAGACAUAAAAUUUUAAAAUCGCCAAACAGAAAAACAGGGGAAUUAAAACAAAGUCCCUGUUUAUCCUCUAUUUUGCUUGUUAUUAAAAAGGGAAAUGAAAAGAUUGCAAGCCGAAAUUUUGUUUCUGCGUUGUCUCUUCUCAAUGCUGCAUGCAUUCAAAUUAAACCUUACAUAUGCUAGCAAACUAGCUACUCUGCAUGUAAGUUCUCGAUAAGUCCAAAUAAUAGAAUAAUUGUAAAAUGUUCAAAUUCAGUAAUUAAUUAUACAUAUUUAUUUAUUCAAAAAUUAUUAUUAUUACUAAUUAUUGUCAAUAAUAUAUUAAUAUACUAAUUAAUUGUAAAAAAAUUUAUCAUUCAUAACAAUAAUGAUGAUGAUGAUAAUAAUAAAAAUUCAAAAUAUAUUAAUUAAUUAUAAUAAUAUAUUAAUUAUUUAAUAAUAAUAUAUUUAAAAUAUAUAAAUUGAUUAGAAUAGUUAUAUUAAUAAAUUAUAAACAUAUAUUAAUUAAUCAUAAUAAUUUUUUAAUUGAUGACAAAAUAGAUAUUUUAUAGUUUGUGAGAGGGGGCAAAAUGAUCAAUCUUGGGAAUGGGGGAUUGAUUCCCACCACCUUCCUUAGGAAUCAAUCUUCCAUUCCUCAUUCCUAAUUUGGGUGGUCCCCAUAGUUCUUAUUCGGAUCCCAGCCUCUAUUUUGUGAAGUAAACAUCAUUAAUGAUUUCGAUUUCGGAUUCCGAUUCUCCAAUCCAAGAAGUAAAGGCACCAUUAUUGUUAAUUGGUUCAAACACACAAAGAGAAUGUACCAUGUAGCUAGGCGUCAAGGUUGUGUGGCACAAGGUUGUGUGGCACAAGUAGGGAUGGCAAUUCAACCCGCACCCGGCCCGGACCCGGAUGAAACCCGGAUUUUCCAGUCCGGGUUUAACCCGUACCGGAUUAAAUAAAAUCCGGAUCCGGAUGUCAUUUUAAAAACCCGCAUGUACCCGGGUCCGGUUCCGGGUUUAAGUAAACCCGUACAUCCGGAACCCGGACCCGGAUAUAUAUUAAUUUUAAAAAAUUAUUUUUAAUAUAAAUAGAAAGCAAAAAAAACCCAAAUGGUGCCCUAGAAGCUCAUUACACUUUCCCAGCCGCACAAACAUUUCCUCUCUUAUUCCCUCUUCAGCUCAUCUUCAUCUUCAUCAAAUCAUCGUCGCAUCACUUGCCCAUCUUCGCGGCUGUUCAACUUCAACAUCAUCAUCAUCAUCAUCAUCAGCCGUCGUUUCCUUUCUUUUUCUGCGGCGACCGGUAACUAGCUGUGAUACGGGUUGAACGCCGCCUUUGCCAAUCGCAACCGCGGCUGUGUUCAUCAUCAUCAACCGCCGUCACUUUCAAGAACGAUACUCGAAAAUAUUUUGAUGGGAAUCUUGUUUUUGGUCAUUUUAGUAACAGUGUGUGCAAGUGCGAGUGAGAGAGAGAGAGAACGUGGCUUACUCGAUGCCACUUAUCAUGCUUUCAUCUUUUUUCAUCCAGUGCGGGGUCUGUCUUUGUUGGCUUUUUGGAAAACUUGUUGCUUUUAAUGGUGUAUUACUUCUUUUGAAUAUCCAAUCAAUGUAAACUUAUUUACAUUACCCCUCCAGUUUUCCCAUCACCAUUAAAAGUGCUUUGGUUGCUCCUUGACUGUGCUUUGGUUGCUCCUUGACUCCUGACUUCCUGCUCGCAACAAAAGCUAGUUCUUUAGCUCUCUUUACUAAUUGAACGAGUCACCACAUUGGGUUGCUGAUUCUGGGCAGCCAAACAAAAUUGUUGUUUUUGUUAAUUAGUUUCCAGAUGAAAUAAUUUUUCUUUGAUUUGCUGAAAUCCUGGAUAUGUAUUUCUAUUUGAUUUUUUUAGUCGAAUUUAGUUUUUUUUUUUAAAUUGGAUUCAUCAAUCCGGGUUGGAAACCCGCAGUCCGGAAACCCGGAUUUUUCCGGGUUGAACCCGUACCGGACCCGGAGUGGAAAAAUGCGGGUUUAUUUCCGGGUCCGGUACAGAAAAUAUUCGUCCGGGUCCGGAUCCAGAAUGACUAAACCCGGACCCGGACCCGGAUUUUGCCAUCCCUAGGCACAAGUAACCUUUUUCUUUUCUUUUUAUUUUUUUUUGUUUUCCUUAACGGAUCAGAAGAAAUCGGUGCCUUUGAGAUACUACAAUGUAAAUAAGUACUUGUGGUUCAUUAAAUCUGUAACACUCGGUACCCUAAGGUUUCUUUUGAAAAAGGGCUUUUCUCACUGAUCACCAAUAUCCAAGUAAGUUUGUUUCAUUUCAGAAGGUGCAAAGUUUCAAACUUUUUGUAUUGGGAUGUAACAAACUUUGGCCUUAUAUGCCUGCUGUGACGUUAGACUGUUCAUUUUGAUUGUUUCAUACCUUUCACUUGCGCGCACUGUAGCACUGUAUUAUUCAUCAUUUUAGCUGUUUAAAUGAAAUUUUAUUUUUGUCAAAAAUAAAAUGACACCAUAAAAAUUUAGAAAAAUAAUCAUGUAGAUCCCAAAUUUUUAAUAAAGAAUACCAAUAUUCCCCUUGACUACAAUACCCUUAGUAGGUGGUAAUCAAACAAAUUGACUUAAACUUUUUUACGAAAUGUAAAUAUGAUUUAAAUAAUUUAAAUUUUCCAGUAGACUAAUAUAUAAUUUAAAUAAUUAAUUUCAAUAUUAAUUUUUAAAAUGUAAAUUAAUUUAUUUGUAUUUAUAAAAUAUUUGUAAUUAUUUUAAAAUUUUAACUAAAUCCUUAGGUUAAAUAGAUUUUACAAUUAAUAUAAUAUUUCUCAUGUAUUAAUAAUAUUAAAACUAUUUUAUAUGAUAUUGAAAAUAACCUAAAUUUUUAUAUAUUUAUUUGAAUAUUAUGUCUCUAUUUAUUAUAAUUUGGUUUAAUAGAAUACGAGAUUGUAAAUUAUUAAAAUUUUUAGAUAUUGAAAUUAUUUUAAUAUGUACAUAUUAUUAUAUUUAUUUUAAUAUCCUACUUAUAUUUAUUAUAAAAUAUUAAAAUUAAUUUUUUUAGUUAAUAAAUUUAAAAAAUAUUAUAAUUAAAAAAAAGAGUCUUAUUGCCUGUUAUUCACGAUAUGAGGUUCUACAAAAUUAUUUUCAAAAGGAAAAAUAAGUCCAGGGGUUUCAAUAAAUUCUAGUCCUAUCUGCCACUAUAACUAAUGGAAACGACAUUGCAAUUGACAUUGCUUUUCGCAAUAUGACAAUUUUUUGGAGGGAUAUGGGAGAAUCGUCAAAUGUUCACACUAUGCGGGAGUUUUGAAUGGGAUCGGGGAGAAUUGUCAAGAGUUCACACCACGAGAAACCAAUGAUAGCCAUAAUUACGCUGUCAGUUCUUUGUUUAUUUAUUUUGUUUAUUUCAUACAUUGUUGUCUUGUUGGCAUUGUUUUGUAAAUAUAUAAAAGUAAAGUAAACUAUUAGGGUGCUGCUAAGUUAAACUGUUGUAACUUACAAUCCCUUAAAAAAUAAUGUAAAAAAUUUAACACGUGGUGGGAUCGACAUAUGUUUGAAGAGGCUUUAAGUUACAGUAGUUGUGACUUAGAAAAAUCCAAAUAUUAGACAAUAACACACAUUAACAAUGCAUAUAAUUUGGGUUUGAUUUUUUUAAAAAUUAUUUGAGUAUUAACUAUCCUUAAGAUAUUAAUGUGAAUAUAAUUUAAUAUUAAAUAAUCAAAAUCUGUAUAAUUAUAAUAUAUAUUUCAUACAUUGCAUGUUUAAUCAAAAUCGGAUUGCUUUUUACCUUCCAUUUACGCCCACUGUAGCAUUGUACUAUUCACCAUUUUAGCUGUUUAAAUGAAAUUUUUAUUUUUUUUCAAAAAUAAAAUGACACCCUUAAAAUUUUAGAAAAUAGUCAUGUAAACCCCAAAAUUUUAAUAAAAAACACCAAUACCCUUUUUUACUAUAGUACUCUUAUGGUAGCCACAAAAAAAAAUGACUUCAAAAUUUUUUACUAAAUGUAAAUAUGAUUUAAAUAGUUUAAAUUUUCUAGUAGACUAGUAUGUAUAAUUUAAAUAAUUAAUUUUUAAAAUGUAAUUUAAUAUAUUUAUUUUAAUAAUAUAUUUAUUAUAAAAUUUUAAACAAAUCCUUGGGUUAAAUAGUUUUUAUAAUUAAUAUAAUAUUUCUCACGUUUUAAUAAUAUUAAAGUUAUUUUCUAUGAUAUUGAAAAUAAUUUAAAAUUUUAUAUAUUUAUUUUAAUAUUAUGUCUCUAUUUAUUAUAAUUUGGUUUAAUAGAAUACGAGAUUGUAAACUAUUAAAAUAUUUUUAGGUAUUGAAAUUAUUUUAAUAUGUAUAUAUUAUUAUAUUUAUUUUAAUAUCCUACUUAUAUUUAUUAUAAAAUAUUAAAAUUAAUUUUUUUAGUUAAUAAUUUAAAAAAAUAUUAUGGUUAAAAAAAAGAGUCUCAUUGUCCGUUAUUCACGAUAUGAGAUUCUACAAAAUUAUUUUCAAAAGGAAAAAUAAGUUCAGGGGUUUCAACAAAUUCUAGUCCUAUAUGCCAUUAUGACUAAUGGAAACGAUAUUGAAUUGACAUUGUUUUUUGCAAUAUGACAAAUUUUUGGAGGGAUAUGGGAGAAUCGUCAAGCGUUCACACCAUGCAAGAGCUUUAUGUCACGGGAUGAGUGUUUUGCGCAGCUAACCCGUGCGGCACUUAGACAACUUUGCCGAAUGUUGCUAAGUAAGCCUAGAGCUUCUCGAACAAGAGAAGAGAGCAAUUGAGCCAAAGAAGAAACUUGUAUUGCACAAAGAGAGAUUACAAUGCUUGUUGCUUACAAAGCUUGUUAGAUACAAAUGCCUAAUGCCAUUCCAUAUUUAUAGGGGAGGCUUGCCAAGCUCUAGAGAUUCUAGAGAAUUCUACCAACUAUCUAGAAUUUACAUGUGCUGGAAAGUCAUAGAGAAUUCUAGAGUAUUUACAAGCUCACAUGUGCUAGAGUUUCCUAGAACUUUCCGGAAUAAGGUCAAGCUAGCACUCUUGACCUUGUGUUGGCUCUCUACCCCGAAAUUGUGGGCAAUUGGGCUAGUGAAUUGGGAGGUCCGUAACAUCCUCCCCCACCUAAGCUCGCGGCGUCCUCGUCGUGCUCUCAUGCUUGAAGCGUUGGAUGUGCUCAGCGAAUUGCCACAAAUCAUCUUCACAUUCCCAAGUGGCUUCACUCUCGGGGAGGUUUUUCCACUUCACUAAGUACUCGCUAUGUGCUGGCACGCCUCUCCUCGAAACCGUGCGGUCCGCAAUGAUGUAGUCCACAUCUUUGUCGAACGCGUUGACAACGGCAGUUGGUGCACGCCUUGAUUCUCCAAGACUUGGUUCUCCCACGUCUUCGUGAUAUGGCUUGAGAAGGCUCACAUGGAAGACCAGAUGGAUCUUGAGUCUUGGUGGAAGUUGGAGUUGAUACGAGACGUUGCCCACAUGUCGAACAACUCGGAAGGGUCCCUCGUAGCGCCUCACUAACCCCUUGUGAACUUUCCGCAAAGUCUUGAAUUGUUGGGGUAGGAGCUUGAUCAUGACUUGAUCACCUUCCUUGUACUCAACAUGCCGUCUCCUUGUAUCCUCCCAUUUCUUCAUUUUCCUCGCGGCUUUGUCGAGAUAGGCUCGCGUGAUAUCCGCUUCCUCAUGCCAUUCGUGGGCGAGCUUGUGUGCCGCGGGAUUUUCCCUCCGUAAGUCGAGGCUAUGGCAUUGGGGGUCAUGGGCUGGAAUCCCAUGAUGAUCUCGAAUGGACUCUUGCCCGUAGCCUCACUUCGCUGCAAGUUAUAAGAAAAUUAGGCGAUGUCAAGUAGUUUCGCCCAAUCCCUCUGAUGAGCGCUCACAUAAUGCCUCAAGUACAUCUCGAGGAGGCCAUUGAUGCGCUCGGUCUGCCCAUCCGUUUGUGGGUGGAAGCUUGUCGAGAACUCGAGAUUGGUCCCCAACAUCUUGAAGAGCUCCGUCCAAAAAUACCCAGUGAACCGAGGGUCUCGGUCGCUCACAAUGCUUUUUGGAACUCCCCAAAGCUUCACAAUGUGCUUGACGAAUAGGCGGGCUGCCUCGUCCGCUUUACAGUCGACGGGUGCGGCAAUGAAUGUGACAUACUUGUUGUAUCGGUCGACAACAACGAUGAUGCUUCCGCAACCUUCAGACUUGGGGCAGCGAUGUGAUGAAGUCCAUGGAGACACUUUCUCAUGGCCUUGUUGCUAGCAGUAGCAGCUCCAACAAUCCCGCUGGAAGUUAAUGAUCCACCUUGUCUUGUUGGCACACAAGACAAGUUCGCACAUAUGCCUCGAUGCUGUCCCUCAUGUGCGGCCAAAAAUAUGAGGCUUGAACUAGUGCGGUGGUGCGCUCAAUUCCUGGGUGACCAGCCCACUUGGAGUCGUGGCACUCCUUGAUAACUUCCUUCCGCAAGUUUCCCCACCUUGGCACGAACAGCCGAUCUCCCUUGGUGAGGAGGAUGCCUUCCUCUUGCCAAAAUCACCUUGUCUUUCCCUCGAGCACCUUCUCUAGCAAAUCCUUGGCUAGCGGAUCUUGUUGGAAGCCUUCCUUGAUGCGUGAGACAAGGUCGGACUUCGGUUGGCUCAUGCUAAGUGUCGCCAAUUCGGCCUUGCGGCUUAGAGCGUCCGCAACGACAUUGGUCUUGCCUGGUUUGUACUCAAGCCGAUAGUCAAAUUCCGCUAGGAAAUCUUGCCACCGCGCUUGCUUCGGACUCAACUUCUUCUGAGUUUGGAAGUAGCUUGUCGCUACGUUGUCCGUCAUAAUCGUGAAGUGAGAGCCUAGCAAGUAAUGUCGCCACACGCGCAAGCAAUGUAUGAUGGCUGUCAUCUCCUUUUCUUGCACUGUGUAGCGGCGUUCCGUAUCAUUAAGCUUUCAACUCUCGAACGCUAUAGGGUGGCCUUCUUGCAUGAGGACUUCUCCUAUGGCAAAAUCCAAGGCAUCCGUUUGGACUUCAAAGGGCUUUGUGUGGUCCGGGAGAGUAAGGACAGGUUCCUCCGAAAUUGCCUUCUUCAAAUCCUCGAAUGCGCGUUGGCACUCUUUAGACCAAUGCCACGUUCUGUUUUUCUUGAGCAUAUCCGUCAAGGGUGCUGCCUUGGCCGAAUAGCCCUUGAUGAAGCGGCGGUAGUAGUUCACCAAACCAAGGAAUAAGCGAAGCUCGGGCACUUUCGAGGGAAGUUCCCAUUCAAGGAUGGCCUUCACUUUAGCAUUCUCCAUCAUAAUCUUCCCGUCCGCAAUCUUGUGGCCAAAGAACUCCACCUCUUGUUGGGCAAACGAGCACUUCUCUAGUUUGAGGAAGAGCUCAUUGUCUCGAAGUACUUGGAGGACUUGUCGCAAGUGUUGGGCAUGAUCCUAGAGCGUGGUGCUAUACACCACUAUGUCAUCCAAGUACACGACCACGAAGCGGUUGAGGAAUGGUUGGAGCACCUUGUUCAUGAGCGUACAAAAUGUGGCGGGUGCAUUAGUAAGGCCAAAAGGCAUUACAAGGAAUUUGAAAAACCCGUACCUUGUUGUGCACGCUGUCUUUGGUUCGUCUCCCUUGGCGAUGCGUUCUUGGUAGUACCCUGAGCGCAAGUCGAGUUUGGUGAAGUACCGCACUUUGCCAAGCUGGUCGAACUAGUCUGCGAUCAAGGAAAUCGGAUACUUGUUCUUGAUAGUGAUCUUGUUGAGUGCUCUAUAGUCGAUGCACAUCCGCAGCGAUCCAUCCUUUUUCUUUUGGAAGAGGACCGGUGCACCGAAUGGGGCCUUUGAGGGGCGAAUAUAGCCUGCGUUCAGCAAGUCUUUGAGUUGUCUCCACAACUCUUAUAAUUUUGGUGGCGCCAUGCGGUAGGGCGCCAGGGCUGGUGGCUUCGCGCCUUGUUCCAGCUCGAUGGCAUGAUCUACCUCUUGUCGAGGUGGGAGCUUCUUCGGAAGUUCUGGAGGCAUCACGUCCUUGUACUCAUUGAGGACGACUUGAAUUCGCGGAGGGACUUGGCUUGGCGAAGUUCCGCUAUGUCCUUCCUCAUUUAGUUCUCGAAUAGAGACCAAGAAGCUUGGGUCCUUCUUGAAAGCCCUUUUGAAUUGCAUGGCGGAGAGUGUCUUCUCCUCGGACUUGCCUCGCUCCGUGGGUACCAUGCAUGCUUUGCUCCCGUCGAGAAUGCUUAGGGAGUUUGUAGCGGGCAGCGGGAAGGCAUGGACUUGGUCAAAGAAUUUCAUGCUGAGGACCAUCUUGAAGUCGUCCAUGGGCACAAUGGAGAAGUCAAGCUUUCCGCUCCACGUACCGAGUGUGAUGUGCACGCCUUGUACGAUUCCCGCAAUUGGCUUGGCGGGUGAGUUUACUACCUUCAUUGUGCCUCCUUCCUUCGUGGCCUUGAGGCCUAAGCGCUUGGCCUCAUCUACGGACACGAAGUUGUGCGUUGCUCCCGUGUCUAGCAGCGUGCGAACGGACUGGCCGUUUACCUUUGCGCUAACAUACAUGAGCCAUUUCUUGACGAGUGCGGGCUGUUGGCGAUUGAGUGCGCCGAGGCGUUGGAGAGAACCCAUGCUGAGUUGGGGUUCCUCCGUGGACAUUGUAGGGUUGCUCUUGAGUUGGGCAGCAAGAGCGUUAAGCGACCUCUUCUCCGGACAGUCGCGCACCCAAUGGGGACCAUUGCAUAUGAAGCAUGGGUUUCGCAGUUUUGGCGCCUCCUUCUUGCCCUCCGAUUUUCCUUGCCCGCUCUUGUUAUUAGGCGGCUUUUUAUGCCCCCAAUCUUUACGGUUGUUGCCCUUGUCCUUGUGACUCUCUCCCCUACCUUUGCCUUGACUAGACUUCUUGUCUUUGGAUUGGGUAGAGUAUUCGGUGAGCGAUUCCGCAACGGCGAUGGCGUCGUCAAGUGUUUGAACACCACACCUAUCAAGCUCGGUCUUGGCCCAAUCCUUGAGGCCAUCUUGGAAGUAGAAGAGUGAAUCUUUGUCAGACAUGUCGCUUAUCUCCAACAUAAGGGUAGUGAACUCAUUGAUGUAGUCCCGAAUGCUACCCGAUUGCUUGAGGCGACGUAAGCGCGCUCGCGCUUCCUUCUCCGCAUUGCUUGGGGCGAACUGUUUUCAGAGUUCUUGCUUGAAGUCGGCCCAAGUGUCGAUGGUGCAAAUGCCCUUGCCCAUCUCGCCAUGCUUGCGACACCACCAUAGUUGUGCAGCACUUCGAAGAUAAGUGGGUGCAGUGCCCACUUUCGAUGCCUCAUCUCGUACACCCAUGGCAUCGAAGUAUUGAUCCAGCCCGAAUAAGAAGUUGUCCACGAUUGUGGCAUUGCGUGUUGUUGUGCAAAUUUUAAUGUACUCGCAAGCGCACGAAUCUAUUAUAGUAUAGAUCAAUGGUGACGAGUGUCGAUCCCACGAGAAGGUGGAUUUUAAUUGUGUAUAGAAUUAAUUUUGCAAAUGGUUGAUUGGAUUUGUGGUGGAAAUGAUUUGGAAUAUGCUAAAACUUAAAUUAAAAUGGCGAGAAUAAAUUCUGAAAUUGGAAUUGAAAUGACGAGAAUAAAUUGAAGAGAAUUCUAUUGAAAUGACGUACUUGGGUAUCUGGAUCCGUAUCAACAUGCAUCAUGGGCUAAAUAAUCCGUAUUAAUGCCAAUUAAAUCAUGAGGGGGGAAUCCACACCUCAUGAACCACGCUCUAAUCAAUAUGGUGCUAAGGGCUUAUCGUGCCAAAUAAUAAUAACCUUGUACUAGAGAGCCGGUGUAACCAAGGCGGUAUCUAGACAAGAUCAGUAUUAUUUGUCGACGAUAAGUCAAAUCAUCCACAAAAACUAGAGGGGAAAAGAAAAUAAAUUUACCAAAUAAAGCCCAUGACACAUGUUGAGACUUCACCUUCAACCCAAGCUUGAAAGAAAAUUAGCCACUCAUAAUUGAACUAAGGGCAAAAUGGGAAUUUAUUAAAAUACAAAGAAAAUACAAGAUGGAGAAGGAAUUACAGAAAAUGGAUCCCAAAAAUGGAUUCAGAGAUAUCAAAUUAGGGGGGGGAGGCCCCCUUUUUAUAGAUACAUGGAGUAAAUCAUGGCCAUCGGAUUAAAAACAGUUUGGACGCUCAGGAUUGCGCCACGUCAUCAGUCAACAGUCCACGGUUUGACCACGCGGAUGAACAGUAACACGGUUUGACCUGGAUGAACAGUAACGCGGUUUGGUUGACAAUAAUCCUGUGUGAUGCAUGCACCGUACGCGAGAUUUUUCGUCCACUGAUAUGCUGCCACGUCACCAUCAACAGUACAUAAGAUUUUAGUCCAACAGGAUCGUGACACCUCAUCAGUCAAUGCCACAUCAUCGGUCAAUGCCACAUCAUCGGUCAAUGCCACGUCAUCGAUCAAUGCCACGUCAUCGAUCCGUCUAUGUGAACAGUGUCGUGAACAGUAACGUAGACAGUACCGUAUACGUGAAUAGUACCGUACAUGUGAAUAGUGCCAUUUUUCCUUUUAUGCUCCUCCUAAGGUUUUCGACCGUCCUGAGUUCAAAAGUGAUGUCCGUUUUGCCAUCUGAUCUCUCCUUUAUUGUGAAAUGACUAUAAUGCCCCUAAAAUACAUAAAAUACUUAAUUAAAAUAACACACACGUAAUUACAUCACAAGAAGGUUAAAUACAUAAAAGUAAGGGUUGUUAGUAAGACUUGAAAUGUAAAAUGACGGUUUUCUCCUUUAUAAAUAUGCAUUUUCUAACACUCAACACACCCCCCAACCAGCUUAUUGCUAGUCCCUAGCAAAUAAAGCGAAAACAAAAUUCAAAUUCAAAUUUUUUUUUUUUUUUUUAGAAACACUCGUGUUUAUUCAAUCAGAUUAAUGAUAGCAAUCAAAUAAAAGUAUAAGCAUUAUCUCCAGUCUAAAGCAAUAUCACACCCACAUCAACCAUCCACAUGAAUCGGCCCAGUAGAUUUUGUUAUAGGUACUUUCAAGAAUGACAUGUCAAACCCCAAAAUCUCACUGGAAGUAAUGACACUCUCACAAAUAAAUUAAACCCAAUAAAAAUAGUCACUCCAAUGAAUGGUAAUUGAGAGAGAAAAUAAUAAAGAAGUGAUAUCACAUGCUCUCACCAAGAUGAAAUAAAUAUGCCCUUAGCUUAGAAAUAAUACGAUCUCAAGUCAAAUAAAAUGUUAGUCAACCCACUUUAUAUAUCUUUUUUUUUUUUUAUUAUGCAUCACUACAUCUUUUUAGCCCAUAUAACUAGCUUCUACUUCAAACUAUAGUUCCCUAAAAUCAAGAAGGACUUUUAUUAGGACGUAACGUAGGCUAGGGAUAUGGCUAAUAAAGAAAGGAAAUAAGGAAAACAAAGUGUAUGUUUGAGAAAAAUGCAGAAAUAAUUUUUUUUUUUUUUUGAAGUUGCAAGGUAGAUUUCACCUAUUAUUGUUAUUUUAUUCUUUUGAAACAACAACUUUUGUUUUUAUUUUAAUUUUUUUUUUUACUUUUAUUUGGCAUAACUUCACUGAACAACAUAAUUAUUUACAUUUUCUCAAACAUAAAUAGGUGAUGGAACUUAAAAGACAUUGGGUAAUACUCCAAAUCGGAGUGGGUCAAGAUGAUAAGUUGACAAAGAAAAUGUUUUUUUUUUUUUUUUUUUAAAGGCUCAAAAGGGGUAACUAUGGAUAUUUAAUAACAGGGAUGGCUAGAAAGGCUCAAACGGAUCAAAGAUGGUCUUUCCAUCGUUUUUUAGGGCUCUAAAUAAUUAUCCAUAUCUACUAGUUAAAUGGGCAUCCCAAUAUAGCAACACACAUUUUUUUCUUUUUUCUUUUUUUUUUUACCAUUUUUUUUUAAAGGGUUAACUCAAAAGAAAUCUAGAGAUCGUGUAUAAAAUAAUAAACUGCUAAGUUGUAUAGAGAAUGGGCAAAAGGGUUACUCUCCAAGAAAAUGAUAGGCUCAACUACUCACUUGGCACUUAUUUAUGACAUGUUCAUUCCUUCAAGCAACUCAUAUUUGUCUCCGACAUCAACAUGUAAAGUAGCAAACAUAGCGUAACAUCACUUAAGACCAAAGAUAAUACAAAUACUAAAAUUUGAAAUUAAUCAUGUCAUCCAAUGUUAAAACAAAUAACACAAUUUUUUUUUUUUAAACAACAUUCUACCCCCCAACCUAUUCUAAACAUGAAAGGAAAAUAUGCAUGCAGAAAUGUGAAAAUGAUGUAGAAAAAUUAAUUAGAAAAAGAAAUUUUUUUUUUUUAAACUAAGAAGAUGCGUUUCUAGAGGCACUACACUCCAUAUUCAGCCAUCUUCGACUCAAAAAUUUGAAACUACAUAUUUAUAAAGGAGAAAGAGGAAGAAAACAGGUUUUUUUUUUUUUUUUUUUUUUUUUAAACGAUGAAGAUGCGUUUCUAGAGGCACUACACUCCAUAUUCAGCCAUCUUCAACAUAAAAUGUUAGCAACAGUUAGUUUCUACAACAAAAAAUCAGUAAAAACUUAACCAAGAUUCCACAAUUGUCGACUAUUCCCUCCCCCCAACCAGAACGAAACAUUGUCCUCAAUGUUUUAAAGGAAAGAAGUAGAGUUUAGAAGACAUCACCUGGGUGGUGCAACACAGAAGAAAAUAUUUACAGGCGGAGAGUUAAAUCUAAUUUGUACUUCUUACUGCGGCUACUGUUACCAUCAUUAUUUGGUCGCUCCAACACAAAGGUCCAGGGGUCUGGCUCCGGUUUAUAAGCUUGUAACAUAUCAAGUAGCUCAUUAGCAGUGUGAGCACAAAUAAAGAGUUUUUUCACAUUAGAAGGAAUGAAAUAGUUUUUUAUUGCAUGGUUAAGAAAUGCGAUAAAGCCAUCAUAAAAGUUAUUGACAUUUAACAAACCGAUGGGUUUCUGGUGGAUGUGCAGAUGGGCCCAAGAUGCUAGUGUCAUAAGUGCCUCUAGUGUUGCAAGAUCUCCUGGAAGGAAAAUAAAAGCAUCAGCAUGAUUAAGCAUUUCAGUUAUUCUUUCUUGCAUACCUGAGACGACUAACUCUUCUCCAGUUGAUGAGUCAGACGAACUGCCCAAUGGUUUUAGGAUUCUUGGGAUGAUGCCUAACACUUGACUUCCUCUGAUAAAAGCUGCUUCUGAGACCAUUUUUGAUAACCCUCGGUUACCUCCUCCAUACACCAAAUGUAAUUUUCUCGCUGCUAUGCUUCGACCAAGAUCUAUGGCUGCCUCCACGAACUCUUUAUGUUUGCCAUAGGUAAAUCCAGAAAGCACACAAAUGUUCUUGAAUUGUCUAUUAGGAGUAGCUGCCAUUGUGAUACUUCUCAAAAAUAAUUUGUGAGUGCUUGACAAAAGAUAAAUCACAUUUAAGAAUCUUGGUGACAGUGGAUCACAGCUGUGAAUAAGGUAACAUGUCAGUGUCAAAUAACGCGUAAAGCACGUGGCUCGCGAGUCAAAAAGGAAACAGUAAAAAGGAAAAAGCAAACAGUAACAAAAUUAUUAAAGACAAUAAUGCAAACAAUAAAACAACAGUGAAAUGAAAUAAAAUAACAGUAAAGUAAAAGGAUAUUUACACGUAGUUGCGACUGUGGCUCACAUCUUCCUCUGGUUUUACGUCCAGAAACGGCUUGAACGCCCUCUAUGGGUCGAGGAUAGGCUUCCUAUCCAGUUUUCUUAUAAACUGGCAAACAGGGUCGUUUAUAGUCAGAUUCCCAAGACUAUAUUGUGUAUGCUCUUUCUGGAAUAAUGGCCAUAACUGGAGAAUCGCUCCUUGCACAUAUCCACUGGGAUGCGUUUCAAGAGACAAAAGGAUAUCAUCCAAUGACUCCUUAUUCAAGCCAUCCCUAAUGAAUUGAAUCUUAUCUUCUCUGUUAUCAGACACCAUUCCUAAAGAACAUGGGUUUCUAUCGCAACUCAUUCUGGCACACUUGUGACAAGCAACAGAAAUUCUUCGAGCUCGUCGUUUUCUUGCGUAAUUUCCUUUACCACAACCAGGCAUGUAUGCAAUAAAUUUAGGAGGUAACUCACCUGCCAAUCGUACUUUAGCCUCGAUUAACCAACGGAUGUCUGCAGGUAUGUUAUUCCUCAUGAGCAAUCGCAUGCGUUCAGACCGGGCUUUAUAGAUUGUAAGGAGGGCAUUCUGAGGAAGUGAAGGGAAUCGCUUGUGAAGCUUUGCUAGAAUCUCGUUUCUAUCCAUACCUUCGCCUCAGAAUAUCAGUUAUUAUGGGAAACUGAAGUAACCGACUUGAUUGUCACGGAGUACCGUUAUCCGCCACUUCACCGGGGUAACAAACUAAAGCACACAAAUAGAAAAACAAAUCAAAACACACAAAGAAAAUUAAAAUCGUCCUCUUAUUGAAUUUACCUCAAGCUCCAACUGGAUGUCGUAAACACUUCUCUCAAUGUCUCUGAGUUGGCGUUCUAAACCCUCAACAUAGGCUACUAACUCUGGUGGUUGUAGAGCCCAAAUGCGUUGUGUUUUACAAAAUNNNNNNNNNNNNNNNNNNNNNNNNNNNNNNNNNNNNNNNNNNNNNNNNNNNNNNNNNNNNNNNNNNNNNNNNNNNNNNNNNNNNNNNNNNNNNNNNNNNNNNNNNNNNNNNNNNNNNNNNNNNNNNNNNNNNNNNNNNNNNNNNNNNNNNNNNNNNNNNNNNNNNNNNNNNNNNNNNNNNNNNNNNNNNNNNNNNNNNNNNNNNNNNNNNNNNNNNNNNNNNNNNNNNNNNNNNNNNNNNNNNNNNNNNNNNNNNNNNNNNNNNNNNNNNNNNNNNNNNNNNNNNNNNNNNNNNNNNNNNNNNNNNNNNNNNNNNNNNNNNNNNNNNNNNNNNNNNNNNNNNNNNNNNNNNNNNNNNNNNNNNNNNNNNNNNNNNNNNNNNNNNNNNNNNNNNNNNNNNNNNNNNNNNNNNNNNNNNNNNNNNNNNNNNNNNNNNNNNNNNNNNNNNNNNNNNNNNNNNNNNNNNNNNNNNNNNNNNNNNNNNNNNNNNNNNNNNNNNNNNNNNNNNNNNNNNNNNNNNNNNNNNNNNNNNNNNNNNNNNNNNNNNNNNNNNNNNNNNNNNNNNNNNNNNNNNNNNNNNNNNNNNNNNNNNNNNNNNNNNNNNNNNNNNNNNNNNNNNNNNNNNNNNNNNNNNNNNNNNNNNNNNNNNNNNNNNNNNNNNNNNNNNNNNNNNNNNNNNNNNNNNNNNNNNNNNNNNNNNNNNNNNNNNNNNNNNNNNNNNNNNNNNNNNNNNNNNNNNNNNNNNNNNNNNNNNNNNNNNNNNNNNNNNNNNNNNNNNNNNNNNNNNNNNNNNNNNNNNNNNNNNNNNNNNNNNNNNNNNNNNNNNNNNNNNNNNNNNNNNNNNNNNNNNNNNNNNNNNNNNNNNNNNNNNNNNNNNNNNNNNNNNNNNNNNNNNNNNNNNNNNNNNNNNNNNNNNNNNNNNNNNNNNNNNNNNNNNNNNNNNNNNNNNNNNNNNNNNNNNNNNNNNNNNNNNNNNNNNNNNNNNNNNNNNNNNNNNNNNNNNNNNNNNNNNNNNNNNNNNNNNNNNNNNNNNNNNNNNNNNNNNNNNNNNNNNNNNNNNNNNNNNNNNNNNNNNNNNNNNNNNNNNNNNNNNNNNNNNNNNNNNNNNNNNNNNNNNNNNNNNNNNNNNNNNNNNNNNNNNNNNNNNNNNNNNNNNNNNNNNNNNNNNNNNNNNNNNNNNNNNNNNNNNNNNNNNNNNNNNNNNNNNNNNNNNNNNNNNNNNNNNNNNNNNNNNNNNNNNNNNNNNNNNNNNNNNNNNNNNNNNNNNNNNNNNNNNNNNNNNNNNNNNNNNNNNNNNNNNNNNNNNNNNNNNNNNNNNNNNNNNNNNNNNNNNNNNNNNNNNNNNNNNNNNNNNNNNNNNNNNNNNNNNNNNNNNNNNNNNNNNNNNNNNNNNNNNNNNNNNNNNNNNNNNNNNNNNNNNNNNNNNNNNNNNNNNNNNNNNNNNNNNNNNNNNNNNNNNNNNNNNNNNNNNNNNNNNNNNNNNNNNNNNNNNNNNNNNNNNNNNNNNNNNNNNNNNNNNNNNNNNNNNNNNNNNNNNNNNNNNNNNNNNNNNNNNNNNNNNNNNNNNNNNNNNNNNNNNNNNNNNNNNNNNNNNNNNNNNNNNNNNNNNNNNNNNNNNNNNNNNNNNNNNNNNNNNNNNNNNNNNNNNNNNNNNNNNNNNNNNNNNNNNNNNNNNNNNNNNNNNNNNNNNNNNNNNNNNNNNNNNNNNNNNNNNNNNNNNNNNNNNNNNNNNNNNNNNNNNNNNNNNNNNNNNNNNNNNNNNNNNNNNNNNNNNNNNNNNNNNNNNNNNNNNNNNNNNNNNNNNNNNNNNNNNNNNNNNNNNNNNNNNNNNNNNNNNNNNNNNNNNNNNNNNNNNNNNNNNNNNNNNNNNNNNNNNNNNNNNNNNNNNNNNNNNNNNNNNNNNNNNNNNNNNNNNNNNNNNNNNNNNNNNNNNNNNNNNNNNNNNNNNNNNNNNNNNNNNNNNNNNNNNNNNNNNNNNNNNNNNNNNNNNNNNNNNNNNNNNNNNNNNNNNNNNNNNNNNNNNNNNNNNNNNNNNNNNNNNNNNNNNNNNNNNNNNNNNNNNNNNNNNNNNNNNNNNNNNNNNNNNNNNNNNNNNNNNNNNNNNNNNNNNNNNNNNNNNNNNNNNNNNNNNNNNNNNNNNNNNNNNNNNNNNNNNNNNNNNNNNNNNNNNNNNNNNNNNNNNNNNNNNNNNNNNNNNNNNNNNNNNNNNNNNNNNNNNNNNNNNNNNNNNNNNNNNNNNNNNNNNNNNNNNNNNNNNNNNNNNNNNNNNNNNNNNNNNNNNNNNNNNNNNNNNNNNNNNNNNNNNNNNNNNNNNNNNNNNNNNNNNNNNNNNNNNNNNNNNNNNNNNNNNNNNNNNNNNNNNNNNNNNNNNNNNNNNNNNNNNNNNNNNNNNNNNNNNNNNNNNNNNNNNNNNNNNNNNNNNNNNNNNNNNNNNNNNNNNNNNNNNNNNNNNNNNNNNNNNNNNNNNNNNNNNNNNNNNNNNNNNNNNNNNNNNNNNNNNNNNNNNNNNNNNNNNNNNNNNNNNNNNNNNNNNNNNNNNNNNNNNNNNNNNNNNNNNNNNNNNNNNNNNNNNNNNNNNNNNNNNNNNNNNNNNNNNNNNNNNNNNNNNNNNNNNNNNNNNNNNNNNNNNNNNNNNNNNNNNNNNNNNNNNNNNNNNNNNNNNNNNNNNNNNNNNNNNNNNNNNNNNNNNNNNNNNNNNNNNNNNNNNNNNNNNNNNNNNNNNNNNNNNNNNNNNNNNNNNNNNNNNNNNNNNNNNNNNNNNNNNNNNNNNNNNNNNNNNNNNNNNNNNNNNNNNNNNNNNNNNNNNNNNNNNNNNNNNNNNNNNNNNNNNNNNNNNNNNNNNNNNNNNNNNNNNNNNNNNNNNNNNNNNNNNNNNNNNNNNNNNNNNNNNNNNNNNNNNNNNNNNNNNNNNNNNNNNNNNNNNNNNNNNNNNNNNNNNNNNNNNNNNNNNNNNNNNNNNNNNNNNNNNNNNNNNNNNNNNNNNNNNNNNNNNNNNNNNNNNNNNNNNNNNNNNNNNNNNNNNNNNNNNNNNNNNNNNNNNNNNNNNNNNNNNNNNNNNNNNNNNNNNNNNNNNNNNNNNNNNNNNNNNNNNNNNNNNNNNNNNNNNNNNNNNNNNNNNNNNNNNNNNNNNNNNNNNNNNNNNNNNNNNNNNNNNNNNNNNNNNNNNNNNNNNNNNNNNNNNNNNNNNNNNNNNNNNNNNNNNNNNNNNNNNNNNNNNNNNNNNNNNNNNNNNNNNNNNNNNNNNNNNNNNNNNNNNNNNNNNNNNNNNNNNNNNNNNNNNNNNNNNNNNNNNNNNNNNNNNNNNNNNNNNNNNNNNNNNNNNNNNNNNNNNNNNNNNNNNNNNNNNNNNNNNNNNNNNNNNNNNNNNNNNNNNNNNNNNNNNNNNNNNNNNNNNNNNNNNNNNNNNNNNNNNNNNNNNNNNNNNNNNNNNNNNNNNNNNNNNNNNNNNNNNNNNNNNNNNNNNNNNNNNNNNNNNNNNNNNNNNNNNNNNNNNNNNNNNNNNNNNNNNNNNNNNNNNNNNNNNNNNNNNNNNNNNNNNNNNNNNNNNNNNNNNNNNNNNNNNNNNNNNNNNNNNNNNNNNNNNNNNNNNNNNNNNNNNNNNNNNNNNNNNNNNNNNNNNNNNNNNNNNNNNNNNNNNNNNNNNNNNNNNNNNNNNNNNNNNNNNNNNNNNNNNNNNNNNNNNNNNNNNNNNNNNNNNNNNNNNNNNNNNNNNNNNNNNNNNNNNNNNNNNNNNNNNNNNNNNNNNNNNNNNNNNNNNNNNNNNNNNNNNNNNNNNNNNNNNNNNNNNNNNNNNNNNNNNNNNNNNNNNNNNNNNNNNNNNNNNNNNNNNNNNNNNNNNNNNNNNNNNNNNNNNNNNNNNNNNNNNNNNNNNNNNNNNNNNNNNNNNNNNNNNNNNNNNNNNNNNNNNNNNNNNNNNNNNNNNNNNNNNNNNNNNNNNNNNNNNNNNNNNNNNNNNNNNNNNNNNNNNNNNNNNNNNNNNNNNNNNNNNNNNNNNNNNNNNNNNNNNNNNNNNNNNNNNNNNNNNNNNNNNNNNNNNNNNNNNNNNNNNNNNNNNNNNNNNNNNNNNNNNNNNNNNNNNNNNNNNNNNNNNNNNNNNNNNNNNNNNNNNNNNNNNNNNNNNNNNNNNNNNNNNNNNNNNNNNNNNNNNNNNNNNNNNNNNNNNNNNNNNNNNNNNNNNNNNNNNNNNNNNNNNNNNNNNNNNNNNNNNNNNNNNNNNNNNNNNNNNNNNNNNNNNNNNNNNNNNNNNNNNNNNNNNNNNNNNNNNNNNNNNNNNNNNNNNNNNNNNNNNNNNNNNNNNNNNNNNNNNNNNNNNNNNNNNNNNNNNNNNNNNNNNNNNNNNNNNNNNNNNNNNNNNNNNNNNNNNNNNNNNNNNNNNNNNNNNNNNNNNNNNNNNNNNNNNNNNNNNNNNNNNNNNNNNNNNNNNNNNNNNNNNNNNNNNNNNNNNNNNNNNNNNNNNNNNNNNNNNNNNNNNNNNNNNNNNNNNNNNNNNNNNNNNNNNNNNNNNNNNNNNNNNNNNNNNNNNNNNNNNNNNNNNNNNNNNNNNNNNNNNNNNNNNNNNNNNNNNNNNNNNNNNNNNNNNNNNNNNNNNNNNNNNNNNNNNNNNNNNNNNNNNNNNNNNNNNNNNNNNNNNNNNNNNNNNNNNNNNNNNNNNNNNNNNNNNNNNNNNNNNNNNNNNNNNNNNNNNNNNNNNNNNNNNNNNNNNNNNNNNNNNNNNNNNNNNNNNNNNNNNNNNNNNNNNNNNNNNNNNNNNNNNNNNNNNNNNNNNNNNNNNNNNNNNNNNNNNNNNNNNNNNNNNNNNNNNNNNNNNNNNNNNNNNNNNNNNNNNNNNNNNNNNNNNNNNNNNNNNNNNNNNNNNNNNNNNNNNNNNNNNNNNNNNNNNNNNNNNNNNNNNNNNNNNNNNNNNNNNNNNNNNNNNNNNNNNNNNNNNNNNNNNNNNNNNNNNNNNNNNNNNNNNNNNNNNNNNNNNNNNNNNNNNNNNNNNNNNNNNNNNNNNNNNNNNNNNNNNNNNNNNNNNNNNNNNNNNNNNNNNNNNNNNNNNNNNNNNNNNNNNNNNNNNNNNNNNNNNNNNNNNNNNNNNNNNNNNNNNNNNNNNNNNNNNNNNNNNNNNNNNNNNNNNNNNNNNNNNNNNNNNNNNNNNNNNNNNNNNNNNNNNNNNNNNNNNNNNNNNNNNNNNNNNNNNNNNNNNNNNNNNNNNNNNNNNNNNNNNNNNNNNNNNNNNNNNNNNNNNNNNNNNNNNNNNNNNNNNNNNNNNNNNNNNNNNNNNNNNNNNNNNNNNNNNNNNNNNNNNNNNNNNNNNNNNNNNNNNNNNNNNNNNNNNNNNNNNNNNAUGAACUAUCAGAAAUUGGGUAAAUGAUACCUGCGUCUAAUAGCUUAAGGACUUCUGUUCUAACAACUUCUUUCAUAUUAGGAUUUAACCGACGUUGCAUUUCCCUAGUAGAUUUAGCAUUUUCAUCAAGGUGAAUGUAAUGCAUGCAGUCUACUGGAUUUAUACCUUUGAUGUCUGCUAUGGUCCAUCCUAAUGCCCCUUUGUGCUCUUUUAAAACAUCCAACAACUUACCUUUUUGUUCGUCAUUUAGGGAUGAUGAGAUGAUUACCGGCAGAGUACUUUCUUCUCCCAAAAAUGCAUAUUCCAGAGUGUUGGGUAAUGGUUUGAGCUCGAGUUUCGGUGGUGAUUCUGAUGAUGGAAUGAGUUUCUUCUCUGAUGGUGCUAGUUGUUCAACUCUUGACUUCCAUUUAUUAGUGUCCAUGGAUGGUGCUGAGUCAAGUAGGGCGUUGACCUCUUCGACCGAUCUGUCAAUAUCAAAAUCCAAACCAAAGUGAGUUAAACAUGUUUGUAAAGGAUCAUCACUAAGGUUUGAAAGAAAAGUAUUAUCAACUAUUGUUUCUAUUAAAUCCACAUCAACAAUUCCAUCAUCUGCACUGUGAGGUUGUUUGGCAAUGUUGAAGAUGUUUAGCUCCAUAGUCAUGUUGCCGAAGGACAAUUGCAUAUUUCCGGUCCUACAUUGAAUAUGAGCAUCUGCAGUUGCCAAGAAAGGUCGGCCUAGAAUAAUGGGGAUGUGCUUCCUUGAGUCCUGUAUUGGUUGAGUGUCAAUUACAAUGAAAUCAACAGGAAAAUAAAACUUGUCUACCUGGAUAAGCACGUCCUCCACAAAACCACGAGGUAUUUUUGUGGACCGAUCUGCAAGUUGUAACACCACUGGAGUUGGGUGUAAUUCUCCCAGUCCAAGUUUCACGAAUACAGAGUAAGGCAACAAAUUUACACUAGCUCCUAAAUCCAACAAAGCAUUCUCAAUUGUGUGGUUCCCUAUACUACAUGAGAUAGUGGGGGAGCCUGGGUCUUUGCAUUUUAAAGGAAUUUUAUGUUGGAGUAUAGAACUAACGUUUUCUGUUAAAAAUGCCUUCUUUUGAACAUGCAUAUUUCUCUUUUUAGUACAAAGGUCUUUAAGAAACUUGGCAUAAGAUGGAACUUGCUUUAUAGCAUCAAGUAAAGGGAUGUUAACACUUACCUGUUUGAAGAUUUCGAGAAUCUCACCUGUGGAUUUUCCUUUCUUGCCUUUCGCUAACCUCUGAGGAAAUGGAGCUUUCGGAACGUAUUCUCGUGGGUUGGUUUCUUCUUUCUCCUCCGGUGGUGAGUCUUCAACAUUCACAGGUACAAUUUGAUUUUCUUUUGUCACCGGCAUCUCCACUUUGUUGUCGACUUCCUUUCCUUUUCGCAAGGUCAUGACUGCUUUGACCUCUCCAUGCUGUUGUGGUGAACUGGUACUUGCUUCAUGUACUCCUUUAGGAUUAGGCACUGGUUGACUUGGAAAUUUUCCUUUCUCAACAGUCAUUGCCAAGGUCUGAACUGAAGAAGCAAGUUGUCCCACCAUCUUCUCGAGGCUUGAAACUGAUUGAGCUUGUGAGUUGAAGCCUGCUCUCAACUCAUUUCGUAGUCCAUCAAUGGUGCGGUUCUGUUGCUCAAUCGUAGAGUGAGUAGCAUUCUUGAAAUUCUGGAAUGAAUCCUCCCAUGGUCUGGGUUGAGAGUAGUUUUGGUUCUGAUUGAAUGGUCUAAAUGGGGGCUGAGAGGCUUGAGGAUUUUGAGGAAUUUGUUGCAUUGGUGGAGCUGCUGGUCCAUUCUGUUGGAAUCCUUGAGACCAUGAAAAAUUGGGGUGGUCUCUCCAUCCAGGAUUAUAUGUGUUGGAGUAUGGGUUGUAAUUCGAUGGUUUUCUCAUUACACCUAUGGCAUUGGCUUGAUCUGAGUAUGAGUCAUGGUCAUGUGAUUCUGUUGAUUUAGCAGUCGAUAACGAUGCUAUUUGUCGAGCAAGACCUUCAACCAUCUCCUUGACUUCUUUGAUUUCCGAAGUUGACUCGCCAAUUUGAACCUCAUUUACUCCCUUAAUUCUUCUAGUAUUCCUGAGUGAUCGACUCCGUUGUUGGGAAUUAUCCGCUUGUCGCUGGAAGAAUUCCCAAAUCUCUGAUGCACUUUUUGACAUUAGCUCUCCUCCACUUGUUGCCAUUAGCCAUUCUUGCACAUUUGGUAGUAAUCCCUCCAAAAAGUAUUGACAUUGGUGCCAUUUUUCGUACCCAUGAUGUGGACACUUCAAGAGUAGCCCAUUGAAUCGCUCCCAUGUUUCGAAAAACUGCUCGUCCUCUCUCUGUGUAAACUCUGAAAUUUCCCUGCGAAUAGCAUUGGUUUUAUGCACUGGGAAAUAUUUAUUCAAAAAUUUUGUAACCAUUUGUUCCCAUGAUGCAAUGCUAUUAGCAGGCAAUGUAUUAAGCCAUGAACGAGCUCUAUCCUUUAAAGAAAAUGGGAAUAAUCUGAGUUUAACAUCAUCGUCUGAAAAAUUCUCAUAUUUGAAUGUUUGACAAAUGGCAUGAAAAUCAUUCAAAUGAUUAUAUGGGUCCUCAUUUUCUAAGCCAUAGAAUGUGGGGAGACAAUUUAGCACACUAGGUUUUAAUUCAAAACUCCUAGCAGCUACAUUUGGGUAUCUUAUGCAUGACGUGCUCAAAUUAGCUAAGGGACUAAAAUAGUCCUUAAAUGGCCUCUCCUGUGGUGCUUGUAAAUCUAUUUUAUUUUUAACGUGUUUGUGUGUGCGAAGUGUUUUUUCUAAUUCAAGGUCUAUAGGUUCAAGAUUUGGUAAUAAUGACCUACGACCAUGCAUGCAAAAUAAAUAAAAUAAAAAUAAAGAUGGGAACAAAAACAAAUAAAAAUAAAGAAGAGGGAGAAAUUACGAUACUAACCUUAUUGCGCUAUUACAACCUUUCUAUAAAAAUACACAAAAACAAAUACGUGAAAUAAAUUAACUAAAAAUUAAAUUAAUAAAAUAAACAAAAAUUACAAAGAAAAAAAAUUAAAAAUUAAAUUACAGAAUUUUAAAGAAGAGAAAAAGAAAAGAAAUAAUAACCUUUAAAUGUAGAUUUACUUUUUUUUUUAAUAAAAAAUACAAGAAAACAAAUAAAAGAAAUUAUUCACAAAAAUUAAUUCUAUGAAUUAAAAUUACUUACCUCCCCAGCAACGGCGCCAAAAACUUGUUGUGCAAAUUUUAAUGUACUCGCAAGCGCACGAAUCUAUUAUAGUAUAGAUCAAUGGUGACGAGUGUCGAUCCCACGAGGAGGUGGAUUUUAAUUGUGUAUAGAAUUAAUUUUGCAAAUGGUUGAUUGGAUCUGUGGUGGAAAUGAUUUGGAAUAUGCUAAAACUUAAAUUAAAAUGGCGAGAAUAAAUUCUGAAAUUGGAAUUGAAAUGACGAGAAUAAAUUGAAGAGAAUUCUAUUGAAAUGACGUACUUGGGUAUCUGGAUCCGUAUCAACAUGCAUCAUGGGCUAAAUAAUCCGUAUUAAUGCCAAUUAAAUCAUGAGGGGGGAAUCCACACCUCAUGAACCACGCUCUAAUCAAUAUGGUGCUAAGGGCUUAUCGUGCCAAAUAAUAAUAACCUUGUACUAGAGAGCCGGUGUAACCAAGGCGGUAUCUAGACAAGAUCAGUAUUAUUUGUCGACGAUAAGUCAAAUCAUCCACAAAAACUAGAGGGGAAAAGAAAAUAAAUUUACCAAAUAAAGCUCAUGACACAUGUUGAGACUUCACCUUCAACCCAAGCUUGAAAGAAAAUUAGCCACUCAUAAUUGAACUAAGGGCAAAAUGGGAAUUUAUUAAAAUACAAAGAAAAUACAAGAUGGAGAAGGAAUUACAGAAAAUGGAUCCCAAAAAUGGAUUCAAAGAUAUCAAAUUAGGGGGGGAGGCCCCCUUUUUAUAGAUACAUGGAGUAAAUCAUGGCCAUCGGAUUAAAAACAGUUUGGACGCUCAGGAUUGCGCCACGUCAUCAGUCAACAGUCCACGGUUUGACCACGCGGAUGAACAGUAACACGGUUUGACCCGGAUGAACAGUAACACGGUUUGGUUGACAAUAAUCCUGUGUGAUGCAUGCACCGUACGCGAGAUUUUUCGUCCACUGAUAUGCUGCCACGUCACCAUCAACAGUACAUAAGAUUUUAGUCCAACAGGAUCGUGACACCUCAUCAGUCAAUGCCACAUCAUCGGUCAAUGCCACAUCAUCGGUCAAUGCCACGUCAUCGAUCAAUGCCACGUCAUCGAUCCGUCUAUGUGAACAGUGUCGUGAACAGUAACGUAGACAGUACCGUAUACGUGAAUAGUACCGUACAUGUGAAUAGUGCCAUUUUUCCUUUUAUGCUCCUCCUAAGGUUUUCGACCGUCCUGAGUUCAAAAGUGAUGUCCGUUUUGCCAUCUGAUCUCUCCUUUAUUGUGAAAUGACUAUAAUGCCCCUAAAAUACAUAAAAUACUUAAUUAAAAUAACACACACGUAAUUACAUCACAAGAAGGUUAAAUACAUAAAAGUAAGGGUUGUUAGUAAGACUUGAAAUGUAAAAUGACGGUUUUCUCCUUUAUAAAUAUGCAUUUUCUAACACUCAACNNNNNNNNNNNNNNNNNNNNNNNNNNNNNNNNNNNNNNNNNNNNNNNNNNNNNNNNNNNNNNNNNNNNNNNNNNNNNNNNNNNNNNNNNNNNNNNNNNNNCACUGGAGUUUGCGGAAGCUGGACUUGCGGAGAGUGUGCGAUUGUUCCAUGCCCAAUCCGAGCGGACUUCAUCCACUUCCGCACGGACAACGUGUAGUUCGUCCUGAACAAAACUACGAAGUUUUAGCAACUCAUCAUGGAAAGAUCAAAACUCACCUCAGAGAGUGUUCGCUUACUCAUGGAUGAGAGCUUUUGUGGCCACCGUGAACUCGGCGUAUUCUCCCUUGAGACCGUCCACUCUUCCUUCCAAUCCCUCGAGGCUUUCUUGAGCGGCGGACAAUGCGAUUUCGAGAGUGCCUACACGAGGCUCCAACGCAUCCACGGAUGGGGCCUUGGACUUGCCGCGAAUCUUGCCUUGGGCGCGUUCUCCCUCUCGGCCGCGGCUUGGUUCCGGUGGAACAUCCACACCAACAACACCCUCUUAUGCUACGUUCGAAGGGUUGGCCAUUGCUUCGUGAGCUAACUUGUGUGCGUGCAAACCUUAGCUCUGAUACCACUUGUCACGGGAUGAGUGUUUUGCGCAGCUAACCCGUGCGGCACUUAGACAACUUUGCCGAUUGUUGCUAAGUAAGCCUAGAGCUUCUCGAACAAGAGAAGAGAGCAAUUGAGCCAAAGAAGAAACUUGUAUUGCACAAAGAGAGAUUACAAUGCUUGUUGCUUACAAAGCUUGUUAGAUACAAAUGCCUAAUGCCAUCCCAUAUUUAUAAGGGAGACUUGCCAAGCUCUAGAGAUUCUAGAGAAUUCUACCCACUAUCUAGAAUUUACAUGUGCUGGAAAGUCAUAGAGAAUUCUAGAGUAUUUACAAGCUCACAUGUGCUAGAGUUUCCUAGAACUUUCCGGAAUUGGGUCAAGCUAGCACUCUUGGCCUUGUGUUGGCUCUCUAGCCCGAAAUUGUGGGCAAUUGGGCUAGUGAAUUGGGCGGUCCGCAACAUUUAGGUGGGAUAUGGGAGAAUUGUCAAGAGUUCACACCAAGAGAAAUUAAUGAUAGGCCUAAUUUCGUUGUCAAUUCUUUAUUUAUUUAUUUUAUUUUUUUAUACAUUAUUGUCUUGUUGGCAUUGUUUUGUAAAGAUAUAAAAGUACAAGUAAAAUAUUAGGGGAAGUAAAGUAAAAUAUUGGAGGUGUUGCUAAGUUACAGCUGCCGUAACUUACAGUUCCUUAAAAAAUAAUGUAAAAAAUUUAACACGUGGUGGGACCCACAUUAUGUUUGAAGAGGCCGUAAGUUAUAGCAGUUGUAAAUUAGUAAAAUCCAAAUAUUAGACAAUAAUACACAUUAACAAUGCAUAUAAUUUGAGUUUGAUUUUUAAAAAAAUUAUGUGAGUAUUACCUAUCCUUAAGACAUUAAUGAGAAUAUAUUUUAAUUUUAAAUAAUCAAAAUCUGUUUAAUCAUAAUAUGUAAUUCAUACAUUGCAUGUUAGAUUUGUUUGGAUUUUAAGUUGUUGCUAAUAAAUAUUUAUGUUGUGAAAGUCGAAUUCAAUAGCUACAAAAGCAGAGAUAAUGGUAUUUUAUGUAGUUUUUAAGAAUACAAGGAUAAGACCAUAACGCAUGAGAUAGUGUUAUUUUAUAUUAAAAGACCAUAACACAUGUAUUUGAGCCAUUUAUAUUGAGGACACAUAUAGAGCGAAAAGUGCAGAUCCGGCCGUAACUAUUGUGAAGCUUUCCUCAAGUAUUCUCAUGCACGCAGACCUUAGCUGGUCAAGUUUUCUGAUUUAAUAUAAUCAAUUUCCGCGCAGUACUAACGACAGCUUCUUUGUAAAGCUCUUCAACCACAAGCAUUUCUACAAGGCAAAAGACUAGGACGUGUCGGAAUGAAUAUCAAUAAGGGAAUGUCUUAUGAAUUUAGUUUAUAUCCUAAUAUAAGACAAUCAAUAAAUAUUAGAUGCAAUCUAAGGGCUAACAUUUGAUUGAUCAUUAUACGAAAAAAAGGUACAAAAAUACAAAACAGAGCUGAUUGAUGGCCUCUCACAGUCAGUUAUAUGACAAAGUAGCCACCACAACAAACUUGAACUUGGCUGGAGGUCUCAUUAGCAGUAUACCUCCGAACUUAAGACAAAGACUUUAAAAUGCAAACUUAUGGAGCAAUUUAAGCACUGAAACUAAUAACAGUACGGUAUUAGCAAUUGACCUCUGCUUUUGCUUAGACAAAGGUUCUCAUCACAAUGGAUUCAUUAGUUGCCCUUGCCUCACACGUUUGGAUGCUAAGGGGAAAAAGGAAGUUUGAAUUAGUCAAUCUCAUUUCUAAUGGCAUUCACAGAGAACCUAUAAAGCAAAAAAAUAAAUAAAAAUUUUCAUGUUGCAAGUGAGCUCGUUUUCAAUCGAUUUUUAUUGAUCAUAAGAGAUCAUGUGGCCCACCUUAUUUUUAUUUUGGAUCCAUAACCCAAAGCUGGCCCAAGUUCUGAUUCCAGAAUCAUUUGUCUACAAAGUGACCUCAUUCCGGCAAUUGGUUUAUGCUAAUAGCACGUGCAAUUUUCAUUUUCUUCUUUUUAUUAAUUAAUUUCAUCAUUAUUAUUUGCUUAUUAGUUUAAAUUAAUUAAUUAUAUUGUAUUAAUGAAAUUAGUCUUUCAUUUUCUUUUCUCUUUCAAUGCACAAAGCCAAACAACCAUUCUUUCUUCAAAUACCGAAGAGCUCCUGACUACGGCUGUCAAUGCUUCUAUAUUUAUGUGCUGUGCUGCAGCACUCUUAGCGAAAGCUUGAAUGAAUGAUUAAAGACAAAAGCUUAUAUAAAAGCAGAUGCCGGAGGCACUCAAAAAGCAUUUGAGAGAGAAGCUAAACAGCAAAUCAUCAAACGCACUUCAAUGACUUUGAUUUUGAUUUUUGUUUCAAAAGAAGUAGAAAAGUCCAUGGGUCACGAUAACUGCUUGUCCUCUGCCGUGACCUCAUUGUCCGCUGCUAGUGUCAAAUAGAUUAAUCUUUCUAGUAGAUUAAUAUAAUUUAUAAUUUUAAUUUCAGUAUUAAUUUUUAAAAUGUUAGUUGUUAUAUUUAUUUUAAUGAUAUAUCUAUUUUUAGUAUAAAAAUUUAAAUAAAUAUUUAGAUUAAAUAGAAUUUAUAAUUGAUAUAAUAUAUCUCAUGUAUUAAUGAUAUUUAAAUUAUUUUAAAUAAUAUUAAUCCUAACUUAAAAUUUUAUAUAUUUAUUUUAAUGUUAUGUUUCUAUAUAUUAUAAAAUUUAGUUUAAUAUAAUAUAAGAUUGUAAAGUAUUCAAAUAUUUUUUAAAUAUUAAAAUUAUUAUAAAAUGUAUAUACUGUUACAUUUUUAACAUUGAAGUCAAUCUUUUUUAAGUUAAUAGAGUGAAAAGAUAUAAUAAUAAAAGGCUAUGUAAUCUUUCACUUGCACAUAUUCUGUACUCUCUGGAGCACGACGGUAGGAAACAUGAUUACAGAUGUUAAAUUCGCCUUUUUUCACAAGUUUAUCAGCUUCGUUUGCGGCCUCUGCUGCUUGUUUACCAAGCUUGUAACGAGAAAUCAAAUUUGGGCACAACCCUUUGAAGCAGAAUAUCUUAGCUCUAUCUUUAUCAUCAAUGAUGGAUUUUGCAACCCCUUCACUGAAUUCAGCAACUCUAUUUAGCCAGUCUCUGACACCCUUAUAAAUCUCAUCUCCUUGUAGAGUAGCCUCUCUAACCAGUGUUUGCACCCUUUCUCUUAUAUAUUCCAGCUCCUUCACUCAAUCUUUUAGCCCAUUUAUGUAGCUCUGGUACUCGAACACAUAAGAUAUGUGCCGCAUAAUCAGUUCGAAUAAUGCUUUUGAACAUUGUGAUACAAUGCUGGAAAAAGCAGGGAGACACCCUUCUGCAGCCAUUGCUUGUUGCUUAACAAUAUAUAUAUAUAUAUAUAUAUACAAGUGUCAAAGAAAGGAAUACAAAUAAAUUAAUAUGAACUAGAGAGAAAGAUAGAGAAUGAAAAGACCGCCAACAAUAUCGCUAUAUUGAUCUUGAACCAACUAAUAAUUAAAUAGAGAAUUUCUUUUUCUUUCUUAAGGAUCAGAGGUUUUGCUAUUAGCAAAAAGGUACUUCAAGGGUCUGAAUAAAAAACCAACCAUAAAUUAUCAAAAGCUAGUAAGAACACAGACGUAAACAAUGAACAAUUACUUAAGCCAAACAGACCAUGAUACAAAGCAAAUCUAAUAAAAUGACAAAGAAAGAAAGAAAGAAAAUACAACAAACAGUAUUGAAGUGUUGAUCAUGAGCCAACUGAUAUUUAAACAGAUUUUUUUUUUAAUUUUUAGUCUUUUCUAAAAGGAUUAGAGUUCUUGCUAUUAAUAGAAAGGUUUCAAAGAUCUGACACUAUUAGAAAAGUAUUAAAUAAUGACAAAAAUUUUAUGACAUAUAUGGUUGUAUCUCGAAUGUGUCAUAAAAUUAUGAUAGAUUCAUAAUAUGUAUUCAUAUGCCCAGAAUAUAUGAUAUAUUCAUGACUUAUAACUUAACCGUAGUAAAUAAAUGAUACAUAUAAGUCAUGAUUAAGUUUUGUGACCUUAUAAGAUUGUAAAACAGUGUCGUUUAAAUUAACGACACCGUUCUGUAUAACUUAAAACACAUCAACACUUCAGCCAAAUUUUGGCGGGUAAAAACCCAUUUAGUCCCUAUAUUUUAAGAUUAGUAUACAUUUAGUCCCUAUAUUUUUAAAAAUGCCUCGAAACGUUCCUGCCGUUAAAGUAUUGAUACCCCUACUGUUACUUUUUAUUUCUUUUGGCUUACUUUUACAAUAUUAUAAAAGUGUAAUAUUGUAAAAGUAAGCCAAAAGAAAUAAAAAGUAACAGUAGGGGUAUCAAUACUUUAACGACAGGGACGUUUCGAGGUAUUUUUAAAAAUAUAGGGACUAAACAGACACUAAUAUUAAAAUAGAGGGACUAAAUGAAUUUUUACCCAAUUUUGACUAAGCGUUGAAUAAAUCCCUCUCUCUCCACUGGCGACUACAACCUAAAAUGAAUCAACUCUGAGCCUCUCUCUAUAACACUAUAUAGAACCCUAAACCUAAGAGCAUCUCCAAAAGGCUUUAUAAAUUUUACUCUUUAAAUAUUUAUUUGCUUACCUAUGUGGCUAAUAGAAGAGUGAAAAAAUAUAUUAUCUCUAAAAGACUUUUCAAAUAUAAAUGAGUUAAUAUUAUUUUAAUUAAAUAAUUAUUUUUUAAAAUGAAAAGUCAAUAAUAAUUAAAUCAUCUCUCUCUUUUUCCAACAAAAAUAAUAAAAUAUAAAUUAAAAAGAAAGAAAUCAACUCUCUAAAUUUAAAGAGAUAGAAUAAUUUUUUAUUUAAAAAAUUUUAAUUAAAAUAUUUUAUAAAACUUUAAAUGUUGACUUAACUUUUCAGACAGCUAAUAAAAUAAGAAAUAAAAUCUUAUUUGAAAAGUGUUUUCCUUAUAUUUUAAGUCUCACAUUCGCAACCGACGAAGCUGAAAAAGUUCCCCACAUAUCAAAACCACAGCGAACUGCCUCCGACCCUACGGACCCAAAAAAAUUUAUUGUAUUCCUGCUCUUUCACAUCAAUAAUUUUUUGUAUUAUUCCAUAACCCAAAAGCUUUCCUCUGUUUCAACUAAGCGAAAAUUUACAUAUUAAAGCCUAGCUCAAAUUCCUUUUUUCAAUCGAAAUAAAACGUAGCCCCAAAACCCUAAUUCACCACACCAAUUUAUCUCUGCCCGGUAUUCAUUUAAACCCUACCUCGCGGUUCAAUGUCAUUCAAUACGAUUGCAGAUGCCGUUUCAACUUGUCAUUUAGUUAUUGCCAUCCAGUUCUCUAUGGUAAGCCUUAACCCUAACAACUAAUCGACUGUGGUAGCACGUUGCUUGUUAGGAGUGGGGAUACAUUAUUUAACUAUAUGAAUUGGGUGAUGUUAGUGAUUCAUUCCCCUAUUUGUCAUGAAUUAAGAUUUGUGUAUAAUGCUAGUCAGAUUGCUAAAAAUUUCAUAUUUUGUAUUGUUCCAGUUGAAUUUCUUGCUUGUGGAAGAUAAAACAAAAGUUCAAUUUCAUGUUGAUUUAAUUCUUCUUUUUCUUCUUUUUUUUUUUCUUCUUUAUAGUCACGCUCUGGCUUUGGUGCUAUGCUUAGUGCAGUUUAUGGUUUCAAGAUUAAGUCACGUUUAUUUGAUGGCAUCGAUUCCAUCGUUGAGGAUUGGAUUGUUGAUCAAAUGCACAUAGUAAGCUCUUCUUAUUUUAUCUCAGUUUUAAUUUUCUUUUAUUAUCUGCCUCUACCUGAAAAUGGACGUGUUUUACUAGUAAGCAUAGACUUUGUUUAUUUAAUUGAUAUUUUAAUUUUAUGUAUAAGAAUAGAGGUUUAUUUUGGAAAAAAAAGCAAUAAAAAAACAGACUCUGUUGAAGCUAAUUAGUACUGAAUGUUUUUGGUGGUGCGACCAGAGGUGGAAACAGGGUAUGAAAAUGUGUUACUAGUGAGGUUGCUGCUUAAGAUGAGAAUGCAUUCUUUUCAAAAAUCCUUGGUAGGUGUGAUCUAAUUAUAUUUGAUGGAAUAUUAAAUGGCUAAAAAUCUGUCAUACGUUCAAACUUUGUUUGUGUUUGGAAGAAUGGUGUUGACUGUAUAUUCGUUUGGAAGAAUGGUGUUGAUUGUAUAUUCAUUUGCUUAGCCUUUUGACAGAUGGAUUUGAAACUGACGACAAAUGUGAUUCAAUUUACAAGGUUUUCGAGGGGCUCACAGUGGAAGGGAUAUUGAAGAACUGGUCUAAGAUAAAGCCUAUGAUUGUGAAAGAUUGGAGUGAGAAUAUAAAUGCUCGUUUAAAUCUCUUUGGCAAGGUCAGAGAUGAAUGGAUAGAUAAGGAUUUAUUUGACUACUUGGACUGGUGCUAAUAGGUAUUUUAGGCAAGCUUUUUGAGAUAACACUGAGCAAGUUAUACUACUAGUUUGCACAUGAUGAUCAAAACUCUCAAAAAGUAAAAUAAAAUAAAUUAUUAACUUUUACUUAUCUUUUGCAUAGCAAUCAAUGUGGUGCUUGUUCUGUGACAACUUUGAUAAUCUACUUAAUUAUUGGUUAGCAUUUGGACCAAAAAAGUUCUUAUGAUUUACAUGUUUUGUAGAAAUGCAUGAACCUUAAAUGUGCUGAUCAGGGAGUUUAAUUAUUGCACCUUGAAAUUCAUUUAUUGUUAACUAAUUGGCUUUCCUUUGCAUAAAGCCGCUUAUAAGGCUUGAGUGGACGUCUUUAUGGGCAUAUUAUUUGUAUUUCUAUAUGCAUGCCUUUAUCACUUAAUGUGCUGCUUUUAUUUCUUUAUGCAUGCCUUUAUCAUUUAAUGGCCAGCUCCCUCUCCUCUUUUGUAAUUUGAAUAGUAGUAUGGGCCUCCAUUUUACAAAUCUUUAACAUUUUUUGCUGUAAAUUAAUUUUUCUUUCAAAUAUUUUGGAGGUCAUUGGAAUUCCUGUAGGUCUAUUUACCAGAUUUUAGUAUGUUUAAGGUUUUAAUUUUGCUUAAACUUUAAUUUUUCUGAAAGAUUGUAGUAUUGAUCCUUAAAGAAAGAUCAUGCUACUUCAAAUUAUUUUGAAGUGUUGCCAGUUAUAGCCUUACAUAACAAAUUCCAUUUGUCUGGAAAUUUAUUGAUAGCUGUUACAGCAGCAUAUUUUAUGACUCUACUUCUUAGUUAUGUAAGUUCAUUAUGUUUAGGUCAGAGGCAGUCAGCUGUGGGGAAUCGAUAUAUACACAGAUGACUUUGAUCUUGUUGCUGGUAUGUGGUUCUAUGAAUAAUUGUGUUUGCCUCACUGUUUUUGUUUUAUGAGAUCUAUAAUUGAUCUUGGGAUAUUACUUUCUAGUCCUCAUGCAAGCAAGUUACUACCUUCCCACUGCAUCUCCUCCUUUAUCUGCUAUUCAAGAGUUGCGUGCCAUAAUCUGGUGUUACCUCUGCAAGAUUGUGAAUGAAUAUAAUGCCUCUAAAUUUAUUUUAUACAUAAUGCUGAUGCUGAAUAAUAUAUUGUAGCUCCUGUCAUAUUCUACUUUGACUUUUUAUAUUCUGUUUCAUAUAAAAAUCUUAUUCAACUUUAGUUGUUCAUGAGCAAAUGUCACAUGUAUAAGCCCAAAUGAUGUUUAAAGGUAGCGCGGCUACCUUUAGUUUGAGCUUACAAUGGAUGAAAAAGAAAUUGAAACUGAUAUUUUGCUGUUUUUCUGAUUUUUCAAAGUAUUUUAGAUCCUGAGUUUUGUUUGGACUUGAUGGUUAUAGAUUGUGUCUAGAUUUGUUAAGUUGUUUCCAACACCUCGUGCCAAAUGAAAGCACAAUCUUUCUGAUUCAGAUGUCUUGUUAAUUAUGCUUCAUUUUUUCGUUAAAGAUUGGAUGGUUGCAUGGAUUGAUGGAGUUGGAGUUCAACCAAUAAUUCUAAUUUUUUGGACUUAAAAUGCCUUUUUCUUCUGUAUAAAAACUUUAGUAAGUGCUAUUGAGUUGACGGAGGUUGAAUACUUACAGGUUGUUUCACACUUUUUAAUAGUUUUACAUAUAUGAAUUUCUGUUUUUUGAAUUGCAGAAAGGAGGUGGAACUAUUGAUUUGGAGCCUUAUCUUACUCACUCAUCGACAAUGGAGCCUAUCCUCGCUCCCAUGGCAGUGGAACGGACAACAACUACUAGGGCUGCAACAUCAGUUGGUUUGGGUCUGUUUUGAGUUUAUUUUCAUUUAUUUGGCUAUGUUUUGAUAGCGAAUUUUGAUAUGUCAAUAUAAUGUGUAAUUGUUUUGGGUUGAGCUGGUAAUUAUGCUGGAUUAGAUUGGUUUGGUUUUGGUGCUUCUCUGAUGGAACUCUGCUUUUUUUAGAAAUUUUGAAUGUAAUAUGAGACUACAUUUAGUUUAAUUUAACACUGCAUCUAGUCUAAUUACUAGAAGUGUGGCAUUUGGUUUGGUUUAUCCGAUAUUCUCCAGAAUUUCACUUGCAUCUGGUUUUGUUGCAUAUGUUUGCUUGCAUUUGAUGGCAGUAGCAGACUGUUUGGUUUUGUGACAUUUGAUGGCAGUUUGGUCUGUUCUUGGUGUUGAUUUAAGAUUGUUCCUGUUGUGCUGAUGUUAAUUGCAGGUGCUUGAAUCAGCUAGGGUUGCUGGUUUAUUCAGAUGGUUGACUCAGGCGUUGUUACUGGUUAAUUCAGGUGGCUGACUCAAGUUGUUCAUUUAAUGUUAGGAAGCAAACUAAGAAUUAAUGAAGUAUUCAUUUAACUAUAAUUAUUGUAGUUAUUUUAUUUCAUAACUGAAUUAUAAUCUAUGAUACUUGUGAACAAAUUAGAGAAUUUUUAUAUAUGAAUUAUAUAUGUGUGUGUAUGUACAUUUUGCUAUUUAUAUAAUAAUUUAAAGAAUAUAUUUCAAUUCCCACAAAAAAAAAUGGCUCCAAUUUCAAUAAUUCCCGCCAAAUAAUUAAAUUUUUUUAAUUUACUGCCAAAAUAUAUCUUAAAGAAAUGUUAGUUAUUCUUGCUAGAUUUAACAAAAAUAAUUUGUAGGAUUAACAUUUAAUUAAAAUAAUUAAAUAAUUUUAUUAUUCCAAUUAAAUAUGUCAUGUUUAUACGUCAUACAAUAGUCAUGAAUGGGAAGUAUUAGUUACAUAUUUUUCCUUGGGAUUUCAGGCAAAUGAAAAAAAGAUUGAGAAUGGUUUCAAGAGGACAGGUGGAUGAUAAGUAUUCAUUUUUGUAUAUUUGGUUAGGGGAUUUUUAUGGUAUUGAUCUUUUUUUUUUUUUAAAUUUUCAAUUAGUUGCAGCCUUAGAGGAAGAGCAGGCUGAUCAAAUUGAUUUGUCUUGUUUUUCGGGCAAUCUACGACACGAUGAUCGUGAUAAUGCUCGUGACUGCUGGAAACUUUGUGAUGGAAAUAACUUUAGAGUUCGUAGCAAGCAUUUUUGUUAUGACAAAACAAAGGUUCCCCCAUAUUUUGUUUGUUUGUUAUGGUAUUUAUAUAUCCUGCAUAGGCUAGGUAGACAGGUUAUGAUGUAGUUUGGUUGGCUCUUCUUGUGCUUUGUGCAAUUUGUAACUGCAGAUACCUGCGGGAAAACAUUUAAUGGACCUUGUUGCUGUUGAUUGGUUCAAAGACACAAAGAGAAUUGACCAUGUAGCUAGGCGUCAAGGCUGUGCUGCACAAGUAACUAUUCUUUUCUUUUUAUUUUUCCUUUUCCAUUGAUGCAUUAGGAGAAAAUAUUGCCUGUGAGAUACUUCAAUGUAAAUAACUUCUCAUGGUUCAUUGAAUCUAUAACACACUGACCCUCUUCUAAAAAACGUAGGUUGCUUCUGAAAAAGGGCUUUUCUCACUGAUCUUUAAUCUUCAAGUAAGUUUGUUUCAUUUCAGAAGGUAUUAAGUUUCAAACUUAUUGUAUUGGGAGGUUGUAUAGUUGUAACCUAAGCAUCUGCAGGUUCCUGGUUCGACACAUUAAAGUAUGGUAUUUUAUUUUGUCACAAGGCAAUUGGUUAUGGGAUCACUUUUGCAACGGUUUGUUGAUGGCGAUGAUGAGUUUCGCAAUAGUAGGUUGAAACUUAUUCCAUCUGUUCCUAAGGUAUCCAUCUUGGCCUUCAUGUAUUAGGACUAUAUUAACGUAUACUUACCCUUUUCUGCAUGGUACACUUCAAUUUGUCCAAAGAAGGCAUGCAUUUAGGUGUAAAUGUAUUGAUGGGUAGUACCUUCAAACUUCAUGUCCUUUUUACCCUCUUGAAUUUGUUUUGCACUUGUUCUUGAUUUUAAGCACUGAAUCAUGCAGGGGUCAUGGAUCGUGCGCCAGAGUGUUGGAAGCACCCCUUGUUCAUUAGGGAAAGCGGUUAAUUGUAACUAUAUUCGCGGUUCCAAGUACUUAGAAGUAAAUGCUCUUGGAAUUUCUAUAGUACAUGAGAUGUUCAUCUUUCAAAUAGCGUCCGAUACCAUUAACAUGGUUUAACAUUGUUCAUCUUUUUGUAGAUUGAUGUUGACAUUGGUUCUUCUACUGUUGCUAAUGGAGUUUUGGGCCUUGUAAUUGGUGUAAUUACGACAUUGGUGGUUGACAUGGCUUUCCUUGUACAGGUAUGUAUGAUUGUUUUUUUCCCCCACUUCUAAAUGGACACAAGGGAAAAGACAUGAUUUUGAGAUAUUGCACUGCAAUUUGCAUUUUUGCAUACUUGAAUGUUCUCAGAAUAGUAUAAUGCUUCGUGUGUGUCUUCUUUAUCUUGCUCUUCUGUAUGCAGGCAAAUACUACAGAUGAAUUACCGGAGCGGCUGAUUGGUGCUGUACAUGUUUCUCAUAUAGAACUCAAGUCUGCUGUUGUCCCAAAGUUGGAACCAGAGAUAUCAUGACUCUGGUUUCAUUUCACCUCAACUGUGUUUUUUUUUUUUUUAAAUUAAAAAAACAUUUGUUUUAGGUAUACAUACAUGUAUUUUGAUCCCAUUUUCAUGGGAAUUUUGCAUUAAAAAAUGAAGAAUAGUGAAUAGGAAAUUUCUUGAUUCUUUAGUUACUAUUUUUGGUAUGAGUGUAAAUAGUAGUAAAGUUGGUUUCUACUCGCAAACAAGUGAACUGCUCGAUUCCUGAGUGGUAUCAACCAGUUUCCAACUUUUUAAUAUACACUAAUUGUUAUUGUUUAAUAGCUACUACUAUUAAAACUCAACAGCUGACAAAAAUACUUAAAAAAAAUGAUUUUACUUCUUUCCACGAGAUCUAUAACAUGGUCUUGACUUCACGAAAUUCUUUUAAUUUAAAACGUGCUGGUGUGAGAAGGUCAGUUUGACGGAUUAAUUCUUUUUUAACAGUGGUCGAGAUAAUUUUACUAUACUCAAAAAUAUUCUUAUUCUGAUAGUGCCAUAAAUGUUAUGCUGUUUUCUUCGGCUAAUGGUCUUCUAUCAAGAGAGGGUAGAAAUCAAAUGCUUAAAAGACCAAUUGAAGGAAUAAUACAGAAAUUUAGGCAGAAUCUAAUCGAAUAUUGCAUGAAACAGGAAACAUCAAUUCAAGUCCUUUCUUAAACGGAGAAUGCAUCAAACAAAAUCCAAAGUGUCUUGCAAGUCUGUAGCAUGAGCAAAAAAUUAUUCAAGUACAGAAGAAUGAGCAAGCUAAAUCAUGUAUAAGAGAUUGGUCUGGUUCGGGAUAGCUUCUUCACUGUACCUAAAGGGUUGGCUCAAUCUCUUCUUUAGAAUUCUGCAGAUUUUGUAAUUACUCGUGUAAGCAAGCAUACAUUGCCACCAUAAGAAUAAUAAAGCUAGAGUAAUGAUAUGACCACCACCUCUCGUGCACAAACAAUAUUGUAUAAACUAAUGAGACAUAAUAUGAUUGGUUAAACAAAAACAUUACAUGGCCCUCAUAAUAAUAAUAAUAAUAAUAAUAAUAAUAAUAAUAAUAAUUAUUAUUAUUAUUAUUAUUAUUAUAUAUUUUCAGUCAACCAAUCAUAUUAUAUCACAUUAGUUUCUAUAAAAUAAUUAGCUAAAUAGCACCAAAACUUAAUUGAUACUCACCAUUUCAUUGAACAAUUUUUUUAUGGUGUCAUUGAGGUUGCCUUCCCAACAUCCUUCAUCAUCAUCAUCUUCUUCUUCGGUGACGUUCACUUUGUUUAGCAUUGGUGUGUCUAAGAGUCCUUGAGAGAAGAUCUUCAUUUUUGGACACUGUCUCACAACUACUUGUUUCAAGGACGGGAAUUCAAGAGCGUAAUUACCUAAACAAAAGCUUGUUAGGCUUGGCAAACAAUCAAGUCCCAAGUACUCCAAUUCCUUGAAAACAUUGCAAUCUUUCGCUUCUUCUCCAACCUGCAAUUGUAUGAUUUGUUCUAUCAUUUUGCAAUCAGCUAUCAUCAUUCUUCCGAGAUUCACUAGAUUUUUAGAUGCUGAGAGCGUCAACACAUUUAUCAACUCGUGACACUUCGAUACUUUCAAAGCCUCAAGAUUUUCCAAAUGCCACGAAGGUGGUACUAAUUUUUGCAACUUACUACAUUCCGAUAUUUCCAGCCUUUCCAAGUUUGCAAACGCUUUGUUGGAUUCGUCAUUUUCCUUCCAGAGAUGCUGCACUUUGUGUAAUCCAGACAGUCUUAAAUUCCCCAAUUGAGGGAAAGCAACCUGAAAAUCAACAAAAUUAAGUUGUAAAUGAAAAUAUGUAUCCAAUCUCUGCAGUCUUCCCCUGCAUAUUUUAUGGACAAGAUUAAUCACGGCAUUUUAUAUUUUAUUUCCAAAUUAGUAUGCUUUGCACUAGGAUCCCAAAUAUAAGUAUCAAAUCGAUUACCCUUUGAAACACAUAAAUGAAAACUGAUACUAAAUCCAAUAUGAAUUGAUAAUCAAUACUAUAAAGUUACCAGUUCAUCACCUCAUGUUACCAGUCAUCAAAAUAAUUUAGGACUUUUUUAAUUUAUACUAUAAAGUUAGUUAAUAACUGCGGUUAUAUUGUUAAAUCAUAUAUAAAUUAAGACGACGUGCAAAAAGAUGUCAUUAAAUUUGAUUUGAUUAUAAUGAAAUUACAUAUGUGCGAACGAAAGUGAAGGGAAAAUAAUAAUAAUGAUUACCUUUUCAUCGAAGAGAUGUUGUAUUUGAUUAGCUACCAAGAGGUUCUCUUCUGAUUUUAAUUUUUGAGGUUCCUUAUUAUCUGCUGUCAUGUGCAGUACAAAUGUAGAAUUGGAUGUGAAUGUUUCCAUAUCAGGGCAAUUCUCAAUAAUUAGAUAUUCCAACUUAGGCAGUUCAAUUAUAUUCCCAGUGAAGUUGCAGAAUCUUUUGAGUUUUGGAAGAUCAAUGAGCUUUAGGCUUAAAAGCCUAGGAAACAGGGGGCCUAUAUGUUCUUCCUUAGCACUUAGCUCUUCCAAAUGAAGCACCUCUUCUAGUGAAUCACAAUUCCUCACUGCCAGCCAUUCCAAAUUGUUCAAGCACCGUAGCAGAUUGGCAGGAAUAGCACUCGACAUAUUCGUGCUGUCAUCCACCACCAGCUCCGCUAAAUUGUUGAAGAAUCUGACAGGCAGUGCUUGGCCAUGCCAUAUUUCUUGCAAGCGUGGAAAAUGCGAGAGUUGCAAACGGUUUAUAUCAAGGAAUCCAAUCUGCACAAACCAAAACAAUUGCACCAGAAAUAUACAAUUUUUUUUUUUGAAAGGCAUUAUAUAUAUACACAUUAAACUUACAUUUUUUGUGUUUUAACUUCUAAAAAUAUAUAUACAAGGGAGGUGUAUAUGCUUAAAUGUGCAAGUGAAGGGAGAUGCAUGAUGAACAAUUUGGGUGAAUUGAUUAACACAUACCUUUUCGUCAUAACACUUUUGUAUAGUGGAAUUAAGGUUAUUGCCUUCCCAAUGGUGUAGUUCACCCUCUUCCUUUUCAGUCACUUGCACUUUGCAUGGCUUUGGAAUGGAUAAUAUUCCCUGAGAAAAAGUCUUCAUGUUCGGACAACGUAUCAUAGAAACUCGUUCCAAUGAUGGGAAUUCAAGAGUGUAAUUCUCCAAACAAAAGCCGGUAAGUGUUGGUAAAUAAUCAAGUAUCAAAACUUUUAAUUUGCUAAAAGCAAUACGAUUCUCCUUCACUUCUUCUCCAACAUGUCUUAUGAUUUCUUCUAUCUUAUCACACCACGAUACAUUAAGAUUCACCAGACUACUAGGAAUUCCAACCUGAAAAUAAGCAGAGAGUGUGUGUGUGUGUACGUUAAAAAAGUAAAAAUGUAAGAAUAUCAUUCAACAAGGUUCAAAGUAUGUUUAAAUCAUACAAUUAUACAUUUUAUAAACAUAACAAACCAUGAAAUGUCUACUAGAUAAUUUUUUGUUAAACAAAAAAGGCAACAAGAUAAAUAAAUAAAUAAAAGCCAAAUAAACAAAAGAUAAUAAAAAUGAAUUUACACUAUUUAGUAUUAGGAACAUAGAAAGAAUUUAAUGCAAUUUCUAAAUAUUUUAGACUUAUUUUGCAUCUUGACGCCAGUUUUUAAACAAAAUUUGCAAAUUUCAACUAUUCCUUUUGGGAAAAAAAAAAUCAACCAAAAUGCCGCUUUUUCCCUUUUUCCUUGGUCCCUUUUUUUUUAUGUAUAUUUAAUUUUGGAAACAAAAUUAAAGUGGAUCUUUAUUAAGUACUUCUAGACUCGAGGAAAUUUCUUUACAAUCAAGGAUCAGUUGUAAAUAAUCAUGAAUUUGUGGUUAAUUAAUGGCAUAAUCAGUUCGUAACUAAACAAGAGAUAUUAAUUAAAUUUGAAGACUUUUCUUUUCUUUUUUUCUUUUUCCAAUCGAAAUGUGAAGAAUUAAGGACAAGAGAAAUAUAUAGAUGAAUUUGUGAACCUAUAAGAUGAGUGACUAUCCUUUAAUUUUUGAAAAUUGUACUUAUUAAGAUAUGAGCAUAAACAAUUAAAUUGAAUUAUAUUAUGCUGUUGAAUCGUGAUUAAAAAAAUUACAUUGUUGAUUCUAAUGCUGGCGAACCUAAGAACUGGACUUAAAAUGUAGAUUUGAGAGUGGUGGUUCGAAGUACAAUACUUGAAAUAAAUAAUCAGUGGCUGAAUAUCAUUUGUAAACCCAAAAAUGGUUAAAAUAUUGUUGGAUGUAAUUUGAAAAAAAAAAAAAAAGAUUCGAAAUGAAUACAGCAACCUUACCAAUGGAGGAAAAAUAUUCAUUAGGUUAUCACACCCAAUUAUCUCCAAAUUCUUCAAUUUGCUGAAAGACUCCGAAGCAAGUUGGUGGUGCCAUAUUCUUCUCAAAUUAUCGAUCGACCUAAUAUGUAAUACCUCCAACCUAGGAAGUCGUACCUGGCAGUUAAAGAUUAAAUAACUAAUUAAUCAAUUAAUGGCAUAAUCAAUUGAUAACUAAAUUAGAGGCGGAUAUUAACUAAAUUUGAAGACUUAAGGAAGAGACAAAUAAAAUAUUGUGACUAAAAUAAAUUUAAAAAAAAAAAAAACCUUUUCGUCAAAGAGAGGAGGUUGCAUUUCAAAAUGAAUGGUGUCUUCUGGUGAGCUCGUGGAGAUGAAUCUUAACAUAUUACUGCAACUCUGAAUCUCGAGCUUUAGCAAAGAAGGGAAUUCAACAACUAAAUCUGAAUGAAUAUGUCCCGUAUUGGCAAAGCUUGUUAGCUCUGGAAGCCAAUAGAGCCGCAGGAAGUGUAGUUUAGGAAAAACCUUUAAUUCAAUCAACUUUCCUUCAUCUCUUCCUAACCACCCCGUCGUGUCGACUACCCCUUCCAUUGACUUACAAUCCCAUAUUUGAAGACGUUGGAGUUGCAAAAGACUAUUAACCAUAGAAUACGAAAACAGAUACUUCAUACGAUCACAACCGAACACGUGCAGCUUUGUUAAAUUUUGACAACAGUACAUUCCUUGAUUAUGAUCGGCCCAUAAUUUUUUUAUGUUUCUUAAUCUCGUGAGAUUCAAUUUUUCUAAGCUCGGAAGAAUAACCUGCAAAGAAAACCCGUACAUUUUUGUUCCUUCAAGUACAACCGUCUAGUAUAAUAUUCUUUUCAUGAUCGAAGAUUAAUCGUGAUAAUAAAUUAAUCAAUUAAUUAUUGAACGGAAAAUUAUCACCUUUGGAGCAGGAUCAUCAUCAGCAAUGAUUUCGUUGAAUCCCAAAGAAGUUGUUGGUUUCUCCCUGUCGGGUCCUAUAAACAAACAAAAACAAUACACAUAAUUAAUCUUUGUCGGUUUUUUUUUUUCAAAAUAAUUGAGGCGAAGUCCAUAAAUCCACCAACACUUAAUUUCAACACUUACCAAAAAUCAUUUCCAGAUCAUCGCAAAGACUUAUUAAUACUUUUUGAAGCCGCAGUAGGUUUUUUGCCAUGGAGAAUGAGAAAAGAUGCUUCAAUUUGUGACAGGAUUGUACUCCUAUAAUCCUUAAGUUGCUGAAAGAUUGAUCUUCUGUGAGUUGGCUGUCACAUAUUGUCUCCAAAUUGUUCAAAUAGCUAAGAAACAAUGACUCCAGCAAGGGAAAGACUGUACAAUGAACCCGUCCAACUGAACCGACAAUAUGCAAAAUCUCAGAACAACUUUCUACACGAAGAUGCUUCAAUCGUGGAAAACCUUCCCCAUCAUCUAAUUCAUGAACAACAUUCUGAACACCCUUAAGUUCGUAUAGAUUGAUAUCUUCAGUUUCCUUCAGUAACAUUUUCAUCCCAUAAUUCUCCAAAAGACUGCUAACAUUUUCUAGCCCAUGGAGCUUCAUCAAUCUUGAUGUUUCAGAAUUAACGGGCCAGAUGUCCCACACUUCUCCUAUGCAUAUCCUGUAUCUUGACAAUUCCACAAAGACCAAAUCCUGCAGCAGAAUUUGGGCAUCCCGAACUUGUAUCUCCAAAGUAGUUAGCUUUGACAACCCCUUCAACUCAGCAAGACUGGCGUUACUUCCUCCUUCAACCUUAUCCCACUGCGAAAAGCUGUCACCCAUAUAUAGUUCUUCCAAUCGAGAAAAUUUUGAUAUGACAUUUGGUGCUAUCACCAUAAGGCUGCUACAAUUGCUCAAAUCUAGCAACAAUAACCUCGUCAAUUGUCCAAUUUCAAGGGGUAACUGCUUAAUGUCGGAAUCUCGAAGGCUGAGAAUCUCUAAUUUCUUUAGCUGUCCAACUAUUGCUAUAUCUUCUAGUCCGCAACUAUCUAAACACAAUGUUUGAAGGUUAAUGAGGCGACCAAGUGAUGAAGGUAAUGAAGAGAAAGGAAUUCUAGUAAGACUUAAAACUUUGAGUUCUUCUGUCCCUUCAAAAAAGAGGUCAGAAAUUUGCAUAGAGACGGGCGCCAUGCCCCUUGCUAUUAACAAAAAUAACUUGAGUUGGGGACAUUCCAACCUUUCGGGAAGCUCUUGAAUAUCUUCGUAAGGUAAAGAANNNNNNNNNNNNNNNNNNNNNNNNNNNNNNNNNNNNNNNNNNNNNNNNNNNNNNNNNNNNNNNNNNNNNNNNNNNNNNNNNNNNNNNNNNNNNNNNNNNNGCAUUGAUACAGCAACAUCAUGAAUGAUGUCAUGCAUUUUAACUUCAUCUUCAGUAUCGCCAUCUAACAAUAAGCAUGAAGCUUUGAGAUUGUCGAUCAAUGCAUCCACUCUAUUCCUUGCAUCUUCCAAUGUGUGAACAUUUUUAAACAAACCCAAACCCAUACCAUAUCUCAACAGGGAAACAACUUCUACAGGAUUACCUUCACCAAACAGAGUACAAAGAAGGAACAAAGAUUUUGCUUCAUCACUUUCCAAGAAAUCGUAACUCAAUUUUAUGGAAGAAUACACAUAUGCAUCCAUACCACGAAUUUCUCUUAGAUUGGAACUUCUUAGCUGAUUCAAUGCAUCCUUCCAAAUGUUAAGACUCUUAUUUUUCAGAGCACUUGCAACUGUUCUCAGUGCAACAGGCAAUCCCCCGCAUUUUUCAACGAUCUCAUCUGCAGUGGGUUGAAAAUCAUAUGUUUUUUUUGAAUCACCCACAAUCUUCUCAAAUAACUGCAAUGCUUCAUCUUUGGAUAAAGCAUCGAUCCAGAAAUUUUUCUGAGAAUUCAUAUCAUUGCACAAUAAAUCUCGACUUCGAGACGUCAAUAUUAUUGUGCGUCUACUCCGAUCGUCCUCUCUAUCAUAAGGAAUUCCAACUUUAUCGAACUCAAGUUUUGUCCAAAUAUUAUCCAGUAUAAUGAGGAGCAGCUUCUCUUGCUUCAACCUUUGACACAGUCGAGAAGCUCUUUGAAAUUCAUUCUCAUUCAAGUCAAAUUCCAUGCCUAAAUCAAAAGCAAGUUUGUCUUGAAUUUUAUGAUGAUCUGGUGUCUGUGUUACCUCAGCCAUAACGACCUUAUCGAACAACUUAUCUUCCAUCACUUGCUUUCUAACUUGCUUGACUAGCGUGGUUUUACCCACGCCGCCCAUCCCGUAGACCCCAAUUAUUUUGAAACUAUCAUCCUUCAACGCAUCCAAAACAUCUUGAAAUACUUUCGUUCUUGAAUCGAACUCCUCGUAAUCUUUCACUGGCAUAUAUUCUGUACUCUUUGGAGCAGGACGGUAGGAAACACUAGAGAAGUUGCCUUUUCCCACGAGACUAGCGGCAGCUUCUGCGGCCUUUGCUGCUUGUUUACUAAGCUGGUAACGAGAAAUCAAGUUGGGGAACAACCCUUUGAAGCAGGACUUCUUAGCUCUAUCUUCAUCAUCAAUGAUGGAUUUUGCAACCCCUUCACUGAUGAAUUCAUCAACUUUAUUUAGCCAGUCUAUGACACCCUCAUAAAUCUCAUCCCCUUGUAGUCUAGCAUGAUUAACAGGUUGUUGCACCGUUUCUCUUCUAUAUCCCAGCUGCUUCACUUGAUCUUUCAGGCCAUCUAUGUAGUUCUGGUGCUUGAACACAUAAGAUAUCUGCCGUAUAAUCGGUUUGAACAGUGACUUUGAACCUUCUGAUACAAUGCUGGAAAAAGCAGCCAGACCCACUUCUGCCAUUGCCUGCUGCUUAACAAAUCUAAUAAUAUGUCAAAGAAAGGGGAAAGGAAUAGAAAUAAAUUAAAAUAAACUAGAGAGUGACAAAAAAGGAAAAGACAGCAAACAGAAUCGCAAAAUUGAUCUUGAAUCAACUGAAACAUGAACAGAGCAUUUUUUCUUCUUUCUUAAGGAUCAGAGUUUUUGCUAUUAACAGAAACGUGCUUCAAGUGUCCCAAAAAAAAAAUGAUAAAUGAACAAGCCAUAGAAAUUUUAUCUUGGAAAGUGGAUGGAAAUUAAGAAAGAAAUGGUAUAGAGAUCAAGCAUCAGAGAUUAUAUUAUUAAAAGAAAUUAAUUGAAGGUUGUGGAAAACCUGUUUAAUUAUGGAAAGUUGAUGAGCUUCUGUAAUCGCCUUGAGUAUUUAAGUGCAAUUUUGAUGAGCAAAAAGUUACUGUUACCUGCAGAGGAAUGUAAUUAUAGAGAGCUUAUGAGAGUAAUGACAAUGAUUUGCAAAAGAAGAAGACUCAAUCAUGGAGCCCUUAAUAUUUCUUUUAUGAAUAAACUGCCAGCAGGAAAAAUAAAAAAAAGUGGUAAAUUUACCAAGUCUUAUUUUAUUUUUAAUUUCUUUUAUUUUCAUUCGCCGAAGAGGGAAUCUCUUUUUUUUUCGUAAGGGAAAUAUCCUUUCCUAAUAUGUCAUGAUUAAAGCAAUCUAUAAAUAAUACAAUAAUCAUAUAAUGUAAUAAUUAAAAAGACCCACAUAUUUAUAAUAUUAAUGAUGGGAUCCAUACGUUCCUACUGAUUAAAUUGGUGGACCAGAAUUUAUUUGACCUUACUUGUUUUAUAUUUAAUUAAAAAUUGAAACGACAGAGAAAAAUUGUCGUAAUGAUGGUUUCGAUUGUGGAGUUCAGCUGUGGAUAGCACUUGCAAUACUGAAAAAGAAGCUUUCGUCAACUUUCUCACAUGGACGCGCACCAUCACGCAUAAUUGCAUAUUGCAUUAUUUCUCUAGAAAAGCAAAAGCAAGAUUUAUUCUUUUAAUAAGCAAACGCGUAGGUGGGAAUCCAUUCAUUAAACAAGUGGAACAGCAAUAUAUUAAACCAAUGAUAAGCAUUCUUAAGUGGGAAACCAAUUAUGACGGAUAGUUCAAAAUCUGAAUCCGCCUGAUGGACGGGUUUGACCGCAGAGCUCAAGAUAAUCUGAACCAUUCUCCUUUCGUAACUUAUAGAUAAUUUGAAAACAGGGGAAUGAAAACAGAGGAGCCCUGUUUUUCCUUCCUUUUUUUUUUUUUUUUUUCUUACCCAACUCUUCUUCUUUUGUAUAUUUUCCUUGGAAUUUUAGGUAAACCAAAAAACUUUGAGAAUGAUUUCAAGAGAAUAGGUGGGUAAUAACUAAAAUAUUUAUCUAUAUAUUUAUAUAAAGUUGGGACUACAAGAGAUGAUGUGGCAUCACCAUUUCUAAUUUUUGUAUAUUCUCUAUUAUCUAACAAAUAGAGAAAUUUUCUUUCAGAUUUUAUUUUUCAUCUUUUCAUAAUUAAUUUGACUGUUAUUAUACAAUCAAUAUGUAACAGUUCAUCAAAAGACCCACUAUCUUCUUUAAUUGAAACCUUCUUGAUCAGGACUACAAGAAGUAAUGUGGCACUACCAUUUCUCAUCUUUGUAUAUUCUCUAUUAUCUAACAAAUAGAGAAAAUUUCUUUUAGAUUUGGCUUUUUAUCUUCUCACAAUUAAUUUGACUGUUAUCAUACAAUUAAUAUGUAACAGUUCAUAAAAAAACUCACUAUCUUCUCUAAUUGAAGCCUUCUUGAUCAUAAAUUAAGCAAUAAUUUAUAAAUAUUUUUAAUCACUCUUCUCCUCUGACUCACCUAAAUUUAUAAAUAACAACAAAAAAUAUGAUAUCUCAUGUAAAUAUAAAAGAAUAGAAAAUAGCAAUAGCUCUAAAACAUUUUUUUUUUCAUUUUGGCCCUCACUUGCCUGAUCAUGGCAAAUAUUACAAAUGCAACCAGUAGGAAUGAUUGCCUCAACAACAAUAUGAAACCAGGCUACAAUCUUGCAACAAGACUUGAAGUUAGUGGAGGCCAAAUGGAGUGUUGGAACGUGUUAAUGGAGCUGAAAUCAUGCUCAAAUGAGAUUGUUAUAUUCUUCAUUAAUAGUCAGGCUGAUAUUGGCCCUGACUGUUGUCGCACUGGCCUGCAAUGCUCACCUCUCUCGGAUUCACGGCUGAAGAAGGGAACAUACUGAGAGACUACUGUGAUGCAUCUUCUGCUCCUUCUCCAGGUGGCCUCGCGGUGAUAUAUCAGCUUCAGGUUUCCAAGGUUUUUUGGCUUAGACAGGGUGCAUCUAUGGUACUUCAUAAUUAAAAAAAGUCUUUUUGGUUUUAUCUUUUCUUUAUUUUUUUAUUUUUUUUUUGGAAGUCUUGCCUCUUAAUCGAAUAGAAUAAAUUGUUAAAAUUAGAAUAAGAAAAAAAGGAUAAUAUUAUUUUUUUUCAAAGCCGCGCAAAGGGCGGUUCUAUUUCCUAGUUUUUAUAUAUUUGAUAAGCACGCUCACUAUUAAUAAAACCCAUUAAAUGCUAUAACUUAAAUAACUUCUUGUAGUUGAUUGAGAGUAUGUUUGGAAUUUCUUUUACUUCCCAAUAAUUAAUUUUUACCUUGAUUAUCAGAAAAUUAAUUUUAUGAAUAAUUUAGCCGGGUGUUUGGUAAAUGAUGAUUAUUUGACAAUCAGUUUUUAAAUAAUCUAUUAUAUAAAUAUAGUAAGUGAAAAUUAGAAGUAUAAUGUUCAUGUAGAAAUGACAAAAAUGUACUCAUUUACUUAUUUGUAAUUUAUUUAGAAUAUUAUUAUUUAAAUAAUUUUUCUUAUUCAUUGGAUUUUUUAAGAGCAUAUUCUAUUUUCUUGAUUACACAUUUAAAUAACUUUUUAUUAACUAUUUUAAUCUGCAAUAAAAAUUAACUAUAUUAUAUUUAACUAAAAAAUUUGUUAUGUAGUCCGUAAUAUACACAAAUACUUGAAUUUAUUAAUAAACUUAACUGCAAAAAAGAAAAUGCAUUACAUAUAUCUAAUUUCUUAUUUUCAACGAUUGAAAGAUGUUAUUUAGGAAACUUGUACGAGAUAAUUUAAUUUUGGACUAUUGACAUUAUAUUUACUUAGAAGUGGAAAUAGUGGGUGGAUAAAUUUAAUUUUUCAUUAAUUGCUCAAGAAGCAAGAGGAUUAGUGAUGGAUGGAGAGUUAGUGUAGAAUUGUGAGGCCAUUUGAUUACUGCAAGCAUUAUAAAUUUCUUGUUGCUGAGAUUAAUCUAAUUGAAUUAAUGACUCCAUGAUAGACUUAACAAAGGAUUCUUGUGGCAAGAUUUCUAUUUAUGAGGCCAUUUGAUUACUGUAAGCAUUAUAAAUUUCUUGUGGCAAGAUUUCUAUUUAUGACUCCAUGAUAGACUUAAGUUUUAGUGAGACAAUUGCUGCCUGUUGCAGACAUGAUACCUCUAGUACUUCAGAAGAUAGCAUAUCACGAAACACAUCCAGACUAUACUGAGGUUACAUCGAAAAUUCCUUGGCCCAUCGUGCGAGUGUGUGACAUCCCGCAACAAAAAUUAGGGUAUGUACUAUAUAUAUAAUGUGUUUUGAACAUAAUAAUAAGAAUGCUGAUUUUUAACAAUUAAUUUAUUUUACUUUUUUUAGUGGUGAUUGUGGAGAAUUUUUGUUGCGGUACUUGGAGGUCCUAACCCAUGGACUUGAUGUCAAUUCAUAUUGCAAACAAGAUCAUGUUAUACAAUUUCGAAAAGCCUUGGUUGUCAAAUUAUUUGGGCAUAGGUCAUGGAAAAAAACUUUGUAGUGUACUACCCUUAAAAACUUUGUUGGUGUGUCAUUUUUGGACCAUGAGAUGUGAUAGUUAUAAUGAGGAUGUUGUUGAUAUUUGAUGUCAUUAAAGAUAACUUGACAUCAUUAAUAUGUUUUAUUUCUUUGUUAACUAUAUUAAUGAUAGUGAAGAUAGUUUGUACAAUCUAUGUAAUGUAACAGGAUUGCCAUAUAUGCUCAGGGAAUACUCUGUAAGAAAAUACACGACUGCUGUUAGCUAUUUGCACGGAUACAUGACUGCAGUCGAGUAUUUACAAAUAUACAUGACUAGCUCUCUGUAAGAAAAUACUCGACUGCAAUUGGGUAUUUACACAGAUACACGACUGCAGUCAAGUAUUUAUAAUUGUACAUAACCAGCUCUCUAUAAGAAAAUACUCGACUGCAUUCGGGUAUUUACACAGAUACACGACUGCAAUCGAGUAUUUAUAAUUAUAUUUGACCAGCUCUCUGUAAGAAAAUACUCGACUGUAGUCGGGUAUUUGCACAGAUACACGACUACAGCCGAGUAUUUACAAUUAAAUAUGACUAGCUCUCUAUAAGAAAAUACACGACUGCAGUCGGGUAUUUGCACAGAUACACGACUGCAGUCGAGUAUUUGUAAAUAAACAUGACCAGUUCUGUAACAGCCAAAAUACACGAUUGUACUCGGGUAUGUGGACACGGAAUAAAAAAUCAACUAAAACAUUCAUUAUAUUGAUGACACAAUCAAUAUAAACUUUAACAUAUUAAAUUUCAAAUAAAUGAAACUAACUGUAGUCUGGUUGCCUAUCAAACAACAUAAAUCCAAUACUUAUUCGAAUCGUAAAUAAGUCAUAAUACAAUAAAAGUUGUUUAACAAUCAUCAUAAUUUUUUUGCAUUUUCAACCCAAACACUCGGUCCAUAUUUUAUAAGCCUCUAGUAAUUUGGUUGCCUAUUAAAUAACCCGAGAUACUAUUUCUAUCAAUUGUGCAUACGUUGUAGAAUAGGGCACUAUGAUCCCUCUUGCCUUUGUACCAUUAAAUCUAUAAUGGCCGUUUUGCUCAAUCCAUUCACCACAAAACAUAAUUGGCACACGUACUGAAGUCAUUUCCUGUAAUAAUACAACGGUUGAUUAUACAACAAAUACAAAAAUAAAAAUCAAGCAAUGUAUAUAACGAAGUGUGGAUCUGUCUGCCUAUUUACAUGACUCACGUCGUGUAAUUGGUAGUUUACACGACAAUAGUUAUGUAACUUGCUAAAAUACACAACUAUAGUUCUAUAAACAGUCAGAUGAUAUAUUUAGUAAAAAAAGCUGUAAUCUUUGUACUAAUCGAAUGGUAGGUGUCAUAACAGCUACUAUAUCUUCCAAACUUGCACGAUUGUUGUCGUGUAAAUUCAUACAUACAUGACAAAAGUCGUGUAAGUUGCAAAAAUAUAUGACUCAAUAAAUAAUCAGAGGACAUAUUUCUUCUUAAAAAAAUAUUGGGAUCUGAUAACAAUUGGAACAUUUUACAUAUAUACACAAUUAUAGUAUGUAAGUUCAUACGUACACGAUAGUAGUCGUGUAACUUAUUAACACACACGACUAUAGUCCAGUAAUAGUAAAAGGAUAUAUAUAGUGAAAAAAAAAAUAUUUUUUGCACCAAUAGAAUGAUAAAGUGUCAUGAUAAUUGGAAUCUUUUGCACAUUUGCACGACUACAGUUAUGUAAAUCCAUACAUACAAGACUGAUGUCGUGUAUGUCGGGUGCAGAAAAAAAUUUUGGCAACAACUUCAGGUUUUAACGAAUGUAGUUAUAAAAUCCAUCAAAUAACAGUCAUAUGAUGCAAAUGUAAUGAAAUAUGAGUUGCUUUAGUGUUUAUCACAAACCAAACAAAACCCUAAAAAUAAUAUAAUGUCAAUUAAAUGAAUAAAUAACACAAAAUAAAAAAAAAUUUCAAAUACCUUAUUCAUGGGAUGAAUAAUGCACCCAGCUGCAAAUUAAAAUCUCAAUGCAUUAGCUGUUUGUGAGUGAUUUUGAGUAUGGAGUGAGUUUUCGUUGUGUGGAGUUAAAAAAAGUGAGAAGUAAAGAGUGUUAGAGACGAGUUGUGUGUGUUUUAUAUAUUUUUUUAAGGAUAUUUUAAACAAUGUAUCACAUAAAAAGGUAUAUCUAGAUAAUUUUCAAGCAUGUGAUAUAUUUAACUAAAUACCCUACUUUUAAGGUAUCUUUAAUUAAAAACCCUCUUAUAGUUGAUUGAGGGUAUGUUUGGAAUUUCUUUUACUUCCCAAUUAUUAAUUUUUACCUUGAUUAUCAGAAAAUUAAUUUUAUGAAUAAUUUAGCCGGGUGUUUGGUAAAUGAUGAUUAUUUGACAAUCAGUUUUUAAAUAAUCUACUAUAUAAAUCUGGUAAGUGAAAAUUAAAAGUAUAAUGUUCAUGUGCAAAUGACAAAAAUGUACUCAUUUACUUAUUUGUAAUUUAUUUAGAAUAUUAUUAUUAAAUAAUUUUUCUUAUUCAUUGGAUUUUUGAAGAGCAUAUUCUAUUUUCUUGAUUACAUAUUUAAAUAAUUUUUUAUUAACUAUUUUAAUUUGCAAUAAAAAUUAACUAUAAUAUAUUUAACUAAAAAAUUUGUUAUGUAGUCCGUAAUAUACACAAAUACUUGAAUUGAUUAAUAAGCUUAACUGCAAAAAAGAAAAUGCAAAAAUUUAAUCUCUAUAUAAACUUUUAUGUACACAAAACUAUUGUAAUAAAGUAAUUCAUAGAAAUAUAAUAUUAUAUACAUGUGUAAAGAAAUAUAUAACUAUAAUAUUAUCCACUUGUAGCACUAUUAUUUUUCAAUCUCUCCAUCUCUUGAUCUUCAAGAACGUUAGUACCAUGAUCUGCUUCUUGAGUUCGACCUCCAUUUCCACAGCAUCAACAAGGCAAUCAAUUUGCCGUGAAAGCCUUACAGCUCCUCCCACUUUCCUCCUUUUUGUAGCCACUCUUUUUCCCUUUCUUUAUUUAGUAGCUUCUAUGGAAAUGUUGUGAAAAUUUUAAUAUACUCGCAAGCGCACGAAUCUAGAAAUAGAAUAGUAGUAACGAGGUCGAUCCCACAGGGAUUGUUAUAAAUUAAAAAGUCUAAUUUAAAUCUAAAAUUAAUAUUAAUUCUAACCUAGUUGAGCAAAUUGAGUUUUUAAGAAAAUUAAACCAAUAAAACUAAGGAAGCAAUUAAAAUAAAGGAGAAUUCAAUAAGAUAAGAAUUACCAAGGUUUUAGAAUCCACCACUAUUCAACUAGUAAUUAUCUAAUUAUUAAUUAAUCCCCAAUUUUGGAGUGACAACUCGAAAUCAAUCUAUGUCAUCUCAUGGAUAUAACAAUUAAGCCCAAGUAAUUAAAUCUAAUGUAAGUUCUUUUUCUGCUUAAUAAUAUGACAUCUAAGAAUCUCAUGUAAACAUAUUGAAUAACAAAGAGUCAAAGUUUUCCUAAGCACUCUAUGUAAACAAUUUAAUGAAAGACAUAGAAUCAAAGAUAAUCAUGUAUAAACUUUAUAAAUUCAAGCAUAGAUUUAAUUGAAUAUUAAUCCUAACAAUCAAUAAUGCAUGACAGAAUUGAUGAAAAGAUUUUAUUAAUAUCUAAUUAAUCAUGUGAAAUAAAAACCAUAAUCAUCAAAGAACAUAUAUAGGGAAUUAAUUAAAUAAAAAGAUAAUUAUUUCAUUGAAUAGGGUUUCAUCCUUAACCUCAGUAUAAGAAAAUUAGUUAGACAUACUUGAAUUGAGAGCAACAAAAUAAAUAAAUUCAGCCAUGGGGAAGCCGAAUUGCUGCAGAUUUUCUUCUCUGUCUUGAAUCCUUGCGUCUCCAGUUCUCCCUUCUGACGGCUCUCUUGCCUUUAUAUAAUGUUACUAACUUGCUUAAUCCUUAUUGGAUUCUAAUUGCAUUAAUUCUUCUCCACCGACUUAUAAAGCCCACUCACCAAGGCCUUUUAAAAUUAUUUCCUUACUAAACUUUGAAAGCAAAGCACACGUUUGACCACAAAAGCAAAAGGCCAAUUAAUGAUUUCUUCUUUUAAUGCCCAGCACAUGCAUUCCAAAUUGCCAAAUCUUUGCUUUCCAAAUGCAUGCCCACCGUUCAUCCUUUGAAGAGAUUGACUUCCAAUUUUGGUCUUCUUGACUUCCAUUAAUUCUUGGUUGCAUUUUUGUCUUCCAAUUUAAUCUUUAUUCCUUCUCAAUUUGAAGUGUUUUCAUGCCCUUUUUAUCAACAAUCUCCAAUUAAUUCCCUAUUCAAUAAAACAAUUCAAUUAAUUAAAAAUAACAAAUAAAUAUAACUAGCAAUUAUAUUAUUAAGGGUAAAAUAUGUAUAUAAAUUAUGCUCAUCAGGAAACAAACUCAUCGAACUACCAGUACAUUUUUCAAUUAGAUAGGACUGAUAGUAGAUAUUCAGUACUCUCAGAUGGUGUGCAAACAUGAUCAUCAGUGAUUGUUGUCUUAAAAAGCAUUCUAUUUAAUUGUUCCUCUGACUCUGGCAUGCAAAAUUUCUUGAUUCACGAAUUUCCUACGUAUGUUGAUAUCAUAUUAAAAUGAAUUCAAUAUCACAUNNNNNNNNNNNNNNNNNNNNNNNNNNNNNNNNNNNNNNNNNNNNNNNNNNNNNNNNNNNNNNNNNNNNNNNNNNNNNNNNNNNNNNNNNNNNNNNNNNNNGCAUGUUGUGAGCUUAUUACCAAAAAUGAGACUAUAUAUUUAAGCCGAAUGGUAAAAAACUUCGGAUGGAGGAUGUGCCAUCUUUUUAUUUUAGAUGCUUUCGGAUGGAGGAUGUGCCAUUUUUUUAUUUUACAUGCUUUGUAAGACUUUUAAUGAUCGAGUGCAGUCAAUUAACAAAAGCUUACAUAUUAUUUGUUGAAAAUUGAUUUUAAAAAAAGAAGUCAAAAUGAUGGGUGGUUGAGCCUGUUGGGGAAAAAUCAGGUUUUUAAAUUUUUAUAAAACCUUUUGAAGAUCGCUCUCAUAUAAUAUAUAAGAAUUCGUAUUCUAGAAAUCGUACCUUGUAAAUCUGAGUUUGCUUUUUCCGCUGAAGUGAUUUAGGCUCCUAGAUCACGAUCCGCCACCACCACUCCUGUUAGAUCACGAUCCGUCACCACCACGCUUGUUAGAUCACGAACUGUCUCCAAUGAUCUUCCAGGUUAUGACUCAGGUUCGAUCUGCACUUGACGUGUGGGCGCCUUUAUCACUACCAAAGCAACUAGCACGAGAAAAUUUUUCUCUCAAAAAUGGAGAGAAAAAUCUUAUUCUCUGAUUUGUAUAAAGUGGCUUCUCCACUUUUUCUUUAGAGAAAAAUAAGCCUUUUAUAUCACUCUUUAGUGAAAACCCUAGGCUCCAAAUAAAAUAAAAUCAAAACCCACGUUAUUUACUUUUUCAAUAGGGGACCCACCUUGUAAAAUAACAUAAGGCCCGUUAUACAAAAGCUAAUUAAAUGGAGCCUCCCACUAAAUGAUAUAUUUAGGCUUUUGACCCAAAUUGCUAGUUAUCUUACUUAUUAGUCCAGUAGUGGUGCAAUCAAUUAAAUGAGCUAACCCGGGGAUCAUUUGGGAACAUACAAUAGUGGCUACAAUAAUUAGGCAUGUAAUUAAACUAGCCCAAUUAUUUAAUUCCAAAUCUACUCCACUAAAAGAUUGGAACUGACUUCCAUAAUUGUAUGCUCGAAUAAUAAUUCGUCCCAAGCCACAUUGAUUUCUUUACUGCACAAUCCUUUGUACCACAUCGUUAAUUAAAUUGAUAUCUCAACUGUCCAAUCAAUUUAAUAACAUCUUAUUCCUUGAUCCUUACUGGUUUUCUCUAAUGAUCAUUUUCAACAUACUAAAUAUGUUGACACACUCUGGCCAGAGAAUUCUAUGAUCAAGUACCGAAAACCUAUCAAGAGAUGUGUUGUACAAAUUCUAUAUUGUUAAUCCAUAACUCCAAUACUCAUAAUUGCUCCCACCAAGAUACCGGGUAAUCUUGACCACAAGGAUGUGUCGUGCCCAUUGGUAACUCAAAUGGAAUAACAAUCACAAUCAUGAAAUCAUAAUUAACUCAAGAUUAAGAUUACAGUAAAAUCAAUGCCUAUGAGAUUUAAUAAGUCUGACAGUUAUUACAAAGUUAAUUAAAUCUCAUAUGUGAUCCUGUUCAAUGUAGUCGUACUACAUCAAUAAAUUCAUACAUGAUUAAGACAAAUCAUUCAAUGAAUUUAUUACAGUCUAUACCUAAAUAAAGUGCCCAACUUUAUUUAUCAACUGCGAACUAAAUUUAUUUAAUCAUAAGAUAACUUGUAUUUAUGUCUUCUGUGAAUCCACAUGGUGAUCACAUAAAUACAUAUAAUAUGAUUAAAUGGACUUUAAUACAAAUAUUAAUGCAAUUAAGAUAUUUGAAUAAAAUACCUCAUUAAUUUUAUUAAUCAGAAAAAAUGUUUAUUACAAUUAAAUAAACACAUAUGCUUUUAAAGAGCAUAUUUUCCCAACAGAGCCAUCAUCUUUGAAUUCAAAGAUGGUGGGUGGCCAAGUUAGCCACCAUCAUUGAACAAGAAAAAAUGGGUGGGUGCCGCCCAUGCAAUGAAGAAAAGGGAGAAAAUGAAGCCAAAGUUUGGCUAUAAAUAGAGGGGUUCUCCCUCUCAUUUUUGUAUCCCAGAGAAGAAAUCCCAAAAUUUGAGAAGCAAGAAUAUGUAAGAGAAGCAUUGAGAGCUUCCAACAUGGGAGAGAAAUAUUCUUAAGCAUGUAUUUAUAUUGAAAGAGCAUUUGGCUCCUCAAUAUGGGUAUUACGGGUUUGAUUUGUUAAGGAAUAUUUCUCGCAAUUAUGUAUUUGGGGCUUGGGUGAGAGAAAAUUAUUUAUGAGAGUGUGGUUGUAAUAAUUUUCCACAUAGUGAAAUUUUUUUUUUCUGGUUGUCUCUUGACAACGGCUAUGGUUUUUCUCCGGAUUUGGAGUUUUCCACGUAAAUCUUGUGUUGUGUGAUUGUUGUAUUCUCCAUUUAAAUUUUUUGUUAAUUUGUUGCUUGACAAAUUGCUUGGAGUGAUCUUGGAAGGAAACUCAAUUUCCUAACAGUGGUAUCAGAGCCAUUGAUUGAAGUUUUGAUGUCGAGGUACUGUUCACGUAGACAUUACUAUUUCACGUAUACGAUAUUGUUCAUGUAUACGGUAUUGUUCAUGUGAAGCAGUGGGAGCCAAUCUAAAUUGUCCGUGGUGAAGAGUAUAGGGUCAUUAUAAAGCAAAUAUGUCAGUAGCUGGUAUUUUUCAAACUUGGUGGAGUUUGAUGUUGUUCAAAAAUUAAUGGGAGAAUGAUUUUUUGUUGGCUUGUGGAGAAUUCAAGUCAAAGGUGUAUCCAAUCUGGUAUGCACAAAGAUUUGAAGGUGUGGACAAUUUUGGCACCUCAAGAAAAUUGUCAAGAAGGUGGAGCGGGCUCGACAAAUUACUCCAGAAUCAGUAAAAGAAAUACUGAUAUUUCUCGCAGAUGGUGAAUUUGUUUUUGAUAAGAGAUUGGAUUAGUUCUUUUGGCAUGUAGAUCUCCAAGUUACCAUAAAAGAGAACAUGUUAUUAUCAGUGGGGUCCACAAGUUUGCACGAGGGCAUUGGCUUGGUAUAAAUGCAAGGUGUGUGGUGGAAAAGUUAUGUCAUGGCUGAAGAAUUCUCAGUGAAACCAAGCAUGAGAAUUGCACUAUAAAUUUCAGCAGGAUAUUUUGAUAUGUGCCGAGAAAAAUCUUAGAAUAGUUGAUUCUAAGUGGUAUACUCAUUAUGGUGUAGUGUGAUAAUUCUUUAUAUUGAGAAUUAUAACUAUUGGUGAAGACAAUGUUUUGUAGUAGUGACUAUGAAAUUCUUUUUUUUAAUCAUGGUAGAGAUUGUUGAAAAUUGAUUUUAAAAAAAGAAGUCAAAAGGAUGGGUGGUUGAGCCAUCAUCUUUGAAUUCAAAGAUGGUGGGUGGCCAAGUUAGCCACCAUCAUUGAACAAGAAAAAAUGGGUGGGUGCCGCCCAUGCAAAGAAGAAAAGGGAGAAAAUGAAGCCAAAGUUUGGCUAUAAAUAGAGGGGUUCUCCCUCUCAUUUUUGUAUCCCAUAGAAGAAAUCCCAAAAUUUGAGAAGCAAGAAUAUGUAAGAGAAGCAUUGAGAGCUUCCAACAUGGGAGAGAAAUAUUCUUAAGCAUGUAUUUAUAUUGAAGGAGCAUUUGGCUCCUCAAUAUGGGUAUUACGGGUUUGCUUUGUUAAGGAAUAUUUCUCGCAAUUAUGUAUUUGGGGCUUGGGUGAGAGAAAAUUAUUUAUGAGAGUGUGGUUGUAAUAAUUUUCCAAAUAGUGAAUAUUUUUUCUUUGGUUGUCUCUUGACAACGACUGUGGUUUUUCUCCGGAUUUAGAGUUUUCCAUGUAAAUCUUGUGUUGUGUGAUUGUUGUAUUCUCCAUUUAAAUUUUUUGUUAAUUUGUUGCUUGACAAAUUGCUUGAAGUGAUCUUGGGGUGAAACUUAAUUUCCUAACAUUAUUUAGGUGCUGAGAUGUCUGUUCUUGAUAAAGUAGAUUUAUUUACACCCAAGCCAACGUAACAAAAGCCUAAUAUACACAAUAAUUAUUUUUGUUAGACUGAUUUCUAGCUAAUGAGAUCUUUGAAAGCAUUCAAAGAAGCCACAGAACUCAUAGGAAAGCCCUGAUAAAAUAUACGGCGAAGCAUGUGAGCUCGUUUUUUAAUCUCUUGAUCACUCAUAAGCUUUUCUAUACCAAUGACUAUAUCAUUCUUUUGAAUCGAUUUUGAUUGAUCAUUAGAAAUCAUGUACCCCACCUUUAGAUGAUUGAUCACCAAUUUGGCAUUGUAAUGUUGAUCAUCUCUAAUUGGCCAUGCUAAAAUUGGAACCCCACACCAAUGGCUUCUACCAUUGAAUUCCAUCCACAAUGAGAUAAAAAUUCACCCAUUGAUUGAUGAUUCAAUAUCAAUAAUUGUGGCGCCCAUCCAUCUAUUAUCAAUCCCUUUUUACUGGCUUUACUACCCAAACCACUAUGAAAAUAAUUGCCUUCUGCUGGUCUGUCUAAACCAGUUAAAUGACACGGAGGAUCCAAUCUACCAGCACCAGUUUGAAUUACCCAAAUAAAUGGUUCAUUUGAUACUUCUAAAGCAUUGGCUAGUACUAAAUACUCAUCUAACUUGGACCCACUUCGAUACCAAAUGACACAUAUAACACAGAUCCUCAUGAUUUCAAAUCCAACCAUUGAAUGAUCUCAUCUUCGUUCAUGUUAGAACUCCACCGAUUGGUUCUCAUCUCACGAUCACGAAGCACUGAACCCGCCCCAUUUGUAAAAUUGUUCAAGUAAUAAUGGGCCUACUCCCCACAUUGGCUUUCCCAUUCGAUUGACUAAAUAAUGGGAGAUUGCCAAUUUUCCCCUACUAUAAUCAAUAUAUAUCAUUUAUUCAUUUACUAUUUUUAUAAUGGUCAAAAAUCCCCUUGACAGUAUAAGUUUAUAAUAUUACUUUUAUUUUUAAUUGCUCUUUUAUUUAUAUUUAUUAUAAAUAAAAUAAAUCACAUGAAUAAAAAAUAAAUAAAUAAUUAAGUAUUAAAAACAAGAAAUAUAUGUUUUAAUAUGAGCAAAAAAUUUAAUAAUAAAUUUUUCUUGUAAUUAUUUAUUUUGUGAAUAUUUUCUUAUAAUAAACAUUUAUAAUAUUUUAAAAUUAAAUGUAAAAAGAAUAGGCAAAAUAUUUUAUUAUUUAUCUUAUAAUAAAUUUUUAUUUGUCAUUCAAGUUUUCUUAUAAUAGUUUUUUAUCAUUUUAUAAUAAUUUUCUUAUAUAUUUAUUAUAAGAAAAUUUUCAAAAAAUAAAUAAGUACAAGAAAAAAUUACAUUAUUGAUUUUUUUGCUCAUAUCAAAACAUAUAUUUGUUAUUUUUAAUGCUUAAUUUUUUAUUUAAUUUAUAUUCAUGUGAUUUAUUUAAUUUAUAAUAAAUAUAAAUAAAAGAGUAGUUGAAAAUAAGGAUAAUAUUAUAAACUUAUGUUAUCAGGAAGAGUUUUUGGUCAUUAUAAAAACAGGAAGGAGGUAAAUGGUAUAUAUUGAUUACAAUAGGGGGAAAAUUGGUAAUCUCCCCUAAAUGAUUAAUAAAUGGUCCCUCAAGAUCAUCACAGGUGUUGAACAUCAAAGCCAUCCAUUCCUCCACUUCCUUCAUCCAGUGUGGUUGAUCACGGGGUUCGAUGGACUCAUUUUCUCUGAACCGGGCGCACCUCGCAAAGGUAGUGGACCACGAGGAAGGGGCCCGUGAGGCCCGUAUUUAAGCUACGAUUCGAAUAAAGCCAUAUCCUUGGGUAACCCAGGAAGUAAAUGGGCCUCUCCCGGUUUGACAUCUUGGAUGCGAGCCUGCUACAUGGCACACUCCACGCUGCUGAGCAAGCACCAGAAGUGAAGAACCCAACAAUGGGACCUUCAAAAUUCUUGAAAACAUCAGCCGUCCAGCCCAUCAUAACGUCGAUGACUGCACAAAUGGGUCGGGUUUCGGGUUCCCGGGUUGAAAGGGGUUUUGAAGGCCUUGAAGCAUUUGACUGUGCAUGACAACAUGGUGGUGGUGGUGGCAGUGGUGGAGAUGAGGAGAGUAUUUCAGUAAUUUCGAAUAGAGGGUAUUGGUGAAGAGGGGAAGGGAUGAUGCCGGUGCCGGAAAUGUGAGAGGGAACGAAUAUUUUAACAGGGACGGAGCCAGCGUGGGACGAGGUGGGGCACAGGCCCCAGCUGGCUUUUAAUUUUUUUUUAUAAUUAUACUAAAAUAUGUAUUUUAUUUGUUAUUUAUGAAAAAUGUCUCAGCUGAAUUGUAAAAUUUAAAAUUGACUCCAGUAAUUUUAAAAUAUUUCAUACUGUCCCUAAUUUAUAUUUUUAAUUAUAAAUUAUUUAAUUAGUUAUUAACAUUUCAUGAAACUUUAUUAAAGACACGAGAACAAAUAUUAAAAUAAAAAAUAAUCAUAACAAAAUGUUAGUAUAAUGGUUAAUGGACUAGUUUUUAAUCUUUUUAUUUUUUAUUCAAGUAAAAUUAAUUAUUUAGUCUUUCAACACUGACCAUAAGUUGUAAGUCUUCCUAAUUCUAAUUUAUAAUUUUCUAAUUAAUCUUUUAUCUAGUUUUAAAAUUUAUAAUUUUAUCAUGCAUUUCAUAUUUGUUCUGUGUGUUGCAAUAUUUGAAUAUUUUUGUUAUUAUUAAAAGAUUUUAAGAGCAAAUUAAGUAAUAACCUAGUCUUGUAUAUUGAAAAAUAUAUUUUUGCUUAUAUUGAUAAUUCAUUAUUUUCAACUCAUAAAAUCCCAUUGAGGAGAUUUCGCGGAGAACCAUUGUAAUAAGUAAAUUUAUUAUCAAUGAAUAUUAUAGUUGUAAUGCUAUUUAUUGAUAUCUAAAUUUUUAAAAAUGUAUUAUACUUUAAAUAUGCUUUCAAUUAGAUGCAUACAGACGCACUCUAUAAGAAGUACAAUUGUACAUGUAGCAAGCUCCCAUUUAGAGUUUAUAGGGCCCACAAUACAGUUUCUCAAAUGACGACUUAUCACACGAGCAAUCGUACAUUCGAGUCAUCUUUAAUUUUAAAUGUGCCCCAGCUCUAUCAAAAUCCUGGCUACGUCCCUGGGAACGAUGAGGGUAGAUUUGUAAUUACGUGAAGCGAUUUACUUGCAUAAUUCAAUGCAUGGAAAUAGAUGUCCCUGACCGAAGAAUGAGACAAUCCAAAUCUCAGCCUCAGCAGCAUUAACGACAGAGCUUGACAUAUUUUAUUAAUCAUUUGAUACUUAAUUAUUACUGACUGCUUUUGCCACCUUUCGUAAAACAUUCUUGGUUAUAUAUAAAAGAGAUGAUUUGAUGGCGAAGUGUGUGUUUUACUUUUACAGUUUUACUAGUCGGUGAGCUAUGAUUUUGAUAAUUUGAUUGUUAGUUUCAGUUGGUUAGUUAUGAGAAAGCAUCUUUCAAAAAAUUCAUUACAGUUUCAACUAAAAUUAACAAUACUAUUCAAAUUAAUUACUCGAUAAAUAAAUAGUCACAGAUAAAUCUAUCCCUAAUCACACAUUUAUAAAAUAAGGAUUGAAAUGAGUUUCUGUGGCUUCGAACCCACGCCCUCAAGCCCAGCGGCUGGAUCUUGACUACUUUGACAUAAUUAUUAUUAGUUUUUGUCCAUCUUUCACCAGGCAUCUUUUGUUAUAUAAUGAAGAAGAUAAGUUGACGGAGAAGAGUUCUACUUUUACUAGUAGAUGAGCAUUGAAGGUUAGUUUUAGUUAGUUAAAUAUCUACCAUCCAAACCAAAGUUCCUUAGACUAUUAUUCAAGUGAGAUGUUUGAGUAACAUAUGCUUGAGUUAGUCGGUGCCUAACAAUUCAUGUGAUACAUGAAACCAACCAAAUGAAGUUGGUAGGAUUAGAUUAAUUUAAAUGAAAAUAAAAAUUAGUUUAUGCUAUUUAUUUAUCUUAUAAUGUUGAAACUUGAAAGUUAACUCUUCAACCUGUCAAUUGGUUCAUGACAUGAUCAAAUAUUCAAGUAAAUAAAUUUAUCGGUUAAAAUUAAUUUUUCAUGUGGUAAAAGCAAUACUAAAUAUGGAGUGGAGAGAAUCAUUUGUAGGUUAUACCCCCACCUUUUAUUUCAUUUCAUUUAAAAAAAAAAACAACAACAACAACAAAGGCUUGGUCAACAUCCAAGUAAAAUUAACAAUUCCAUGAUAAAAUUGCCUGAGAAUAAAAAUUAAAAAAAAAAAAAAACAGCAACUCGAAAACGAGAUACAAAUACCGCACAGAAGUUUUUCGUCACGAGAUAUUUUUGGGUUGAGACAACGCUUGUAUAACAGAGCAUACAGCUUGGAUGACGGUGAGAAUAAGAAGGAAAACGGCACCGCAGACCGAAAUUCCAGCCCAUGGAGUAUUGAAGUAAUUUUGUUUCAAGUUUGCCCUCCAUUUGUAGCACGUUCUUUUGCAGUGAUCAUUCAAUCCUUUGCAUAGCCCAGAAAAAUAGAAGCUAUCAGACAGCAGAGUAGUACCUCUAGAAAGGUUAUUUAUAAGCGUUGACGCUGCCUCUUUAUCCGGCAACCAGUUCUCAAUGAUUCCGUUCUGAACAAGCAACUCGACGUCCUUCGCUGUGUUCACGAGAUUAUGAAUAAGGAACACGUAAUCAUUUAUGUAAUUCUCUGAGUAAUGCCGUUGUUCAAAGGCAAUGAGAUUACGAAAUAAGGAUUCCGUUUCCAGCUGUAGCUUCAGUUUCGGAAUAUGCAAUGUCCUGUUUUUGAAUUCUAUGGCGAACAAAUCAUUGCUCUUGCUCAAACUGAAGUGGACUCCAGCUUGGUGGAGAUCAGUCACACUUGGUGCGGUUUUACCUUUGUGGUAUUGCUGACCUUCUUGUUUUUCCUGAUUCCUUGAUGAUGGUAGAUGACAAAUCCUUAGAAAAUCAAGGAAAUGCUCUACCCUAGCCUCAGUGUAAGGAGGGAAUUUUUGCCGAUUACCUUGUACUGCCUCUAAACCCUUGAAAUACUCGUAUGUGACUGUGAUGAUGGUUGGAUUUUCAUGUUGGUCGGGGAUUUCAAUUGCCGCUAGAGCAAAAAGAUCCUCAAGAGUGAAGAAAGGAAGCUGAUUCUCAAGCAACCACAUAUCAUACCAUAUAUCCUCUAUUAAAUAGGGUUUUAUGAAAUAUAUGAUCAUCCUUUUUUUGAAGUUGACGGAAAUGAUACCUCAAUAAGAGUUCAAUGAUGAAGGCAGCAUCCAGCAGAAUCAUUUCAACAAAUUUAUCACUACUUAGUUCGACUUUUCUGCAUAAGAACCUCGUAAUUCUGCUUCUCUGAACUUUAUAAUUUGAACAAACUCGUCAAAGCUUAUUUUGGUCCGUUGAAGAAAGUAAUGCAGGUACCGCUGUUUAUGUUCUUCCAUUAACUGUAAGUUUGCUUUGCCAUGGUGAAGAGGGCCAAUUGAGACUACCUGAGGUGUGUAUACCUUUUCAUUUAUCUGACGUAAUCGCUCUGGAACUCUGUAGAUGCAGCAGUUUGAGGGCAAUGGUGAUAAUUUUUUCAACUUAACUUGCAAGCAUUCUUCCAUGUUAUAAACUGAAAACAUGGCGCGAAAUUUAAUCAAUUCAACGCUUAAUAAGGCAUAGUAAUUAAAAAAGAAUUAAAAAAAAAAAAUACAAGAGCAUUCUUACAAGUACAGAAGCACCUCAAUCCCUACUAUUUGCAGAGCUGUAGCCAGGAUUCAAUGAUAGACCGGACUGAACUAAAAGGAACAACUUUCUUAGGAAUAUGUUAUCGGCAUUUUCUCUGGCCUCAGGCCAUCAACAAAGCAGUUUCAGUGCUUCUUAUAUAAUUCCAUGGAUUAUUCCUUGCCUUUACAGAUGAUAUAAGUCACAAUUCAUAUAUUAAUUUCUCCAGAUUCCGUACAAGUGGACCAUAACUAUGGAAAAAUUCAAAGAAUGCAACAGCCAUUUGAUUGGUCCAUGUCAGAAGUUAAUCUGGGGAAAGAAGCUUGAUCUAGCUGUAAAAUUCUCUCCUUCAAUCAGUCAGUUUGGGGCAGCAACAAGAUCAAAGCCACCACGCAAACAUUUACUAAAGUUUAUAUAAUAUUCUUGAACCUCAUCUUAAGUAAAGCAACAAAAGCCUUCACUGUUUCUUAACAACUUUAUUGCUCUAACACAUAGCAUAACAUUUUUAAAUUUGCAUAAAGCACAAUAGUACUUCAGUUUGUAACAACAGCACGGAUAAUAAAUAGCAUUUUAUAGCUUUAACAAAAGCAUACAAAAUUCUUAAACCUUGUUUCAAGCAAUCCAUUAAUGCCACAAGGAUAUCUUUUUGCUUCCUACAGUUUUUAUUGAAAUUCAUAUAUUCUUCUUUAUCAAAUUAAGUAAUUUUCCUUUUUCAAAAAAUCAAGAAGGUUUCGACUGCAUGGAAAUACAGCACACAAUUACUACUAUUCCCGGAGUAAGAAAUUCAUAAAUGCAAUAUAAACAUACAUUUUCAUAAGACAUCAGAAUCAAAGAAUCAUCAAUGCAUCAAAUCUGUACACCCAAAAAAGUUGAAAGCAUCAAGAGAAAAUUAUACCGCAUGGACCCUUUACAACCCUUAUAACGAGUUCAGACAGCCUAAUCCAAUUUGAUAGAUUUGAGGACAGCUACAAUGUGCAAUACAAAAUUUCCCAAUACUAUUUAGAACAAAGUCUAGAAAACAAAACUUAUAUAUUGUACAAAAUCAUGAAAACCAGAAAUGACGAAAAACCUGCAAAUGUAAUUUUUGGGUUUCUUCAACAUAUCUUCCAUCCAAAUCAAACAAGAAUCGAUAAAUCAACAACAUUCAUCUUUAAACGACAUAUUACCACAAUAAAAUUGUCAACCAAGCCUCAUAUAAACCUUUUUUGUGUUUUUUGGUAAAUAUGUUUGUUUUUCUCUAAGAAUACUAGGGAAAAAAGAAACCCACUUUCUUAAUCAAGAAUCAAAUAAUAUAUAUGAAUCUAAGCUGAAGUAAGUCUUGGGUUUGAUGAAAUAGCUUGCAUUGCGAUUUAGAUUGGAAAGGAAGUUGAUUUUUACUGGUUGAGAGAGAGAGAUUUGAGACUUAAGAGAGUGUUGCUAAUCUUCAAUCGUGUAAACAAGGGUAACUGGGUCAUAGUUCAAAAUAAGGGUCCAAAAUUUACUAAAGCUAUUAAGGAGCCCAAAACUCAUAAUGGCUUCCCCAAAAUAAAUAAAAUUUUCUAGCAUUAAGUUUUUGUUUCUUCUUGAGAUUUCCUUGUCGUACUUACCCAUAUUUCGAUAUUGCCUCCAAGUAAACUUAUAUAUAUUGAUUAACAAUAUAAACAAGCACUAUGAAGUUUUAGGCCUGAAAGAACAUUAGGAUUGAAAUGAAAACCAUCUAUUUAAGUAACAAAUUCUUCUGAUAAUCUGAUGCUUAAUUUAGAGAAGAGAUGACAUAUCAAUCACGUUAUGAUGUGGAAGUUAUGAUUAUAUUCAUCUUAGAAUAAGAUCUUUCAGGCACUGGCAGAUUAGUAUAAAAAAUACUCAGCAUAAGACCUACAAACUAGAAAUCACGCACCAAUUAUUGAACUCAGCACAUAAGUUGAUCUUUUAUAAGCUAUAAAACAAAUCUGCUAUAACAUAAGAAAGUGGGAUUUAUCACCAGACAAGUAUUUUGGUGAAACUCAAGCUGACGGAAGGAUAUCCAAAGCAACCUCCUUAAGGGAAGGCAUCACUUCCUGCUGAUGCAAACAUAUAUAUUUAUUACUCACUUUCUUGAGGACCUUCUAGGAACCUGGGUAGCACCUAACAGAAAGUGGAAAAGAAUAAAAUGUAAAAUAUAAGUUAAACAGCAGGAAAACAGUGAGUGAUACUAGGCAAGCAUUAAUAUGUUGCCGCAAGAAAAGUGUCAGUAACUAGCUAGCAAACCUGAAAAGGGUUCCUCCAUUACGACCCUUAAAAUUGUGAAUGUAAUAUAUGGUCUCCAUCACAGGAAAAAGUGUUUUGGAUAGUGCAGCCAGCUUAGGGUAGAAGAAUGACGGAUAAUCUUAGCUCAUUUAAGGAAAUCCUCUCUGAUCCUUUCAUUGCACAUUCCAAAACAACUCUACUACAACCAAGUUACCAAUUCUUUUUGUUAAGUCAUUGUUAUUUGUUAAAAAAAAAAAAAAGUCUUCCUUGUAACAUUUUAUUGAAAGAUAUAACAUGAUCAUCCCUAUUAAUUCCCUUUUAGAUUUCUGUGAGUGAAUUUCAAAUUAUUGUAUUAAAAAAUAGAAGCAAAAGACCCACUUUACUUUCAAUUUCUGCAACAAGAUACCAAUUGAAGGACCAAAAAGUUGUAAACAAGCAAUUCAAUGAGUGGACAUCUAGAAACUGCUAUAUAGCAUCAAAAUCAUACUAAAUUUACAGAAAGCACGAUAAGAAUGAAAGAAUGGUGAAGGAUACACCCAGACCUUAUCCGGUCAAGUUCUCCAUUGAAUAUAAUCAGUUUCCGGGCAGUAUUGAAGACAGCUUCUUUGUAAAGCUCUUCAACGACAAGCAUUUCUACAAGACAAAAGAAAAGCAAAAUUAAUUACCUUAAGGAAUGAAUAUCAAUGAGAAGACAAGGUGUAAGACUACCAUUGACAUUAAAAUAUGGAUAGGCGACUAGAAACAAUUCAUCUUCCGGCUUCACACGGUCUGCCAUUUUAACCUUCUCAGUGAAUCCAAAAUCCUCAAAGAAUGAAGGUUUUGUUAGAUAGUCCAACUUAAAUGAUGAUCCUUCAAAGACCGAUUUUCUUGCAAAUUUGACUUCAUUUGCCUCUGGGAAAAACUAAAAACCAAAUGACAGACCAAGAUCACGAAACGAAUCAUGAACGUAGAUAUCAGAUAAUCAGAAAUGGGCAUUAAACAGACUACUAACAAGUAGGAAAUGCAUACAGAAAACAUUAUUCAUACACCUUAUGCACAUGAAAUAUAUAUGCAGAGGGAUCCUCUUGUGAAUUUAGUUUAUAUCCUAAUAUGAGACGAUGAACAAUUGGAUGCCAUCUAAGGGCUAACAUUUGUUUGAUUAUUAUAUGAAAAAAAAAAAAAACAGAGUUGAUUGAUGGCCUUUGAUGGAUUGCCUACACUCCUAAAGUGCAGAGAGCCUGAUUGAUUGCUUUACCUGCCCCCCACACACACUUGAUUUUAUUAUCUCUCUUUUCAAAUAUAUAAUCAUUGCCUGUCUUUCAUCCUGAUCCAGCUCUCCUUCCAGGCACCAGCUGUGUUUUCUUCAAUUCAGUGAAACAUUCACUUUCAGGUAAGAAUAAACUUGUCCUUCCUCAAAAACCAACUUCUCACCAUGAAGCUUUCUUUUUUAAAACAAUUACUAGUCUAGCAUAAUUGAAGACAACUCAGAAUUGAAAAAGCCAUACUUUAAUGUCUGCUGUUGGGACCUCAAGACCAGGAACAAAAAGCUUCUUUCUAACCGUUGGAUUAACAAGUAGAAAUAGCUUUUUUCUGAAGGACCCAACAUUGCAUUGAAAAAUUCAACAAAAUGACUGGCGUCAUAUUUAGUCCUGCUAGAAUUUUGUGCACUUAACACAAUGGCUAAUAAUUGGCCCAGCGGACACUUUGUCGAACUACUGGCAACCUUGACUGUGGAAAUGCAUAUUUCAAAUGUUGGCAGGCUCUAGCUUCUUGAUGUACUGUUGAUAGAAAUGCCUAUUUCAAAAGUUGGCAGGCUCAAACUGCCGAGACUUUGGUUUCUUACAUUUCAAACCCACAAAUAAAACUUUGGCAGAACCCCAGAAAGAGCUACACCUCCCAAAUUUGAUGACAUAUGAGGAGACCAUGCCUAGUGCUUGGUUCGGCAAAUGAGUAAGUUUGAAAGAAAUUGAGGGAAACCUUUCCCACAGAGAGUCAUAUUGAAGGUUACAAUUUGAAGACUUUGUCCCCUGUCGCCCGUAACCUUCUUUGAUCUCUUUUCUUAGUCAUAAAUAAUCAAACAUGUGUUAGUCGUUGGAUGCAAUCCACUCACUGACAUCUCAUGUCCACAAUCAAUCAACCAUAUUUUAAUAGAAAUGAAAACAUUUUAAUUAAAAAAAAUGAGAUAGGAACAAAAUCAAACUUGGCAGACAUGGUCUAUGAGAUUUUAAAGAUGCUUGGUGAAAGUUGUAUUCAAGAGUUCAACAGUCAGUUCUAUCACCUAUGGCAAAGUAACCACCGCAACUAAAGCAAUUACAAAACAUCAAGAAGCUUGAACUUGGCAAGAGGUCUCAUUAACAGUAUACCUCAGAAAUUAAGACAGACUUAAAGUGCAAGCUUUUGGAUUUAUUUAAACACUGAAAAUAAUAUGGGUAGAAGCUCCUAUGGUCACAGCAAACAAUUACAAAGCACAAAACCCAAAAAACAGAUAUGCAAAAAGCUGCAAAAGAACAUUAUUAGCAAUUGACAUCUGCUUUUGCUCAGACAAAGGUUCUCAUAACAAAGGACUUAGUGAUUAUCUGUCAUAUGUUUAUGUUAAGGGGAAAAAGGAAGUUUGUUUUAGUCAAUCUCACGUCUAAUGGCAUUUAUAAGGAGCCCAAAAAUAAAAGAAAAAAUAAAGAGUUAGUAGGUGUUUCUUGCAGCACAAAGAAAAUUUAUCAUUCAUGAAAAACUUAGUAUGGAAAAAGCUAACUCAUUUAUCUGCCAAUGGAGAAAAACUUGUUGUCCACCCACUAAGGACCCACCAUUGGCAGGUCUGAUGGAUCCCAUGGAUGGGAACCGCAAAUAUUUUAUUCUAAAUGACAUGUGUAUUGUACCCAUAUCAUUUAAUUUGUAGAUUCCACUGAUGGAACUCAUCAAACUUGCCAAAUGGCAGGUCCUCCGUGGGUAGGCGCAUCACUUCAGCAUCCUUCUCCACCGAUGACCAAAUUUGGACUCAUUUAAAAAGAAUACAAAGCAAAACUAACUGACAUAAAUUGCAUAGAGAUCUAGGAGCCAAAUCAAUGUUGUUAACUCAUCCAAUUAAUACAUUCUCUUAGAGGCAGGGACGGAGCCAGCGUGGGACGAGGUGGGGCACAGGCCCCAGCUGGCUUUUAAUUUUUUUUUAUAAUUAUACUAAAAUAUGUAUUUUAUUUGUUAUUUAUGAAAAAUGUCUCAGCUGAAUUGUAAAAUUUAAAAUUGACUCCAGUAAUUUUAAAAUAUUUCAUACUGUCCCUAAUUUAUAUUUUUAAUUAUAAAUUAUUUAAUUAGUUAUUAACAUUUCAUGAAACUUUAUUAAAGACACAAGAACAAAUAUUAAAAUAAAAAAUAAUCAUAACAAAAUGUUAGUAUAAUGGUUAAUGGACUAGUUUUUAAUCUUUUUAUUUUUUAUUCAAGUAAAAUUAAUUAUUUAGUCUUUCAACACUGACCAUAAGUUGUAAGUCUUCCUAAUUCUAAUUUAUAAUUUUCUAAUUAAUCUUUUAUCUAGUUUUAAAAUUUAUAAUUUUAUCAUGCAUUUCAUAUUUGUUCUGUGUGUUGCAAUAUAUGAAUAUUUUUGUUAUUAUUAAAAGAUUUUAAGAGCAAAUUAAGUAAUAACCUAGUCUUGUAUAUUGAAAAAUAUAUUUUUGCUUAUAUUGAUAAUUCAUUAUUUUCAACUCAUAAAAUCCCAUUGAGGAGAUUUCGCGGAGAACCAUUGUAAUAAGUAAAUUUAUUAUCAAUGAAUAUUAUAGUUGUAAUGCUAUUUAUUGAUAUCUAAAUUUUUAAAAAUGUAUUAUACUUUAAGUAUGCUUUCAAUUAGAUGCAUACAGACGCACUCUAUAAGAAGUACAAUUGUACAUGUAGCAAGCUCCCAUUUAGAGUUUAUAGGGCCCACAAUACAGUUUCUCAAAUGACGACUUAUCACACGAGCAAUCGUACAUUCGAGUCAUCUUUAAUUUUAAAUGUGCCCCGGCUCUAUCAAAAUCCUGGCUACGUCCCUGCUUAGAGGUCAUACCUUGGUAACUCAUUUGAAAAGAAAUUAAAAGAAAAACGACUGCACAAAUUGUACUGAGCUCAAGAAAACCUGUUCAAGGUGUUCACUUGUCCAACUAAUAAAAGUCAUCAAGGAUUGUAUCGGGGACUUGGGACCAAUCCUGCCUUAACGAGAGAAAGGGAAUUUAGGAGGAAGAAGAUAACCUCUUUUCCUAGAACCCUUGAGAAAAUUAUUGAAGAAAUAUGUAUCUCCUUUUCUUAUUUUUACAAUAGGGUUACACAAUACAUAUAUAUAUAUUCUAAACUACAUAAUGUGCUAGAGUAGGAAAGUAAACAACUAACUGCAGACCAAGAAACUAGGAAACAAACUCUAUCUAAAAAACUGAAAUUCUAUCCCUAUCUUUUUUCUUUUCUAUCCCUAUCUUUUUUCCUUAAAAACAGGAUAGAAAACAAGUGACUUUUCCACACUCCCCCUCAAGCUAGUUCGAAGAUAUCAAUCAUUCCCAGCUUGCUAGUUAGUGACUCAAAGCUUGAUUUAUGAAGUCCUUUAGUAAGAAUAUCAGCUAGCUGCUUUGUUGUUGGAACAAAGGUCAUGCAUAUCAAACCACUUUCUAUUUUCUCCUUGAUAAAAUGACGAUCCACUUUGUUGAGUGUUAGAAAAUGCAUAUUUAUAAAGGAGAAAACCAUCAUUUUACAUUUCAAGUCGUACUAACAACUCUUACUUUUAUGUAUUUAACCUUCUUGUGAUAUAAUUACGUGUGUUUUAUUUUAAUUAAGUAUUUUAUGUAUUUUAGGGGCAUUAUAGUCAUUUCACAAUAAAGGAGAGAUUAGACGGCAAAACGGACAUCACUUUUGAACUCAGGACGGUCGAAAACCUUAGGAGGAGCAUAAAAGGAAAAAUGGCACUAUUCAUAUGUACGGUACUAUUCGCGUGUACGGUAUUAACUACGUUACUGUUCACAACACUGUUCACAACACUGUUCACAUAGACGGAUCGAUGACGUGGCAUUGACCGAUGAUGUGGCAUUGACUGAUGAGGUGUCACGAUCCUGUUGGGCUAAAAUUCUUAUGUACUGUUGAUGGUGACGUGGCAGCAUAUCAGUGGAUGAAAAAUCUCGCGUACGGUACAUGCAUCACACAUGAUUAUUCUCAACCAAACCGUGUUACUGUUUAUCCGAGUCAAACCGUGUUACUGUUCAUCCACGUGGUCAAACCGUGGACUGUUGACUUAUGACGUGGCGCAAUCCUGAGCGUCCAAACUGUUUUUAAUCUGAUGGCCAUGAUUUACUCCAUGUAUCUAUAAAAAGGGGGCCUUCCCCCCCUAAUUUGAUAGCUCUGAAUCCAUUUUUGGGAUCCAUUUUCUGUAAUUCCUUCUCCAUCUUGUAUUUUCUUUGUAUUUUAAUAAAUUCCCAUUUUGCCCCUAGUUCAAUUAUGAGUGGCUAAUUUUCUUUCAAGCUUGGGUUGAAGGUGAAGUCUCAACAUGUGUCAUGGGCUUAAUUUGGUAAAUUUAUUUUCUCUUCCCCUCUAGUUUUUGUGGAUGUUUUGACUUCUCGUCGACAAAUAAUAAUAAUCUUGUCUAGAUACCGCCUUGGUUACACCGGCUCUCUAGUAUAAGGUUAUUAUUAUUUGGCACGAUAAGCCCUUAGCACCAUAUUGAUUAUAGCGUGGUUCAUGAGGUGUGGAUUCCCCCCUCAUGAUUUAAUUGGCAUUAAUAAAGAUUAUUUAGCCCAUGAUGCAUGUUGAUACGGAUCCAGAUACCCAAGUACGUCAUUUUAAUAGAAUUCUCUUCAAUUUAUUCUCGCCAUUUCAAUUCCAAUUUUAGAAUUUAUUCUCGCCAUUUUAAUUUAAGUUUUAGCAUAUCCCAAAUCAUUUCCACCACAAAUCCAAUCACCCAUUUACAAAAUUAAUUCUACACAAUUAAAAUCCACCUCCUCGUGGGAUCGACACUCGUCACCAUUAGUCUAUACUACAAUAGAUUCGUGCGCUUGCGAGUACAUUAAAAUUUGCACAACAAGUUUUUGGCGCCGUUGCCGGGGAGGUAAGUAAUUUUAAUUCAUAGAAUUAAUUUUUGUGAAUAAUUUCUUUUAUUUAUUUUCUUGUAUUUUUUUUUAUUAUUAAAAAAAAAAGUAAAUCUACAUUUAAAGGUUAGUAUUUCUUUUCUUUUUCUCUUCUUUAAAAUUCUGUAAUUUAAUUUUCAAUUUAUUUUUCUUUGUAAUUUUUUUUUGUUUAUUUUAUUAAUUUAUUUUUAGUUAAUUUAUUUCACGUAUUUAUUUUUGUGUAUUUUUAUAGUAAGGUUGUAAUAGCGCAAUAAGGUUAGUAUUGUAAUUUCUCUCUCUUCUUUAUUUUUAUUUGUUUUGUUCCAUCUUUAUUUUUAUUUUAUUUAUUUUGUAUGCAUGGUCGUAGGUCUUUAUUACCUAAUCUUGAACCUAUAGACCUUGAACUUGAGAAAACACUUCGCACACACAAGAACGUUAAAAAUAAAUUUGAAAUGGAUUUACAAGCACCACAGGAGAGGCCAUUUAAGGACUAUUUUAGUCCCUUAGCUAAUUUGAGCACAUCAUGCAUAAGAUACCCAAAUGUAGCUGCUAGGAGUUUUGAAUUAAAACCUAGUGUGCUAAAUUGUCUCCCCACAUUCUAUGGCCUAGAAAAUGAGGACCCAUAUAAUCAUCUGAAUGAUUUUCAUGCCAUUUGUCAAACUUUUAAAUAUGAAAAUUUUUCAGACGAUGAUGUUAAACUUAGAUUAUUCCCAUUUUCUUUAAAGGAUAGAGCUCGUUCAUGGUUAAAUACUUUGCCUGCUAAUAGCAUUGCAUCAUGGGAACAAAUGGUUACAAAAUUUCUAAAUAAAUAUUUCCCAGUGCAUAAAACCAAUUCUAUUCGCAGGGAAAUUUCAGAGUUUACACAAAGAGAGGACGAGCAGUUUUUCGAAACUUUGGGAGUGAUUCAAUGGGCUACUCUUGAAGUGUCCACAUCAUGGGUAUGAGAAAUGGCACCAAUGCCAAUACUUUUUGGAGGGAUUAUUGCCAAAUGUGCAAGAAUGGCUAAUGGCAACAAGUGGAGGAGAGCUAAUGUCAAAAAGCGCAACAGAGAUUUGGGAAUUCUUCCAGCGACAAGCGGAUAAUUCCCAACAACGGAGUCGAUCACUCAGGAAUACUAGAAGAAUUAAGGGAGUAAAUGAGGUUCAAAUUGGCGAGUCAACUUCGGGAAUCAAAGAAGUCAAGGAGAUAGUUGAAGGUCUUGCUCGACAAAUAGCAUCGUUGUCGACUGCUAAAUCAACAGAACCACAUGACCAUGACUCAUACUCCGAUCAAGCCAAUGCCAUAGGUGUAAUGAGAAAACCAUCGAAUUACAACCCAUACUCCAACACAUAUAACCCUGGAUAGAGAGACCACCCCAAUUUUUCAUGGUCUCAAGGAUUCCAACAGAAUGGACCAGCAGCUCCAGCUCCACAAAUUCCUCAAGUUCCUCAAGCCUCUCAGCCCCCAUUUAGACCAUUUAAUCAGAACCAGAACUACUCUCAACCCAGACCAUGGGAGGAUUCAUUCCAGAAUCUCAAGAAUCUUACUCACUCCACGAUUGAGCAGCAGAACCGCACCGUUGAUGGACUACGAAAUGAGUUGAGAGCAGGCUUCAACUCACAAGAUCAAUCAGUUUCAAACCUCGAGAAAAUGGUGGGACAACUUGCUUCUUCAGUUCAGACCUUGGCAAUGACUGUUGAGAAAGGAAAAUUUCCAAGUCAACCAGUGCCUAAUCCUAAAGGAGUGCAUGAAGCAAGUACCAGUUCACCACAGCAGCAUGGGGAGGUCAAAGCAGUCAUGACCUUGCGAAAAGGAAAGGAAGUCGACAACAAAGUGGAGAUGCCGGUGACAAAAGAAAAUCAAAUUGUACCUGUGAAUGUUGAGGACUCACCACCGGAGGAAAAAGAAGAAACCAACCCACGAGAAUAUGUUCCUAAAGCUCCAUUUCCUCAGAGGUUAGCGAAAGGAAAGAAGGGAAAUUCCACAGGUGAGAUUCUCGAAAUCUUCAAACAGGUAAGUGUUAACAUCCCUUUACUUGAUGCUAUAAAGCAAGUUCCAUCUUAUGCUAAGUUUCUUAAAGACCUUUGUACUAAAAAGAGAAAUAUGCAUGUUCAAAAGAAGGCAUUUUUAACAGAAAACGUUAGUUCUAUACUCCAACAUAAAAUUCCUUUAAAAUGCAAAGACCCAGGCUCCCCCACUAUCUCAUGUAGUAUAGGGAACCACACAAUUGAGAAUGCUUUGUUGGAUUUAGGAGCUAGUGUAAAUCUUUUGCCUUACUCUGUAUUCGUGAAACUUGGACUGGGAGAAUUACACCCAACUCCAGUGGUGUUACAGCUUGCAGAUCGGUCCACGAAAAUACCUCGUGGUAUUGUGGAGGACGUGCUUAUCCAGGUAGACAAGUUUUAUUUUCCUGUUGAUUUCAUUGUAAUUGACACUCAACCAAUACAGGAUUCAAGGAAGCACAUCCCCAUUAUUCUAGGCCAACCUUUCUUGGCAACUGCGGAUGCUCACAUUCAAUGCAGGACUGGAAAUAUGCAAUUGUCCCUCGGCAACAUGACUAUGGAGCUGAACAUCUUCAAUAUUGCCAAACAACCUCAUAAUGCAGAUGAUAGAAUUGUAGACGUGGAUUUAAUUGAAGCAUUAGUUGAUGAUACUUUUGUUUCAAACCUUAGUGAUGAUCCUUUACAAACAUGUUUAACUCACUUUGGUUUGGAUUUUGAUAUUGACAGAUCGGUCGAAGAGGUCAACGCCCUGCUUGACUCAGCACCAUACAUGGACACUAAUAAAUGGAAGUUAAGAGUUGAACAACUAGCACCAUCAGAGAAGAAACUCAUCCCAUCAUCAGAAUCACCACCGAAACUCGAGGUCAAACCAUUGCCCAACACAUUGGAAUAUGCAUUUUUGGGAGAAGAAAUUACUUUGCCGGUAAUCAUCUCAUCAUCCCUAAAUGACGAACAAAAAGGUAAGUUGUUGGAUGUUUUAAAAGAGCACAAAGGAGCAUUAUGAUGGACCAUAGCAGACAUAAAAGGUAUAAACCCAGUAGACUGCAUGCAUUACAUUCACCUUGAUGAAAAUGCUAAAUCUACUAGGAAAAUGCAACGUCGGUUAAAUCCUAAUAUGAAAGAAGUUGUUAGAACAGAAGUCCUUAAGCUAUUAGACGCAGGUAUCAUUUACCCAAUUUCUGAUAGUUCAUGGGUCAGUCCUGUACAAGUUGUCCCCAAAAAGUCAGGAGUCACAGUAGUUACGAAUGCUGAUAAUGAAUUGAUACCCACUAGAGUAACUACAGGAUGGCGUGUAUGCAUUGAUUAUAGAAAGUUGAAUUCUGUCACACGUAAAGACCAUUUUCCUUUACCAUUUAUUGAUCAAAUGCUUGAUAGAUUAGUAGGCCAUGAAUUUUAUUGCUUUCUAGAUGGCUACUCAGGAUAUAAUCAGAUUCCCAUAGCACCAAAAGAUCAGGAGAAAACUACUUUCACUUGCCCUUUUGGCACAUUUGCAUAUAGGAGAAUGCCAUUUGGAUUAUGUAAUGCACCUGCUACAUUUCAACGAUGCAUGUUGAGCAUUUUUUCUGAUAUGGUUGAACAAUUCCUUGAAGUCUUUAUGGAUGACUUUUCUGUUUUUGGUAACUCGUUUGAUCAAUGUUUACAUCAUCUAACGCUAGUUCUGCAGAGAUGUAUCGAGAAGAAUUUAGUCUUAAAUUGGGAGAAAUGCCAUUUUAUGGUAAAACAAGGUAUUGUUCUCGGUCACAUCAUUUCGAGCAAAGGUAUUGAGGUUGACAAAGCCAAGGUGGAUCUCAUUUCUAAUCUUCCUCCACCUAAAACAGUCAGAGAAGUACGAUCUUUCCUUGGACAUGCUGGUUUCUAUAGACGUUUCAUUAAAGAUUUUAGCAAAGUUUCUAGACCCUUAUGCAAUUUACUUGCUAAGGAUGUACCUUUUAUCUUUAAUGAUUCAUGUCUCAUGGCGUUUGAAAAAUUAAAGCAAUUGUUGACAUCAUCACCCAUCAUUCAGGCCCCAAACUGGAGCUUACCAUUCGAGCUCAUGUGUGAUGCAUCUGAUUAUGCAGUAGGAGCAGUAUUAGGACAAAGAGUUGAUCGAAUUCCCCAUGUUAUUUACUAUGCUAGUAUGACAUUCAAUGAUGCACAGUUGAAUUAUUCAACUACUGAAAAAGAAAUGCUAGCAGUAGUGUUUGCAUUAGAAAAAUUUCGAUCUUAUCUCAUUGGUUGUAAAAUAAUUAUAUUCACAGAUCAUGCUGCUCUUAAAUAUCUUCUCACAAAGAAAGAUGCAAAAGCUAGACUAAUUCGUUGGGUAUUACUUUUGCAGGAAUUUGACUUGGAAUUCAAAGAUAAGAAAGGCACAGAAAAUGUCGUGGCGGACCAUCUCUCUCGUCUCCAUUUUGACACAAUUACAGAGCCAUUAAUAUUAAAUGAGUCAUUUCCAGAUGAACAAUUAAUGAGUGUGGAAGUAUUACCUUGGUAUGCUGAUAUAGUUAAUUAUCUUGUUACAGGUAAACUUCCAGAGCAUUGGACCAAGCAAGACAAGGCUAAAUUCUUUGCGGAAAUAAAGAAUUUCUUUUGGGAUGACCCAUAUUUGUUCAAGUAUUGUGCAGACCAAAUUGUUAGACGAUGUGUCCCUGAAAAUGAAAUUCAGAAUAUUCUUUCAUUCUGCCAUGAACAAGCUUGUGGAGGCCAUUUCAGUGCUAAGAAAACAACGACUAAAGUUUUACAAUGUGGUUUCUAUUGGCCAACUAUAUUUCGAGACGCUUACACUUUCUGUUCUUCAUGUGAUAGGUGUCAACGAAUGGGGAGCAUUACACGAAGGAACAUGAUGCCACUAAAUCCAAUUUUAGUGGUUGAGAUUUUUGAUGUAUGGGGUAUCGACUUCAUGGGACCCUUUCCCUCUUCUUUUGGCCAUCAAUACAUAUUGGUUGGUGUUGACUACGUCUCAAAAUGGGUAGAAGCAAUUCCAUGUAGAACCAAUGAUCACAAAGUGGUGAUAGGAUUUUUGAAAAGCAACAUUGUCUCACGCUUUGGAUUCCCUCGAGCAAUAAUCAGUGAUGGUGGUGCCCACUUUUGUAACAAAGCAUUCAAAGCUCUUUUGACAAAGUAUUCAAUCACACACAAAGUGGCAACCCCUUAUCAUCCGCAAACCAGUGGCCAAGUUGAGAUCUCCAAUCGAGAAAUAAAGCAUAUAUUAGAAAAGACGGUGAGGCCAGACAGAAAAGAUUGGUCAUUAAGACUUGAUGAUGCAUUAUGGGCAUAUAGAACGGCUUUCAAGACCCCGAUUGGGAUGUCACCCUACAGGCUAGUGUAUGGAAAAGCUUGCCACCUACCUGUGGAACUCGAGCAUCGUGCAUAUUGGGCCAUCAAGAAAUUCAACUUUGACAUGCAGCAAGCCAGCUCAGAAAGAAGAUUACAACUGGCAGAACUUGAAGAAAUUCGCAAUGAUGCAUACGAAAAUGCCAAAAUUUACAAGCAACGAAUGAAAGUCUUUCAUGACAAGCACAUUAUGAGAAAAUCGUUCACUCCAGGUCAGAAAGUGCUUUUAUUCAAUUCUCGCUUGCACCUAUUCCCAGGUAAGUUACGCUCUCGAUGGUCUGGUCCAUUUAUUGUUCAUACUAUUUUUCCACAUGGGGCAAUUGAAAUUAAGGACCCAAAGAACGGUGUCACGUUUAAAGUUAAUGGUCAAAGAUUAAAGCCAUAUCUUGAGUACCAACCACAUGGAGAAGACACCGAAAUAAAUUUGAGUGACCCACCAGAUUUGAAUUGAUUUUUUUUCUUUUUGUUGAUUUGAUUUUUCUUUCUUUUUAUUAUUCUUUUGCUAAUUGAAAUUAUUUUUGCAUAAGUGUGUUUGUUUUACCAUUAAGUUUUCUUUUCUCUUAUCAUUGUUAAUCAUGAGUACCAUACUUAGACCGUUCCUCCUGAACAUUCUUAAACCACUUCAACGUGUCAAAACUCAUCUCAAAAAGCAGAUUCAAUUUUGUAAAACACAACGCAUUUGGGCUCUACAACCACCAGAGUUAGUAGCCUAUGUUGAGGGUUUAGAAUGCCAACUCAGAGACAUUGAGAGAAGUGUUUACGACAUCCAGUUAGAGCUUGAGGUAAAUUCAAUAAGAGGACGAUUUUAAUUUUCUUUGUGUGUUUUAAUUUGUUUUUCUGUUUGUGUGUUUUAGUUUGUUACCCCGGUGAAAUGGCGGAUAACGGUACUCCGUGACAAUCAAGUCGGUUACUUCAGUUUCCCAUAAUAACUGACAUUCUGAGGCGAAAGUAUGGACAGAAAAGAGAUUCUAGCAAAGCUUCACAAGCGAUUCCCUUCACUUCCUCAGAAUGCCCUCCUUACGAUCUAUAAAGCUCGGUCCGAACGCAUGCGAUUACUCAUGAAGAAUAACAUACCUGCUGACAUCCGUUGGUUAAUCGAGGCUAAAGUACGAUCGGCAGGUGAGUUUCCUCCAAAAUUUAUUGCAUACAUGCCUGGUUGUGGUAAAGGAAAUUAUGCAAGAAAACGACGAGCUCGAAGAAUUUCUGUUGCUUGUCAUAAGUGUGCUAGAAUGAGUUGCGAUAGAAACCCAUGUUCUUUAGGAAUGGUGUCUGAUAACAGGGAAGAUAAGAUUUAAUUCAUUAGGGAUGGCUUGAAUAAGGAGUCAUUGGAUGAUAUCCUUUUGUCUCUUGAAACGCAUCCUAGUGGAUAUGUGCAAGGAGCGAUUCUCCAGUUAUGGCCAUUAUUCCAGAAAGAGCAUGCACGAUAUAGUCUCGGGAAUCUGACUAUAAACGACCCUGUUUGCCAGUUUAUAAGAAAACUGGAUAGGAAGCCUAUCCUCGACCCAUAGAGGGCGUUCAAGCCGUUUCUGGACGUAAAACCAGAGGAAGAUGUGAGCCACAGUCGCAACUACGUGUAAAUAUCCUUUUACUUUACUGUUAUUUUAUUUCAUUUCACUGUUGUUUUAUUGUUUGCAUUAUUGUCUUUAAUAAUUUUGUUACUGUUUGCUUUUUCCUUUUUACUGUUUCCUUUUUGACUCACGAGCCACGUGCUUAACGCGUUAUUUGACACUGACAUGCCACCCCAUACACAGUUGUGACCCACUGUCACCAAGAUUCUUAAAUAUGACUUUUUGUUAAGCACUCACAAAUUGUUUCUGAGAAAUAUUCCAAUGGCAGCUACUCCUAAUAGACAAUUCAAGAACAUUUGUGUGCUUUCUGGAUUUACCUAUGGCAAACAUAAAGAGUUCGUGGAGGCAGCCAUAGAUCUUGGUCGAAGCAUAGCAGCGAGAAAAUUACACUUGGUGUAUGGAGGAGGUAACCGAGGGUUAUCAAAAAUGGUCUCAGAAGCAGCUUUUAUCAGAGGAAGUCAAGUGUUAGGCAUCAUCCCAAGAGUCCUAAAACCAUUGGGCAGUUCGUCUGACUCAUCAACUGGAGAAGAGUUAGUCGUCUCAGGUAUGCAAGAAAGAAUAACUGAAAUGCUUAAUCAUGCUGAUGCUUUUAUUUUCCUUCCAGGAGAUCUUGCAACACUAGAGGCACUUAUGACACUAGCAUCUUGAGCCCAUCUACACAUUCACCAGAAACCCAUCGGUUUGUUAAAUGUCAAUAACUUUUAUGAUGGCUUUAUCGCAUUUCUUAACCAUGCAAUAAAAAACUAUUUCAUUCCUUCUAAUGUGAAAAAACUCUUUAUUUGUGCUCACACUGCUAAUGAGCUACUUGAUAUGUUACAAGCUUAUAAACCGGAGCCAGACCCCUGGACCUUUGUGUUGGAGCGACCAAAUAAUGAUGGUAACAGUAGCCGCAGUAAGAAGUACAAAUUAGAUUUAACUCUCCGCCUGUAAAUAUUUUCUUCUGUGUUGCACCACCCAGGUGAUGUCUUCUAAACUCUACUUCUUUCAUUUCAAACAUUGAGGACAAUGUUUCGUUCUGGUUGGGGGGAGGGAAUAGUCGACAGUUGUGGAAUCUUGGUUAAAUUUUUACUGAUUUUUUGUUGUAGAAACUAACUGUUGCUAACUUUUUAUGUUGAAGAUGGCUGAAUAUGGAGUGUAGUGACUCUAGAAACGCAUUUUCAUCGUUUAAAAAAAAUUAAAAAAAAACUAAAAAAAAAUUUCAGACAGUUUCUUUUUUUUUUCUUUCUUUAUUCUGUUUUUAUGUUUAUUUUUCUUCUUUUUAAUUUCUCCUCUAUAAAUAUACAUUUUCCAACUUGUGAGUCGAAGAUGGCUGAAUAUGGAGUGUAGUGCCUCUAGAAACGCAUCUUCUUAAAAAAAAAAAAAAAAAAAACCCAUUUUCUUUUUCUAUCAUUUUACGUGUAACUUUUCUAAUUAGUUUUUAUGCAUCAUUUUCACAUUUCUGCAUGCAUAUUUUCCUUUCAUGUUUAGAAUAGGUUGGGGGGUAGAAUGUUGUUUAAAAAAAAAAAAAUUGUGUUAUUUGUUUUAACAUUGGAUGACAUGAUUAAUUUCAAAUUUUAGUAUUUGUAUUAUCUUUGGUCUUAAGUGAUGUUACGCUAUGUUUGCUACUUUACAUGUUGAUGUCGGAGACAAAUAUGAGUUGCUUGAAGGAAUGAACAUGUCAUAAAUAAGUGCCAAGUGAGUUGUUGAGCCUAUCAUUUUCUUGGAGAGUAACACUUUUGCCCAUUCUCUAUACAGCUUAGCAGUUUAUUAGUUUAUACACGAUCUCUAGAUUUCUUUUGAGUUAACCCUUUAAAAAAAAAUGUGUGUUGCUACAUUGGGAGACCCAUCUAACUAGUAGAUAUGGAUAAUUAUUUAGAGCCCUAAAAGACGAUGGAAAGGCCAUAUUUGAUCCGUUUGAGCCUUUCUAGCCAUCCCUUUUAUUAAAUAUCCAUAGUUACCCCUUUUGAGCCUUUUUUUAAAAAAAAAAGAGAACAAAAACAUUUUCUUUGUCAACUUAUCAUCUUGACCCACUCCGAUUUGGAGUAUUACCCAAUGUCUUUUAAGUUCCAUCACCUAUUUAUGUUUGAGAAAAUGUAAAUAAUGAUGUUGUUCAGUGAAGUUAUGCCAAAUAAAAGCAAAAAAAAAAAAAAAAAAACAAAAGUUGUUGUUUCAAAAGAAUAAAAAUAACAAUAAUAGGUGAAAUCCACCUUGCAACUUCAAAAAAAAAUAUAUAUAUUUCUGCAUUUUUCUCAAACAUACACUUUGUUUUCCUUAUUUCCUUUCUUUGUUAGCCAUAUCCCUAGCCUACGUUAUGUCCUAAUAAAAGUCCUUCUUGAUUUUAGGGAACUAUAGUUUGAAGUAGAAGCUAGUUAUAUGGGCUAAAAAGAUGUAGUGAUGCAUAAUAAAAAAAAAAAAGAUAAAUAAAGUGGGUUGACUAACAUUUUAUUUGACUUGAGAUCGUAUUAUUUCUAAGCUAAGGGCAUAUUUAUUUCAUCUUGGUGAGAGCAUGUGAUAUCACUUCUUCAUUAUUUUCUCUCAAUUACCAUUCAUUGGAGUGACUAUUUUUUUAGGUUUAAUUUCUUUGUGAGAGUGUCACUACUUCCAGUGAGAUUUUGGGUUUUGACAUGUCAUUCUUGAAAGUAGUUAUAACAAAGUCUACUGGCCGAUUCAUGUGGAUGGUUGAUGUGGGUGUGAUGUUGUUUUAGACUGGAGAUAAUACUUAUACUUUUAUUUGAUUGCUAUCAUUAAUCUGAUUGAAUAAACACGAGUGUUUCUAAAAAAAAAAAAAAAAAUUAUUUUGAAUUUGAAUUUUGUUUUCGCUUUAUUUGCUAGGGACUAACAUUAAGCUGGUUGGGGGGUGUGUUGAGUGUUAGAAAAUGCAUAUUUAUAAAGGAGAAAACCAUCAUUUUACAUUUCAAGUCUUACUAACAACUCUUACUUUUAUGUAUUUAACCUUCUUGUAAUAUAAUUACGUGUGUUUUAUUUUAAUUAAGUAUUUUAUGUAUUUUAGGGGCAUUAUAGUCAUUUCACAAUAAAGGAGAGAUCAGGCGGCAAAACGGACAUCACUUUUGAACUCAGGACGGUCGAAAACCUUAGGAGGAGCAUAAAAGGAAAAAUGGCACUAUUCAUAUGUACGGUACUAUUCACGUGUACGGUAUUAACUACGUUACUGUUCACAACACUGUUCACAUAGACGGAUCGAUGACGUGGCAUUGACCGAUGAUGUGGCAUUGACUGAUGAGGUGUCACGAUCCUGUUGAGCUAAAAUUCUUAUGUACUGUUGAUGGUGACGUGGCAGUAUAUCAGUGGAUGAAAAAUCUCGCGUACGGUACAUGCAUCACACAGGAUUAUUUUCAACCAAACCGCGUUACUGUUCAUCCGAGUCAAACCGUGUUACUGUUUAUCCGAGUCAAACCGUGUUACUGUUCAUCCGCGUGGUCAAACCGUGGACUGUUGACUUAUGACGUGGCGCAAUCCUGAGCGUCCAAACUGUUUUUAAUCCGAUGGCCAUGAUUUACUCCAUGUAUCUAUAAAAAGGGGGCCUUCCCCCCCUAAUUUGAUAGCUCUGAAUCCAUUUUUGGGAUCCAUUUUCUGUAAUUCCUUCUCCAUCUUGUAUUUUCUUUGUAUUUUAAUAAAUUCCCAUUUUGCCCCUAGUUCAAUUAUGAGUGGCUAAUUUUCUUUCAAGCUUGGGUUGAAGGUGAAGUCUCAACAUGUGUCAUGGGCUUAAUUUGGUAAAUUUAUUUUCUCUUCCCCUCUAGUUUUUGUGGAUGUUUUGACUUCUCGUCGACAAAUAAUAAUAAUCUUGUCUAGAUACCGCCUUGGUUACACCGGCUCUCUAGUAUAAGGUUAUUAUUAUUUGGCACGAUAAGCCCUUAGCACCAUAUUGAUUAGAGCGUGGUUCAUGAGGUGUGGAUUCCCCCCUCAUGAUUUAAUUGGCAUUAAUAAAGAUUAUUUAGCCCAUGAUGCAUGUUGAUACGGAUCCAGAUACCCAAGUACGUCAUUUUAAUAGAAUUCUCUUCAAUUUAUUCUCGCCAUUUCAAUUCCAAUUUUAGAAUUUAUUCUCGCCAUUUUAAUUUAAGUUUUAGCAUAUCCCAAAUCAUUUCCACCACAAAUCCAAUCACCCAUUUACAAAAUUAAUUCUACACAAUUAAAAUCCACCUCCUCGUGGGAUCGACACUCGUCACCAUUAGUCUAUACUACAAUAGAUUCGUGCGCUUGCGAGUACAUUAAAAUUUGCACAACACACUUCAACAUGUUUAGUUCUGUCAUGAUGAAUAGGGUUAUGAGCAAUGUUUAUUGCUGCCUUGUUGUCACAAUACAACUUCAUAGGAACAUCAAUGAUAAUCUUCAAUUCUUCAAGUAGCUUCUUUAACCACAAAAGUUCACAAAUACCAUAUGCUACUGCUCUAAAUUCAGCUUCAGCACUGCUUCUUGCAACCACUGAUUGCUUCUUACUCCUCCAAGUUACCAAGUUUCCUCCCACAAAUGUGCAAUACCCUGAAGUUGACCUUCUAUCAAUAAUAGAUCCAGCCCAAUCUGCAUCAGUAUAUACUUCAACUUGCAUAUUGUUAUUUUUCUUGAAUAGCAGGCCUUUUCCUGGAGUUUUUUUCAGGUACUUGAGAACCUUGUAAACAGCUUCUAAGUGCUCUUUACAUGGAGAGUGCAUAAAUUGACUAAUAACACUUACUGCAAAGGCUAUGUCUGGCCUAGUAUGAGACAAGUAUAUCAACUUACCAACCAACCUUUGGUAACUUUCUCUAUCCACUGAUUUUCCUUCAAUUGCAUAUCCCAAUUUGUGAUAAGGAUCAAUAGGAGUGUCUCCAGGUUUGCAUCCCAACAUGCCAGUUUCCUUGAGUAAGUCUAAAGUAUAUUUCCUUUGAGAAACAAAAAUGCCUUUACUGGAUCUUGCAAUUUCCAUGCCCAAAAAAUAUCUUAAGGGGCCAAGGUCCUUCAUCUCAAAUUCUCUAGCAAGAACCUUCUUGAGAUUUUCCAUUUCUAUUACAUUGCUUCCAGUCAAGAUGAUAUCGUCUACAUAUACAAUGAGGAUCACAACACUACCAUCAGUGAAGUGUUUAAAAAACAUUGUAUGAUCUGCUUGACUCUGUAAAUAUCCAAAGCUAUGAACAGAUUUGGUAAAUCUGUCAAACCAAGCUCGAGGAGAUUGUUUUAAGCCGUAAAGUGAUCUCUUCAGCUUGCACACUUUUUCAAUACCAUAUUCAUUCUCAAAACCUGGUGGCAGAUCCAUAUAUACCUCUUCUUCAAGCUCUCCAUUAAGAAACGCAUUCUUAACAUCUAAUUGUUGUAGUUGCCAUCCUAAGCUUGCUGCAAGAGACAACAAAACCCGAAUGGAAUUCAUUUUUGCCACGGGAGCAAAUGUUUCUUGGUAGUCAAUGCUAUAUGUUUGUGUAAAACCUUUCGCGACAAGCCUAGCUUUGUACCUCUCAAGUGACCCAUCUGCUCUGUAUUUAACUGUAAAAAUCCACUUGCAACCCACUGGUUUUUUUCCUUCUGGUAAUUUAACUAGUUCCCAAGUUUUGCUUUUUUCUAGAGCUCUCAUCUCUGCAUACCCAGCAUCUCUCCAUUCUGGAAUAGAAAGAGCAUCUUGUACAGAUUUUGGAAUUGCUAUGACAGACAGGUUAGCUGCAAAAGCUCUAAAAGAUGGAGAUAAUCUAUGAUAUGACACAUACUUAGAAAUUGGAUGAAGAGUACAAGACCUAGUUCCUUUUCGUAGUGCAAUUGGAACAUCUAGAUCAUUUGUAGUUUCUAAAACAGAUUCUGAAAUAGGAUUAGAAUGAAUGUUACCUGCAAGUUCCAAGUUGCCUGUGUUUGGAUCCGAGUCUUGGCAGUGAGGAGAGGAAUGAUGAUUUGACCUUUUCGAAUUCCGUCGUGUGUAGACUUGAAGCUAUGGUUCUGGAACUCUCUCUAAUGAUUUUUCAUUAUUCAUAAUUGAUGGCAUUGUAGAAGGAACAUGAGGUACACAAGACAUAAUAGGCAUUGGAAGAGAUAAUUCCCAAAAAUGAUCUUCCGGAGUAUGAUUCUCCCCCUGAAGAGAAGUUUUGGGAAAGAAAGAUCUAUUUUCAAAAAAUGUGACAUCCAUUGUGAUGAAGAAUUUUUUAGACAAUGGAUCAUAACAUUUGUAGCCUUUUUGAGUAGGAGAAUAGCUAAGAAAUACACAUUUUAAAGCUCUAGGAUCAAGUUUGCUCAUGUUCUAUGUAUGAAUGUGAACAAAAGCAAUGCACCCAAAAAUCUUGGGUGGUAAAGAUGUGAAAAACUUAGCGGUAGGAUAGAAUUUUGUGAAAACAUUUAAUGGAGACUGAAAAUUAAAGAUUCGGGUAGGCAUGCGAUUUAUCAAGUAUGAUGCUGUGAGAAUGGCUUCACCCCAAAACUGUUUUGGCACCCUAUUUGUGAACAUAAGAGAGCGUGCAACUUCUAACAAGUGUUGAUUUUUCCGUUCAGCAAUACCAUUUUGCUGAGGAGUAUCUACACAAGAGGAUUGGUGCACAAUGCCAUUUUCCAUGAAAUAAUGACCAAGGGCAGUAGAAAAAUAUGCUCUCCCAUUGUCAGUUCUAAAGACUUGGAUUUUUGCUUGAAAUUGUGUUUGAAUCAUGGUAUGAAAGGUUUUAAAAACUGUUGCAGUUUCUGAUUUUUCUUUAAGCAAGUACACCCAACAAACACGAGUGUGGUCAUCAAUAAAAGUUAUGAACCAUUUAGCCCCCGAAAUGUUUGUAACAUGAGAGGGUCCCCAAAUAUCACUGUGUAUGAGAGAAAAAUGUUCAGAUUUUUUAUACGGCUGUGAAGGAAAAGAUACACGAUGAUGUUUGGACAAUACACAAAUUUCACACUGAAACAAAGAAGGAUUUUUAUUCUUGAACAACAAAGAAAACAAGUGUUGUAAAUAAGAAAAACUAGGAUGACCUAAUCGGAGAUGCCACAACAUUAUUUUAUCUUUAAUAGAGAAAGUUAGUUCAUUAUUUGUUGCCUGAGCUUCUCCACACAAACUAACAUCCUCCUCGAAGUAGUACAAACCAUCUACCUCUCUAGCACUGCCAAUUUUCUUCCCUGAACACAGGUCCUGAAAUUCACAAUAGGAAGGAGAGAAUUUAGCAAUGCAAUGAAGAUCCUUGGUAAUUUUGCUAACAGAUAAAAGAUUACAAGACAAAUUAGGAACAUGAAGAACAGAUGUUAACACCAAAUUUGUAGAGAUAGGAAUAGAUCCUUUUCCUGCUGCAGAAGAUAGUGAACCAUCAGCAAUUUUAAUUUUUUGACUACCAGGACAUGGAAUAUAUGAAUAAAAUAAUUUAGAAUGGCUAGUCAUAUGAUCGGUUGCUCCUGAAUCGAUGAUCCAUGGAUCUUUUUUCUCAUAAACAACUCCUAAAGCACUGAAAUCAUUACCUUUCUGGGCUAAAGAACUAGAAGAUGAAGGAUUUGGGAGAGAUUGUGACUGAUUAAGAAACUUGUACAGUUGCUCUAACUGUUCUUUAGUGAAGAGUUGAGAUUCGGAUUCUCCAGUGUUGAUUGUCGGCUGAUUCUCCCCAAAAACUUGAAAACCUCGACUAUGUUUACCAGAGAAUUUAUUGUUUUUCAAAUUUGGAGGUUUUCCAUGAAGCUUCCAACAUGCAUCUCUGGUAUGUCUUGGCUUGUGACAAUAAUCACACCAAACUCUGUCCUUCUCAUCACUCUUCUUCAGGUUUUUUGUUCCCCCAAUCAGUGGAGCUUCUGGUGUAACAGAGAUCAAGGCUGAGUUCUCUGCUGAAGAACCUCCCAUCAUCACAUUCUUUCUACUUUCCUCUCUUUUUACAUAAGAAAACACUUCCCUGGUAGAAGGAAGAGGUUCCUUGCCAAGUACUCGCCCACGGACUUCAUCAAGGUCUGAACUCAAACCUGCUAAGAAUUCAAAUACACGCUCUUUUUCUAACAUCUUCUUGUAUUUAGCACUAUCAGCAGCACAUUCCCACUCGCCAUCAUAGUACUGAUCUAACUCUUGCCAUAAGCCCUUCAAAAUAUUGUAGUAUUUAGUCACUCCUUGACUACCUUGUUUGGUUUCUCGAAUUCUGGUUUUCAGAUCAUAAAUCUGAGCAGAAUUUCCCAAAUCAGAAUAGGUCUCGGUGACAGCAUCCCACAAAUCCUUUGCUGUUGGCAGAAACAAGUAAGUUUGACCUAUCUCCGAUUCCAUUGAAUUCACUAACCAUGACAUGAUCAUUGAGUUGUCAGCAGCCCAAGUAUGAAACUUUGGGUCUUCUUCAGUUGGUUCUUUAAUUGAACCAGUAAGGUAACCAAUCUUCCCUUUACCUCUGAUAAACAUCUUCACAGAUUGGGACCACUGAAGAAAAUUUUGACCAUUCAAUUUAUGGAUUGUGAUCUAAAGUGAUGGACUAUCAUUAGAAACAUAACUUGAUAGUUGUAGAUGUCGUUGCAAUUGCUCUGAAGAUAACUCAGAAGUUUCUUGCUCGCUAUACUUUGAUAUUGGUAUUCAAAUAGAAUUGAAAACUAAAUCCAAGAAUCAAAGAGCGACUCUGAUACCAUGAGAAAAUUAUUGAAGAAAUAUGUAUCUCCUUUUCUUAUUUUUACAAUAGGGUUACACAAUACAUAUAUAUAUAUUCUAAACUACAUAAUGUGCUAGAGUAGGAAAGUAAACAACUAACUGCAGACCAAGAAACUAGGAAACAAACUCUAUCUAAAAAACUGAAAUUCUAUCCCUAUUUUUUUUCCUUUCUAUCCCUAUCUUUUUUCCUUAAAAAUAGGAUAGAAAACAAGUGACUUUUCCACAGCCCUUUUGGACAAAAAUGAUUUCCUGCUAAUUUUGAGAAUAAAACCAUAGACAUCUAACUUCUGAUAUCUAGUCAAUCUGGUAAAAUCUUGGCAGUUGCACUUGGGGCAUAAAUUAGUUCCACCUUGGUUUAAGGACAGAAAUUCGUCAUAUGCAUGUAUUUAUUUAUGUUUUAUACACACACACAUGCAUGUACACACAAACACUACCUUCACUUUGAAGAAAAGAUUAAAAUAACACUGCUCACAUACACAAUACUUACUAUUCUAGUUCGUGUAACUUUCUCCGGAGUCACAAACAGGUCACAGAAUUCACGUAUUAACCGCAUACUUCUAGUCAUUUCUAUUCCUCCUUCACCAUCACUUGUCCCACAAUUACAAAAAGUGAGAGGUAAUAACCAACAUAUUUGGGUUGCUCUUCGGUAAGGGGUGGGAGGUAAGGGUUAGUUGUGGAGGGCACCUAGUACAGAAUCAAGGCCAGCUGUUGGGAAUUUGAUCUCCUGUAACAUAUACUUGUUCAUCAUAAACUAUAUACUUAUUCUGCAGUCGAUGUGUGCAUAUAGCUCUUCAAUUAUCCAGUAAUAACUCACCAUCAACUUCCUGCCAUCUUUCACGGCUAAUUCAGCAGCCAUUUUUGCCUGCUUAAAGGUCAAAAGCCCAAACUAAGCAGAUGCUCCUACUCCGAUACUUAUUAUCUAACUACUACAGAACAGAUGAUACGCAUCAAGUUGUAUCAAGAGAGACACCAAGUUGUGUUUUCCAAGAGGUUCCAAAGAGGUUUUGUUUCUUUGUGUAAUUUUUAGACUGCUUUGACAACUCAUCUUAAAGGUGCCACUCAUCCAAUAUGAUGUGGUGACAGUAGUUUAGAGUUUUAAACUAAAUGCAGAGCUAAUAGUAUUUUGGAAUAUAAUCAUCCUAAGAUACUAUAACACAGGGAUUCUUACACAAAAACAACAACUUCGAUGUAGAGAGAAGAUGAUUUCACAAAAGCAGAUGUUUUGAUUUAAGUCUCCAAAACCCCCACCAAAGAAAUGUUCAACAGAUAUAGAAAUAUGAUCCACAUAUCUGUAACUUAAACUGUGAAAGUUGUUGAUGUUGUUCUAAAAUUGCCACAAUCUAUCUACCCCAUGAAUGUUUUUGGAUAAAACAACAAGCAGGACCCAAUGCCUGUUUUCUAAUAGCUUCAAAAAGGCCAAAUUGGUUUUGAAAUGUCUCCAGCUUUUCAUUUAAUAAGAGAGAGAGAGAGAGAGAAGAAUCGCUCCCCUUUCAAAUACCGUGCUCUUUUGUACCUGGGAAUUUAACUAAUUCUUGCGAAUAAAAAAAUUUAUAAAUUUGGUAAAUUAUUUAUUAAAAAAUAUUGAGAGGCUGUGCAUUAUUUUAUUAGUAAAGAUAUAGUUAUCAUCAAAUUAGUUAUAUUAAAAUAGUUUUUGACUCACGUAAUUUAUUUUUAUUAUUUUUAUAUAUAUAUUUAAUUAAUAAAUUUAUGUUAUAUUCAUUUGUAUAAAAAUGUACAGUUCUAUCCUCACUCUUAUUUUAUUUUUAUUAUUUUUUCAGAAAAUGGUAUGCGUUAUUAAGGUUAAGGGUGACAACUGGGAUCAAUAUACGGUUUAUUCGAGUGCUUAAAACCUAAUAAAUAUCCACUAACUCAUAUUUAAUUAAAAUAUAAUUAUUUUUAAAUAAAAAAAUUUAAUAUAAACUAAACAAAUUGAUUGGAUUUUGUUUCUAAAGGUACAUCAUUAGAACGUUACCUUUAAUUGAACAAAAGCACACAUAACUAGCACAUUCGCCACAAAAGCCUCAGCUUAGUGGUCGGCUUAUUAAUUAUCUUAAUAAAAUCAUGGUCAUAAAUUUGAGUCCCCGUAGGAAUUAUUAGGUUAGGUAGCUUUUUUAGACUACAAAAGCUUUUUUAGACUACUCAUUCAUUUAAUUUUCCGUUAUAUAUAUUCAUCUUUUUUAGAGGCCAAGAAGUCUUCGACAGAAAUGUGAUCUUUUUCUAGUUGCCUCCCGGUGAUGAGCUUCUCCCAAGUUUCAAUUAAUUCGCUUUGAGUGAGGAUAUUUUCUGGUGGCCUCAAAUACAAUGUCUUGUUCAGCACUCAAGGGUCAUCUAUUGUCUUAAUAGUAUAUGUGGCAACAUCAUCAAGAUGCACUAUAGAAAAAAAGAUAAUCAUUUUGUUUAAUAUGAACAUAAAUUCUUACAGUCUAACUCAUAUUAUAGUGAACGAUGCUGUUAUGUGGUGCGUGCAUGCACUAUCUAUAGUUUUAAUAUUAUUAAUAAAGAGUUAAAAGUCUUGAUUUAAUUUUAAAUUGUCAUUCCUCUAACUUCACCGUCUUCAUAGAUGCAGACUUUAUCUUUUGAAGGGUGAGGGUAGCUAUAUUUGAGAGAGGUGUCUAGGGAACCAACCAGCAAAAAACAGCUAGCAGAAACAUAAAUGACAGGGAUUUGAGCAGCCUUGAUUGCCCUUCUCACACAUGCGCUCUGCGUUCUCCCUCCCGCUCUCACUCACUCACGCCCAAAUCUCACCUCACUCACGCAUCUCUCCUUCUGACCGGUGGUUUUCUCUCUCUCGCCGUGGGUCUCAAGGCUGGCAGGGAUUUCUCGACUUGACUACUAAAACAUAAUCCAAAAACUACUAAGAGAUGUAUAUAUUACUCUGAUAUACACAAUAUGAAGAAACUGCAGUUAUAUUUCAAAUAUUAUAUGAAGGAAGAGGCUGUAUGGAUUAUCUAAAGGUGCUGAAAUUAAGAGACCUAUUGAAAAGUCAUGCAUGUGGUAAUUUUUCAAAGAGCUACCAAACAUUUGAAGAAAAAAUGGAAAGUUGGCAAAUUUGUCAAAUUUGCCAAAUGGACACCAUUGACUAUUGGCUUAGGUUAGGUGGAAUGGUAAAGGGGUUGGUGCAAUAGUGCCAUUAUUUUUCCUAUAAAUAGAUGGCACUUUUUCCAUUCUUUUGCAUCCCAAAAUUGUUAAGCUUAUAAGUUUCUAAGCUUUUGAGAGAAGUGAGAGAAGUGUGUCUGGGGAAUUUAUCUUUCCUGCAGAGUGUGAGAGUACUGGGUAUAUUUUGGGUUUCUGGGAAGUGAGAUUCGUUACUCAAAUAUUGUACUCUAUUAAUUGUUAAAUAAACAAUUAUUCUUUCUUGCCUCCGUGGAUGUAGGUUUAAUUACCGAACCACAUAAUUCUUGUGUCCUUUAUUUUUUCUAUAAUUAUUUGGUGCGCUUGAUUCCGCAUUCCAAGCACAACAAGUGGUAUCAGAGCCGAAGGUUCGUACUUGGGGGGAUACGGUACUGUUCACGUAUACGGUACUAUUCCCAUAUACGGUACUGUUCACGAAUACGGUGGAGACGGCCAUUUGUACUUGGGAGACAGUCUAUUGUAAGUAGUGUGUAUUUUUGCAUGUUUAGGAAAGUUCUGUCAACAAAGGCGAUAAGAGUCUAAGGAUUCUGGUUUUUAAUUGGGACCGAGUUCCCGUCCAGUUUCUUGGGAACUUUCCUGGUGCAUUUAUUCAUGCGAAAUUAACAUCAUAGAGACUGUUUUUCAAGUGGAAAUAGUUCGUUGAGAAAAUGGUAGAAGGUGAAACUUCCAGAAUUGGGGAGAGAUCUACCGAGACUAUUUCAGGAGACACUUCAGGUGGGAGACGAGAUUUGUCAAAUCGCUAUUCAGCACCUGUUAUAGGAGGUCAGAAGAUCGAUGUUGAAAAGUUUGAUGGGAAAAUCAACUUCGGCAUGUGGUGGCGCGAAGUUAUGGAUGCCCUUAUUCAAAUCGAUCUCGAUGUUGUUCUGAAAAAUAAAAGACACUUGUAUGAUGAAGAAAUUUGGGAUCGUAUGAAUGAAAAAGCUUGUGGUUAGAUCAGAUCUUGUUUGACCAAGGAGGUGAAAUACUUGGUGAAAGAUGAGGAGUGUGCGGUAACUUUGUGGCGUACAUUAGAGGAAAAGUACUUGGUGAAAAGUCCUGAAAAUCGCCUUCAUGCAAUGAGCCAAGUAUAUGGUUUUCGAAUGAAGCCUGGGGUGUCAAUGCACGAUCAUGUUUCAAGAUUUGAAAAGUUACUUGCUGAUUUGAAGAAUCUUGAUGAAGAUAUUAAGGAUGAAGUCAAGGCUAUGAUUCUGUUACACUCACUACCAGAGGAAUAUAGCCAUUUUGUGACUACUUUGAUAUAUGGGAAGAGUGUGAUCGUCUUCAAAGAUGUUUGCACAACAUUGACUAGCUUAGAGAUUCGGAAUAAUGAUAAAAAUUCUGAACGAGCAUCGUCUGAAGCUUUAGUGAGCAGAGAUUGGGCGAUGGAGAAACAGAAGAAGCGUGGUGGAAAGAACUCUCGAUCCAAAUCGAGAAGCAGAAAUAUAGCUCGAGAUGAGUGUGCCUUUUGUCAUGAAAAGGGCCAUUAGAAGAAAGAUUAUCCAAAUGCUCAAAAGAGAGAUGGGAAGAAACCAGCAGCAGCAAACAUGGCACGGAAAGAUGAGGGAUCUGAUUAUUCACUAAGUAUUACUCCUGCAGCAUACGUGGCUAGUUCGAGCGAGUGGAUACUUGAUACUGGAGCAACCUAUCAUUUGUGUCCCAUUAAGGAAUGGUUUACGGAUUUCAACGUAUUGGAAUCUGGUGCAGUUGUGAUGGGGAAUGAUCAACCUUGUCGCACAAUGGGGAUAGUAACAAUUCGGCUCAAAAUGUUUGAUGGAAUGGUCAGAGAACUCAAAAAGGUUAGAUUUGUUUCAGCUUUAAAGAAAAAUCUAAUUUCUGUGGGUGCUUUAGAAGCUAAAGGCUACAAGGUUACCAUUGAAGAUGGUAUAAUGAAGUUUACACAUGGGGCUAUGGUGAUUCUGCAAGGGGUUCGGCGUCACAAUCUGUACUAUUUGAAGAGAGGUACAACUGAUGAAGCAAAUGUUGUUGAGGCACACAGUGACACCACCAAGCUAUGGCAUGUACGACUAGGACAUGCUAGAGAGAAGUCUUUGCAAACUCUGAUAAGGCAUGGACUCUUAAAAGGUACCAAAACCUGUAAAUUAAAUUUUUGUGAGCAUUGUGUAGUAGGCAAGAAAACAAGGGUUAAGUUUGGUACAGCUAAUCACGAUACUCGUGAGAUCCUUGAAUAUGUUCAUAGUGAUGUAUGGGGACCAACCAAGACUGCAUCAAUUGGUGGAAGCCAUUAUUUUGUUACAUUUGUUGAUGAUUUCUCUAGAAGUGUGUGGGUGUACACCAUGCGAGCAAAUGAUGAGGUUCUAGAGAUUUUCGUGAAAUGGAAGAAAUUGGUGGAGACUCAAACUGGAAGAAAGAUCAAAGUAUUACGAUAUGAUAAUGGGGGUGAAUAUACUUCUGAUCCAUUCUUGCAAGUAUGCCAGAACGAGGGUAUUAAAAGACAUUUCACAGUGAGACAUACUCCGCAACAGAACGGUGUGGCUGAGCGUAUGAAUCGUACUUUACUGGAGAAGGUAUGGUGUAUGUUAUCUAAUGCUGGUUUAGAUAAAAAGUUUUGGGCUGAAGUUGUGAGCUACGCAAGUCACUUGGUAAACCGGUUGCCUUCUGCUGCAAUUGGAGGUAAAACUCCUAUGGAAAUGUGGUCUGGAAAGCAUGCACAAGACUAUGAUUCCCUUCGUAUAUUCGGGUGUCCAGCUUAUUAUCAUGUCAAAGAUGGUAAACUAGAUCCUCGUGCUAGAAAAGCUAUCUUUGUGGGAUUCAAAGGUGGAGUAAAGGACUUCAAGCUUUGGGAUCUCGAAGAUAAAAAGUUUGUGUGUAGCAGAAAUGUCACAUUUGAUGAAGCUUCAAUGAUGAAAGCUUCAAGUUCUCAGCAGGUGGAGAACAAGACCAAAGAGGUAUUGCUGCGGGUGGAGUUUGAUGCAACUCCAUAUGUACCAGUUAGUUCUACAUCAAAGAAGAGUUCAACUAUAGAGGUGACACCUAGAGUUGAAGAAGAGGUUGUUUCUUCUGAUGUCCCACAAAAUGAAGAAACAAUUGAUAAUGUAGAUAAUGAUGAUUUUAUAGCAACAAGGAGGCUAAGAAGAGAGAUAAAGAAACCCGGAUGGCUUACUAAAGAUAUGGUGGUAGCCUAUGCACUUCCAGUUAUUGAUGAUGACAUCCCCAACACUUUCGGUGAAGCAUUACGCAGCAGUGAAAGUGAUCAGUGGAAGUUAGCCAUGGAGGAAGAGAUGAAAUCUCUCCAUCAAAACCAGACUUGGGAACUUGUAAAGUUACCAAAAGGGAAAAAGGCUAUUGGCAAUAAAUGGGUCUACACCAAAAAGCAAGGAUCUCCGAAUAAAAUAACUCCUCGAUACAAGGCAAGGCUCGUGGCAAAAGGUUUUGCUCAAAAGGAAGGUAUUGACUACAAUUAAGUUUUCUCUCCAGUUGUAAAACAUACUUCCAUUCGUAUCCUACUUGCCUUAGUUGCAGAAUAUGAGUUAGAGUUGGCUCAAUUGGAUGUUAAGACCGCGUUCAUACAUGGAGAUUUGGAGGAGGAAAUCUAUAUGAUUCAGCCUUGUGGUUUCAAAGUUGCUGGAAAAGAGAAUCAUGUGUGUAGGUUGAUUAAAUUUUUGUACGGACUGAAGCAAUCGCCAAGGCAGUGGUAUAAAAGAUUUGAUCAAUUUAUACAAGGGCAGAAAUUCACCAGAAGUGAACACGAUCAUUGUGUUUACUUUAGAAGACUACCAGAUAGAGCUUUCAUCUAUUUGUUACUCUAUGUCGAUGAUAUGCUUAUAGCUUCGAAGAAUAGAGAUGAGAUCGAAAGAUUAAAAAAGCAACUGGCUUCUGAGUUUAAGAUGAAAGACUUGGGUGAUGCACAGAGAAUACUUGGGAUGGAGAUUCGUAGAGACAAGAAGAAUGGGAGCGUAUGGUUGACUCAAAAGUCUUAUUUGAAGAAAGUGCUAGAAAGAUUCGGUAUGGAUGACAAAACUAAACCAGUAUGUACACCUCUAGCUUCUCAUUUCAAAUUAAGCUUUUCUUCAUGUCCUAGAUCUCAAGAGGAGCGUGAUUAUAUGGCUCGUGUUCCAUAUGCUAGUGCUGUGGGUAGUCUUAUGUAUGCUAUGGUAUGCACAAGGCCCGAUAUAUCUCAAGCAGUGAGCAUGGUUAGUAGAUACAUGCAAAAUCCGGGUAAAAAUUAAUGGCUUGCGGUAAAGUGGAUUCUCCGAUAUCUGUAUGGGACAGUUGAUGUUGGGUUAUUGUUCAAGAAGGAUUGUGGUCAACAAUGUGUUGGGUAUUGUGAUUCUGAUUUCGCUGGAGACCUUGACAAGCGAAGAUCAACAACGUGCUACGUAUUCACAUUGGGUGGAGGUCCGGUUAGCUGGAGGUCGAUUCUACAAUCGACAAUUGCUCUGUCCACUGCGGAAGCAGAGUAUAUGGCAGCAACUGAAGCUAUAAAAGAAGCUAUCUGGUUGAAAGGUUUAUUAGGUGAUUUGGGAGUAAUCCAGGAGAACAUUGCGGUCUUAUGUGAUAAUCAAAGUGUGAUAUUCCUUGCGAAGAAUCAAACAUAUCACGCUCGGACGAAGCACAUAGAUGUGAAAUAUCAUUAUGUGAGAGAGAUUAUCGAGAGCGGUGUUGUGUUGUUGAGAAAGAUCGAUACCAAAGAUAAUCCAUUAGAUAUGUUGACGAAGGUAGUUUCUGGAGUUAAGUUUCAACAUUGCUUGAAAUUAAUUCAAAUCCUUCGAUUGUGUUAAGAUAUGUCCUUCGGGAAUUUUGAACUACGGUUGGCUUGAUCCCAAAUUUUGGGUACGUAGGCAGUCAUAGAGAUGCAGCCACUUUGGGGAUGAUGAUUGGUUGGUAGUCGGCUCAGAUUUGGACAAAUUUUCACCGAGGUGGAGAAUUGUUGAAAAGUCAUGCAUGUGGCAAUUUUUCAAAGAGCUACCAAACAUUUGAAGAAAAAAUGGAAAGUUGGCAAAUUUUUCAAAUUUGCCAAAUGGACCCCAUUGACUAUUGGUUUUAUGUUAGGUGGAAUAGUAAAGGGGUUGGUGCAAUAGUGCUAUUAUUUUUCCUAUAAAUAGAUGGCACUUCUUCCAUUCUUUUGCAUCCCAAAAUUGUUAAGCUUAUAAGUUUCUAAGCUUUUGAGAGAAGUGAGAGAAGUGUCUGGGGAAUUUAUCUUUCCUGCAGAGUGUGAAGUACUGGGUAUAUUUUGGGUUUAUGGGAAGUGAGAUUUGUUACUCAAAUAUUGUACUCUAUUAAUUGUUAAAUAAACAAUUAUUCUUUCUUGCCUCCGUGGAUGUAGGUUUAAUUACCGAACCACGUAAUUCUUGUGUCCUUUAUUUUUUCUAUAAUUAUUUGGUGCGCUUGAUUCCGCAUUCCGCGCACAACAAGACCCACACCAACCGACAGACCCCCGGUGAUAGAGAGAAAGUCGACUGUGAGAUGCAUUCAAGACGGGGGAAGAGUGAGAGAGAAAACUGCCCGGUCAGAAGGAGAGAUGCAUGAUUGAGGUGAGAGAUUUGGGCGUGAGUGAGUGAGGAGUGAGGGAGAGGGUGCCGCGUGUGUGGGAUGCGUACAAUGACAAUUUAUACUUACAUCAAAACGCCGCGUUCGGUGCCAUGUGUAGGGCUAACUGUGGUUUGAAUCUCACUUUGGUAAUGGAAAUGACUUUGCAAUUGACAGUUUUUGUCAAAAGUUCGCACUGCAUGAAACUAGUGUUAAUAUAAUUUAAAAAAUUAAUUUCAGUAUUAAUUUUUAAAGUUUUAAUUAUUAUAUUUAUUUUAAUAAUAGAUUUAUAUUUAUUAUAAAAAUUUUAGUUAAAUAUUUGUGUUAAAUGGAAUUUAUAAUUAAUAUAAUAGAUCUUAGGUAUUAAUAUAUUAUAAUUAUUCUAUAUGCUAUUGAAAAUCAUUUAUAUUUUUAGACGUUUAUUUUCAUAUUAAGUUUCUAUUUAUUUUAAAAUUUAGUUUAAUAUAAUAUAAGCAAGUAAAGUAUUAAAAUAUUUUUUAGUAUUAUUUAAAAUAUUAAAAUAAUUUUAAAAUAUAAGUCAAAUUUUUAAGUGAAUAUAACUAAUAUUUACAGCUAUUUGAUGGCCUCAACAAGCUAAAGCAGCAUCAAAAUUUGUGGCUCGUUAAUUUAUUUUUUCCCUUUCAAAAAGGGAAGAGGAUAAGUUUGGAAGAAUGAUUAUAUUUUUAAUAAAUUCUUUUUUAUUAUAAUACUUUUUGUCUUUAUUAAUUUAAAAAUAUUGACUCUUAUAUUUUAAAAAAUAUAAAUAUAAUAUUAUAAUAAAAUAUAACAAUAUAUAUCAAAUAUUUAAAAAAUUUAAUAUUUUAAUAUUUUAUAUUAUAUUAAAAUAAAUUUUUAAUAAAUAAAAAUAAUCUAUUAAAAUAAAGUACAAAAAUUUAAAUUAUUUUCAAUAUCAUCUAAAAUAAUUUUACUAUUAUUAAUGCAUGAAAUAUAUUAUAGUAAUUGUAAAUUUCAUUUAACUCAAAGAUUUAUUUAGAAUGUUCAUAAUAAGUCCAAAUAUAUUAUUAAAAUAAUUAUAAUAAUUUACAUUUUAAAAAUUAAUACUGAUAUUAAUUUUUAAAUUAUAUUACUCUACCAGAAAAAUUAAACUAUUAAAUUAUAUCAAUAUUUAUUAAAAAAUUUUGAAAUUAAUUCUUGUUAUAUUUUUAAUUGGAAUUUUUUCAUGUGAUAUAACCAGAAUUGCUACAAUUUUUUUCCCUAAUUAAAGAUGGAGUUAUAAAUUAUUUGUAUAAGUGUCUGUGUGGAAACUAAUGUGACAUGAAAGUAAUAGCUGAAUAACAAUAAUGGGCCGAUUUCAAUUCUUAAACAGACUUGUCCUUCAUCCCAAUUUAUUUACCCCAUUUGGGCCGGUUAUGACAUAAACAUAUUCUUGUGGAAUGAAAAACAUCAUGAGAAGAAAAUGUUUUAUUAUAAUAGAAAAAAGUGGUCCAUAAGUCUAUUCAUUACUUUUUUUAUUCAAUAUAAAUGGCUAACUUUAAAAAUGGUAAAAAUCACAUAACGCGCAAACAUAUUUUAGAUUUAUAUUUUUUAAUACUCUCCGAGUCUCUCUUUCUCUUUUUCUUUUUUUAAAUAAAUGUCAGUAUAAAAUUUAAAAAAAAUUUAGAUAUAAAAUUUGGCAAUGACCAAACAAAAAUUGCAGAGGAAACCUUGAUAUCAUUGAAAUACUGAUAAUAGACACUACAGUAUAAAUAACUUGUUGUGAUCCACUCAACUUGUAACACUUUAAUCCAUAUUCUAAAAUUUUCAUGUUUGUUAGGAUUUUUAUUAUUGAUACUACUGUAUCAAUAAAAUUAUAAUUUAUUCAUAUGGAAUGAAAACAUCAAGAAAGGACCUCUGAUGUUUAUUGUCAUAGAAAAAAGUGGUCCAUAAGUCUAUUAAUUAUUUUAUUUAUUCAAUACAAAUGGCCAACUUAAAAAAUGGUAAAAAUCACACAAUGCACAAGUAAAAUUUUACAAUUACAUUUUUUAAUUCUCUUUGAGUCUCUCUCUCUCUUUAAAAAAUAAACCUCACUGUAAAAUUAGAAAAAUUUUAGACGUAAAAUUUGACAAUCACCAAAUAGAAAACAUAGGGAAAUGAAAAUGGAGGAGCCCUAUUUUCAUUAGAAUAUUGAUCAUAGAUACUAUAAUGUAAAUGAUUUGUUGCGAUUCCUUCAACUUGUCACACUCUAAGCUAUUUUCUAAAAUUUGUAAGGUUUAUAGGAUUUUUAUUACUGCCAUCAUUGUAUCAAUAAUAUUAUAAAUUAUAUAUUCUAUUGUAAUGAAAAUUUGUGUAAUCUUAGGUAUUUAUUGUAUUAAAUUGUGUGGAUUAAUUAAGAAUAUUUUUGGAGACAAAAGAAGUGUGUGUACGUAGGAUUAAUGAUAAAAAAUUUCUAAAUAAAGGUGAUUGCUUCAUUGACAAGUACAUAUUUAUAUUCCUCUAUUAAUAUUUGGGUUGUAAACUCUAUAAUAAAGUUGGUUGGUGUGAGUGGUUCGGCACUCUCACUCUUUAAGAGAGGUCGGGAGUUCAAGCCUCGCUCUCGUAUGGAGUCACCACUUUGGCCAGCACUUUACCUCUUAUGGGCCGACCCGGUGCGAGUGGGAAUUAGUAUGGGUUGUGGUAUGGGCUUAAAGGUGUCUCCCACAGUUGGGGCCCACUCAGGACCACCUCGUGAUUCAAACAAAAAAAAAAAGUGAAUAUAUUGUGGCAAGUGAUGUGGGCAAUAUCGGAUGCGAAAUAUUGAGAGAUCAUUAACGCAUAUAUUUAUUGAAGAUGCGUAUAGAGGAAAGAGUGUAGAUCCGGCCGUAACAAUUACGAAGCUUUCCCCAAGUAUACUCAUGCUUCCUUAACUGUUUCGAAGUAUUUUUCAUAGUGUGCAGAUUUACUUUAUGGUGUCUUUAAUUCAUCUUAAAUGAUUACUUUAUUGUUUUAGGAUGCAAUGUCAUUUAUUGUGUUAAUUUAAACAAUAGAAAAAAUAAGUAACAGUAACGAAAGACUAAUUUGUGAUAUUGAAGCGUACGGGCUUAACUCAAUCCAAAAAUUAGUAAAUUAGCUCAAGAGUUAAGAGUUGUCCAAAUCUUAUAUGAUGAACCCAAGUUUAAUACACAAUUGAUGCGGGAUGUUAUUCCUAACACCUCCCGUCAUGUGUAGGAUUGGCAAAAAAACUCGGGUCAGUCCCGCCUAAACCUACGAGCUUUAUGCAUGGCUCGCAUGAUGAAGUUACGGAUAUUAACCUAAAAAUUUGAAACUUACUAUGAAUGGCCUUGCUUAAAGACUUUUGCAACUUUAAUUUAUAACAAGUAUGUAUAUCUACACACACAUAAGCUUAGAUUGCAUUUGGAUGGCUUUUUUAAUCAAUUCAAACAAUCUGAAAUUUAUCAGAUUAAUCCAAAUCUUAUAUGUAUCCAAUUUUGCCCGCCCCUACUAUAUAUAAGCCCAAGUGACUCUCUUUUACUAAUUAAUAAGAGAAUUUUUGACCUUAUAUCCUUGUUGUGGCGUUAGACUGUUGGUUAUUUUGAUUGUUUCCUACCUUCCAUUUACGCCAGCUAUAACAUUGUAUUAUCACCAUUUUAGCCAUUUAAAUGAAAUUUUAUUUUUCAUUUUAUUGUGUCAAUACUAUCAUAAUUUAUUCAUUUUAUUGUAAUGAUAAUUUGUCUAGUCUUAGGUACUUACUAUAUUAAAUUAUGUAAAUUAAUUGAGAAUACUUUUAGAGACAAAAGAAACACGUGUAUGUAGGAUUAAUAAGCGAAGAGUUGUAAAUGAAGGUGAUUGCUUCAUUGAGAGGCAUAUUAAAUAAUUAUGGAGAGUUGCUCUAUUUCGGAAGCAUAUAUUUAUACUUCCCUAUCAGGAUUUGGGGUAAGCGAGGUGCUUUAUGUAUUGCAGUAACCAAAUGUGGGCAAUAUCAGAGCCGAAAUAUUGAAAGAUCAUAACGCAUAUAAACGAUUAGUAUAUUGAAGACACAUAUAGAGGAAAGAGUGCAGAUCCGGCCGUAACUAUUAUGAGGAUUUCCUCAAGUAUUCUCAUGCUUCCUCAACUGUUCUGAACUAUAUAUUCCUCAUUGUGGGCAGAUUUACUUAAAUACCAACACAAUGAUUCAAUACUUCAAAGGUCAAGGAAAUGUCAAAAUAUGAAAUGAAAAUACUUAAAUACCCUUCUACCUAACAAAACUUAGUACUUCUAACUGCCUUAGCAGAGAAUCUAUAAAAUUAAAAAAAAAAAUUCAUCCAUGAAAAGCUUCGUAACAGAAAAACCGUCUUUCAAAAAAUAAAAAAUAAAAAAUAAAAACAGAAAAACCGACUCAUUUAUCUGCCAAUGAACCAGUCAGGACUCAUUUAAAAAAGAUUACAAAGCAAAAGUAAAUGACACAAAUUGCAUAGAUAUCUCGGAGCCGCAUCAAAGGACAAUGGUGUUAAUUUGUCCGAGUAAUAAAUUCUCCUUGGUCAAAAGCAAUUAACGAUGAAAACUUUCUUCAUUAAGGUUCUGGCCUACGUAAAAAAAAAAAAAAAAAACCACCCCAAGGUCAAAGCACAACGAUAAGUUUAGAAUUGCAGUUUUUAAUUUUUUUUAAUAAAUCAACGUGUAUAAAAAAUAGAUAAUAAUUUUAAAUAAAUUUUAUUUGAUAAAUAUAGGCAUAAAAUUUUAAAAUCACCAAACAGAAAAACAGGGGAAUUAAAACAGAGUCCCUGUUUAUCCUCUAUUUUGCUUGUUAUUAAACAGGGAAAUGAAAAGAUCACAAGCGGAAAUUUUGUUUCUGCGUUGUCUCUUCUCAAUGCUACAUGCAUUCAAAUUAAACCUUACAUAUGCUAGCAAACUAGCUACCUGCGUUUAAGUGUUAGAGUGCAAUUUAUGCACUAAUUUUGCAUUGUUUACUUCUUUUAAUAUCGAUAUUUUGCACUUAAUAAUAGUGAUUUACUUGUAUUUUAUUUUUGUAAGUGCAAUUCUAUUUAUUGGUGCUAAAAUUGGGCUACAAGAUGAUGUUUGAAGAUGAUUGUUUUCUUGGAAAAAUUAUGAGUUUCAGAAGAACUUUGUUGAUAAGGCGUGGGCGCUGGCUGUCAACUACGGACCUGUAGUUUUUAGUUUAACGUGUUUUGUCUUUUUGGUUAUUUUUGUAAUCACGAAUUUAAUAUUUAGAUAAUAUUUUAGAUAUUAGUAUUUUAUUUUAAAAAGAACUCUAGAAGAGAAUUUAAGAGGGGAAUCUAUGGUCAAAGGAAAAAAAAGAAAGGAAACCCUAGAUCUAAAUUUUUCUCUUCUCUCUAUGAAGAACUAAACCUAUUAUUCUGGUUAAAGGUUAAUGGAGCUUUGAUUCAUCAUUACUGUGAGAUCUUUCUUAUGCUUUAAUUGUUUUAUUGAUUUUUGGGUAUUUGUUUAUUCUCUAAAUUAUUGUCAUGAUUAUGUUUGUUAAUUAGAUAAUUAGCCAUUAUUUAAUUAUCAACUUAAUCUAUUGUCAAUUAAAGGAUUCAUCGUAUGAAGAUUUUAAUGUUUGUGACAAAUAGCAUAGCAGUUCGUUAUGUUAUGAGAAUAAACAAUCUAAUUUAAAUGAACCAUCGUAUGCGUUUGUUGAUUAGGAUUUGGGUCUCUCUGGUUUUUCAGGUUGUCAAUUGAUUAAAUCCUAUGAUCGUAUCUAGGGUUGUCUAUUGAUUAGGGAAAUAACCAAUGGUCGUACCUUGGUUAUCGACUAGUUAAGGAGAGAUUGGCUAUUAGAGGGUCUCAGUAGCUAUAACCGGUCUAUUCAUAAGUAGUAAUGAUUUAUAUUUGAAUCAAUGAUCAAUAGUCGAAUCAAGCUGAGUUAAUUCCUUCAACCAGAGCUUUCCCCAAUUUUAAUUUGCAUUCUUGUUAUUUUAAUUUGAUUUUUAUUAUUGUCAACAAUUCCCCCAUUUUGCAUUUUGCAUUUUAAAAGGAUUUAAAUAAUUACUAAUCUCUGUGGACACAACCCUACUCAAUCACUAUACACAAUUUAUUUAGAGUAUGUAUUUAUUUUUGCUGGCUUCGACAACCAUCAAUAAGUUCUCGAUAAGUCCAAAUAAUAGAAUAAUUGUAAAAUGUUCAAAUUCAGUAAUUAAUUAUACAUAUUUAUUUAUUCAAAAUUAUUAUUAUUAUUAAUUAUUGUCAAUAAUAUAUUAAUAUACUAAUUAAUUGUAAACUUUUUUAUCAUUCAUAACAAUGAUGAUGAUGAUGAUGAUGAUGAUGAUGAUAAAAAAUUCAAAACAUAUUAAUUAAUUAUAAUAAUAUAUUAAAUAUUUAAUUAUUUAAUAAUAAUAAUAAUAAAUGCACAAUGUAUAAAUUGAUUAGAAUAAUUAUAUUAAUUAAUCAUAAUAAUUUUUUAAUUGAGGACAAAAUAGAUAUUUUAUAGUUUGUGAGAGGGGGCAAAAUGGUCAAUCUUGGGAAUGGGGGAUUGAUUCCCACCACCUUCCUUAGGAAUCAAUCUUCCAUUCCUCAUUCCUAAUUUGGGUGGUCCCCAUAGUUCUGAUUCGGAUCCCAGCCUCCAUUUUAUGAAGUAAACAUCAUUAAGAUUUCGAUUCCGGAUUCCGAUUCCCCAAUCCAAGAAGUACAGGCACCAUUAUUGUUGAUUGGUUCAAAUGCACAAAGAGAAUGUACCAUGUAGCUAGGCGUCAAGGUUGUGCUGCACAAGUAACCUUUUUCUUUUCUUUUCUUUUUAUUUUUCUUAUUUUCCUUAAUGUAUCGGAAGAAACUGGUGCCUUUGAGAUACUACCAUGUAAAUAAGUACUUAUGGUUCAUUGAAUCUGUAACACUCGGUACCCUACAAUUGCUUUUGAAAAAGGGCUUUACUCACUUAUCGCUAAUAUUCAAGUAAGUUUGUUUCAUUUCAGAAGGUGCAAAGUUUCAAACUUGUUGUAUUGAGAUGUAACAAACUUUGGCCUUAUAUGCUUGUUGUGACGUUUGACUGUUCAUUUUGACUGUUUCCUACCUUCCACUUACGCCUGUAGCACUGUAUUAUUCACCAUUUUAGUUGUUUAAAUGAAAUUUUAUUUUGUCAAAAAUGAAAUGACACCAUUAAAAUUUAAAAAAAUAGUCAUGGAGAUCCCAAAUUUUUACUAAAGAACACCAAUAUUCCCCUUGACUAUAAUACCCUUAGCAGGUGGUAAUAAAAAAUUGACUUAAAAUUUUUUGCGAAAUGUAAAUAUGAUUUAAAUAAUUUAAAUUUUCCAAUAGACUAAUAUAUAUAAUUUAAAUAAUUAAUUUCAAUAUUAAUUUUUUAAAUGUAAAUUAAUAUAUUUGUAUUUAUAAAAUAUUUGCAAUUAUUAUAAAAAUUUUAAAUAAAUCCUUAGGUUAAUAGAUUUUACAAUAAAUAUAAUAUUUCUCAUGUAUUAAUAAUAUUAAAAUUAUUUUAUAUGAUAUUGAAAAUAACUUAAUUUAUAUAUUUAUUUGAAUAUUAUGUCUCUAUUUAUUAUAAUUUGGUUUAAUAGAAUACGAGAUUGUAAAAUAUUAAAAUAUUUUAGAUAUUGAAAUUUUAAUAUGUAUAUAUUAUUAUAUUUAUUUUAAUAUAUUUAUAUUUAUUAUAAAUUAUUAGAGUCAAUUUUUAGUUAAUAAAUUUAAAAAUAUUAUAAUUAAAAAAAAGAAUUCUUAUUGUCUGUUAUUCACAAUAUGAGGUUCUACAAAAUUAUUUCUCCAGACGGGUGUCCUUUUCUUAUUUGUAAAAGGAAAAAUAAGUUCAGGGAUCUUAAAAAAUUCUAGUCCUAUCGACCACUAUGACUAAUGGGAAACGACAUUGCAAUUGACAUUACUUUUCGCAAUAUGACAAAUUUUUGGAGGGAUACGGGAGAAUCGUCAAACGUUCACACCACACGAGAGCUUUAGGUGGGAUCGGGGAGGAUUGUCAAGAGUUCACACCACGAGAAAUUAAUGAUAGGCCUAAUUUCGCUGUCAGUUCUUUAUUUAUUUAUUUUAUUUAUUUCAUACAUUAUUAUCUUGUUGGUAUUGUUUUGUAAAGGUAUAAAAGUAAAGUAAAAUACUAGGGGUACCAUUAAGUUACAGCUGAUGUAACUUACAGUGUUUUAAAAAAUAAUAUAAAAAAUUUAAUAGCUGGUGGGAUCCACAUAUUUUUGAAGAGACUUAAGUUACAACAGUUGUAACUUAACAAAAUCCAAAUAUUUGACAAUAAUGCAUAUAAUUUGGAUUUGAUUUUUAAAAGAUUAUUUGAGCACCACCUAUCCUUAUGAUAUUAAUGUGAAUAUAUCUUAAUAUUAAAUAAUCAAAAUUUGUUUAAUUAUUAUUUGUAUUUCAUACAUUACCUAUUAGAUUUGUUUGAAUUUUACGUUCUUGCUAAUAAAUAUUUAUGUUGUCAAAGUCAAAUUCUAAUGAUUAAAAGAGCAACUAUCCCUUAAAUUUUAAUGGUGAAUUGUAUAUAGUUUUUAAGAAAGUAAGGAUAAGUUGGAUAAUUGACUUAAAUUCUAAUGAUUAAAAGAGCAACUAUCCUUUAAAUUAAAAUGUCAAUUUCUUUAAUUAUAAUUUUUUUUUCAUGUGAUAUAACCACAAUUGCUAUAGUUUUUUUAAAUAAUAAUGGGAGUUAUAAAUUAUUUAUAUAAAAUUUGUGUAGAAUCUAAUGUAACCUAAAAGUAGUUGCUGAAUAAUAAUAUUUGAAACUCUAGGUAAUUUUCAUAUGAGCCCUUUUUAUAUUCAGCAUCUUGAAUCGGGGGAAAUCCGACUUGAAUUGGCGGCUGAUUUUGGUGAUGUAGCUUUCGGUUUAUGGUUGCCUUACAGUGGCGGACGACUGAUUUACGGUCGCCGACUGCUAGGGAUUAUGGUGGUGGUGUAAAUUGACGGAAAAAGUAGAAGGUUUGGUGGCGGCGCGUGUAGGAACCACUCGUGGGUUGUCGUUUCGUGUGGUGACUGCGGGUGGCGAUCAAGGGCUGACGUUGGUCGGUUUUUGGUCAACGGAGGGCGGCCAGUUUGUUGGUGGAGGUGGCUGGCGGUGAAAGUGGCUGAAUGGUGGUGGAUAUCUUGGUGGAGCUACGGGUUUGGGUUGGUGAUUUGCGGCUGUUCAGGCGGCGGUUGAGGCAGCGAUAGCUGCGGCUUGGUCGGCGGUGGCUAGCGAGGUUUGUUGUGGUGUUGGCUGGCUGAUCGGUGGUGGUGGGCGGCGGCGGUGGAGGUUGAUGCGGCGGGUAGGGUUUUCAAAUCGGUUUUUGAUAUUUUUUUUUUUUUUUAUGAAUUUGGUGUGGAUGGGUAUAGGGUAAGAAACACUAGAUAUCAUUCUAGUACUGGACCAAGCCAACGCAAUUAAUUUACCAUCUAGUCGAAGGGUGAUUAGAUAUCGUUCUAACCCAAACGAUAAAAUGAGAUUUUUAACAACGCGUAAUACAAGAUUAGAUGAUGCUCUAAUCCAAACGACUCUACAACGACUCUAUAAGAGAGAUUUUGAUAGAUAAAUCUAGGGAAAAUUAUAAAAGAUGGGUUUUAUUUAAUAAUUAAACCUAAAGUUUUGAAAACAAUGACAAGAUAUUUUUAUUUAUAAUACAGGAAAUCUGCUUCCCUAAGAUAACCUAAAAAAGAAAAGUAAAUCAUAAUUAUAAUAGAAAUGAAAGAUUAAGAUACACACCAUAAUUGACUCAAACUAAAAUAGAAAAUCUUAAAGUAAUAAAUAUUCUAAAAUUGUAAAUUAUCUAAAAUAACAAUAAUUAACUUCCUAAAUCAUUUCUUUGGUGUAAAUCAUUUUACAUCCAACCUCGCUUUAAAGGUUUGAACCAGCGUUACCAACAACAAUGUAUCAAGUUCCAAUCUAGCUUAAGAUCAUGCUGAUACAUCUACUGAUAUCUUUAUUUGAUUAGACAAUAAUGAGUCUAUCUCAUCACUUGUUACCUCUUUCUUGAAGGCUGCAUCUGUUGAGCGAUAACCUCGUUGAAAGUUUAAAGAUCUUCCUCCAUGUUAAAUUAAAUGGGCAUUUGAUUAAGAACUUUAUCUCUAUCUCCUUCUAUCAAAUAACAACCAUCCAAAGGGAAAAAAAAAUUAAAAAAAUCCAUGGGUCACAAUAAUUUCUGGUCAGCCCACAAACCCCCCAUUAUCUGCCACUAUCAAUCAUGAAAAUGAAAAUAAAUGGCAUAUUCCCAAAAUGACGAAAGAUUUUGGGGGAUAUGGGGGAAUUGUCAAAAGUUCACACAACGCGAAACAAGUGUUACAUCCAAUUUUAUUUCGUCAUAUAAUGAUAAUAUCAAAUAAUGACAACCAUCCAAAAGUAUGAUGGGUCUUCCAAAAUUUUAAAAAUGUCGUCAACAUUUAAUUUUCAAUGCUAAAGAAAAUGAAAUGCCCAAAAAUGACACGCAAGACCCACUCACAAACUAAAUGGCCCUUGACCAUAUGUAACAAACUUUGACCUUAUGUCCCUGCUAUGGCGUUAGACUGUUGGUCAUUUUGAUUGCUUUUUACCUUCCAUUUACACCCACUGAAGCAUUGUACGAUUAACCAUUUUAGCUGUUUAAAUGAAAUUUUUAUUUUUUUCAAAAGUAAAAUGACACGCUUAAAAUUUUAGAAAAUAGCCAUGUAGACCCUAAAAUUUUAAUAAAGAACACCAAUACCCUUUUUGACUAUAGUACUUUUAGUCGAUGGUAACAAAAAAAAAAAAUGACUUCAAAAUUUUUUACUAAAUGUAAAUAUGAUUUAAAUAGUUUAAAUUUUCUAGUAGACUAGUAGGUAUAAUUUAAAUAAUUAAUUUAAAUAUUAAUUUUUAAAAUGUAAUUUAAUAUAUUUAUUUUAAUAAUAUAUUUUUAUUUAUUAUAAAAUUUUAAAUAAAUCCUUAGGUUAAAUAGAUUAUAUAAUUAAUAUAAUAUUUCUCAUGUUUUAAUAAUAUUAAAAUUAUUUUACAUGCUAUUGAAAAUAAUUUAAAGUUUUAUAUAUUUAUUUGAAUAUUAUGUCUCUAUUUAUUAUAACUUGGUUUAAUAGAAUAUGAGAUUGUAAAAUAUUAAAAUAUUUUUAGGUACUGAAAUUAUUUUAAUAGGUAUAUAUUAUUAUAUUUACUUUAAUAUCCUACUUAUAUUUAUUAUAAAAUAUUAAAAUUAAUUUUUUUAGUUAAUGAAUUUAAAAAAUAAUAUAAUUAAAAAAAGAGUCUUAUUGUCCGUUAUUCACGAUAUGAGGUUUUACAAAAUUAUUUUCAAAAGGAAAAAUAAGUUCAGGGGUUUCAAAAAAUUCUAGUCCAAUCGACCACUAUGACUAAUGGGAAACGACAUUGCAAUUGACAUUGUUUUUCGCAAUAUGACAAAAUUUUGGAGGGAUAUGGGAGAAUCGUCAAAAGUUAACACCACACAAGAGUUUUAUUUAUUUAUUUAAUUUAUUUCACACAUAUAUUGUCUUGUUGGUAUUGUUUUGUAAAGAUAUAAAAGCACAAGUAAAAUAUUAGGGGAAGUAAAGUAAAAUAUUGGGGGUGCUGCUAAGUUACAACUGCUAUAACUUACAGUUCCUUCAAAAAUAAUGUAAAACAUUUAACACGUGGUGGGACCCACAUUAUGUUUGAAUAGUCCGUAAGUUAUAGCAGUUAUAAAUUAGUAAAAUCCAAAUAUUAGACAAUAAUACACAUUAACAAUGCAUAUAAUUUGGGUUUAAUUUUUUUUAAAUUAUUUGAGUAUUACCUAUCCUUAAGAUAUUAAUGAGAAUAUAUUUUAAUAUUGUGAAGCUUUCCUCAAUUAUUCUCAUGCACCCAGACCUUAUCUGGUCAAGUUUUCUGAUUCAAUACUGACGACAGCUUCUUUGUAAAGCUCUUCAACCACAAGCAUUUCUACAAGGCAAAGGACAAGGACGUGUUGGAAUGAAUAUCAACAUGGGAAUGUCUUAUGAAUUUAGUUUAUAUUCUAAUAUAAGACAAUCAAUAAAUAUUGGAUGCAAUCUAAGGGCUAACAUUUGAUUGAUUAAUAUAAGAAAAAAAAAGGGUACAAAAAUGCAAAACAGAGCUGAUUGAUGGCCUUUAACAGUCAGUUCUAUGACAAAGUAACCACCAUAACCAAUGGAAUUAUAAGACAUCAAGAAACUUGAACUUGGCAGGAGGUCUCAUUAGCAGUAUACCUCAGAAAUUAAGACAGAGACUUUAAAAUGCAAGCUUAUGGAGCAAUUUAAGCACUGAAACUAAUAACAGUGAUGCCAAAAAAGGUGCAGGAGUACGGUAUUAGCAAUUGACCUCUGCUUUUGCUUGGACAAAGGUUCUCAUCACAAGGGACUCAUUAGUUGCCCUUGCCUCACACGAUUGGAUGCUAAGGGGGAAAAGGAAGUUUGAAUUAGUCAAUCUCAUUUCUAAUGGCAUUCACAGAGAACCUAUAAAACAAAAAAGUAAAUAAAAAUUUUCAUCCAUGAAAAGCUUAGUAACGGAAAAACCGACUCUUUUAUCUGCCACUGACCUAAUCCGGACUCAUUUAAUUAAAAAAGAAUUCAAAGCAAAACUAAAAGACACAAAUUGCAUACAAGUCUAGGAGCCAUAUCAAAGGCGUUAUAUAACUUGUCCAAUUAAUAAAUUCUCUUAGGGACCAUGCCGUGCUCACUCAUUUCCAAAGCAAUUAAUGAUAAGAACUUUCAUCAUUAAUUGAUAUGGCCAGUGUAGAAAAAAAUGAAAAACCCCUCCAAGAUUAAAGCACAAGGAUAAGUUUAGAAUUACACUUCUUAAAUUUUGGUUAAUAAAUAAACGUCUAUAUGAAAAUAGAAAAUCUUUUUGGAAUAAAUAAACGUCAAAUUUUUGUUUCUAUCUUACUACCUUCUAAAUCCGCAAUCCCAAGUACUUAGAAGUAAAUGCUACAUAGUACAUGAGAUGUUUCCCGUUCAAAUAGCUCGUCCGAUACCAUUAACAUGUUCAUCUCUCUGUAAUUGGUGUAAUUACGAGAUUGGUGGUUGACAUGGCUUUCCUUGUACAGGUAUGUAUGAUUGUUUUUUUUUUUUUUGGCACUUCUAAAUGGAUACUGUUGAAAAGCUUAAAAUUGAACUGAUAAUUUUGUUUGGAAGCUCAGAAAAUUCAUGAGAAAGUGAAAUAGAAUAUGCUGGAUUUCUUUUCUUUCCAUAACAUACAAAUGACAAACGUAGCAGUAUUUAUACUCGUUGCUUACAUCAUAAAAACAGAAUUAAAGCAAGGUACACAACUAUAACAGCAUCAAAAGCGUGCUUAACUAAUUGGCUGAGCUGGCAUAUACUUCUUUAACUAACAAUGCUGCUGACUGGACUUUAGCUCACACAUGCUUAUCGUGCAGCUACUCUUAGUUCACACGUGCUCAGUGUGCUUCCUUAACAGACACAAGGGAAAAGACAUGAUUUUGAGAUAUAACGCUUGAAUGUUCUCGGAAUGGCAUAACGCUUCGUGUGUCUCGGAGCGGCUGAUUGGUGCUGUACGUGUUUCUCAUAUAGAACUCAAGUCUGCUGUUGUCCCAAAGUUGGAACCAGAGAUAUCAUGACUCUGGUUUCAUUUCACCUCAACUGUGUUUUUUUUUUUAAUUAAAAAAAUAAUUUUUUUAGGUAUACAUACAUGUAUUUUGAUCCCAUUUUCAUGGGAAUUUUGCAUUAAAAAAUGAAGAAUAGCUAAUAGGGAAUUUCCUGAUUCUUUAGUUACUAUUUUUGGAAUGAGGGUAAUUAGUAGUAAAGUUGGUUUCUACUCGCAAACAAGUGAGCUGCUCGAUUCCCAAGUGGUAUCAACCAGUUUUCAACUUUUUAAUAUACACAAAUUGUUAUUGUUUAAUAGCUACUACUAUUAAAACUCAACAUCUUACAAAAAUACUUAAAAAAAAUGAUUUUUUCUUAUGAUGCUGUAAAAAAAAUUACGGGUUUACUUAUUUCCACGAGAUCUUGUAUAGUGUUCUUGUAUAGUGGAAUUAAGAUUGUCUUCCCGAUGGUGCAAUUCACCCUCUUCCUUUACAGUCACUUGCACUUUGUGCAGCUUUGGUGUGGAUACGAUUCCCAGGGAAAAAGUCUUCAUGUUCGGACAAUGUGUCACAAAUACUCGUUCCAAUGAUGGGAAUUCAAGAGUGUAAUUCUCCAAACAAAAGCUGGUAAGCCUUGGUAAAUCAUCAAGUUCCAAAAGUUUUAAUUCACUGAAAGCAAUACGAUUCUCCUUCACUUCUUCUCCAGCAUGUCCUACGAUUUCUUCUAAUUUUUUGCAGUUCCAUACAUAAAGAUUCACCAGACUAGUAGGAAUUCCAACCUGAAAAUAAGCAGAGAGAGUGUGUGUGUAUAAAUAUUAAAAAAGUAAAAAUGUAAGAGUAUCAUUCAACUAGGCUCAAAGUAUGUUUGAUCAUACAAUUAUACGUUUUAUGAACAUAACAAACUGUGAAAUGUCUACUAGAUAUUUUUUGUUAAACAAAAAAGGUAACAAGAUAAAUAAAUAAAUAAAUAAAAGCCAGAUAAACAAAGAUGAUAAAAAUGUAUUUACACAAUUAGUAUUAGGGACGUAGAAAGAAUUUAAGGCAAUUUCUAAAUAUUUUAGACUUAUUUUGCAUCUUGAUAUAAGUUUUUAAGCAUAAAUUUGCACAUUUCAACUAUUCCUUUAAAAAAAAACUCAACUAAAAUGCCUCUUUUUCCCUUUUCCUUGGUCCCCUUUUUUUUAUGUAUAUAUAAAAAUGGAAAAAAAAAUUUGGAAAAGACUUCCUAGUACUGUCAACAAGGGAUUGCUGUAAAGUGGAUCUUUAUUAAGUACUUCCAGACUCGAGGAAAUUUCUUUACAAUCAAGGGUCAGUUGUAAACAAUCAUGAAUUUAUGGUUAAGUAAUGGCAUAAUCAAUUCUUAACUAAACUGGAGAUAUUAAUUAAAUUUGAAGACUUUUUUUUUUUCCCAAUCGAAAUGUGAAGAACUAAGGAAAAGAGAAAUAUAUAGAUGAAUUUGUGAACUUAUAAGAUGAGUGACUAUCCUUUAAUUUUUGAAAAUCGUACUUAUUAAGAUAUGAGCAAAAACAAUUAAAUUGAAUUAUAUUAUGCUGUUGAAUCUGUUUAAAAAAAUUAUAUUGUUGAUUCUAAUGCUGGUGAACCUAAAAACUAGACUUAAAACGUAGAUUUCAGAGUGGUGGUUUGAAGUACAAUAUUUGAAAUAAAUAAUUAGUGGCUGAAUAUCAUUUGUAAACACAGAAAUGAUUAAAAAAUUGUUGAAUGUUAUUUGAAAAAAAAAAUCGAAAUGAAUACAGAAACCUUACCAAUGGAGGAAAAAUAUUCAUUAGCUUAUCACACUCUUCUAUCUCCAAAUUCUUCAAUUUCCUGAAAGACUCCGAAGCAAGCUGGUGGUGCCAUAUUGUUCUUAGGUUAUCCAUCCACACAAUAUAUAAUACCUCCAACCUAGGAAGUCGUACCUGGCAAUUAAAGAUUAAAUAACUAAUUAAUCAAUUAAUGGCAUAAUCAAUUGAUAACUAAAUUAGAGGCGGAUAUUAACUAAAUUUGAAGACUCAAGGAAAAGACAAAUCAAGUAUUGUGACUAAAAUUAUUUUUUUAAUUAAAAAAAAAAAACUUUUCAUCAAAGAGAGGAGGAGGUUGCAUUUCAGAAUGAAUAGUGUCUUCUGGUGAGCUCGUAGAGAUGAAUCUUAACAUAUUACUGCAACAACCAAUCAUGAGGUUUAGCAAAGAAGGGAAUUCAACAACUAAAUCUGAAUGAAUAUGUCCCAUAUUGGCAAAACCUUUAAUUCAAUCAACUUUCCUUCAUCUCUUUCUGACCAUCCCGUGGUGUCGACUACCCCUUCCAUUGACUCACAAUAGCUUAUCUCAAGAUGUUGGAGUUGCAAAAGGCUAUUAACCAUAGAAUAUGAAAACAGAUACUUUAGACGAUAACACCUUUCCACAGUCACUUUUGUUAAAUUUUGACGAAAGUACAUUCCUUGAUUAUGAUCGGCCCAUAAUUUUUUCAUGUUUCUUAAGUCCCUGAGAUUCAAUUCCUCUAAGCUCGGAAGAAUAACCUGCAAAGAAAACCCGUACAUUUUUGUUCCUUCAAGUACAACCGUCUAGUAUAAUAUUCUUUUGAUGAUCAAAGAUUAAUUGUGAUAAUAAAUUAAUCAAUUAAUUAUUGAACAGAAAAUUAUCACCUUUGGAGCAGGAUCAUCAUCAGCAAUGAUUUCGUUGAAUCCCAAAGAAGUUGUUGGUUUGCUAAUUGUUGCACCAAAGAAGUAAGAUUUGAAACUUGUUUUUCUAGAGAAGUAGUACUUACCUCAUUGACUCGCUUAGGUGGCGGCAGUAGAUCGUUCCUAGUGUUGAACUGUUGGGAAUUAGCAGCCAUGUUAGCAAUGAGAUUUCGGGCUGCUUCUGGUGUCUUAUCCACGAGUGCUCCUCCACUAGCGGCAUCAAUCAUACUCCUAUCCAUAGGUAGUAGAACCUCAUAAAAGUAUUGAAUAAGAAGUUGAUCACUUAUCUGAUGGUGAGGGCAACUAGCACAUAGCUUUUUGAAUCGUUCCCAAUAGUCGUAGAGCGACUCUCCAUUAUACUGUCGGAUUCCACAAAUUUCUUUUCGAAUGCUGCCAGCUUUUGAUGCUGGGAAAUAUUUCUCCAAAAAUAGCUGACGCAUCUCAUUCCAUGUAGUGACAGUACCGGAGGGAAGAUAGUACAACCAUUCCUUGGCUGAAUCCGCCAAAGAGAAUGGGAAGGCCAUUAGCUUAACUUGCUCUUCAGAAACUCCGGCUGGUUUCAUUGUGGAGCAGACCACAUGGAACUCCUUCAAGUGGUUAUUUGGAUCCUCUCCUGCAAGACCAUGAAAAGUAGGAAGAAGAUGAAUCAUCCCAGAUUUGAGUUCAAAGUUUACUUGAGGGUUUGGAUUCUCAAUGCAUAAGGGUUGUUGGUCCAAGUUAGGAGCUGCCAACUCUUUAAGUGUUCGGUUGUUAUUCUGAGCCAUUGGUUGGGGUUCUGGGCUGCUUGGNNNNNNNNNNNNNNNNNNNNNNNNNNNNNNNNNNNNNNNNNNNNNNNNNNNNNNNNNNNNNNNNNNNNNNNNNNNNNNNNNNNNNNNNNNNNNNNNNNNNNNNNNNNNNNNNNNNNNNNNNNNNNNNNNNNNNNNNNNNNNNNNNNNNNNNNNNNNNNNNNNNNNNNNNNNNNNNNNNNNNNNNNNNNNNNNNNNNNNNNNNNNNNNNNNNNNNNNNNNNNNNNNNNNNNNNNNNNNNNNNNNNNNNNNNNNNNNNNNNNNNNNNNNNNNNNNNNNNNNNNNNNNNNNNNNNNNNNNNNNNNNNNNNNNNNNNNNNNNNNNNNNNNNNNNNNNNNNNNNNNNNNNNNNNNNNNNNNNNNNNNNNNNNNNNNNNNNNNNNNNNNNNNNNNNNNNNNNNNNNNNNNNNNNNNNNNNNNNNNNGCUAGUCCCCGGCAACGGCGCCAAAAAUUUGGUAGUGUCGUUAAGGUGCACCAAAUUUAAAACCUUACCACUAAUAUAAAUAAUUAGUACAGAGCGAGUAAGGAUCGAUCCCAUAGAGACUAUGCUAGUUAUAUUUAUUAUUAACUCCAAAGCAAGAUUUAAAAUAAAAUAAUAGUAAUAGUAAUAAUAAUAUAAAUUAAUCUAACUAAAGAAAAUGCCAAUUAAAAAUAAAAGGGGGGUUUAUGAAUUUUUAACUAAAUAGUAAGAAAUAAAGAAAUUAAAAUUACGAACAAGAAUUUAAUAAAAACUCUAAUUAAAGGAGAAAGAAAUAAUAAUGAUGAAAACUUUGGUUAAAGGAUCAUUCGCCACCACCAAACAUGCACAUAAUAAAUCAAUUCUAUUAUCAAUUUAUAUUGAAACUAUCAACCAUAGACAACAAUAAGCUCUGUUAGUCUCAAUCUUUCCUUAGUGUGUCGUUAGGUAAAAUAAGCUCUUCACCUAAUCUAUAACCAUUAAAUAAUUUAAAACAAGCUCUUUAAAUUUAAGAUAAUGGAAGCAUUAAACAAAGAAAGAAAUUAGGUUGAUCUAGGCAAUAAACACACAAGCUCAGAUUAUUUAACCUAGGUUAUGUUCUCCAAUUGAAAUCAUUAAUUCCAACCUGCUACUAAUGAUUAAAAUAUCAAGACAAUUACGGAUCAAGAAUUUUAAUCUAGCAAUAAAAUUUAUUCAAGUCCUAUCUAAUUGGCCACUCAAACAAAACAAGAAUAAACCAUGAACAUUAAUUAUAGAAGAACAUAAACAAUCUCAAUUAAAUAAAUUGAAUGAUAGAAUUUAAAUUUAAUUGCAUAGCAUGUUUAGGGUUUUGAAUUCACCCUCAACCAAAUAAAAAUCUAGCCUAACAUAAUUGAAUUGGGAAUAAGAGAAUUGACAAAACCAAUCAUAGAGAUUAAUUCAAGCGGCUGCCUUUUUCUUCAAUUGAAUUCCGGCUGCUGAUUUUUUCUUCUUCUUGCGGCUAUUGAUUUUCCUCUUGCUGCCGAAUUGGAUUUGCCCUCCCAAAGUCUCUUGCUGCCCGAAUUCUUUUCCCUCUAUUGCUUCCGCUUGAUCCUAUUUAUAAUGCUUCAAUUGUGGCUUUUUUUAAAUCCUUGCCUGGAAAGAAUUAAAUUCAAAGCUCAAAACCGCCACCUCAUGCUUCAAUUAAUAAGCCAAUAAUGAUUUCCUAAAGCCAAAAGGCUUUAUUCUCUUUCCUUUCACGUGGCAACUUUUGGUUUGCAUCUUUGUUUUCCAAUUUUGCUUUCAUGUGAUGGCUUGGCUUGUUAAUUGGCUUGGCUUCCUUUUUGACUUCCAUUUUCUAAUUUUAGCUCCAUGUGCAACAUUAAUUUUGCUCGGCCCAUACAAGCUUUAAUUAAAUUUAUUUUCUAAUUCCUUCCAAUUCUUGAUCUCUUGUGCACUUUUGUCUCUCAAUCUUCAAUCAAAUUUUUUUUCUUGAAUGCUCCGAUUUAAUUUCUCUUUAAUUCCAGAAUAUACCUAAAAUAACAAAAUAAAUAAAACUAAGAUAAAAAUUAACAAAAUAAAAUAUAAUUUACUAAAUUAAAAAUUAACUAAAAUAACUAGAAUAUUUAAGACCAAAACAAGAAAAAGAUAGAGAAAUUAAUAGCAAAAUAUAUGAAAAAUAUGCACUUAUCACAAGCCUCUCAUUUUUCAAAGCUUUUGCAAGGGUAAUAAGUGCAACAGGCAAUCCUCCGCAUUUUUCAACGAUCUCAUCUGCUAAAGGUUGAAAAGCAGAUGCUUUUGCAGAAUUACACACUAUCUUUCCAAACAAUUGCAAUGCUUCUUCCUUUGAUAAAACUUCAAUUGAGAAAUCCUUCUGAGAUUUCAUAUCAUUGCGCAAUAAAUCUCGACUUCUAGACGUCAAUAUUAUUGUGCGUCUUCUCCGAUCGUCCUCUCUAUCUUUCUCAUCAACAUCCCCAUAAGGAAUUCCAACUGUAUCGAACUCAAGUUUUGUCCAAAUAUUAUCCAGUAUAAUGAGGAGCCGCUUCUCUUGCUUCAACCUUUGACACAGUCGAGAAGCUCUUUGAAAUUCAUUCUCAUUCAAGUCAAAUUCCAUGCCUAAAUCAAAAGCAAGUUUGUCUUGAAUUUUAUGAUGAUCUGGGGUCUGUGUUAUCUCAGCCAUAACGAACUUAUCGAACAACUUAUCUUCCAUCACUUGGUUUGCAACUUGUUUGACCAGCGUGGUUUUGCCCACGCCGCCCAUCCCAUAGACCCCAAUUAUGUUGACCUUGUCAUCCUUCACCGCCUCCAUAACAUCUUGAAAUACUUUCAUUCUUGAAUCAAACGCCUCGAAAUCUUUCACUUGCAUAUGUUCUGCCCGCUUUGGAGCAGGACUGUAGGAAACAUUGGAGAAGUUGCCUUUUCCCACGAGACUAGCGGCAGCUUCUGCCGCCUUUGCUGCUUGUUUACUAAGCUUGUAACGAGAAAUCAAGUUUGGGCAUAAUCCUUUGAAGCAGGACUUCUUAGCUCUAUCUUCAUCAUCAAUGAUGGAUUUUGCAACCCCUUCACUGAUGAAUUCAUCAACGCUAUGUAGCCAGUCUGUGACACCCUCAUAAAGCUCAUCCCCUUGUAGCCUAGCAUGAUUAACUGGUUGCUGCACCAUUUCUCUCUUAUAUCCCAGCUGCUUCACUUGAUCUUUUAGCUCAUCUAUGUAGCUCUGGUACUUGAACACAUAAGAUAUCUGCCGUGUAAUCGGGUUGAACAGUGACUUUGCACCUUCUGAUACACAGUUGGUUAAAAAAGCCAGACACGCUUCUAUAGCCAUUGCCGGUUGCUUAACAAUAUAUAUCUAGUUUUUGGCUGUUGAAAAAAAAAAUGGAUUCAAAUAAAUUAAAUGAACUAGCGGGGAAGAAAAAGAAAGAAACGACAACAAACAACUUUUUAGAAAAAGGUUUCAGGGGCCUGAAUGGAAAACCAACAAUUUUUUGAAGAAAGAAAACUUUUUUGGAAGAUGGAUGCAAAUUAACCAUUAAUAAUACUGCAUAAGAACACAGAAGUUAACAAUAAACAGUAACUUAAAACUCAAGAAAAUUAAAUGACAAGAUUAAGACAAACAAGAGAUAGUUUUUGUUGGACAUUAAGAAACAUCUGCUAUCAAGAUCAAAGAUUAGAAAUUAUGCUAUUGAAAGAAAUUAUUAAAGUAUUUAGAACAAACGCACCUCUUCAAUUAUCGAGGAUCACAGAGUUUAUGAGCUUCACUCUUGGCCUUCGAUUUAUAAGAAAAAUUUUAAUGAGCAAAAGAUCACUGUUAACUGCAGAAGAAUGUGAGUAAAGAGUUUAUGGGAGUAAGCAAUACAAUUGAAUUGUAAAAGAACAAGACUUAAAGCGUGCACCCCGUGUUCAUAUAAACAGAACACAUGUUCAUUUUUAACAAAGUGAUCAAUAACUCUAUUCGUUAUUUAAUUGAUAUUGUAACCAAUUCUAAGAGAAUAUAAUAAUAAUCAUUCAAUCCAUAAAUUUAGAAUUAGAUUUUUUUAACUCUUUAUUUAAAUAUAAACCUUAAUGGAAAAUUAUAAAAGUUUAGAGAUAAAAUUUUUCAAUCACCAAACGAAAAAAACAGGGGAAUGAAAACAGAGGAAUCUUGUUUUAACUAUUUUUUUCCUCAACUCUCGUUCUUAUAUUAAUAAUCUUGUUUUGAUGAUAGUGCUCGUGACUGCGGGAAAAUUUCUACUGGAAACAACUCAAUUUCGGAAGAAAACUUAAUUUUGCAAGUGAUGAAUUUGAACUCGUUGGAUUGGUUGAUUUAUGAUUGACUGAAUUUCACUUUUGCCCAAAAGAUCUUUAACCAAAGUUUAAUAGCCAUCAUGUACUCCUUAAAAGCAAUUUUUUUUUUUAGAUUUGACUGAAUUUGAACUUGUUGGAUUGGUUGUUUUUAGAUUAUUAAUAUGAGAUAUUACAACGUAAAUAUUUUCAUGUGGUUGAGCCCUAUUCUAAAAUCUGUAUAGUUAGCUUUAGAAAAAGGGCUUUUCCUGCUGAUCUGUAAUCUUCAAAUAAACUUAGAUACAAAUAAUGAAAUAAAAGACAACAAACAAGCAAUACUGAUACAAAGCCAACAGAUCAGAGUUUUUUCUUGCCUUCUUUUGUUGAAGGAUUAGAGUUUUUGGUAUUAUCAGUAAAGGUUUCAAGGAGUAAAGCCUAUAAACUUUUUUUUUGGGGGGGGCGCCGCCGCGGGGAGGGGGGGGGGGGGGAGAGCAUGCAAAUUAACCAAAAGAAAUAAUAAGAGCACAGGCUUUAACAAUGAAUACUGACUUAAAACUCAUGCAAAAUAAGUUACAAUAUUAAAACAAACCAGAGAAAAUUUUUUCUUGGAAAGUAGAUGGAACUUAUGAAAGAGCAGAUGUCAAGGAUUUAGAAAACGCGCACCUCUUUAAUUAUCUGGGAUUAGAGAGUUGGUGAGCUUCUCUAUUUAAGAACAAGUUGAAAGAGGAAAAAGAUCACUGGUAACUGCUGAGGAAUGUGUGAGAAAAGAGUUGAUGAGAGCAAUAACAAAGACCUGCAAAAGAAAAAGAAUUAGUCAUGCACCGCUUUUCUAUAUCAUGUAUUUGGUUAUUGUUGCCCUGUUGACGCAUGUUGAAGAAGAAAGCACUAGUUCACAACUCUACGUUUUCAUAUAUUCUAAAGAAAUAAUUAAGUUUUCAUAGAAUGAUACCUGUUGUGUUUGAGUAAUUUUGGUAUAUACAUUGCUUGUGUACUGUGAAAUUGAAAUGAAUAUUGAUGGAAUGACUGAAUUUCACUUUUGCCCAAAAGAUCUUUAACCAAAGUUUAAUAGCUAUCAUGUACUCCUUAAAAGCAAUUUUUUUUUUUAGAUUUGACUGAAUUUGAACUUGUUGGAUUGGUUGUUUUUAGAUUAUUAAUAUGAGAUAUUACAACGUAAAUAUUUUCAUGUGGUUGAGCCCUAUUCUAAAAUCUGUAUAGUUAGCUUUAGAAAAAGGGCUUUUCCUGCUGAUCUGUAAUCUUCAAAUAAACUUAGAUACAAAUAAUGAAAUAAAAGACAACAAACAAGCAAUACUGAUGCAAAGCCAACAGAUCAGAGUUUUUGGUACAAAGCCAAUAAAAGACAAUAAACUUAGGACCUUUUUUUCUUGCUUUCUUUUGUUGCAGGAUUAGAGUUUUUGGUAUUAUCAGUAAAGGUUUCAAGGGUCUGAGUAAAAGCCUAUAAUCUUUUUAUAAACUUUUUUUUUUGGGGGGGGGGGGGGGGGGGGAGCAUGCAAAUUAACCAAAAGAAAUAAUAAGAGCACAGGCUUUAACAAUGAAUAGUAACUUAAAACUCAUGCAAAAUAAGUUACAAUAUUAAAACAAACCAGAGAAAAUUUUUUCUUGGAAAGUAGAUGGAACUUAAGAAAGAGCAGAUGUCAAGAUCAAGGAUCAGGGAUUCUACUAUCAAAAAAAAAAAAAUUAUUCAAGGAUUUAGAAAUCGUGCACCUCUUUAAUUAUCUGGGAUUAGAGAGUUGGUGAGCUUCUCUAUUUGGCCUUCAAUAUUUAAGAACAAGUUGAAAGAGGAAAAAGAUCACAGGUAACUGCUGAGGAAUGUGUGAGAAAAGAGUUGAUGAGAGCAAUAACAAAGACCUGCAAAAGAAAAAGAAUUAGUCAUGCACCGCUUUUCUAUAUCAUGUAUUUGGUUAUUGUUGCCCUGUUGACGCAUGUUGAAGAAGAAAGCACUAGUUCACAACUCUACGUUUUCAUAUAUUCUAAAGAAAUAAUUAAGUUUUCAUAGAAUAAUUUUGGUAUAUACAUUGCUUGUGUACUGUGAAAUUGAAAUGAAUAUUGAUGGACAGAGCAAUGCAUAUGCCUAAAAAAACAUAAAGCAAAUCCUUGAACGAAUGAUUCAGGACUAAAACUUUUAUAAAAGCAAAUACCGGAAACACACAAAAAGCAUUUAAGAGAGAAACUAAACCGCAAAUAAUCGAAGUAAGAUCAAUAAUAUAUGAUUUGAUUUAUGCAUAUUCAAAAACCAAAAUAUAAAAUAAAAUACAAAAUUAAAGUUUGGUUUAUUCUUUCCACAAAAAACAGGGGAAUGAAAACAGAGGCAACUUGUUUUACCAAUUUUUUCUUCUUAAUUUCCGGCAAAAAAAAUCAAUAAACAGGGGAAUGAAAACAAAGGAACGAAAACAGAGGAAACUUGCUUUUCAGGCUAUCUUGUGACAUGAUGAUAUUGCUCGUGAAUGCAUGAAAAUUUCUAAUGCAAACAGCUCAAUUUGGGAUGAUAAGCUUAAGUUUGCAAGUGAUGCAUGAUAAUCAGAUAUUUGUGGCUUUUAAAACUCAAGAAAACUCAAGAAAAUUAAAUGACAAGAUUAAGACAAACAAGAGAUAGUUUUUGUUGGACAUUAAGAAACAACUACUAUCAAGAUCAAAGAUUAGAAAUUAUGCUAUUGAAAGAAAUUAUUAAAGUAUUUAGAACAAACGCACCUCUUCAAUUAUCGAGGAUCACAGAGUUUAUGAGCUUCACUCUUGGCCUUCGAUUUAUAAGAAAAAUUUUAAUGAGCAAAAGAUCGCUGUUAACUGCAGAAGAAUGUGAGUAAAGAGUUUAUGGGAGUAAGCAAUACAAUUGAAUUGUAAAAGAACAAGACUUAAAGCGUGCACCCCGUGUUCAUAUAAACAGAACACAUGUUCAUUUUUAACAAAGUGAUCAAUAACUCUAUUCGUUAUUUAAUUGAUAUUGUAACCAAGAUCAAGGAUCAGGGAUUCUUAUGCCUACUGAUAUUUAAACAGAGAAUUCUUUCUUCUUUUUCUCUUCAUGGAUUAGAGUUUUUGCUAGUAACAGAAAGGUUUCAAGGGUCUGAAUAAAAUCCCAGAUUUUUUUUUAACUUUGUUUUUUGUGGGAAAAUGGAUUCAAAUUAACCAAAGCCAAUAAUAAGAUCACAGACUUUAACAAUGAACAAUAACUUAAGCAAAACCAAUGACAAGAUUAAAACAAACCACAGAAAUUUUUUCUCGGAAAGUAGAUGAAAAGCAAGUAAGAACUGCUAUUAAAGGAUAUUAUUAAAGGAUUUAGAACAUGUAUACCUCUUUAUUUAUAUGGGAUCAGAGAAUCGAUGACCUCCUCUAUUCGCUUCAGAUAUUAAGUAAGAACUGCUAUUAAAAGAAUGAAUUGAUGAGAGUAAUAACAAUGAUUGCAAAAUAGGAAGACUCAAUCAUGCACCCCUUUUAUACCUGAUCAUAUUAAGAAGUCGUUAAAGAAUAACGACUAAAUUAGGAAUUAAUUCUGAAGUUCAGAAUCAAGAACAAAGACGAAGCUUUAAUAACGCAUGCAGUGAGAUACAAGAAAUGGAUCUGGUAAAAUACAUUAAAAAAAUUUGUUCAACUUCAACCUAGUUAAGCUGAUGAAAGCACUAGUUGUUGGCUCUACGUUUCAUAUGUUCUAAUGAAAUAAUUAAGUUGAAGUUUUCAACGAAUAAAUACCUGUUUCGCUUGAAUAGCUUUGGCAUAUACAUUACUUGUGUCCUGUGAAAUUGAAAAGGUUAUUGAUUUACAAAGCUUAUUAGUAGAGAAAAGCUACGUAAGAUGCCUGAUAAAAGAUAAAGCAAGAGCUUGAAUGAAGAAUGACAUUUUAGAAAGAAACUAAAGUGUAAUCAUCAAAGUAGGAUCAAUAAUGUACCACUUUCCUUGCAAAUCUGGUGGGUUUUCUGAAUAGAUUUUUACAUUAUUCUAUUUAACCAUUUUGGGUUUACCCUAAGCAUUCUUGGUUGGCAUUGUCCUGUAAUCUGCGUGCCCUGGAUACGUGUGAGGGAAAGAUGAGGGUAGAUAUGCAAUUUCAAGAAGCGAUUUGCUUGCAUAAUUCAAUGCAUGGAAAGAGAUGUACCUGACCAGAAAAAAAAGGGCACCAUCCAUAUCUGAGCUUGACUUUUUAGAUGGAUAAAUAUUCUUAUUACUGUUGAUAAUGGAGAAGGGUUCUACUUUUACUUUGCCAUCUUUGAUAUAAAACAGCAUGAUUCCUUUUUAUCAAACACUUGCCUAAGUCUAUUUUUUAUUUUUCUUAUUUUCAGAAAGAGAUUAGCUUAAUUUAAAUUAUAUUCAAGUACAAAGUGUUAUACACUCAUAAAACGAGAAAUAGGCAUGUAUUGAUCACGCGCAAUCUAGUUUUUUUUUUUUUUCUUUUUUUUUAAUCCAGUCUUCUUAUUAAAAAAAAAAGAAUUUAUUUGCUUUAUUUUAAAUUAUUUUUUCAUGCGGUAAAUGCAAUACUGAGUAAUGGGUGAGCAAAAUAUUUACAGGCACACCCCCUUUUAAUGAUUUCGUACUAAAAUUAAAAAUUGACGAUUCCAUGAUAAAGUUCAAAGAGUAAAUGAAGACCCAUAAAUGUUUUUUGGUCAUGAGCAAUUUUUGAGUUGGGACAGCACUCGUAUGAAAAAAAAUAGUUUUUUUUUUUCUUUAAGCAUGAGGAUAUUAAUUCUUUUUUUAUAAAUCAGCGUGAAUAUAAAAUUAAAAAAAUAGUUUUGAAUAACUUCUUUUCUUUUUUCAUAAAUAUAGAUAAAAAAUUUUAAAGUCACCAAACACAAAACCAGGAAAAUGGAAAGGAAGCCCCUGUUUCUCCGCUGCUGCAAGCACAAAUUCGGUUUCUACAGGAGUACCUUCUAAAUGCACCAUUUGUAUUGCUUUGUUUCCACGUAAGCUAACGGAAUUUGAUGAAGACAAAAUAGAUAUGAGUCGUGCUAUUCACACCCCUCGAUAAUUCUCUCAAAAUCCCCUUUCUAAUUAUACCGCCUUGAAUAAUUUCAAAACUGACUUUUCCUCUUAUAAUACCACCUUCAAUUCCCUUAAUACCCUUGUUCGCUAUGAAAAUAAGGAAAAUGCCUACAUAAAAAGCUGGCUCUGAUAAUCUACCUGAAUUUACAUUAGAAAAGAGUGGACUUUGAGAAAUAAGAAGACAAUAUAGGGAAUUUUACCAAAAUAAUCCAUUUUUAUAUACAGGGAAUGGUAUUUUCUAAUAUAAGGAGGAGUGGAGAAAUUAAAUUUAGCAAAAUAAAGAACCUCCAUCGAGAAGCAAAAAUGAUGAUAUCUUUGUCGUGAAGAGAUUUCAAUUCAAUUGCAUACAUUGACGAAACAUUAAAUACGGAAAAAACAAAAAAGAAAUAAUAGAACAUGGGGAUUUCGAGAACUUCUAAAGAGAGAAAUGUAUUUAUAAGCAUUGAAAAUUAGCUCAUUAAAUUUGACAGAAUAAUAUACAAUCUCACUGUUGGCCAGAAAAUAAUAGUAAGAACUUGUGAACAUAUAUAAUCAAUUGCUUAUUACUUAAGCUUUUUCUCCGUUAUUUUGAAUGGGUGCAAAGAGGAGAAGUUUUGUACCCAAAUUCCAACUCGAAUUGUGUAGGCUGCUUGCAAGAGCUUCAUUAGAUUUUUAUUUGUCUUUUAAUAGUGCUACUCGAUAAAUACAGCUAGCUAUCUGUCCUUUUUGUUACUGGACUAUAGAUCAAUUGACAGUUGAAGUUAUAUUAAUUUGUUGUACUGGAAUUGAAGCUUGUAUCUUAGCCAUUUCGUGAAGUGUCAAAUAUAUUUUUAAUUUCCUUAAAAUUGUUCAAAAUAUGUUUACACUUUUAAAGUCACUAUUAUACAUGAGUGCCCUAAAAUCAUUUCCUUAAAAUUGUUCAAGUGGGAUCCUAGUUCUCUAUGGCAGUUGAAGAGGUAAAUGCGCAUAGAGCUAUGCUCUAUCAUAGGCCUCGGCCACUAUAAGAAAUUUGAUUUUUUAAGACGAUAUUUUUUACAACAACUUUAAAUUUGGUCACAAAAUGGUAUUUAUUGUGACAAAUUUUUUAAAUCGUAGCUAAUAAUCUUGUCCUAACUUAUAUUUUUUUUUGUAACCAAUUAUUUUUAUUUUGAGACUUGUUCAUUGGUCAUUAAUUAAAUUUUUUUAUACCAAAAAUUAUUUUAGUCACCAAAAGAUAUAUUUUUUUGGCGCAAAAUCUUCCCUCCAAAAGUGAUUAUUUUGAGACAAUAUUUCACUAUUUAUGACAAAAUAAAUAGUCAUGAAAUAUAAUUAUAGGCGACCAAAUUAUUUGGUAACUAAAAGAGGGGUGUAAAAUUAACUAAACAAUCUAUGACACAAAAUAUUAGUAGCCAAAAUUAUUGUUCUUUUGGCAUAUUUUAAGACCAUUUUUUUGGUCAUAUAUAAUUACCUACAGUGACAAAAUUAAAAAAUAGUCGUUGAAUGUUUUAUCUUGAAUAAUUUUAUAUUUGAUAACCAAUUUUUUUUUCUUUUUGAGACAUAUUACUUGGUCCCUAUUUCAACUUCUUUUUGACUAACUUUAUAAUAGUCACAAAAGACAUUUUUUUUUUUUUUGGCAUAAAAAGUCUGUCCAAAGUUAGCUCUUUUGGGACAAUAUAUAAUCUUUUAUGACAAAAUAUAUAGUGGCGAAAUAUAAUUAUUUUUUACAAAGUUAUUUCGUAGCUGAAAAAGAGGUGUAAAUUUAGUUAACCUAUUUGUGACAUAAAAUAUUAGUCUCCAAAACUAUUAUGCUUUUAGCCAAUUUUAAGACCCGAUUUUGUUGUCAUGGAUAAUUACCUAUUUUCAAAAAACUAAGAGAUAGUAAUCAAAAGUUUGUCUUGAUUGACAUUGUAUUUUAUGAGCAAAAUAUUUUGUUUCAGUGACACUUUACUUGGUCUCUGAUUAGACUUGUUUGUGAUGAUCAAUAGAAAUAUAUAAUAACCACUAAAUUUUUUUGGAUUAAAUUUUAUAGAUACUAUUAAUUAAGUUGUUGACGAAAAUGAUCGAACCAAUACUAAUAUGGGAUACCAUCAACAGCCGUAAUACUUAUGAACCGAGAAAUUAUAAUAUGUAGUGAAAAAGUUUUAACAGUAGUCCCUAGUAUUUAGAAUUAUUUUGACUACUUUAUUUAUUUCCAAAACAUAAAAUUCUCAACCCAAAAUUCCCCGCAUUGUGUUUUAUUUUGUCUCCUCACUCAGUUACUCUUAUUAACUCACGGCUUGACAAAAAAAAGAAAAAAAUUCUCACAGCUUGAUGUUCUCCUCUCUUUAAAAAUAAAAAUCCCCAGUUACUCUGCUCAAACUCGUUAAUAUUUGUUUCCACCACCAAAGCAGCCACUCGUAUCUUUUAUUAAGCAUAACGUUUUUCUUAAAACCUAAUUGAUCAUUCUUUAACGUCUCCAGGAUUAUAUUUGGCACGCUAUUUUUCUCCUUCAAUUGAAUAGAAGUCUAGAACCUUUUUUUUUUCGCAAUUCACUUUUGCUGUGUUUCGUGGUUUGGACUAAGAUCAUGACAAUUAUUGAACGAUGGGGAUAAAUAUCAAAGAAGGAGCUUACAUGCCCUAUAUAUCUCUCUUUGGAUGAAUAACGAAUGUGAGCUUUCAAAGUACAGAGAUUUACAUGUUUUAAUUGUCAUUUACAUUGCUGCAUGCCAAUUGCUUGAUAAAAUACUGCAACAAAUACGCAUUCUCGAUUUUCUUAUAAAUUUAUUUUCUUAAUCUGAAAAAAAUUGAAUGUUCAGAGAAUUUUGAAGGUUUUGGUGUAUGCAUUAAUAUUUCGAUUCUAUUUAUGUUGUUUAACUAAUGAAGAUGAUACAUCUAGCCUCUUUUUGCCCCUUGUUGUUUUUAUUCUUGUGCUUUAUAUACGGUUCAAGUGUGAUACACUUUAGUUUUUCUCAAGUGUUUGUUAGUAUUUCCCGAAGCAAAAUUUGUCACAGACUUUGAGUUCAAAAGUUGAAAUCAUAACUAACAUACUUCGAUUUUUUAUUUUCCUUUUUUCUUCGGUAUCCUUCUAUAUGGCAUUGGUUGAGAAAUUGGUGUACUUAGAUCGUAAUAUUCUGUAGAAAUAAGCCAAUAUUUCAUUACGUACAUUGUUUAAUAUGAUGAGUAUUGUAUAGAAGUUUUACAUAUAAGCUCCUUAUAUAUUAUGCAUUAUGUUUUUAUCAUAUUGUUGCUUGGAACUUUGAAGGAUUGGCCACAGGGCUUUAGUCCUACAUGGACAUUUUAUAUUUAAUAGCUGGUUAGGCAUUUUAUUUGAUGUUAUUUGGACUUGUAGGUGUUAAAAGUUUUGUUCAGUAAUUUUAUAAUUCAGAUUCCCAUUGUGAUAAGAUAGCAAUUUUUUGUGUGUCAGAUUCUGUCAACUGAUAUUUAGCUAAAAUAUCUCACUAACCCCUAUUGGUUAGGUAUUAUUUUAAAUCACAUACUUGAUUUUUAUUUUCUUUUUAUCUGUGGAAUCCCAUGUAUCAUUCAUAAGAAACAAGCUAUUAUAUAAUCUAUUCUUUAGAUCCAUUUAUAUGUAGUGAGCACUCUGAUUUCUAUUAUUUGAAUUUUUUGCUACUGUUACUACUCUUUCGGCCCUUCAAAUAGGGGUUAACAGAAAUGGUGAGUAUAUUAAUACAAAUUCAAACUUUCUUUUUCUAAUUUUAUCCAAAAUAACCUACUAUUUUAUUUUAAUUUCAAACUUUUGUCAUAGUCUAAUGGGCAGUUGUCUUGUCAUUAUUUGGUUUCAAGUAAGAAGAGAGAAAGUUAGUGAGAGGAUGAAAAUUUUGCAAAAACUUGUUCAUAGCUAUGGUAAUUAAGUAGUUUGAGUUCUUUUUUUUGUUGUUUUCUAUGUUGGUUUUGGAUCAUUGUAGUUGCUGAUUGUGAUUUAUUGUCGCCUAUGGUUGCUGACUUUUGUUUACUGUGGCUACUUUAUUAAAGCAAUUUUGGAUAUUGAAGUUUAUGGCCAACUUUUAUUAGACACUUCUGACCUUUAUCGAUAUAUUUUCUGAACCUUUACACUUAAGAUGUGUGUGUGUGUUUUUAAAAAAUACAUGUGAAUGAAAUAGUACUUGAAAUAAUAUAUUUUCUCAACUUUUAUUAGAUAUAGUGAAAUAGUACUUGAAAUAAUAUAUUUUCUCAACUUUUAUUAGAUAAUUCAAAGUAUAUCCCACUUAUUAUCGAUAUAUUUGCUCAAGUCUCAUGUGCAACAUGUGAAUGAAAUAGUACUUGAAAUAAUAGAGACUUUGUUUUAUGACUCAUAUUUUUACAUUUCUUUGCAAGGAACCAUACUUAAUUGUACCUAAUAGAAGAGAUAUCUUUUCACUAUAUAGUCUUAGUAUAAAAAGAUACAUCUUCUAUAUAAGGCACAAUUGAUGGGACAUAUCUUUAUACUAAGACAUCAUUCAUAUUUAUCACACAAUAAUAGAAACUGCAAUGGUAGGUGGAAUAUUAUGAAGUCAAAAUUGAGAACGACAUUAAAUCAUGAAUUCUUUAUGUGUUUACUCGAAUGCCUGACAGUAUUUAGUUCAAUUAACACAGAUUGGAAAUCCAAAUGAUUGAAGAGUUGUAUGAGUUCAAGUUCAGUAUUUAAUUACUAUAUAAUUAUACAUAAAUGUGGAUUUUGCAAGCUUGAACCCAUGUGUGUUAGCCCAUUUCGGCCCAAUAAACAUAUUGUUCUGGAUAAAAAAUAUCAGGGGAUCUCUGAUGUUUCUUUGGUUUAACAUAAAUUUAUUCCUAACUCUAUAACCAUGCAUUAUUUAGACAAAAAUUUUUGCAAUCACCAAACAGUAAAACAGAGAAAUAAAAACGGAGGAGCUCUUUUCUAAAACAGAAGUAGGUGUUUUGUCUGAACGUACCACUUUCUGUUUAAUUAUUAUGUUUACGGAAUAGAUUUUUUUUUAUUAUUCUGUUUUAUGUUUCCGUCUUUACCCUAAGCAUUCUUGGUUGGCAUCGCUGCAUUGUCCUGUAAUCUGUGUGCCUUGGUGAGGAGGGGAAUGGAUAACUGUGGUGCUGGAUACGUGAGAGACAAUGAUGAGGGUAGAUUUGUAAUUGCCAGAAGCGAUUUGCUUGCAAUAAUUCAAUGCAUGGAAAGAGAUGCCUCUAACAAAAAAUGGGACUAUCCAUAUCUGAGCAUUAGAGCUCUACGUCUUAGAUAAAUAAAUAUACUUAUUAGUAUUGUUUUUGCAUAUAUCUUUCACAAAAUUAUUGUAUUCGCUUAUAUAGAGAGGACGAUUUAGAUAAGUUUCAACUAAAAAUUGACAAUUCCAUGAUAAAGUUAAAAAUCACCGAAUAAAAAACUGGAAAAUCCCCUGUUUCUCCUCUGCUUUCUUUUGAUUAUUAUUAAAAAGGGGAAUUAAAAAAUGAGUUGCAAGCACAAAUUUUAUUUCUACAGUAGUACCUUCUAAAUGCACCAUUGUUUGAUACAUUAAAAUUAAACAUUACUUAUGCUAGUAUAUCGGUACUUCACAUGUCCGUUCUUCAUUAAUGUAUAUUCAUUUACACCCAAGCUACCUGUCAGUUUUGCGAAAACUGAAUUUAAAGGUGUGGCUUAAAUUAAAAUAAUAAUCAGCCUCAUAGAAUACAGAGAAAAAAGAUAAUUUAUCACAAUCAUAUCCUAAUGCAUCAUAAAUUUAGAUUAUUUAAUUACUGUUAGGAAAUCUGCUUAGAUAAGGCGCACACUACAAAUUCUAAAUUAAAUUCCUAAUUAACAAUAAAAGAUAGACCCUAUUAAUCGUCCACCAGGUACCUUGUAGCCUGCAUCAUAAGUUUAGAUUUAAAUUUUUGCAAUUACCAAACGGAGAAACAGGGGAAUGAAAACAAAGGAGCCCUAUUUUUUCCAUUUUUGUCCCCCUUAACUCUUGUCCUUAUACAAAUAUUUUUCCUUGGAAUUUCAGGCAUACGAAAAAAUAUUGAAAAUUAUUUAAAGCAAACAGGUGGAUGAUAACAAAAAUAUAUUUAAUUAACCAAAUCAAGACACUAUAUUGGUCGUCAAUGUUUCGGCAUCACUGUCUUCUUCAGAUGUUACUUGUUUUUCACAUUUAUUUUGCGCUGUUGUGGAUUAAUAUGGUUCUGCUGGGUGCACAUUUUUACGUGCUACUGUAUUUUCUCUCAGUCCUUUUUAAAAGAACAUACACCCACAUACUAUGUAGAGUGACCUUUUUUAAUGAGGAAUCUGUCAUUUUAAUAAAAUGAAGAAUAAACUAAAAGGUAGAAGUACACGAACUCUAAUGCAAUAUACCUUUUCUUUUCUUUUACCUUUACUAUAAGAUAGGGAAUGAUAUAAUUGAUAAUGGAACUUGGGGUCAGAGCAGCGGUGUAAUUUUGAGAGGAUUUACAAGAUGGUAAGUGCAAUAAUUAACAGGCUCAUUUAAUAUAUCAAACUGCUAGAUAAUUGUACUAGUUAAACAUAAUUUUCAGAGAAUCUUUUUAAGGGUUUAUUUAUUAAUAUUUUGUUUCUUUCCAGCAUGAACACUUUGUUUUGACACGUGCUUAACAACCUUCAACGAACUGGAACAACCUUCAUCACAUGCUUCCUCACGUGAUUACUUAAAUUGAUAUGUAAAACGUGCUCCAUCCAUGUCGUUUCCACUAAAUCGUUUUUUGUUAAGAAUCAGCUGAGCAGCACGUGAGCUAAUGAAGCUUUUACGGCUUCAAAACGCAGCCGUUUCUGGGAACCAAACUUGAUUCAUCAUCUCACAACUACAGAUGAAUUAUCGAAGUGGCUGAUUGGUGCUGUACGUGUUUUUCGUAUUGAACUCAACUCUGCUAUAAUACAUGCGUGCAUCUGAUACAUGCACAAAAACCACCACUCCCACUCCCACUCCCACUCCCACGCCCUCGCGUCACGCGCCUUACCACUCCCUCGCCUCACCUCACCUCUCUUCUUGUUCCACGGCCAUCAACGGCGGCACGAGUCGGCAACGAUCAACUGCGGCUGUAAAUUGACCACAAUCAUCUCUCUCUCUCGGCUUUGCUCAAAUUUGGCCGAUCUAUGCGCUUGCUUAAGCUUGGCCGAUCUAUGCUUGCUCAAUUACUCUUCCUAUAUUCAGUCGGAGUCAACUGUUUGACAAGAGUCGAAGUCCAAGGUUCUUUUUUACAGGAUUUGAGCUACUUCUUUUAUUCUUCUUCCAUGUUCACUGAUACGAAGCUUUGAUGUGGUGUUCUGAGAGCGGGUGGAAUUUGAGAUUCUCCUUUCUUCUCUAUAUGAAGGUGCUUGUCAUGUGUCAAGAAAAAUAAAAUUAUUUACAAAAGAUUAUUUUAAGGAGAUUUAUUAUUAUUCGUGGAUCGGGAAGCUCAAAAAAUUUUCUUAUGUAGACUCAAAUCAUUUCUAUAGGGCGAAGCAUAUGAAUGAUACAUAUUAUCUUUUUUUGGCCUUAUGUAUUGUUAUUUGCAGUGUGAUUUGGUCUAGCUUAAGAGCUUAAGCUUGCAGGCUGGAUUUGUCUGACAUGGAACAAUUUAAUUUGUUCAUCGUGAUGUUUAUAUCCAUUUUGUACUACUAUCAAUUUCAAUCAUGGCUAAUUUUUAUAUGUAUUUCUCGUGGACUCUCAGGUUCAGUGCACAAGAGGAUGAAGACGAUGGACACCCAAAUUUGAUGUGGAGAACAACUAUUGCAAAUGGUCCUUGAUUUACUUCUCCAAUUGACUUGAAUUGGUUUGACGCAAUUUAUAGUGUAUUUUUGUCAUCUUUGUAUGACUGGCAGGUCGUCCUGAUUUGGUACAUGACUGGACACAGGAAUUGGACUCAUAUUUUUCAAACCAGAAUGCCAACAAUCAAGCAUUUUCUUUUGAAAGCACUGGCGUCUUCUUCAGUGCCAAAAAGGUUAGAGAUUUUCUGUAUCCUGUUUUGUAUUUGAUCAGUUUAGCAUGUGGGUGGCAAUCAAGAAAAGUUAUUAUAACAUUUUUGUGUUCCCGAAAAACUGCUGCUGAUGUGUAGUGCAGGAAAUGAAUUGUUUGUGACUUCUUUUUAUUUGUAUUCUUUCUUUUUUCUUUUCUCCCCAACAGAAUUACGUAUUUCUGAAGAGCUUCUUGAAGUUGAUUACCAUGUAUGCCACUUUCUUUACUCUAUGCUCAGGAUGUGAUUUUGUUUAGGUCAGAACCAUCAUCUAAAGUUUACUUAAUGCUGCCGAGAAGCUGUAGUAGAGCAAUGAAGGCUGUUGGUGUUAUGAAGGCCAGCUGUGAAGAAAUAUUUGAACUUGUAAUGAGCAUGGAUGGGACACGAUACGAGUAUGCUUCUUUUCUAUUUUUUAUUUUUAGUUACUUUAACAUAAUCAAGACUAUAUUGGCUGUCUGUGUAAGCUGAGUAUUAUAUUUCCUCUUGUAUGCUGUGAAAUUCACAUUGUCUCCAGUCCCGAUUCUGUAUGUGCCUUUUUGAAUAUAUUUAAUUAAUCUGCAUGGUGCUUUCUAAAGAUUAUUACAAACUUUUGUUGCUUAAGUAUAUGAAGAAUGUGGAAAUGAAAAUAGCUUUUGAAGUUUGAUGGAUUGCUUCAUUAAUAAAGAAAGACUAGGACUCAUUUUUAUAACUUUUCUCCACUUAGCUAAUGGUAUUUGAUGAAGACAAAAUAGAUGUAGCUAUCUAUAUUUUUUGUUGCUGAACUAUAGAUCAAUUGAUGGUUGAAGUUAGUUAUAUUAAUUUGUUGUACUAGAUUAAAGCUUGUAUCUUAGCCAUUUCAUGAAGUGUCAAAUACGUUCUUUCCUCUUUUUUUUUUUUUUCGAAACAUGUUACACUUUUGAAGUCACUAUUACAUAAAAGAGUGUUCUAAAACAGGAGAAGGCGUGCUGCCUGAAAUUACCUGUUUCCUAGCAAAUCUAGCUGGUUUGCGAAUUAGAUUUUAACAAGUCUCUUGGCAAGGUUUGCUAGUAAUGUGUUCAAAUUAUUCUAUUUAAUUUUACUGUCUGUACCCUAAUAAUUCUUGGUUUGCACCAUUGCAUUGUUCCAUAAUCUCUGUGCGUUGGCUUAUAAAGGCCAGCAAGGCUGAUCAUUUGUCGAAUAGUUAUUUCCAUGAAAUUCCUAUCAAUUUGACUCAGUAUUUAGAGGUCUUGAAGAGGGCAGUGUACUAGACAUGGAUUUCUACCUCUUUUGGUUGUACAAUUGUUGUAUUUCUUGGCCAUCAGAUCUUUUUUAUGUACCUUUCUCAAAGUUCUUGCCGCACGUACACCGUUUUUCAUGUUUUGUGCAGGUGGGAUUGUAGUCUUCUGUAUCGCAGCUUAGUUGAAGAGGUAGAUGGUCAUACGGCUAUUCUCUAUCAUAGGCUUCAGCUGGACUGGCUUCCAAUGUAAUAGUCUCUUGAUUCAAUCAUCUCAUUUAUGCUUUGGUCAGAAUAGAACAUUUAUUGUUCUUCUUUCCCCUUUCCUCUCUUCUGAUGUAAUAUGUGAGGAAAUUACCUAAAAUUUCUGUAUCCCAAUGUAAUUGUUGGCAUUCAGAAAUAAAAUAAAUACACCGUCUUGUUUUUCCCUCGGUUCAGUCCUAAGUUCUCUUUGGGCCUUCUGCAAGUUUUUAAACAUACUGUGACAGUAAAAAAUCUAGUGAUUGAGAUCAUUUUGAUGAAUUUAAUUUUAAUUCUUAGCUGAUACUUUUUCUGGAAUUUUUUUCUUAUGUUUCCUCAAUAUGACUUAAAUAUAGGGCUUAGUCAUGGAUCAUGCACCAGAGUGAUGGAAGCACCCCUUGUUUAUUAGGAAAAGCAGUUGAUUGUAACUAUAUCCGCGGUCCUAAGUAGUUAGAAGUAAAUGCUCUUCGAAUUCCUAUAGUACAUGGGAUGUGUUCCCUUUCAAAUAGCUUGUUCAAUACCAUUAACAUGGUUUAACAUUGUUCAUCUUUCUGUAGAUUGAUGUUGACGUGUUCUUCUAGAGUUGCUAAUGGAGUUUUGGGCCUUGUAAUUGGUGUAAUUACGGCAUUGGUGGUUGACAUGGCUUUCCUUGUGCAGGUAUGUAUGAUUGUUUUUUUCCCCCACUUCUAAAUGACACGAGGGAAGAGACAUGAUUUUGAGAUAUUGUACUGCAAUUUGCAUAUUUGCAUACUUGAAUAGUAACUCAAGAAUCAUUUUCAGAAUGGUAUAAUGCUUCGUGUAUGCAGGCAAAUACUACAGAUGAAUUACCGGAGCGGCUGAUUGGAGCUGUACGUGUUUCUUAUAUAGAACUCAAGUCUGCUAUUGUCCCAAAGUUGGAACCAGAGACAUCAUGACUCUGGUUUCAUUUCACCUCAACUGUUUUUUUUUUAAUUGAAAAAAAAAAUCAUUUGUUUUAGGUAUGCAUACAUGUAUUUUGAUCCCGUUUUCAUUGUAAUUUCUCAUUUACUUUGAAAGAAAGUCACUGGUGUUUUCGAAUAGGAAUUUUGCAUUAAAAAAUAAAGAAUACUUAAUAGGAAACUUAAUAAUUCUUUAGUUACUAUUUUUGGAAUGAGUGUAAUAGUAUUGAAGUUGGUUUCUACUCGCAAUCAAGUGAACUACUCGAUCCCCAACUGCGACCGCACUAAUUGUCAUUGUUUAAUAGCCUACUACUUUUAAAACUCAACAACUAAAAAAAUGAUUUUCUUAUGAUGCUGUGAAAACAUUUAUGGGUUCACUUAUUUCCACAAGAUCUAUAACAUGGUCUUGACUUCACGAAAUUCUUUUAACUUAAAGGGUUCUGGUCUGAGAAAGUUAAUUUGACGGAUUAAUUCCUUUUAAUAAUGGUCGAGUUAAUUUUACUAUACUCGUAAAACUAUUAUUAUUCUGAUAAUGCCACAAAUGUUAUGAUGUUUUCUUCAGCCAAUAAUCUUCUAUUAGGACUAGUUAGAAAUCAAAUGCUUAAAACACCAAUUGAAUGAAUAAUGCAGAAGUUUAAACAGUAUCUAAUUGAAAAUUACAUGAAGCAUGAAACAUCAAUUCAAGUCCUUCCUUAAACAGAGAAUGCAUCAAACAAAUCCAAAGUGUCUUGCAUGUCUGUAAAUAAUUGUAAAUGCGUUUAGAUUAUUCAAGUACAGGAGAACAAGCAAGUUGAAUCAUGUACAAGAGGUUGGCCUGGUUCGAGAUAGCUUCUUCACAGUACCUGAAGGGUUGGCUCAAUCUUUUCUUUAGAAUUCUGCACAUUUUGUAAUUACUCGUGUAAGCAAGCAUACAUUACAACCAUAAUAAUAAUAAGGCAAGAGUAAUGAUACGACCACAGCCUCUUGUGCACAAAUAAUAUUGUACAAACUAAUAUGACAUAAUAUGAUUGAUUAAACAAAAACAUAACAUGACCCUCAUAAUUUAUUUAUUAUUAUUUUAUAUUUUCAGUCAAGCAAUCAUAUUAUGCCACAUUAAAUAGAAAUAAUUUACUAGAUAGUGCCAACACUUCAUUGAUACUCACCAUUUCAUUGAACAAUUUUUUUAUAGUGUCAUUGAGGUUGCCUUCCCAACAUCCUUCAUCAUCACCAUCUUCAUCUUCGGUGGGUUUCACUUUGUUUAGCUUUGGUGCGUCUACGACUCCUGGAGAGAAAAUCUUCAUCGUUGGGCAUUGUCUCACAACUACGUGUGCCAAGGACGGGAACUCAAGAGCGUAAUUACCCAAACUAAAGCUUGUUAGGCUUGGCAAACAAUCAAUUCCCAAGUACUCCAAUUUCCUGAAAACAAUGCAAUCUUCCGCUUCUUCUCCAACCUGCGACUGUAUAAUUUCUUCCAUCAUUUUGCAAUCAGUUAUCUUCAUUCUUUCAAGAUUCACUAGACUUUCAGAUGUUGAGAGUGUCAAUAAAUUUAUCAACCCAUGACACUUCGAUACUUCCAGAGUCGCAAGAUUUUCCAAAUGCCACAAAGCUGGUACUAAUUUCUGCAACUUACUACAUUCAAAUAUUUCUAGACUUUUCAAGUUUGCAAACACUUUGUUGGAUUCGGCAUUUUCCUUCCAGAGAUGCUGCACUUUGUGUAAUCCAGAUAGCUUUAACUUCAUCAAUUGAGGGAAUGCAACCUGAAAAUCAACAAAAUUAAGUUGUAAAUGAAAAUAUGUAUCCAAUCUCUACAGUCUUCCCCUACAUAUUUUAUGGACAAGAUUAAUCACGGCAUUUUAUAUUUUAUUUCCAAAUUAGUAUGCUUUGCAGUAGGAUCCCAAAUAUAAGUAUCAAAUCGAUUACCCUUUGAAACACAUAAAUGAAAUCUGAUCAUAAAUCCAAUAUGAAUUAGCUAGGAAAACAAAGAUCUAACACGCAUAAUUUAUGCGAUAUAGUUCAUCACCUCCUGUCACUAGGCAUCUAAUUAAUUUGAGACAUUUUUUUAAUUCAUACUAUAAAGUUAGUUAAUAACUACAAUUAUAUUGUUAAAUCAGAUAUAAAUUAAGACGACGUGCAAAAAGAUAAGUCAUUAAAUUUGAUUUGAUUCUAAUGAAAUUACAUCUAUGCGAAUGAAAGUGAAGGGAAAAAUAAUAAUAAUGAUUACCUUUUUAUCGAAGAGAUGUUGUAUUUGAUUAGCUACCAAGAGGUUCUCUUCUGAUUUUAAUUUUUGAGCUUCCUUAUUAUCUGCUGUCAUGUGCAAUACAGAUGUAGAAUUGGAUAUGAAUGUUUCCAUGUCAGGGCAAUUCUCAAUAGUUAGAUAUCUCAACUCAGGCAGUUCAAUUAUAUUCCCAGUGAAGUUGCAGAAUCUUUUGAGUUUUGGAAGAUCAAUGAGCCUUAGAUUGGAAAGCUUAGGAAACAUGGGGCCUAUAUGUUCUUUGUCAGCAUUUAGCUCUUCCAAACGAAGCACCUCUUCUAGUGAAUCACAAUUCCUCACUUCCAGCCGUCGCAAAUUGUUCAAGCAUCGUAGCAGAUUGGCAGGAAUAGCACUCGACAUAUUCGUGCAGUCAUCCACCACCAGCCGUGCUAAAUUGUUGAAGAAGCUGACAGGCAGUGCUUGGCCAUGCCAUAUUUCUUUCAAACGUGGAAAAUGUGAGAGUUGCAAAUACCAUAUGUCACGGAAUCCAAUCUGCACAAACCAAAACAAUUGCACCGGAUAUAUACAAUUUUUUUUUUGAAAGGCAUUAUAUAUAUACACAUUAAACUUACAUGUUUUGUGUUUUAACUUCUAAAAAUAUAUAUACAAGACCGGGGUAUAUGCUUAAAUGUGCAAUUGCAGGGGAGAUGCAUAAACAAUUUGGGUGAAUCGAUUAACACAUACCAUUUCUUUGUAAUACUUUUGCAUAAUGGAAUUAAGGUUAUUGCCUUCCCAAUGGUGCAGUUCACCCUCUUCCUUUUCAGUCACUUGCACUUUGCAUGGCUUUGGAAUGGAUAAGAUUCCCUGAGAAAAAGUCUUCAUAUUUGGACAACGUAUCAUAGAAACUCGUUCCAGUGAUGGGAAUUCAAGAGUGUAAUUCUCCAAACAAAAGCUGGUAAGCCUUGAUAAAUAAUUAAGUAUCAAAACUUUUAAUUCGCUGAAAGCAAUACGAUUCUCCUUCACUUCUUCUCCAACAUGUCCUACGAUUUCUUCUAUUUUUUGGCACUUCGAUACUUUAAGAUUCACCAAACUACUAGGAAUUCCAACCUGAAAAUAAGCAAAAGUGUGUGUAUAUUAAAAAAGUAAAAAUGUAAGAAUAUCAUUCAACUAGGUUCAAAGUAUGUUUAAUCAUACAAUUAUACGUUUUAUAAAGAUAACAAACCAUGAAAUGUCUACAAGAUAAUUUUUUGUUAAACAAAAAAAGCAACAAGAUAAAUAAAUAAAUAAAAGCCAGAUAAACAAAGAUAUUAAAUGCAUUUACACUAUUUAGUAUUAGGAACGUACGAAGAAUUUAAGGCAAUUUCUAAAUAUUUUAGACUUAUUUUGCAUCUUGAUGCCAGUUUUUAAACAAAAUUUGCAAAUUUCAACUAUUCCUUUUGGGAAAAAAAAAUCAACCAAAAUGCCGCUUUUUCCCUUUUCCCUUGGUCCCUUUUUUUUAUGUAUAUUUAAUUUUGGAAACAAAAUUAAAGUGGAUCUUUAUUAAGUACUUCCAGACUCGAGGAAAUUUCUUUACAAUCAAGGAUCAGUUGUAAAUAAUCGUGAAUUUGUGGUUAAUUAAUGGCAUAAUCAGUUCGUAACUAAACAAGAGAUAUUAAUUAAAUUUGAAGACUUUUCUUUUCUUUUUUUCUUUUUCCAAUCGAAAUGUGAAGAAUUAAGGAAAAGAGAAAUAUAUAGAUGAAUUUGUGAACCUAUAAGAUGAGUGACUAUCCUUUAAUUUUUGAAAAUUGUACUUAUUAAGAUAUGAGCAGAAACAAUUAAAUUGAAUUAUAUUAUGAUGUUGAAUCGUGAUUAAAAAAAUUAUAUUGUUGAUUCUAAUGCUGGCGAACCUAAAAAAUGGACUUAAAAUGUAGAUUUGAGAGUGGUGGUUCGAAAUACAAUACUUGAAAUAAAUAAUCAGUGGCUGAAUAUCAUUUGUAAACCCAAAAAUGGUUAAAAUAUUGUUGGAUGUAAUUUAAAAAAAAAAAGAUUCGAAAUGAAUACAACGACCUUACCAAUGGAGGAAAAAUAUUCAUUAGGUUAUGACACUUAUAUAUCUCCAAAUUCUUCAAUUUGCUGAAAGACUCCGAAGGAAGCUGGUGGUGCCAUAUUUUUCUCAAAUUAUUCAUCCAGCUAAUAUCUAAUACCUCCAACCUAGGAAGUCGUACCUGGAAGUUAAAGAUUAAAUAACUAAUUAAUCAAUUAAUGGCAUAAUCAAUUGAUAACUAAAUUAGAGGCGGAUAUUAACUAAAUUUGAAGACUCAAGGAAAAGACAAAUUAAGUAUUGUGACUAAAAUUAAUUUUAUUUAUUAAAAAAAAAACCUUUUCGUCAAAGAGAGGAGGAGGUUGCAUUUCAGAAUGAUUGGUGUCUUCUGGUGAGCUCGUAGAGAUGAAUCUUAACAUAUUACUGCAAUUACCAAUCUCGAGGUUUAGCAAAGAAGGGAAUUCAACAACUAAAUCUGAAUGAAUAUGUCCUGUAUUGGCGAAGCUUGUCAGUUCUGUAAGCCAAUAGAGCUGCAGGGAGUGUAGUUUAGGAAAAACCUUUAAUUCAAUCAACUUUCCUUCAUCUCUUUCUGACCACCCCGUGGUGUCGACUACCCCUUCCAUUGACUCACAAGACCAUAUUUCAAGAUGUUGGAGUUGCAAAAGACUAUUAACCAUAGAAUACGAAAACAGAUACUUCAUACGAUCACAACUUCUCACGUACAGCUUUGUUAAAUUUUGACAACAGUACAUUCCUUGAUUAUGAUCGGCCCAUAAUUUUUUGAUGUUUCUUAAUUCCGUGAGAUUCAAUUCCUCUAAGCUCGGAAGAAGAACCUGCAAAGAAAAGCCGUACAUUUUUGUUCCUUCAAGUACAACCGUCUAGUAUAAUAUUCUGUUGAUGAUCGAAGAUUAAUCGUGAUAAUAAAUUAAUCAAUUAAUUAUUGAACAGAAAAUUAUCACCUUUGGAGCAGUAUCAUCAUCAGCAAUGAUUUCGUUGAAUCCCAAAGAAGUUGUUGGUUUCUCCCUGUCGGGUCCUGUAAACAAACAAAAACAAUAUACAUAAUUAAUCUUUGUCGUUGUCUUUUUUUUUUCAAAAUAAUUGAGGCGAAGUCCAUAAAUCCACCAACACUUAAUUUCAACACUUACCAACAGUCAUUUCCAGUUUAUUGCAGGAAGCCACUUUGACCUUUUGAAGCCGCAGUAGGUUUCUGGCUAUGGAAAAUGAGAAAAGAUGCUUCAAUUUAUCACAGGAUUCUACUUCUAUAAUCUUUAAGUUGCUGAAAAAUUGAUCUUCUCUGAGUUGGCUGUGGCAUAUGGCCUCCAAAUUGAUCAAUUUAUAGAGAGACAAUGACUCCAGCAAGGGGAAGACUUUGCGAUGAACCCGUCCAACUGAACCGACAAUGUGUAAAAUCUCAGAACACCUUUCUACCCAAAGAUGCUUCAAUCGUGGAAAACCUUCCCCAUCAUCUAAUUCAUGAACAACAUUCUGAACACCCGUCAGUUCCUCUAGACGGAUAUCUUCAGUUAACUUCAGCAACAUUUUCAUCCCAUAAUUCUCCAAAAGAGUGCUAACAUUUUCUAACCCAUGGAGCUGCACCAAUCUUGAUGUUUCAGAAUUAGCGCGCCAGAUGCCCCACGCUUCUCCUAUACAUAUCCUAUAUCUUGGCAAUUCGACAAAGACCAAAUCCUGCGGCAGCAUUUGGGCAUCCUGAACUUGUAUCUCCAAAGUAGUUAGCUUUGACAGCCCCUUCAAUUCAGCAAGACUGGCGUUACUUCCUCCUUCAACCUUAUCCCACUGCGGAAAGCUGUCACCCAUAUAUAGUUCUUCCAAUCGAGAAAAUUUUGAUAUGACAUUUGGUGCUAUCACUACAAGGCUGCUACAAUUGCUCAAAUCUAGCAAUUGUAACUGCGCCAAUUGACCAAUUUCAAGUGGCAACUGCUUAAUGUCGGAAUAUCGAAAGCUAAGAAUCUCUAAUUUCUUUAGCUGUCCAAUUGCCGCUACAUCUUCUAGUUGGCACCAGUCUAAACACAAUGUUUGAAGGUUAAUGAGGUGACCAAGUGAUGAAGAUAAUGAAGAGAAAUGAAUUCCGCUAAGACUUAAAACUUUGAGAUCUUCCGUCCCUUCAAAAAAGAGGUGUGAAAUUUCCAAAUAGCUAUCACCAUUUGCAAGCAACAGUAAUAACUUGAGUUGGGGACAUUCCAACCUUUCGGGAAGCUCUUGAAUAUCUCCAUAAGGUAUAGAAAUAGCAAUUGCACCUUUCUGUAUGAUCUUUUCUAUCUCUUCCUUCAAGUUGGUAACAUUUGGGAUACUAAACAUGAGCUUCUCUGAGGCAAUUGAUACGGCAACAACAUGAAUGACGUCAUGCAUUUUAACUUCAUCUUCAGCAUCGCCGUCCAACAAUAAGCAUGAAGCUUUGAGAUUGUCGAUCAAUGCGUCCACUCUAUUCCUUGCAUUUUCCAAUGUGCGAACAUUUUUAAACAAACCCUUACCAUAUCUCAACAAGGAAGCAACUUGUAUAGGAGUACCUUCACCAAAUAGAGUACAAAGAAGGAACAAAGAUUUUGCUUCAUCACUUUCCAAGAAGUUGUAACUCAAUUCUAUGGAAGAGCAGACAUUUGCAUCCAUUCCAUGAAUUUCUCUUGGAUUAGAAUUUCGCAGCUGAGUCAACGCAUCCUUCCAAACGGGAAGCUUCUUAUUUUUCAGAGCAUUUGCAACUGUACUCAGUGCAACAGGCAAUCCUCCACAUUUUCCAACAAUCUCAUCUGCUAAAGGUUGAAAAGCAGAUGCUUUUGCGGAAUUGCCCACGAUCUUUUCAAAAAAUUGCAAUGCUUCUUCCUUUGAUAAAACUUCAAUUAGGAAAAUCUUCUGAGAAUUCAUAUCAUUGGUCAAUAAAUGUUUACUUCUAGACGUCAAUAUUAUCGUGCGUCUCCUUAGAUCUUGCUUUCUAUCUUUCUCAUCAACAUCCCCAAAAGGAAUUCCAAUUUCUUCCAACCCAAGUUUUUUCCAAAUAUUAUCUAAUAUAAUGAGGACUCGCUUCUCUUUCGUCAAUCUUUGACAAAGUUGUUUUGCUCUGUGGGGUUUGCUAUCAUUCAAGUCAAAGUUCAAGUCUAAAUCGGAAGCGAGCUUGUCUUGAAUUUUCUGAACAUCUGGGUUCUCUGUUACCUCAGCCAUAACGACCUUAUCGAACACCUUAUCUUCCAUAACUUGCUUUGCAAUUUGCUUGACUAGCGUGGUUUUACCCACGCCGCCCAUACCGUGGACCCCAAUUAUGUUGAGCUUAUCAUUCCUCAAUGCCUCCACAACAUCUUGAAAUAAUUUCAUUCUUGAAUCAAAGGCCUCGAAAUCUUUCGCUUGCAUAUGUUCUGUACUCUCUGGAGCAGGACGGUGGGAAACACUAGAGAAGUUGCCUUUUCCCACGAGACUAGCGGCAGCUUCUGCGGCCUUUGCUGCUUGUUUACUAAGUUUAUAACGAGAAAUCAAGUUGGGGCAAAAUCCUUUGAAGCAGGACUUCUUAGCUCUAUCUUCAUCAUCAAUGAUGGAUUUUGCAACCCCUUCACUGAUGAAUUCAUCAACGUUAUUAAGCCAGUCUGCAACAUCCUUGUAAAUCUCAUCUCUUUGUUGAGUAGCCUCACGAACGGGUAUUCCCACCCUUUCUCUUUUAUAUUCUAGCUCCUUCACUUGAACUUUUAGCUCAGCUAUGUAGCUCUGGUACUUGAACACAUAAGAGAUCUGCCGCAUAAUCGGUUCGAACAAUGCCUUUGCACCUUCUGUUACAAUGCCGGAAAAAGUAGUGGAAACCAGGUCUGCAGCCAUUGCCUAGCCUGUUGCUUUCAUACAUACAUACAUACAUAUAUAUAUAUAUAUAUUAGCUGUUGGAAAAAUUAGAUUCAAAUAAAUUAAAAUGAACUAGGGGAAAGACGGAGAAAGAAAUGACAACCAACAACUUUUUAAAAAAAGGUUUCAAGGGCCUGAAUGGAAAACCAACAAUUUAAAAAAAAAAUUGUAAGAUGGAUGCAGAUUAACCAUUGCUAAUAUUACAUAAGAACACAGAAGUUAACAAUGAACAGUACGUAGAAAAUUAAAUGACAAGAUUAAAACAAACAAGGGCUAUUUUUUCUUGGACAAUUGUACCUAUUUAAUUAUUAAAGAGUUAAUGACCUUCACUGCUGGCCUUGAAUAUAUAAGAACGACCAGAAGAUGAAUAUUAACUGCAGACGAAUGUAAGUAAAGAGUUCAUGAGAGUGAGUAAUACAAAUGAAUUGUAAAAGAACAAGACUUAAGUGUGACCCCAUCUUUUGUUUUAUUAUAUAAAUAGAACACAUGAUCAUUUUUAACAAAGUGAUCAAUAACUCUAUGCGUUAUUUAAUUGAUAUUGUAACCAAUUUUAAGGGAAUUUAAUAAUAAUCAUUCAAUGCAUAAAUUUAAAAUUAGAUUUUUUUAAUUCUUUAUUUAAAUAUAAAUCUUAAUGGAAAAUUAUAAAAAUUUAGAGAUAAAAUUUUUCAAUCACCAAGGAAAAAAAAUGGGAAUGAAAACAGAGGAAUCUUGUUUUACCUUUUUUUUUUUUUCCUUAACUCUUGUUCCUAUACAAAUAAUCUUGUUUUGAUGAUAGUGCUCGUGACUAUGGGAAAAUUUCUAAUGGAAACAACUCAAUUUCGGAAGAUAAGCUUAAUUCUGCAAGUGAUGAAUUUGUUCAAUUGACUCUGUACUUGAACUCGUUGGAUUGGUUGAUUUACGAUUGACUGCAUUUCAAUUCUGCCUAAAAGAUCUUUUUAAUAGCUAUCAUGUACUCCUUAAAAGCAAUCAUUUUUAGAUUUGACUGAAUUUGAACUUGUUGGAUUGGCUGUUUUUAGAUUAUUGAUAUGAGAUACUACAAUGUAAACAUUUUCAUGUGGCUGAGCCCUAUUCUAAAAUCUGUAUGUUGCUUUAGAAAAAGGGCUUUUCCUACUGAUAUUUAAUCUUCAAGUAAACUUAGAUAUAAAGUAAAUCAAAUAAAAUGACAAACAAGCAAUAUAAUAAAAGACAACAAACUGGCAAUAUUGAUACAAAGGCAACAGAUAUUAAACUUUAGGACAUUUUUUUCCUAGCUUUCAUUUGUUGGAGGAUUAGAGAUUUUGGUAUUACCGGAAAGCUAAAAGGUUUCAAGGGUCUGAGUAGAAACCUAUAAUCUUUUUAAAAACUUUCUUUUUCUUUUUUCUUUUUUCUUUUUUUGGGGGGGGGGGGGGGGGGGGGGGGGGAAGAAUGCAAGUUAACCAAACGAAAUAAUAAGAGCACAGGCUUUAACAAUGAACAAUAACUUAAAACUCAUGCAAAGUAAAUUCAAUAUUAAAACAAACCAGAGAAAUUUUUUUUCUUGGAAAAUAGAUGGAAAUUAUGAAAGAACAGAUGUCAAGAUCAAAGAUCUACUAUACACAAACACACACAUUAGAGGAUUUGGAAAAUGUGCACCUCUUUAAUUAUCUGGGAUUAGAGAGUUGGUGAGAUUCUCCAUUUGGCCUUGAAUAUUUAAGAACAACCUCAAAGAGCAAAAAGAUCACCGGUAACUGCCGAGGAAUGUGUAAGAAAAGGGUUGAUGAGAAUAAUAACAUUGACUUGCAGAAGAAAAAGCAUUAAUCAAGCACCCCUUUUUUAUAUCAUGUAUUUGGUUAUUGUUGCCCUGUUUACGCACGUAUAGGAUAAUUAUAUGCAAUCUUUUUUUAAAAAUCCACAUGCACUUUAGGGCUUCUUUCAUAAAAGCAGAUACCGGAAACACACAAAAAUCAUUUGAGAGAGAAACCGAACAGCAAAUCAUCAAAGUAAGAUCAACAAUAUAUGAUUUGAUUAAUGCAUAUUCAAGAACAAAACAAAAAUAAAUAAAUNNNNNNNNNNNNNNNNNNNNNNNNNNNNNNNNNNNNNNNNNNNNNNNNNNNNNNNNNNNNNNNNNNNNNNNNNNNNNNNNNNNNNNNNNNNNNNNNNNNNNNNNNNNNNNNNNNNNNNNNNNNNNNNNNNNNNNNNNNNNNNNNNNNNNNNNNNNNNNNNNNNNNNNNNNNNNNNNNNNNNNNNNNNNNNNNNNNNNNNNNNNNNNNNNNNNNNNNNNNNNNNNNNNNNNNNNNNNNNNNNNNNNNNNNNNNNNNNNNNNNNNNNNNNNNNNNNNNNNNNNNNNNNNNNNNNNNNNNNNNNNNNNNNNNNNNNNNNNNNNNNNNNNNNNNNNNNNNNNNNNNNNNNNNNNNNNNNNNNNNNNNNNNNNNNNNNNNNNNNNNNNNNNNNNNNNNNNNNNNNNNNNNNNNNNNNNNNNNNNNNNNNNNNNNNNNNNNNNNNNNNNNNNNNNNNNNNNNNNNNNNNNNNNNCCCCAGGGGAAAAUCUGGAAUUCCUUUUUUUAAUUUUUUUUUUUUUAAAAAAACCCCACCGGAAAUUCUUAAAAUUUGGAAAAAAAAAUUUUGAGUCCCUUAUUCUGGGGGGGGGGGGGGGGGGGACGAAAACAGAGGAAACUUGUUUUACAUUUUUUUGAUCUUAACUCUUGUUCUUAUAUAAUAUUUUCCCUGGGAUUUCAGGCAAACCAAACAAAAAAAAAAAAAUUCAAUAAAGAGCAAGUUGCUCUAAUUGAUUUAUCUUGUUUUUCAGGCUAUUUUGUGACAUGAUGAUAUGUAAUGCUCUUGAAUGCUAGAAAAAUUCUAAUGCAAACAUUUUUGCAAAUGACGAAUGUAAAUAACUUUUUUUGAUUAAUUGAAUCUCUAAUACUCUUACCCUAUUCUAAAAUUUGUAGGUUGCUUCAGAAAAAAAGGGUAUUUCUCACUCAUCUUCAAUCCUCAAGCACAAUUAGAUUAAAAGCAAAUCUAAUAAAAUAACAAACAAAUUAACAAAAAAAAGAAAAAGAAAAAAAACAAUGUUGAUCUUGAGACAAUUGAUACUUAAACAGAGAAUUCUUUGUUCUUUUUUUACUCCCCCUGGCUCGAGGAUUAGAGUCUUUCUUUGCUAUUAACAGAGAGGUUUUAAGGGUCCGAAUAAAAACCCGCGCUUUUUUUAAAAACUUCUUUUUUUUUUUUUAUUGGGGAAGAUAGAUUCAAAUUAACCAAAGCUAGUAAUAAGAACACAGGCCUUACAAAUGAACAAUAACUUACAACUCAAGCAACAUAAAUAAUAAGAUUAAGACAAACAUGAGAUUUUUUUCUUCGAAAGUAGAUGGAAAUCAAGUAAGAACAGCUAUUAAAAGAAAUUACUAGAGAAUUUAGAACAUGUGUACCUCUUUAAUUAUUUGGGAUCAGAGAGUUGAUGAGCUCUCUAUUCGCCUUGAAUAUUAAGAACUGGUAUUAAAAGAAAUUAUGAAGAACAAUUUUAGUGAGCGAUAGAUCACUGUUAACUUCAGAGGAAUUUGUGAGUAAAAAGCUGAAAAGAGCCGUAAUAAUGAAUUACAAAAGAAGAAGACUUAAUCAAGCACCCCUUUUAUACCCGAUUUUUAAGAUUUAGUCUUGAAGUUCACAAUCAAGAACAAAGACGAAGCUUUAAUAAAGCAUGCAGUGAGAUACAAGAAAUGGAUCGGGCAAAAUACCUUACGAAGCGUUUCAUAUUUUCUAAUGAAAUAAUUAAGUUGAAGUUUUCGACGAAUAAAUACUUGUUGUGCUUGAAUAAUUUUGGCAUAUACGUUACUUGUAUCCUGCGAAAUUGAAAAGCACAUUGGUUUAUUAGAGCUUAUUAGGAGGGAAAAGCUUUGUAAGAUACCUGAUAAAAGAUAAAGUAAAAGCUUGAAUGAAGAAUGACAUUUUAGAAAGAAACUAAAGUGCAAUCAUCAAAGUGGGAUCAAUAGUGACUUGAUAUUUCAAUUGUUCUGUCCACAAAUGAUGCUUCGUUAUUACUAAUUCCAGAUGGACAUUAUUAGAAAAUGAUCUUAUGUUUAACAGAAAAAUAAAAACUCGUCAUCAUACAAAACAGCGUGAAGAAAUCUUCAAUUUGAUUAUUAUAAAAUAAUAAGUUUCAUUACUAGAUUAUGCGGACAUUAAUGUUAGAGAUUUGAUCAGAUUAUCAUAUAAUUUACUAAACGCUUUGAGAAGAACAAUAAUUAAUUUUUAAAAAAUUGAAAAAUAAAUUAAAUAAAGAGUACACGCAAAUAAUGUUACUUCCAAUCACCAAACUGAAAAACAGGGGAAUGAUAACAGACGAGUCCCUGAUUAUCCUCUCUCUCUCUCUCUCUUUUUCAAUCUCUCUCUUUGAUAUCCAUAUCUGAGCAUCAGAGCUUGACAUCUUUGAUAAAUAAAUAUGCUUACUGGUACUGUUUUUGCAUAUGUCUUUCACAAAAUCAUUGUAUACGCUUACAUAGAGAAGAAGAUUCAGAUAACUUUCAAAAUCUGAAUCCGCCUGAUGGACAGGCUUGACCACACAGCCCCGAGACAAGGAAGUCCAAGCAACUAAUCUAAACCGUUCUCCUUUAUUAGCUAGAUUUAGUAUUUGGGUUCUUUAUGUAAAACGACACUAUGAUCUUGAAAUUUUGAUUUAAUUAAUAAAUAGUUAAAUUCUUAAUGUUUCAGGAGUAGAUACAUAGACUCUCUUCUAAUUUUAGUCAUUACAAACAAUGCCAUUGUGCGGUUAUACUAUUGCUUCUUUUAUGAAACCAUUCUCACCAUCACAUAGAUCUUGGCAUAUAGAGUCUCAUAAUGUCAUCAAAUAAUUUUUUUUUUUUUUAAAAACAUAAAAUAUGAUACAUGUAUUCAUUUUUUUUCAAAUUAGGGUGUAUUAUUCUUAAAACUUAAGUGUUCUACUUAUAAAUAUCUUGAAGGUGUGAGUGUUUUCUUUUCGUAAACAAACCGUAAAAGAAAAAGAGGAACAAUAAUUUUUUACUUAUCCUUAGAGAUAAGAUUCAAUCGGGAUGUGAGUAAGUGUGUUUUUCUUUUUUUAUUAUGCUAAAUUAUCGAGUCACAAAGCAUAUUGAUUCAAAAGUAUAACUUUAUACUGAUGAUAGAUAAUUUCAAAACAAUGGAAUGAAAACAGAGGAGCUCCCCCCUCCCCCACCCCAAUCCCCGCCCCCCCCCCCCCCCCCCCCCAAAAAAAAGUUCUUCUUCUUUUAUAUAUUUUUCUUGGAAUUUUAGGUAAAAGAAAAAAAAAACUGAGAUUGAUUUCAAGGGAACAGGUGGAUAAUAACUAAAAUACUUAUUUUUAUAUAUUUGAUAUGUGCGCUCACUAUUAAUAGAACUUAUUAGAUACUACAACUUAAAUAACUUCCCAUGGUUGAUUGAGGGUAUGUUUGAGAUUUCCUUUACUUUCCAAGAAUUAAUUUCUACCUUGAUUCUGAACAAAAAAAUAAUUUUACAAAUAAUCUAUUAGGGUGUUUGGUAAAUGAUGAUUAUUUGACAAUCAAUUUUUAAACGGUUUACUAUACAAAUCUGGUAAAUGAAAAUUAAAAGUGUAAAAUGUUCAUGUACAAUGACAAAAAUGUACUUGUUUACUUGUUUGUAAUUUAUUUAGAAUAUUAUUAUUUAAAUCUUUUUUUAUUUACAAGAUUUUUUAAGAGCAUAUUCUAUUUUCUUUAUUACAUAUUUAAAUAAUUUUUUAUUAACUAUUUUAAUUUGCAAUAAAAUUAACUUCAAUAUCUUUUUAACUAAAAAAUUUGUUAUGUAGUUCGUGAUAUAACAAAUACUAACAUAUCAUUAGUUUGAUUAAUAAAUUAAGUGCAAAAAAGAAAAUGCAAAAAUUUAAUCUUUAUAUAAACUUUUAUGUACAUAAAAUCAUUGUAAUCAAACUAGUUCAUAGAAAUAUAAUAUUAUAUACAUGUGUGUAAAAAAAAAAAACAUAUGACCAUAAUAUUAUCCACUCAUUAAACUUGCUGCACUAUUAUUUCUCAAUCUCUCCAUCUCUCGACCUUCAAGAACAUUACUACCAUAAUCUUCUUCUUCUUGAAUCCAACCUCUAUUUCCUCAUCAUCAACAAUGCGACCAAUUUGCCUUGAUAGCCUUUCAACUAGAAUAGAGUUGGCAGUAGAUAUUUUAGUACUCUCAAACUAUGCCCAAACAGGGUCACCAGUGAUUGUUGUAUUAAAAGACAUUCUAUUUAAUUUUCCUCUGACUCUGGGUCGAUACCUUUUAUGCAAAAUCUAUUUACUUAAGGAAUUUUCUACACAUGUCGAUAUCAUAUUAAAGUGAAUUCAGAUCCUAUAUUAUUGACAUUAAAAUUUAGCCGAAUAGUAAAAAAUUUCCCUUUUUGUUUGUCACACAACCAUAUAGUCCCAUUUUUGGUUAUAAGCUCACAAUAUGUAAGGGAAAUGAAGAUCUAUUAAAACUUUCCCAUAAUAUUAAACAUUAAACAAUAUCAACAUUUUGUGCAUAUGGUGCCUCAUCAACAAUUUGAUGUUCAUUUUGUUGCUCGGAGGAAUAUGACUACCUAUUAAUUAAUUAGCAAGAAUUGCGUUGCGAGUCCAUGUUUUUGUCGUUUGGAUGGAGGAUGUGCCAUCUUUUUAUUGUAGAUGCUUUGUAAGGCUUUUGAUUUAAUGAUUUAAUGCAGUCAAUUAACAAAAGCUUACAUAUAUUAUUAUGUAGUUGCUGAGAUGUCUGUUCUUGAUAAAGUCGAUUUAUUUACACCCAAGCCAACGGAAUCAAAGCCUUUUCGUUAAUAAUAUACACGGUAAUUGUUUUUGUUAAAUUGAUUUCUGGCUAACAAGAUAUUUGAAAGCAUUUAGGUAGCGUUUACAUUUUGCGUUGGAGUGAGAAUCGUGAGAAAUGAGAAUCCUGGGAUUAGGAGUGUGGAGUGGGAGUCGAAGUAUGUUGUUUACUUACACUGAAAUGGAAGUAUGGAAUUGAAAUCAGAAUCCAAUUUAUUUGUUUACAUUGUCUUAGAUUGUGAGUAAUGAUUUUAAAUUACAGCUUUACUCUUAAAGAAUUAUAGUUAUUAAUUACAAAAUUAAUAAAAAUUAUAUUUUUAAAUUAAUAAUAAUUAUUAAUAUUCUUAACUAUGUAAAUCACAAUUAUUUUAUUAAUUUUAAUUUUAAUUAUAUAAAUAAAAAAUUAUUAAUAACAACAAUACAAAUGAAACAUUAUUAUUGAUAAUAUAGUACAAAAUUAAUUUUUUUAGAAUAAAAUAUUUAUUAUUAUUAAUUACUAAUAUUAAAUAAAUAUAAUAGUAUUAUUUUUAAAUAAGUAUAAUAAUAUUAUAUUUUCAAAUAAAAAUAGAAUAUAGUAAUAUUAUUAAUUCUUUAUGAAUAUAAUGAUAUUAUUUUUAAGUAAUUUUAACUUAGAAUCAAUGUAAAUUAUUAUUUUUAACCAAAAAAUUAAUAUUAUUUUAAAUAUGUUUAAUAUUAUUAUUUUUAAUAAAUUUAAUUUAUAAAAUAAUAAAAUAUUAUUAUUUAAAUAAAUAUGAUUUUACUUAUUUUAUUAAAUUUAAUAAAAUAAAUAUGUUUAAUAUUAUUAUUUUUAAUAAAUGUAAUUUAUAAAAUAAAAUAAUAAUAUAAGUUAAAUAAAUAUGAUAUUAUUUAUUUUAUUUUAUUAAAUAUAAGGGUGAAAAAGGAAGAGAGGCGAGUGAAUUUCCACUCCCACCUUCCUCCAUGGGAGUGGGAAUCUCACUCCCCCACUCCAAAAUUAGGUGGGAUCCACGGAGUGGAAUUCUCACUUCCCCUUUGAAAAUUGUAAGUAAACACUGGAGUAAGAGGAAUCCACACUCCUCACUCUCACUCCAAAAAGUAAACACUAUAUUAAAGAAGUCAUUGACUUAUAAGAAAGCCAUGAUUAAAUACACGGCGAAGCAUGUGAGCUCGUUUUUCAAUUUCUUUGAUCACUCAUAAGUAGGGGUGGGCAAAAUCGGAUUCGGAUUGGGUUCGGGUUGAUUUGAUCAAUUUCGGAUCAAUCGGGUUGGGGAAAAAAUCAUCCGAACUCAAUCCGAAUUAUUAACCCGAUCCAAUCCGAUCCGAAUAUAAUUCGGAUCGGAUUGGAUCGAAAAUUCGGAUUAAUUCGGAUUAGAUUCAGAUUUAAAAGCAUUCGGGUUAUAUAUCCAUUCUAUAUUUCUGGGUUAAUUUCAGAAGCAAUCAAGUAAAACAAUCAACCUUUUCUCAAGAUAUAGUUUUGUUUUAAGCUUUUUAAAUUAAAUUAUUUAAAACAAUAUAGUCAAUACCACCAAAAACUUGGUGACAGUGAAUGUGGAGGUGAAUUUAGUUGUAGCAGUUGUGGUAACCGGUGAAGCUAGUGGCAGCAAGCGGUAGCAGUCGAGGUGUAGUAGAUUCCAUCGGCACGUUGCGGUUGCAGCGAUGGCUUAGCUUUGAACGAUCGCGUCGGUGACUGAUGGCUGCUGGUUCACGCAGUUGCAUCUCCGAUUUGCUGGCUGCUGCUUCUUGCGGUUGCAUCUCCGAUCUGCUCGCCGCUGCUUCGCUGACAUCUCCGAUCUCCGAUGGUUUGGCUUCGCACGAUCACAUCGGUGAUUGCUGGCUGCUGGUUCGCGGCUUCGCGCGGCCGCAUCUCCGGUCUGCUGGUUGCUGCUUCUUGCGGUUGUAUCUCCAAUCUGUUGGCUGCUGCUUCGUUGUUUGGCAUCUCAACAUUUCCGAUCUCCGAGGCCAAACCUCUAUUUGUGUGUGACCGUGUGUGAUGUGAGUGUGUGUGUGUGCACUUACAGAUUAUUUUAAUUUAGAUCUAAGAUUUGCUUUUUGUGUGGUGUGAAUCCGAUUUUGUUGUGUUUGCCACUUUGUUAGUUUGUUACACAGUUUUUUUUUUAAGCCAACCCGAUCGGGUUUUCGGAUCGGAUCGGGUUUCAUCCGAUCCGAUCAUGAUCCGAUCGGGUUGGCAAAGUUACAUCCGAUUGGAUUUUGUUAACAAUCCGAUCCGAUCUGAACCCGAUAUUUUUUGGGUCAGAUCGGAUCGGAUCGGGUCGGAUAUUUUGCCCAACCCUACUCAUAAGCUUUUCUAUACCACUCACUAUAUCAUCCUUUUAAGUCAAUUUCGACUGAUCAUCAGAGAUCAUGCACCCCACCUUGAGAUGAUUGAUCACCAAUUUGGCAUUGUAACGUUGAUCACCUCUAAUUGCCCAUGCUAAAAUUGAGACCCCACAGCCAAUUGCUUCUACAGUUGAAUUUUAUCCACAGUGAGAUAAAAAUCCACCUAUUAAUUGAUAACUCGGCAUCAAUAAUUGUGGUGCCAUUCCAUCUAUUAUCAAACCCUUUUUACCGGCUUUACUAUCUAAACCACUAUGAAAAUAAGCUGGUUAAAUGACGUGGAGGAUCCAAUCUAUUUACAUCAGUUUGAAUUACCUAAAUAAUCGGUGGAUUUGAUGCUUCUAAAUCAUUGGCUAAUGUUGAAUAAUCAUUUAAGGUGGGACCCAUUUCGGUACCAAAUGACAUGUAUAACACUGAUCCACAUGAUUUCAAAUCUAACCAUUGAAUGAUCUCAUCUUUGGUCAUGUUAGAACUCCGCCGGUUGGUUCUCAUCUCACAAUCACGAAGCACUGAACCGGUCGAUUUGUAAAAUUGUUCAGGUAACAAUGGGCCCACUCCCCACACUAGCAUCAACACCAUCGAUCCCUCCACUUGCUUCAUCCAGUGUGGUUGAUCACUCGGUUCUGAUGGACCUAUUUUCUCUGAACCGGGUGCACCUCACAAAGGUUGUGGGCCACCAGGAAGGGACCCGUGAGGCCUGCGUUUAAGAUCUGAUUGGAAUAAAGCAACAUCCUUGGGUAACCCAAGAAGUAAAUGGGCCUCUCCCGGUUUGGCAUCCUGGAUGCGAGCCUGCCACAUGGCACACUCCACAGCUGCUGAGCAAGCAUCAGAAGUGAAGAACCCAACAAUGGGAACUUCAAAAUUCUUGAAAACAUCAGCCGUCCAGCCCAUCAUAACGCCGAUGACUACGCAAACAGGUCGGCUUUCGGGUUCCGGGUUGAAAGGAGGUUUCGAAGACCCUGAAGCAUUUGGUUGUGCAUGACAACAUGGAGGUAAGAAGGAGGCGAUGGUAGUAGUGGAGAUGAGGAGGGUAUUUCGGUAAUUUCACAUAGAGGGUAUUGGUGAAGAGAGGAAGGGGUGAUGCUGGUGGUGGAAACGUGAGAGGGAAUAAUGAGGGUAGAUUUGUAAUUACGAGAAGCAAUUUGCUUGCAUAAUUCAAUGCAUGGAAACAGAUGUCCCUGACCGAAGAACGGGACAAUCCAAAUCUCAGCCUCAGCAGCAUUCGCAACAGAGCUUGACAUCUUUUAUGAAUUAUUUGAGACUUAAUUGUUAUUGACUGCUUUUGCCAUCUUUCAUAAAACAUUCUUUGUUAUAUAUUCAAGUAAAUAAAUUUAUCGUUUAAAAUUAAUUUUUCAUGUGGUAAAAGCAAUACUAAAUAUGGGGUGGAGAGAAUAAUUUGUAGGGCAUACCCCCACCAUUUAUUUAAUUUCAUUAAAAAAGAAAGAAAAGAAAUAAAGGCUUGUUCAACAUUCAAUUAAAAUUAACAAUUCCAUGAUAAAAUUACUUGAGAAUAAAAAUUUUUAAAAAAAAAGUAACUCAAAAACGAGGAAUUUUUGAGUAACUGAAGAACCAUAGAUGUUUUUUGGUCAUGAGCAAUUUUUGAGUUGACACAGAACUUGUAUAAAAAAAAUAGUUUUGAAAACUUCUUUUCUUUUUUCGUAAAUAUAGAUAUAAAAUUUUAAAAUCACCAAACACAAAACCAGGAAAAUGGAAGGAGAGCCCCUGUUUCUCCUAUGUUGCAAGCACAAAUUCGGUUUCUAAAGUUGUACCUUCUAAAUGCACCAUUUGUAUUGCUUUGUCUCCACUUGAGCUAACGGAAUUUGAUGAAAACAAAAUAAUUGAACGAUAGGGAUAAAUAUCAAAGAAGGAGCUUACAUGCCCUAUAUAUUCUCUUUGGAUGAAUAACGAAGGUGAGCUUUCAAAGUACAGAGAUUUACAUGUUUUAAUUGUCAUUUACAUUGCUGCAUGCUAAUUGCUUGAUAAAAUACCGCAACAAAUACGCAUUCUCGAUUUCUUAUAAAUUUAUUUUCUUACUCUGAAAAAAAUUGAAUGUUUAGAGAAUUUUGAAGGUUUUGGUGUAUGCAUUAAUAUUUUGAUUCUAUUUAUGUUGUUUAACUAAUGAAGAUGAUACAUCUAGCCUCUUUUUGCCCCUUGUUGUUUUUAUUCUUGUGCUUUAUAUACGGUUCAAGUGUGAUACACUUUAGUUUUUCUCAAGUGUUUGUUAGUAUUUCCCGAAGCAAAAUUUGUCACAGACUUUUAGUUCAAAAGUUGAAAUCAUAACUAACAUACUUCGAUUUUUUAUUUUCCUUUUUUCUUCGGUAUCUUUCUAUAUGGCAUUGCUUGAGAAAUUGGUGUACUUAGAUCGUAAUAUUCUGUAGAAAUAAGCCAAUAUUUCAUUAUGUACAUUGUUUAAUAUGAUAAGUAUUGUAUGGAAGUUUUACAGAUAAGCUCCUUAUAUAUUAUGCAUUAUGUUUUUAUCAUAUUGUUGCUUGGAACUUUGAAGGAUUAGCCACAGGGCUUUAGUCCUACAUGGACAUUUUAUAUUUAACAGCUGGUUAGGCAUUUUAUUUGAUGUUAUUUGGACUUGUAGGUGUUAAAAGUUUUGUUCAGUAAUUUUAUAAUUCAGAUUCCCAUUGUGAAAAGAUAGCAAUUUUUAUUGUGGGUCAGAUUCUGUCAACUGAUAUUUAGCUAAAAUAUCUCACUAACCCCUAUUGGUUAGGUGUUUUUUUUAAUUCACAUACUUGAUUUUUAUUUUCUUUUUAUCUGUGGAAUCACAUGUAUCAUUCAUAAGAAACAAGCUAUUAUAUAAUCUAUUCUUUAGAUCCAUUUAUAUGUAGUGGGCACUCUGAUUUCUAUUAUUUGAAUUUUUUGCUACUGUUACUACUCUUUCGGCCCUUCAAAUAGGGGUUAACAGAAAGGGUGAGUAUAUUAAUACAAAUUCAAACUUUCUUUUUCUAAUUUUAUCCAAAAUAACCUACUAUAUUAUUUUAAUUUCCAACUUUUGUCAUAGUCUAAUGGGCAGUUGUCUUGUCAUUAUUUGGUUUUAGGUAAGAAGAGAGAAAGUUAGUGAGAGGAUGAAAAUUUUGCAAAAACUUGUUCAUAGCUAUGGUAAUUAAGUAAUUUGAGUUCUUUUUUUUUGUUAUUGUUUUUUAUUCACUUUUUCCUGUCUUAAAACAAAUAACGAGUUUUUGUGUUUUUAAUAUUUCUUAUAAACUUCAUGUUGUUUGGUAUAAAAUUAGGUAAUUGGAAAGGUCUCAUGUUGGAUGAAAUUAUCAAUUAUGUGCAGUCCCUACAAAAUCAAGUGGUCGUCAAUGUGUCAGCAUCACUUUCUUCUUCAGAUGUUACUUGUUUUUCACAUUUAUUUUUCUCUCAGUCCUUUUUAAAAGAACAUACACACACAUACUAUGUAGAGUGACCUUUUUUAAUGAGGAAUCUGUCAUUUUAAUAAAAUGAAGAAUAAACUAAAAGGUAGAAGUACACGAACUCUAAUGCAAUAUACCUUUUCUGUUCUUUUACCUUUACUAUAAGAUAGGGAAUGAUAUAAAACUGUUCGAUAAUAGUAAGUGAAAUAAUUAAAAGGCUACUGUUCUAGCUCAUUUAAUAUAUCAAACUUUUCUAGCUCAUUUAAUAUAUCAAACUGCUCGAUAAUUGAAUUGGCCUAGUUAAACAUAAUUUUCAGAUAAUCUUUUUAAUGGUUUAUUUAUUAAUAUUUUGUUUCUUUCCAGUAUGAACACUUUGUUUUGACACGUGGUUAACAACCUUCAACGAACUCGGAACAACCUUCAUCACAUGCUUUCUCACGUGGUUACUUAAACUGAUAUGUUAAACGUGCUCCAUCCACGCCGUUUCCACUAAAUCAUUUUCUGUUAAGAAUCAGCUGAGCAGCGCGUGAGCUAAUGAAGUUUUUCGUAUUGAACUCAACUCUGCUAUUUUCCCAAAGCUGGAAAGCAGAAACAUCAUCCCUUUGGUUUUAUUUCACCUCAACCUUUUUCUGAUCCCAUUUUCAUUGUAAUUUCUCAUUUACUUUGAGUGAAAGUCAUUGUUGCUUUCGAACGAGGUUUUGCAACUAAAAAGGAAAAUGGGGCGGCUACAAUACAUGCGUGCAUCUGAUACAUGCACAAAAACUGACCAUUGGAUUAAAUGGAGUGAUCUAAUGGCUGAGAUUUGUUUCAUUAUUAAGCAAUAAAAAAAUUUGAAACAACCAGAAACCUGUAAAACCGGUCAUUUGGUUUAAGGUAAAAAUAUAUAAAUGAAAAAAAAAAAAAAAAACCCACCACUCCCUCGCCUCACCUCUCUUCUUUUGGGUUUAGUAUUGCUGCUUUUAACAUAAUUGACCUAUGGCCCAAAUCAUUUCUAUAGGGCGAAGCAUAUGAAUGAUACAUAUUAUCUUUUUUUGGCCUUAUGUCUUGUUAUUUGCAGUGUGAUUUGGUCUAGCUUAAGAGCUUAAGCUUGCAGGUUGGAUUUGUCUGACAGGGAACAAUUUAAUUUGUUCAUCGUGAUGUUUAUAUCCAUUUUGUACUACUAUCAAUUUCAAUCAUGCCUAAUUUUUAUAUGUAUUUCUCGUGGACUCUCAGGUUCAGUGCACAAGAGGAUGAAGACGAUGGACACCCAAAUUUGAUGUGGAGAACAACUAUUGCAAAUGGUCCUUGAUUUACUUCUCCAAUUGACUUGAAUUGGUUUGACGCAAUUUAUACUGUAUUUUUGUCAUCUUUGUAUGACUUGCACGUCGUCCUGAUUUGGUACAUGACUGGACACAGGAAUUGGACUCAUAUUUUUCAAACCAGAAUGCCAACAAUCAAGCAUUUUCUUUUGAAAGCACUGGCGUCUUCUUCAAUGCCAAAAAGGUUAGAGAUUUUCUGUAUCCUGUUUUGUAUUUGAUCAGUUUAGCAUGUGGGUGGCAAUCAAGAAAAGUUAUUAUAACAUUUUUGUGUUCCCGAAAAACUGCUGAUGAUGUGUGACUUCUUUUUAUUUGUAUUCUUUCUUUUUCUUUUCUCCCCAACAGUAUUAUGCAUUUCGAAGAGCUUCUUGAAGUUGAUUACCAUGUAUGCCACUUUCUUUACUCUAUGCUCAGGAUGUGAUUUUGCCAAGCAUUAAAAUGGUUUAGGUCAGAACCAUCAUCUAAAGUUUACUUAAAGUUGACGGAUUAAUUCCUUUUAAUAAUGGUCUAGUUAAUUUUACUAUACUCAUAAAACUAUUCUUAUUCUGAUAAUGCCACAAAUGUUAUGAUGUUUUCUUCAGCUAAUGAUCUUCUAUCAGGACUAGUUAGAAAUCAAAUGCUUAAAACACCGAUUGAAUGAAUAAUGCAGAAGUUUAAACAGUAUCUAAUUGAAAAUUGCAUGAAACAUGAAACAUCAAUUCAAGUCCUUCCUUAAACAAAGAAUGCAUCAAACAAAUCCAAAGUGUCUUGCAUGUCUAUAGCAUGACAAAAAAGUUGUAAAUGCGUUUAGAACCAAAUUAUUCAAGUACAGGAGAACGAGCAAGUUGAAUCAUGUACACGAGAUUGGCCUGGUUCGAGAUAGCUUCUUCACUGUACCUGAAGGGUUGGCUCAAUCUUUUCUUUAGAAUUCUGCACAUUUUGUAAUUACUCGUGUAAGCAAGCAUACAUUACAACUCUUGUACACAAACAAUAUUGUAUAAACUAAUGCGACAUAAUAUGAUUGGUUAAACAAAAACAUUACAUAGCCCUCAUAAUUUAUUUAUUUAUUUAUUAUUAUAUAUUUUCAGUCAACCAAUCAUAUUAUAUUACAUUAGUUUCUAUAAAAUAAUUUUCUAAAUAGCACCAAAACUUAAUUGAUACUCACCAUUUCAUUGAACAAUUUUUUUAUGGUGUCAUUGAGGUUGCCUUCCCAACAUCCUUCAUCAUCAUCAUCUUCUUCAUCAUCAUCUUUUUCUUCUUCGGUGACGUUCACUUUGUUUAGCAUUGGUGUGUCUAAGACUCCUUGAGAGAAGAUCAUCAUUUUUGGACACUCUCUCACAACUACUUGUUUCAAGGACGGGAAUUCAAGAGCGUAAUUACCUAAACAAAAGCUUGUUAGGCUUGGCAAACAAUCAAGUCCCAAGUACUUUAAUUCCUUGAAAACAAUGCAAUCUUUCGCUUCUUCUGCAACCGGCGACUGUAUGAUUUCUUCCAUCAUUUUGCAAUCAACUAUCUUCAUUCUUCCGAGAUUCACUAGAUUUUUAGAUGCUGAGAGCGUCAACACAUUUAUCAACCCGUGACACUUCGAUACUUGUAGUCCCCACAGAUUUUCCAAAUGCCACGAAGGUGGUACUAAUUUUUGCAACUUACUACAUUCCGAUAUUUCUAGCCUUUUCAAGUUUGCAAACGCUUUGUUGGAUUCGUCAUUUUCCUUCCAGAGAUGCUGCACUUUGUGUAAUCUAGAUAGCUUUAACUCCUUCAAUUGAGGGAAUGUAAGCUGAAAAUCAACAAAAUUAAGUUGUAAAUGAAAGUAUGUAUCCAAUCUCUGCAGUCUUCCCCUGCAUAUUUUAUGGACAAGAUUAAUCACGGCAUUUUAUAUUUUAUUUCCAAAUUAGUAUGCUUUGCAGUAGGAUCCCAAAUAUAAGUAUCAAAUCGAUUACCCUUUGAAACACAUAAAUGAAAUCUGAUACUAAAUCCAAUAUGAAUUAGCUAGGAAAACAGAGAUGCGACAAGCAUAAUUGAUAUAGUUCAUCACCUCAUGUUACCAGUCAUCGAAAUAAUUUAAGACAUUUUUUUAAUUCAUACUAUAAAGUUAGUUCAUAACUGUAGUUGUAUUGUUAAUUCAUAUAUGAAUCAAGAUGACAUGCAAAAAGAUGAGUCAUAAAAUUUGAUUUGAUUCUAAUGAAAUUACAUCUGUGCGAACAAAAGUGAAGGGGAAAAUAAUAAUAAUAAUAAUAAUAAUAAUAAUAAUCACCUUUUCAUCGAAGAGGGGUUGUACUUGAUGAGCCAGCAAAAAGUUCUCUUCUGAUGUUAAUUUUUGAGGUUCCUUGUUAUUUGUUGUCACAUGCACUACAGAGUUGGAUAUGAAUGUUUCCAUAUCAGGGCAAUUCUCAAUAGUUAGAUUCUCCAACUCAGACAGUUCAAUUAUAUUCCCAGUGAAGUUGCAGAAUCUUUUGAGUUUUGGAAGAUCAAUGAGCCUUAGUCUGUUAAGCCUAGGAAACCGGGGGCCUAUAUGUUCUUCCUUAGCAUUUAGCUCUUCUAAAUGAAGCACCUCUUCUAUUAAAUCACAAUUCCUCACUUCCAGGCAUCUCAAAUUGUUCAAGCAACGUAGCAGAUUGGUAGGAAUAGCACUCGACAUAUUCGUGCAGUCAUCCACAGCCAGUUGUCGUAAAUUGUUGAAGAAGCUGACAGGCACUGCUUGGCCGUGCCAUAUUUCUCUCAAGCGUGGAAAAUGUGAGAGUUGCAAAUGCUCUAUGUCACGGAAUCCAAUCUGCAUAAACCAAAACAAUUGCACUGGAUAUAUAUAAAUUUCUUUUUUUGAAAGGCAUUAGAUAUAUAUAUACAUUAAACUUACAUGUUUUGUGCUUUAACUUCUAAAAAUAUAUUUACAACGCAGGUGUAUAUGUUUAAAUGUGGUAUAGUGGAAUUAAGCUUAUUGCCAUUACUUCGUAAUGGUGUUCGUAACACCAUUACUUCGUAAAGUGAAUCGAUUAACACAUACCAUUACUUCGUAACACUUUUGUAUAGUGGAAUUAAGCUUAUUGCCUUCCCAAUGGUGUUCACCCUCUUCCCUUUCAGUCACUUGCACUACGUAUAGCUUUGGUGUGGAUGAGAUUCCCCGAGAAAAAGUCUUCAUGUUCGGACAAUGUGUCAUAGAAACUUGUUCCAAUGAUGGGAAUUCAAGAGUGUAAUUCUCCAAACAAAAGCUGGUAAGCCUUGGUAAAUCAUCAAGUUCCAAAAGUUUUAAUUCGUUGAAAGCAAUACGAUUCUCCUUCGCUUCUUCUCCAACAUGUCCUAUGAUUUCUUCUAUUUUUGCACAGUCUGAUACAUCAAGAUUCACUAGACUAUUGGGAAUUCCAACCUGAAAAUAAAGAGUAGCAUUCAACUAGAUUCAAAGUAUGUCAAAAUCAUACAAUUGUUUUAUGAAAAAUAACAAACCAUGAAUGUCUACUAGAUAUUUUUUGUUAAAGAAAAAAAAGAAAAAAUAAAAAUAAAUAAAUAGAAGUCCAGAAAAACAAAGAUAAUGAAAAUGCAUUUACACUAUUUAGUAUUAGGAACGGAGAAAGAAUUUCAGGUAAUUUUUAAAUAUUCUAAAUUCAUUUUUCAUCUCGAUGCUAGUUUUUUAAAAUUUUUAAUUUUCAAACAUGCCUAUUUUUAAAAUAACUAAACUAAAACGCUGUAUUUCCCUUUUUUUUUUUUUCCCGAUAUUCAUGCUUUUAAAAAUGGAAAACAUUUCUGGAAAACACUUCCCAACGCCAUCAACAUGGGACUGUUAUAGAGUGAAUAUUUGAGGAAUUUUUUAAUCAACGGUCGAUUCAAAAUGACCAUCAUGAAUUUGUGCUUAAUCAAUGGCGUAAUCAAUUCAUAACUAAACUAGAGAUAUUAACUACAUUUGAACACUUUUCUUUAUUUUUUUUUAAAUCGAAAUUUGAAGACCCAAGGAAAAGAGAAAUAUAUAUGAAUUUGUGAGCUUAAAAGCUGAGUAACUAAGUAUCUUUUAAUUUCUAAAAAUCUUAUUUAUUAGGAUUUAAGGAAAAAAACAAUUAAAUUGAAUUAUAUUAUGCUGUUAAAUCGUGUUUAAAACAAUUAUAUCGUUGACUUUAAUGCGGGUGAACCUAUAAAUUAGAUUGACAAUGCAGAGUUCAGAAUGGUGAUUUGAAGUACACUACUUUUUUGCCCUCCUGAUGUUUGAAGUAAAAUACUUGCAAUAAAUAAUUUGUGAAUGAAAAUUAUUUGUAAACACAAAAAUGAUUAAAAUAAUUGUUGAAUGUUACUUGAAAUAAAAAUUCAAAAUGAAUAUAGCAAUCUUACCAAUGGAGGAAAAAUAUUCAGUAGAUUAUUACACCCAGAUAUCUUCAAUUUUUUCAAUUUGCUAAAAGACUUCGAAGCAAGCUGGUGGUGCCAUAUUUUUCUCAACUUAUCCGCCUCACUAAUAUGUAAUACCUCCAGACUUGGGAGUCGUACCUGAAGUUAAAAAUUCAAUGCAAUUAGAGAUGUAUAUUAAUUAAAUUUGAAGACUCAACGAAAAGAGAAUUUAAAAAUUCAAUGAAAAAAAACCUUUUCAUCAAAGAGGGAUUGAGGUUGCAUUUCAGUGUGAAUGACGUCUUCUGGUGAGGCAAAGCUACUUAGUUUUGGAAGCCAAUGGAGCGACAGGUAGUGUAGUUUGGGAAAAACCUUAAAUUCAUCUCUUCCUCCUAACGUCGUGGUGUUGACUACCCCUUCAAUUGACCGGCAAUUACGAAUCUCAAGAUGUUGGAGUUGCCCAAGACUAUUAACCAUAGAAUAUGAAAACAAAUACUUCAGACGAUGACAACUCCACACGGUCACUUUUGUUAAAUUUUGACAACAAUAUAUUCCCUGAAAUUGAUCGGACCAUAAUUUUUUUAUAUUUGUUAAACUGACAAGUUCCAGUUCCUCCAAGCGUGGAAAAGUAACCUGCAAAGAAAAACCAUACAUUUUUGUUCCUUCAACUACAACUUCUAAUAUAAUAUUCUUUCGAUGAUUGAAGAUCAAUCGUGAUAAUAUAUUAAUUAAUUAAUUAUUAAACAGAAAAUUAUUACCUGGUGAACAGGAUCAUCCUCUGCAUUGAUUUCUAUGAAUCCCUGAGUUGUUGUUGGUUUCUCCAUGUCGGGCCCUAUAAAUGAACCAAAACAAUAUAUAAUAAACAUCCGUUGUUUUUUUCCCCAAAAAAAGAAAAAGAAAAAAAGAAAGAGUCAAUGUCAAUAAUCCUACCAAUAAUUAAUUUCAACACUUACCAAUAAUCAUUUUCAAAUCAUCGCAGUCUUCCACUUUUACUUUUUGAAGCCGCAAUAGGUUUUUGGCCAUAGAGAAUGAGAAGAGAUACUUCAAUUUUCGACAGGAAUCUACGUUUAUAAUCCUUAAGUUGCUGAAGGAUUGAUCUUCUCUGAGUUGGCUGUAGCAUAUCGUCUCCAAAUUAGUUAAAAACAUAAGAGACAAUGCCUCCAGCAAGGGAAAGACUUCGCAACGAACCCUAACUGAACCGACAAUAUGUAAAAUCUCAGAACAGUCUGUUACGAGAAGACGCUUCAAUCGUGGAAAACCUUCCCCAUCGUCUAAUUCAUGAACAACACUUUGAACACCCUCCAAUGUUUCUAGCCAGAGAUCUUCAGUUCUCUGCAGCAACAUUUUUGUCCCAUCAUUCUCCUGAAGAAUGCUAACUUUUUUUAUCCCCUUGAGCAUCAUCAAUCUUGAUGCUUCAGAUUUGACGAGCAAUGGGUCAAACUCAUCUUCGGGCCCAUCUCCUAUACGUAUCUUAUAUCUUUGCAAUUCCACAGAGACAAAAUCCGGCGGCAGAAUUUCGGCAUCCGGAACUUCUAUCUCCAAAGUAGUUAGCUCUGUCAACCUCUCCAAUUCGACAAGACUGGCAUUACUUCCUCCUUCAACCUUCUCCCACCCUGAAAAACCGUUACCCAUAUACAAUUCUUCUAAUUGAGAAAAAUUUUUGGAUAUGACAUUUCGGUGCUAUUCACCUUCAAGCCCACCAAACAAUUGCUCUCAAAUCUAGGAAAUUGGUAACCGCGGCCAAUNNNNNNNNNNNNNNNNNNNNNNNNNNNNNNNNNNNNNNNNNNNNNNNNNNNNNNNNNNNNNNNNNNNNNNNNNNNNNNNNNNNNNNNNNNNNNNNNNNNNGCGAGGCUGAGAAUCUCUAUUUCUUUAGUGUCCCAAUUGCGCUAUAUCUGCUAGUCGCACCAGUCUAAACACAAUGUUUGAAGGUUAAUGAGGCGACCAAGUGAUGAAGGUAAUGAAGAAGAGCCAAUUCCAGGAAACUGUAAAACUUUGAGUCCUUCCAUCCCUUCAAAAAAGUGGUCUGAAACUUGCAUAGGGCCAUUACCCUCCGUAUACAACAAAAAUAACUGGAGAUUGGGACAUUGCAACCUUUCAGGGAGCUCUUGAAUAUCUCUAUGAGGUAAUGAAAUAGCAAUUGGAUCUUUCUGUAUUGUCUCUUCCAUCUUUUUCUCCAAGUCAGCAACAUUUGGAACAUUAAACAUGCGCUCCUCUCUGGCAAUUGAUACGGCAACAACAUGAAUGACGUCAUGCAUUUUAACUUCAUCUUCAGCAUCACCGUCCAACAAUAAGCAUGAAGAUUUGAGGUUGUCGAUCAACCGAUGCACUCUACUCCUUGCUUCUUCCAAUGUGUAAACAUUUUCAAACAAACCCCAACCCACACCACAUCUCAAUAAGUCAGAAACUUGUAUGACAUUACCUUCACUGUAUAGACUACAAAGACGGAACAGAGAUUUUGCCUCCUCACUUUCCAAGAAGUCAUAACUCAAUUUUAUGGAGGUGUACACAUUUGCUUGCAUGCCAUGAAUUUCUCUAGCAUCCGAUCUUCUUAGCUGAUUCAAUGCAUCUUUCCAAAAGUAACUAUCCUUAGUUUUCAGAGCAUUUGCAACUGUACUCAGUGCAACAGGCAAACCUCCGCAUCUUUCAACGAUCUCAUUUGCUAUACUUUGAAAAGCGGAUAUUUUAGUUGAAUCACCCACUAUCUUUUCAAAUAACUGCAAUGCUUCUUUUGGUGGCAAAGCAUCGAUCGGGAAAUUUUUCUGAGAAUUCAUAUCAAUGCGCAAUAAAUCUCGACUUCUAGACGUCAAUAUUAUUGUGCAUCGUCUCUGAUCAUCCUUUGUAUCUUUCUCAUCAACAUCCCCACAAGGAAUUCCAACUUUUUCGAACUCGAGUUUUUUCCAAAUAUUAUCCAAUAUAACGAGGACCUGCUUCUCGUUCUUCAAUCUUUCACGUAAUCGAUCUGCUCUUUCGAAUUUAUUCUCAUCCGAGCCAAAUUUCAUGCCUAAGUCAAAAGCAAGUUUCUUUUGAAUUUCCUGAUGAUCUGGGGUCUGUGUUACCUCAGCCAUAACGACCUUGUCGAACACCUUAUCUUCCAUAACUUGCCUUGCAACUUGCUUGACUAGCGUGGUUUUACCCACGCCGCCCAUCCCGUAGACCCCAAUUAUCUUGAGCUUAUCAUCCUUCAACGCCUCCACAACAUCUUCAAAUACUUUCAUUCUUGAAUCAAAGGCCUCGAAAUCUUUCACUUGCAUAUGUUCUGCCCGCUUUGGAGCAGGACGGUAGGAAACAUUAGAGAAGUUACAUUUUCCCAUGAGACUAGCAGCAGCUUCUGCGGCCUUUGCUGCUUGUCUACUGAGCUUGUAACGAGAAAUCAAGUUUGGGCACAAUCCUUUGAAACAGAACUUCUUAGCUCUAUCUUCAUCAUCAGUGAUGGAUUUCGCAGCUCCCUGACUGAAUUCCUUGACGCUAUUAAGCCAGUCUGCAACAUCCUUAUAAAUCUCAUCUCCUUGUUGAGUAGCCUGAUGAACGGGUAUUUCCACCCUUUCUCUUUUAUAUCCCAACUGUUUCACUUGAUCUUUUAGGCCAUCUAUGUAGCUCUGGUACUUGAACACAUAAGAGAUCUGCCGUAUAAUCGGUUUGAACAGUGACUUUGCAUCUUCUGAUACGAUGCUGGAAAAAGCAGCCAGACCCACUUCUGCAACCAUUGCCUGUUGCUUAACAAUAUAUGUAUAUAUAUGAAUAAAAUGAAUAAAAAUGUCAAAGAAAGGAAUACAAAUAAAUUAAAAUGAACUAGAGGGAAAGACAGAGAAAGAAAAGACCGCAAACAACAUCGCGAUAUUGAUUUUGAACCAACUGAUACAUAAGUAGAGAAUUUCUUUUUCUAUCUUAAGGAUCAGAGGUUUUGCUAUUAACAGAAAGGUAUCCUUUAAGGAAAGUUGAUGGAAAUUAAGAAAGAAUGGCUAUCAAGAUCAAGUAUUCUGCUACUAAAAAUAAAUGAUAUGACUUAAGAAAAGUAAAUGAUAUGAUUAAGAAAAACCAGAGAAUUUUUUCCUAGGAAAGUUGAUGGAAAUUAAGAAAGAACCGCUAUGAAGAUCAAGUAUCAGAGAUUCUGCUACUAAAAGAAUAUUACAGGUUUUAGAACAAGUGCACCUCUUUACCUGUCUGGGAUCAGAGUCGAUGAGCUGCUGUAUUCACCUUGAAUAUAGAAGAAAUAUUACAGGUUUUGACUAAAGAGGAAUGUGAGGAACGAGUUGAUGAGAGUAAUAACAAUGAAUUUCCAAAAGAAGACGACUUGAGCAUUAAGCAUGCACCCCCUUUAUCAAUCAAAUAUUGGUACGUAUGUACGUAGGGACCAUUAUGCGUAUAUGAAGUCCAUUAGUUGCAAUCAGAAACCCUGGCCCAAUUUAAUUGACACUCGAUUUUUGAUAAGAAGAAGGCAAGGAUAAGGACAAAGUCAAUCAAUCACCAACAGUAAUUACUUCAAUCUUUGUCAAUCUACUUAAAUUGUCGAUCAACAUGAAAAUUGUUUAAAUUGAUAUUUGUAAAUCAAUCAAUUUUCUAGUUACUAUGAUUAUAACGUUUCACCUUUCAUAUUGGAUUUUAUCUUUUCGAAAGUUUUCAAAUAUGAGUGUCAAUAAUUAUUGAGACUCCAAGCCGUGCUCUCAAGAUCGUGCUGACAAAUCACUAUUGACUUUGUUUAUGCAAAAUUCAAAGAAAAAAAGUUAUGGUUUUGUAUUGCCAGCCCUGCUACUUUUUGUUUUUUUCAUUUGUAUUAUUUACGAAUUAUUUUUUAACAGAAACAUGAGAACUCAUCAUCGUAUAAAAUUGCAUGAAAAAAUCUUCAAAUUUAUAAAAGUAAAUUUCAUUGACAGAUUGUGGAUAUGUUAGAAAGAAUAAGGAUAAGAAUGAGUUAAGAAAUAAUAUAUAUAUAUAUAUAUAUAUAUAUAGAUAGAUAGAUAGAGAGAGAGAGAGAGAGAGAGAGAGAGAGAGUGAAAGUAAACAAUGUUUUGGUACAUUUGGUAUUGUUUUCAAAAUAUUUUGAAAAGAAAAAUUUUCAAUUAUCCAUCUAAGAAUUAUCUUAUUAUCCAAAAAGUUAUAAAAAUUUAAAAAUAUUUAAUUUUAUACCCAUUAUUACAAUGUGUAUCAACUGUUUACUAAAAAAAUAAAGUUACUCCUAAAACAUAAUCACCACUACAAUUUUGUGUUCGGUUCUAUUUUGUCACUUUGAACGAAUAACUUUAUAUUUUUAACAGAUGUUUCAUACAAAUUGCAUACAUUGGAUGUAAAAUUAAAUAAAUUUAAAUUUUUAUAAUAAUUUUAAUAAUUGAAUAAACUUUGAGUAAAUGACUGAUAAUUUCUCUUUUAUAAGCUACAAGAAGUUAAAAAGAAAAAAGAAAAAAUAGGAUGAUAAUUUCUCUUUUAUAUGCCUCAGAUGAUUUAUUGUUUCGGGUCUAAGAUUUUAAUUAUUCAACUUAAAAGAUUAAUAUAUUAUAAAUUAAUUAAUUAAAUAAUCAUUAAGCAACUAAAUUGGGUCCCCUGGAUGUCAAUUCCUUUAAUAUUGACGCAACUAUUUUUUUCUGGCAAAUAAUUAUUAAUGCACUGACGGAACUUUUGCAUAUCUACACAGCGAUUUUAAAUAUUACUGGUAACUGCUGAGAAAUGUGCGAGAAAGAAGUUGAUGAGAGUAAUAACAGCGACUUGCAAAAGGAAAAGACAGAAUCAUUCACCCCUUUUUGUAUCACCUAUUUGGUUACUGUUUCCCUGUUGACGCAUGUAUAAAUUUGACUGGUUUUUCUGCACUUUUUUGGCUGUUGCUUAACAAUGUGUGUGUGUAUUUGCUGUUGAAAAAAUUGGAUUCAAAUAAAUUAACUGAAAGAUUAGAGUUUUGACUAUUAACUGAAAGGUUUCAAGGGUAUGAAUGAAAAGCAACAUUCUUUUUUAGAAACUAUUUUAGAGGAGAGAUGCAAAUUAACAAAUGCUAAUAACAAGAACACAGAAGUUAACAAUGAACAGUAACUUAAAUCAAGAAAAUUAAAUGACAAAAUUAAGACAAACAAGAGAUAUUUUUUUCUUGGACAUUAAGAAAUAACUGCGGUCAAGAUCAAGGAGAUUAUGCUAUUAAUAGAAAUUAUCAAAGGAUUUAGAACAAGUUCACCUCUUUAAUUAUCCGGGAUCAGAUAGUUGAUGAGCUUCUCUAUUUAGCCUUGAAUAUUUAAGAAUAAUUUUAAAGAGCAAAAAGAUCACUGGUAACUGCUGAAAAAUAAGUGAGAAAAGAGUUGAUGAGAAUAAUAACAAUGAAUUGAAUAAAAAAAGGACUUAAUCAUGCACCCCCUUUGCAUAUCAUGUAUUUGGUUACUGUUGCCUUGUUGACGCAUGUAUAGAAUAAUUACAUGUAUUAUUAUAAUUUUGGAUUCGAUAUCCUUGUAUUAGUGUCUAAGAUUUUCAUGAAGAAUUAAACUUGGAAUGACCAAAAGAGGAAGCUGCAGUGUAUUGUUGGACCCAAUUAAGUUGAAGAAAGCACUAGUUCACAACCUUACGUUUGGAUAUAUUCUAAAGAAAUAAUUAAACAGCAAAUCAUCACAUGCACUUUAAUGAUUUGAUCUAUUGUUUUCAAAAGAAAUUGCAAUUAACAGUUUUUGUCAAAAGUUCGCACAGCGUGAAACUAGUGUUAGUAUAAUUUAAAAAAUUAAUUUCAGUAUUAUUUUUUAAAAUGUUAAUUAUUAGAUUUAUUUUAAUAAUAUAUUUAUAUUUAUUAUAAAAAAUUUAGUUAAAUAUUUGUGUUAAAUAGAAUUUAUAAUUAAUUUAAUAUAUCUUAGGUAUUAAUAAUAUUAUAAUUAUUCUAUAUGCUAUUGAAAAUAAUUUAAAUUUUUAGACAUUUAUUUUAUAUUAAGUUUCUAUUUAUUACAAAAUUUAGUUUAAUAUAGUAUAAGCUUGUAAAGUAUUAAAAUAUUUUUUUCAUUUUUUUUAAAAUAUUAAAAUUAUUUUAAAAUAUAUAUAUUAACAUUGAAGCUAAUUUUUUGAGUUAAUAGAGCUAGUAGGUGUUAUAGUAAAAAAGAGUAUCUUAGUAUCUCUUAUUGAAAAUAUAUAGAUCUAUAUAAUCAUUUUUUCAAAUAUUGAGAUGUAGAAAAAUAAAUUAAAAAAUUUUAAAUUUUAAUAUGGCCAUCGUAGGGUUAGAAUCCCCGCUCCAACCCGAUUUGGAGAUUUAUGUUUUUAAAAAAAAAAAGAACAAAGAAAAAAUACACACCCGACCAAAUCAAGCACCUCAUCAAAUCAAAAAUAAAAAAGGAAAGAAAUUAAUGGCUUGCAUGCAAUUUUGGAUCUGAAAUUAAAAUUACAUAAAAAUUAAGGCUUACGUACCUUAAUAUUUACAGCUUGUUUGAUGGCCCCAACAAGUUUAAGCAGCAUCAAAAUGUUGUGGCUCCUUAAAUGACAACAUCGACUUGUUUGACAGCUCCAACAAGGCUACGAUGAUCAGAAGAUGAGCCCUCAAUCAACAAGGCUAAGAUUGGCUUCUCUAUCCUCUGCCGACAUGUCCUCUUCUCCCAACAACCAGCGCCUUGCUCUUUGUCAUUUUUCCUCUUGUUAGUUUUCUUCUACAUAUAAUUAUUACACUGGGAAGUAUACACACACUUCUUUUCUUUUUAUAGUACCUUACUAUUAUAUCUUUACAAAACAAUAUCACCCUAAGACAUAUAUGUAUGAAAUAAAUAUAUAAGGAACGGACGAAAUAAAAUUAGAUCUAACACUAGUUUCAUGUGGUGUGUGAACUUUUGACAAUCCUCUCAUACCCCAACAAAAACUUUGUCAUAUUACAAAAGUUAUCACGACCAUAGACUUUUCAAUUGCAUAUUGGAAUUGCAAUGUCAUUUUAUUAUAGUAAUGUCAUUUCCAUUAUUCAUAGUGGCAGACAAUGGACAUCACGGGACACGGCUAGAAGUUAUCACGACCAUAGACUUUUCUAAUUUAUGAAAUAAAUGAAAUUAGAUCUAAUUCUAGUUUCAAGUGGUGUGAACUUUUGACAAUCCUCCCAUAUCCUAACAAAAGCUUUGUCAUAUUGCGAAAAUACCUUUUCAAUGUUUCAAUUGCAAUGUCAUUGCCAUUAUUCAUAGUGGCAGACAAUGGACAUCACGGGACAUGGCUAGAAGUCUAUGUUACGGCUUCUGUAAGUAACAGCAGCCAAUGGGGAACUUCCAUGGGGGCUAUAGGAGAGAGAAAGAGGUCCCAAUACAAGUGUUAGAGUACAAUUUAUACACUAGUUUUGCAUUGUUUACUUCCCUUAAUAUCGAUGUUUUGCAUUUAAUAAUAAUGAUUUACUUGUGUUUUACUUUUGUAAGUGCAAUUCUAUUGAUUUGUGAUAGAAUUGAGGUAUAAGAUGAUGUUUAAAGAUGAUUGUUCUCUUGGAGAAAUUUAGAGCGUCAGAAGAACUUUAUAGAUAAGGCGUGGGCGCGUGCUGUCAACUGCGGACCUGCAGUUUUUAGUUUAAUGUGUUUUGUAUUUUUGGCUAUUUUUGUAAUUACGAAUUUAAUAUUUCAAAUAUUAUUAUUUUAUUUUAAAUAGAACUUUAAAAGAGAAGAGAGAGAGAGUAUUUAAGGGAGGAAUCUAUUGUGAAAAAGGGGGGAUUUUAAUUGGAGAAAAAGAAAGAAACCCUAGAUCUAAUUUUUCUCUUCUCUCUAUGAAAAACUAAACUUAUUUUUUCUAGUUGAAGGUUAAUGAAUUUUUGAUUCAUCACUACUGUGAGAUCUUUCUUAUGCUUUAAUUGUUUUAUUACUUUUUGGGUAUUUGUUUAUUCUCUGAAUUAGUUUCAUGAUUAUGUUUGUUAAUUAGGUAAUUGGCCACUAUUUAAUUAUCAACUUAAUCUAUUGUCAAUUAAAGAAUUCAUCGUAUGACGAGUUUAAUGUUUGUGACAAAUAACAUAGCAGUGAGUUGUGUUAUGGGAAUAAACAAUCUAAUUUAAAUGAAUCAUCAUAUGUGUUGAUUAGGAUUUGGGUCGCUCUGGUUUUUCAGGCUGUCAAUUGAUUAAAUCCUAUGAUCGUAUCUAGGGUUGUCUAUUAAUUAGGGAAAUAUCCAAUGGUCGUACCUUGGUUAUCGACUAGUUAAGGAGAGAUUGGCUAUUAGAGGGUCUCAAUAGCUAUAACCAGUUUAUUCAUAAGUAAUAAUAAUCUAUUUUUGAAUCAAUGAUCAGUAGUCGAAUCAAACUGAGUUAAUUCCUUCAACCAAAGCUUUCUCCAAUUUGAAUUACAACUUUAAUUUGCAUUUUUGUUAUUUUAAUUUGAUUUUUUAUUAUUGUCAACAAUUCUCCCAUUUUACGUUUUACGUUUCAAAAGAAUUUAAAUAAUUACCGAUCUCUGUGGACACAACCCUGCUCAAUCACUAUACACAAUUUAUUUAGAGUAGGAAUUUAUUUUUAUUGGCUUCAACAACCAUCAACAAGGUGAUGGAAAUGGGAAAGUUCGAAGCUGUUACUUUCAGCUUCUGCACCGUAGCCAUGUCCCACGGGACAAGGCUAGAAGUUAUCAUGACCAUAGACUUUUCUAAUUUAUUUUUUCCUUUCAAAAAGGGACAAGGAUAAGUUUGGGAGAAUGAUUAUAUUUUUAAUAAAAGAAUUCUUUUUUAUUAUAAUACUUUUUGUCUUUAUUAAUUUAAAAAUAUUAACUCUUAUAUUUUAAUAAAUAUAAAUAUAAUAUUAUAAUAACAUAUAACAAUAUAUACAAAUAUUUAAAAAAAUUUAAGAUUUUAUUAAAAUAAAUUUUAUAAUAAAUAAAAAUACAUUAUUAAUAUAAUUUUAAUAAUUUGCAUUUUAAAAAGUAAUACUGAUAUUAUUUUUUAAAUAUUAAUUUUUUAAAUUAUAUUACUCUACCAAAAAAAAUUAAACUAUUAAAUUAUAUUGAUAUUUAUUACAAAAUUUGCAAUUAAUUCUUAUUAUAUUUUUAAUUGGAAUUUGUUCCUGUGAUAUAACAACAAUUGCUACAGUUUUUUCCCUAAAUAAAGAUGGAGUUAUAAAUUAUUUGUGUAAGUGUCAUGAAAGUAAUAGUUGAAUAACAAUAAUGGGGCUUUAGGCAAUUUUUUUUAUGAGGUCUUCUUGCAAUUUCAACACUUAAACAGACUUGUCCUUGAUCCCAAUUUAUUUACCCCAUUUGGGCCCACGAUGAGAUAAAUAUAUUCCUGUGAGAUGAAAAACAUCAGGAGAAGAAAAUGUUUUAUUAUAAUAAAAAAACAAGUGGUCCAUAAGUCUAUUUAUUACUUUUUUUAUUCAAUACAAAUGGCCAACUUAAAAAAUGAUAAAAAUCACAUAACGCACAAGCAAAAAUUUAGAUUUACAUUUUUUAGUUCUCUCCGUGUCUCUCUUUCUCUUUUUUAAAAAAAAUAAAUAAAUGUCAGUGUAAAAUUAGAAAAAUUUUAGAUAUAAACUUUGGCGAUGACCAAACAAAAAUUGCAAGGGAAAGAAAAUAGAGGACCCUUGAUAUCAUUAAAAUACUGAUCAUAGACACUACAAUAUAAAUAACUUGUUGUGAUCCACUCAACUUGUAACACUUUAAUCCAUAUUCUAAAAUUUGUAUGUUUGUUAGGAAUUUUAUUAUUGACAUUACUGUACCAAUAAAAUUCUAAUUUAUUCAUAUGGAAAGAAAACAUCAAGAAAGGACCUCUGAUUUUUAUUAUAACAGAAAAAAGUGGUCCAUAAGUCUAUUUAUUAUUUUAUUUAUUCAAUACAAAUUGCCAACUUAAAAAAUGGUAAAAAUCACAAAAUGCACAAGUAAAAUUUUAGAAUUACAUUUUUUUUAAUUCUCUUUGAGUCUCUCUCUCUCUCUCUUUAAAAAAUAAACCUCACUGUAAAAUUAGAAAAAAUUUAGACAUAAAAUUUGACAAUCACCAAACAGAAAAUGUAGGGAAAUGAAAAUGGAGGAGCCCUAUUAUCAUUAGAAUAUUGAUCAUAGAUACUAUAAUGUAAAUGAUUUGUUGUGGUUCAUUCAACCUGUCACACUCUAAGCCAUUUUCUAAAAUUUGUAAGGUUUAUAGGAUUUUUAUUAUUGGCAUCAUUGUAUCAAUAAUAUUAUAAAUUAUAUAUUCUAUUGUAAUGAAAAUUUGUGUAAUCUUAGGUAUUUAUUGUAUUAAAUUGUGUGGAUUAAUUAAGAAUAUUUUUGGAGACAAAAGAGGUGUGUGUACGUAGGAUUAAUAAUAAAAAAUUUCUAAAUAAAGGUGAUUGCUUCAUUGACAAGUACAUAUUUAUAUUCUCUAUUAGUAUUUGGGUUGUAAACUUUGUUUAUAAAGUGAAUAUAUUGUGGUAAGCGAUGUGGGCAAUAUCGGAUGCAAAAUAUUGAGAGAUCAUUAACGCAUAUAUUUAUUGCAUAUAGAGGAAAGAGUGUAGAUCCGGCCGUAACAAUUAUGAAGCUUUCCCCAAGUAUUCUCACGCUUCCUUAACUGUUCCAAAGUAUUUUUCAUAGUGUGCAGAUUUACUUUAUGGUGUCUUAAUUCGUCUAAAAUGAUUACUUUAGUUCUUUUGGGAUGAAAGGUCAUUUAUUGUGUUAGGAUUAAACAAUAGAAAAAAUAAGUAAUGGUAACGAAAGACUAAUUUGUGAUAUUGAAGCAUACAUGCUUAACUCAAUCCAAAACUUAGUAAGUUAGCUCAAGAGUUAAGAGUUGUCCAAAUCUUAUAUGCUGAACCCAAGUUCAAUACUCAAUUGAUGCAGGAUGUUAUUCCUAACACCGCCCGUCAUGCGUAGGAUUGGCAAAAAAACUCGAGUCAAUCCCGCCUAGACCUGCAAGCUUUAUUUAUGGCCAGCAUGAUGAAGUUACAGAUAUUAACCUAAAAAUUUGAAACUUACUAUGAAUGGCCUUGGUUAAAGACUUUUGUAACUUUAAUUUAUAACAAAUAUGUAUACACACACACACAUGUUUAGAUUGCAUUUGGGUGACUUUUUUUAUCAAUGCAAACAAUAUCAAAUUUAUCGGAUUAAUUUGAAUCUGAUCUAUAUCCGAUUUUGCCCGCCAUAAGCCCAAGUGACUCUCUUUUACUAAUUAAUAAGGGAAUUUUUUGACCUCAUGUCCUUGCUGUGGCAUUAGACUGUUGGUCAUUUUGAUUGUUUCCUACCUUCCAUUUACGCCAGCUGUAACAUUGUAUUAUUCACCAUUUUAGCCAUUUAAAUGAAAUUUUAUUUUUGUCAAAAAUAAAAUGACACCCUUAAAAUAAAAAAAAAUAGUUAUGUAGACCUCAAAUUUUUAAUAAAGAAUGUCAAUACCUCUUUUAACUACAAGAUUCGUAGUAGAUGAUAAAAAGAAAAUUAACUUCAAAUUUUUUCAUUAAAUGUAAAUCUGAUUGAAGUAGUUUAAAUUUUUCUAGUAGACUAAUAUAUAUAACUUAAAUAAUUAAUUUCAUUAUUAAUUGUUAAAAUGUUAACCAAUAUAUUUUUAAUUUAUUAUAAAAAUUUUAAAUAAAUCCUUGGAUUAAAUAGAUUUUACAAUUAAUGUAAUACUUCUGAUUUAUUAAUAAUAUUAAAAUUAUUUUAUAUGAUAUUCAAAAUAAUUUAAACUUAUAUAUAUAUUAAUAUUAUGUCUAUUUAUUAUAAUAUGGUUUAAUAUUAUACGGGAUUGUAAAAUAUUAAAAUAUUUUUCAAUAUCCAAUUAUUUUAAUAUGUAUAUAUCAUUACAUUUAUUUUAGUAUCAUAUUUAUAUUUAUUAUAAAAUAUAAAAUUAAUAAAAUUAAAGAGUAUUGCAGUAAAGUAAAAAAGAAAAGUCUUAUUAUCUCUUAUUCACGAUAUGAGAUUCUACAAAAUUAUUUCCCGAAACGGGUGUCCUUUUCUCAUUUUCAAAAGAAAAAAUAAAGUAAGAAUAAGUCCAUGGGUUUCAAAAACUUCUAGUCUUAUCCCGGGACUACAUUGUCUGCCACUAUAACUAAUGGAAAUGACAAUACAAUUGACAUUGCCUUUCGCAACAUGACAAAUUUUUGGUGGGAUAUGGAAGAAUUGUCAAAAGUUCACGCCAUGUGAGAGUUUUUGGUGGGAUGUGGGAGGAUUGUCAAAAGAUCACACCACAUGAUAUAACCACAAUUGCUAUGGUUUUUAUUUUUUAAAUAAUGAUGGGAGUUAUAAAUUAUUUAUAUAAAUUUGCGUAGAAACUAAUGUAACAUAAAAGAAGUAGCUGAAUAACAAUAUUUGGUGCUUUAGGUAAUUUUUAUAUGAGCCUUUCUUUUAUUUAGCGGCUCUAGUGCUUAAACAAACUUGUUCUCGAUCUUAUAACAGAAAAGGCAUCCCAUUUAAGCCUAUGAUGACAUAAUUAAACAUAUUCUUUUGUGACGAAAACAUCAAGAGAAGACAUCUCAUGUUUUAUUAUAACAGAAAAGAAGUGGUCCAAACGUCUAUUCGUUAUUUUAUUUAUUCAAUAUAAAUGGCCAACUUUAAAAAAAUGAUCAAAAUCACACAACACUCAAGUAAAAAUUUAGAAUUACAUUUUUUAAUACUCUCUAAGUCUCUCUCUCCUGCCCCCCCCCCCCCCACCCCGUCCCCUUUUUUGAAAAAAUAAACCUUAGUGUAAAAUUAGAAGAAUUUUAGAUAUAAAAUUAGAAGAAUUUUAGAUAUAAAAUUUGGCAAUCGCUAAACAGAAAAGCAGCGGAUUGAAAAUAAAAAAACUCUAUUACCAUUGGAAUAUUGAUUAUAGACAAUAUAAUAACUUGUUGUGGUUCAUUGUAGCACUCUGAGCCAUAUUCUAAAAUUUAUAGGUUUGUUAAGGCAUUUAUUAUUGACAUUAUUGUGUCAAUACUAUUAUAAUGAUAAUUUGUCUAGUCUUAGGUACUUAUUAUAUUAAAUUAUGUAAAUUAAUUGAGGAUACUUUUAGAGACAAAAGAAACACGUGUAUGUAGGAUUAAUAAUCGAAGAAUUGUAAAUGAAGGUGAUUGCUUCAUUGAGAGGCAUAUUAAAUAAUUAUGGAGAGUUGCACUAUUUCGGAAGCACAUAAUUAUACUUCCCUAUCAGGAUUUGGGGUAAACGAAGUGCUUUAUCUAUUGCAGUAAGCAAUGUGGACAAUAUCAGAGGCGAAAUAUUAAAAGAUCAUAACGCAUAUAUUGGAGCCAUUUAUCUUCCGCAACUGUUCUGAACUAUUCUUCAUUGUGGGCAGAUUUACUUAAAUACCUGCACAAUGAUUCAAUACUUCAAAGGUCAAGGAAAUGUCAAAAUAUGAAAUGAAAAUACUUAAAUACCCUUCUACCUAACAAAACUCGCAGAGAAUCUAUAAAAUUAAAAAAAAAAUAUUCAUCCAUGAAAAGCUUCGUAACAGAAAAACCGUCUUUCAAAAAAUAAAAACAGAAAAACUGACUCAUUUAUCUGCAAAUGAACCAAUCGGGACUCAUUUAAAAAAGAAUACAAAGCAAAAGUAAAUGACACAAAUUGCAUAGAUAUCUAGGAGCCGCAUCAAAAGACAAAGGUGUUAAUUUGUCCAAGAAUAAAUUCUCCUAGGUCAAAAGCAAUUAACGAUGAAAACUUUCUUCAUUAAGGUUCUGGCCUACGUAAAAAAACAGAAAAAAACCACCCCAAGGUCAAAGCACAACGAUAAAUUUAGAAAUGAAGUUUUUAAUUUUUUUUUAAUAAAUCAACGUGUAUCAAAAAUAGAUAAUAAUUUUGGAUAACUUUUUUUGAUAAAUAUAGACAUAAAAUUUUAAAAUCACCAAACAGAAAAACAGGAGAAUUAAAACAAAGUCCCUGUUUAUCCUCUAUUUUGCUUGUUAUUAAAAAGGGAAAUGAAAAGAUUGCAAGCGGAAAUUUUGUUUCUGCGUUGUCUCUUCUCAAUGCUGCAUGCAUUCAAAUUAAACCUUACAUAUGCUAGCAAACUAGCUACGCUGCAUGUAAGUUCUCGAUAAGUCCAAAUAAUAGAAUAAUUGUAAAAUGUUCAAAUUCAGUAAUUAAUUUUAUUUAUUUAUUUAUUCAAAAAUUAUUAUUAUUAUUAAUUAUUGUCAAUAAUAUAUUAAUAUACUAAUUAAUUGUAAAAAAAUUUAUCAUUCAUAACAAUAAUAAUGAUGAUGAUGACGAUAAUAAUAAAAAUUCAAAAUAUAUUAAUUAAUUAUAAUAAUAUAUUAAUUAUUUAAUAAUAAUAUAUUUAAAAUAUAUAUAAAUUGAUUAGAAUAGUUAUAUUAAUAAAUUAUAAACAUAUAUUAAUUAAUCAUAAUAAUUUUUUAAUUGAGGACAAAAUAGAUAUUUUAUAGUUUGUGAGAGGGGGCAAAAUGAUCAAUCUUGGGAAUGGGGGAUUGAUUCCCACCACCUUCCUUAGGAAUCAAUCUUCCAUUCCUCACUCCUAAUUUGGGUGGUCCCCAUAGUUCUGAUUCGGAUCCCAGCCUCCAUUUUAUGAAGUAAACAUCAUUAAUGAUUUCGAUUUCGGAUUUCGAUUCUCCAGUCCAAGAAGUAAAGGCACCAUUAUUGUUAAUUGGUUCAAACACACAAAGAGAAUGUACCAUGUAGCUAGGCGUCAAGGUUGUGUGGCACAAGUAACCUUUUUCUUUUCUUUUUAUUUUUCUUGUUUUCCUUAACGGAUCAGAAGAAAUCGGUGCCUUUGAGAUACUACAAUGUAAAUAAGUAUUUGUGGUUCAUUGAAUCUGUAACACUCGGUACCCUAAGGUUGCUUUUGAAAAAGGGCUUUUCUCACUGAUCACCAAUAUCCAAGUAAGUUUGUUUCAUUUCAGAAGGUGCAAAGUUUCAAACUUUUUGUAUUGGGAUGUAACAAACUUUGGCCUUAUAUGCUUGCUGUGACGUUAGACUGUUCAUUUUGAUUGUUUCCUACCUUCCACUUGCGCCACUGUAGCACUGUAUUAUUCAUCAUUUUAGUUGUUUAAAUGAAAUUUUAUUUUUGUCAAAAAUAAAAUGACACCAUUAAAAUUUAGAAAAAUAAUCAUGUAGAUCCCAAAUUUUUAAUAAAGAAUACCAAUAUUCCCCUUGACUACAAUACCCUUAGCAGGUGGUAAUCAAACAAAUUGACUUAAAAUUUUUUACGAAAUGUAAAUAUGAUUUAAAUAAUUUAAAUUUUCCAGAAGACUAAUAUAUAUAAUUUAAAUAAUUAAUUUCAAUAUUAAUUUUUAAAAUGUAAAUUAAUUUAUUUGUACUUAUAAAAUAUUUGUAAUUAUUUUAAAAUUUUAACUAAAUCCUUAGGUUAAAUAGAUUUUACAAUUAAUAUAAUAUUUCUCAGGUAUUAAUAAUAUUAAAACUAUUUUAUAUGACAUUGAAAAUAACCUAAAUUUUUUAUAUAUUUAUUUGAAUAUUAUGUCUCUAUUUAUUAUAAUUUGGUUUAAUAGAAUACGAGAUUGUAAAAUAUUAAUAUUUUAGAUAUUGAAAUUAUUUUAAUAUCUAUAUAUUAUUAUAUUUAUUUUAAUAUCCUAUUUAUAUUUAUCAUAAAUUAUUAGAGUUAAUUUUUUUAGUUAAUAAAUUUAAAAAUAUUAUAAUUUAAAAAAAGUCUUAUUGGCCGUUAUUCACGAUAUAAGGUUCUAAUAAAUUAUUUCUCUAGACAGGUGCCAUUUUCUUAUUUUCAAAAGGAAAAACAAGUUCAGGGCCUCGGGGGUUUCAAAAAAUUCUGGUCCUAUCUAUCACUAUGACUAAUGGGAAACGGCAUUGCAAUUGACAUUGCUUUUCGCAAUAUGACAUAUUAUGGAGGGAUAUGGGAGAAUUGUCAAACAUUCACACCACGCGAGAGCUUUAGGUGGGAUAGGGGAGGAUUGUCAAGAGUUCACACCACAAGAAACUAAUGAUAGGUCUAAUUUCGUUGUCAGUUCUUUAUUUAUUUAUUUUUUUUAUUUCAUACAUUAUUGUUCUUGUAAAGGUAUAAAAGUAAAGUAAAAUACUAGGGGUGCUGUUAAGUUACAACUGAUGUAACUUGUAAUUUUUUCAAAAAUAAUGUAAAAAAUUUAAUAGGUGGUGGGACUCACAUAUUUUUUAAGAGACUUAAGUUAUAGUAGUUGUAACUUAACAAAAUCUAAAUAUUAUACAAUAAUGCAUAUUAAUAAUGCAUAUAAUUUGGGUUUGAUUUUUAAAAGAUUAUUUGAGUACCACCUAUCCUUAUGAUAUUAAUGUGAUUAUAUCUUAAUAUUAAAUAAUCAAAAUUUGUUUAAUUAUUAUUUGUAUUUCAUACAUUACAUAUUAGAUUUGUUUGAAUUUUAAGUUGUUGCUAAUAAAUAUUUAUGUUGUCAAAGUCAAAUUCAAUAGCUACAAAAGCAGAGAUAAUGGUAUUGUAUAUAGUUUUUAAGAAUGCAAGGAUAAGCUGGAUAAUUGACAUAAAUUCUAAUGAUUAAAAGAGCAACUAUCCCUUAAAUUAUAAUGUUAAUUUCUUUAAUUAGAUUUUUUUUUUCAUGUGAUAUAACCACAAUUGCUACAAUUUUUUUUUAUAAUAAUAAUGGGAGUUAUAAAUUAUUUAUAUAAAAUUUGGGUUGAAACUAAUGUACCAUAAAAGUGGUUGCUGAAUAACAAUAUUUGAAACUUUAGGUAAUUUUCAUGAGUCCUUUUUAUAUUCAGCAACCUGAAUUGGGGAAAAUCCGACUUGAAUUGGCGGUUGAUUUUGGUGAUGUGGCUUUUGGUUUAUGGCGGCUUUACUGUGGCGGAAGACUGGAUUUACGGUUGCCGACUGCUAGGGAUUAUGGUGGUGGUGUAAAUUGACGGAAAAAGAAGGUGUUUUGGUGGCGGCGCGUGUAGGAAGCACUCGUGGGUUGUCGUUUCGUGUGGUGACAGAGGGCGGCGAUCAAGGGCCGAAGUCGGUCAGUUUUUGGUCAACGAAGGCCGGCGAGUUUGUUGGUGGAGGUGGCUGGUGGAGAAAGUGGCUGAAUGGUGGUGGGUUGCUUGGUGGAGCCGCAGGUUUGGGUUGGUGAUUUGCGGCUGUUCAAGCGGCGGUUGAGGCAGCGAUGACUGAGGCUUGGUCGACGGUGGCUAGUGAGGUUUGUGGUGGUGUUGGCUGGCUGAUUGGCGGUGGUGGGCGGCGGUGGGGGUUGGUCUGACGGGUAGGGUUUUCAAAUUUGUAAUUUUUUUUUUUGAUGGAUUUGGUUUGGAUGGGUAUGGUGUAUCUAGGAAAGAUGUGUGAUUCGCACAGAAUUGCUUUGAUACCAAUUGAUGGAGCGAGCGUAGCGGAAGUGGAAUUGAUAAGGUAAGAAAUACUAAAUAUCAUUCUAGUACUGGAUCAAGCCAACACAAUUAACUUACGCUUUAAUCAAAGCGUGAUUAGAUAUUGUUUUAAUCUAAAUGAUUCAAUGAGAUUUUUAAUAACGCGUAAUACGAGAUUAGAUGACACUCUAAUUUAAAUAACUCUAUAAGAGAGAUUUUGAUAAAUAAUACUAGAGGAAAUUAUAAAAAAAAGAGUUUUAUUUAAUAAUUGAAUUUGAAGUCCUGAAAACAAUGACAAGACAUCUUUAUUUUUUUUAUUACAGACAUCUUUAUUUAUAAUAAAAGAAAUCCACUUUCCUAAGUUAACCUAAAAAGAAAAUUUAAAUUAUAAUUAUAAUGGAAAUAAAAGAUUAAGAUACAUACCAUAAUUGACUCAAACAAAAAUAGAAAACCAUAAAAUAAUAAAUAUUUUAGAAUUAUAAAUUAUCUAAAAUAACGUUAAUUAACUUCCUAAAUCACGUCUUUGGUGUAAACCAUUUUGCAUCCAACCUUGCUUUAAAGGUUUGAACCAACGUUACGAACAACAAUGUAUCAAAUUCCAAUCUAACUUAAGAUCCUGAUACAUCUACCGAUGUCCUUGUUUGAUUAGACAAUAAUGAGUCUAUCUCAUCACUUGUUACCUCUUUUUUGAAGCUGCAUCUGUUGAAGUGAUAGCCUCGCUUAGAGUUUAAAGAUCUUCUUCCAUGUUAAAUAAAGUGGGCAUUUGAUUAAAAAACUUUAUCUCUAUCUCCUUCUAUCAAAUAACGAAAACUAUCCAAAGGAAAAAAAAAAAAUUAGAAAAGUCCAUGGGUUGCAAUAAUUUAUGGUCUGUCCUCGGACCCCAUUAUCUGCCAAUAUCAAUGAUGAAAAUGAAAAUAAAUGGCAUCUUCCCAAAAUGGCGAAAGAUUUUUAGGAGAUAUGGGGAAUUGUCAAAAGUUCCCACAACGCGAAAUAAGUGUUACAUCCAAUUUUAUUUCAUCAUAUAAUGAUAAUAUCAAGUAAUGACAGCCAUCUAAAAGUAUAAUGGGUCUUCCAAAAUUUUGAAAAUGUCGUCAACAUUUAAUCUUCAAUGCUAAAGAAGAUGAAAUGCCCAAAAAUGACAUGCAGGACCCACUCACAGACUAAACGGCCCUGACCACAUGCAACAAACUUUGACUUUAUGUCCCUGCUGAGGCGUUAGACUGUUGGUCAUUUUGAUUGCUUUUUACAUUCCAUUUACGCCAUUGUAGCAUUGUACUAUUUACCAUUUUAGCUGUUUAAAUGAAUUUUUUUUUCCAAAAAUAAAAUGACACCCUUAAAAUUUUAGAAAAUAAUCAUGUAGACCCCAAAAUUUUAAUAAAGAACACCAAUACCCUUUUUGACUAUAGUACUCUUAUGGUAGCCACAAAAAAAAAAUGACUUCAAAAUUUUUUACUAAAUGUAUAUAUGAUUUAAAUAGUUUAAAUUUUCUAGUAGACUAGUAUGUAUAAUUUAAAUAAUUAAUUUUUAAAAUGUAAUUUAAUAUAUUUAUUUUAAUAAUAUAUUUAUUAUAAAAAUUUUAAACAAAUCCUUGGGUUAAAUGGAUUUUAUAAUUAAUAUAAUAUUUCUCAUGUUUUAAUAAUAUUAAAAUUAUUUUAUAUGAUAUUGAAAAUAAUUAAAAAUUUUAUAUAUUUAUUUGAAUAUUAUGUCUCUAUUUAUUAUAAUUUGGUUUAAUAGAAUACGAGAUUGUAAAAUAUUAAAAUAUUUUUAGGUAUUGAAAUUAUUUUAAUAUGUACAUAUUAUUAUAUUUAUUUUAAUAUCCUACUUAUAUUUAUUAUAAAAUAUUAAAAUUAAUUUUUUUAGUUAAUAAAUUUAAAAAAUAUUAUAAUUAAAAAAAAGAGUCUUAUUGUCUGUUAUUCACGAUAUAAGGUUCUACAAAAUUAUUUUCAAAAGGAAAAAUAAGUCUAGGGGUUUCAAUAAAUUCUAGUCCUAUUUGCCACUAUGACUAAUGAAAACGACAUUGCAAUUGACAUUACUUUUCGCAAUAUGACAAAUUUUUGGAGGGAUAUGGGAGAAUCGUCAAAUGUUCACACUACGCGGGAGUUUUGGAUGGGAUUGGGGAGGAUUGUCAAGAGUUCACACCACAAGAAACCAAUGAUAGCCAUAAUUUUGCUAUCAGAUCUUUGUUUAUUUAUUUUAUUUAUUUCAUACAUUGUUGUCUUGUUGGCAUUGUUUUGCAAAGAUAUAAAAGUAAAAUAAACUAUUAGGGUGCUGCUAAGUUAAGCUGUUGUAACUUACAAUCCCUUAAAAAAUAAUGUAAAAAAUUUAACACGUGGUGGGAUCGACAUAUGUUUGAAGAGGCUUUAAGUUACAGUAGUUGUGACAUAGCAAAAUCCAAUUAUUAGACAAUAACGCACAUUAACAAUGCAUAUAAUUUGGGUUUGAUUUUUUGAAAAAUUAUUUGAGUAUUAACUAUCCUUAAGAUAUUAAUGUGAAUAUAAUUUAAUAUUAAAUAAUCAAAAUCUGUAUAAUUAUAAUAUAUAGUUCAUACAUUGCAUGUUUAAUCAAAAUCUGAUUGCUUUUUACCUUCCAUUUACGCCCACUGUAGCAUUGUACUAUUCACCAUUUUAGCUGUUUAAAUGAAAUUUUUUUUUUUUCAAAAAUAAAAUGACACCCUUAAAAUUUUAGAAAAUAGUCAUGUAGACCCCAAAAUUUUAAUAAAGAACACCAAUACCCUUUUUGACUAUAGUACUCUUAUGGUAUUCACAAAAAAAAAAAAUGACUUCAAAAUUUUUUACUAAAUGUAAAUAUGAUUUAAAUAGUUUAAAUUUUCUAGUAGACUAGUAUGUAUAAUUUAAAUACUUAAUUUUUAAAAUGUAAUUUAAUAUAUUUAUUUUAAUAAUAUAUUUAUUAUAAAAAUUUUAAACAAAUCCUUGGGUUAAAUAGUUUUUAUAAUUAAUAUAAUAUUUCUCAUGUUUUAAUAAUAUUAAAGUUAUUUUAUAUGAUAUUGAAAAUAAUUUAAAAUUUUAUAUAUUUAUUUUAAUAUUAUGUCUCUAUUUAUUAUAAUUUGGUUUAAUAGAAUACGAGAUUGUAAACUAUUAAAUAUUUUUUGGUAUUGAAAUUAUUUUAAUAUGUAUAUAUUAUUAUAUUUAUUUUAAUAUCCUACUUAUAUUUAUUAUAAAAUAUUAAAAUUAAUUUUUUUAGUUAAUAAUUUUAAAAAAAUAUUAUAGUUAAAAAAAAGAGUCUCAUUGUCCGUUAUUCACGAUAUGAGAUUCUACAAAAUUAUUUUCAAAAGGAAAAAUAAGUCCAAGGGUUUCAACAAAUUCUAGUCCUAUCUGCCACUAUGACUAAUGGAGACGAUAUUGAAUUGACAUUGUUUUUCGCAAUAUGACAAAUUUUUGGAGGGAUAUGGGAGAAUCGUCAAGCGUUCACACCAUGCGAGAGCUUUAGGUGGGAUAUGGGAGAAUUGUCAAGAGUUCACACCAAGAGAAAUUAAUGAUAGGCCUAAUUUCGUUGUCAGUUCUUUAUUUAUUUAUUUUAUUUAUUUCAUACAUUAUUGUCUUGUUGGUAUUGUUUUGUAAAGAUAUAAAAGUACAAGUAAAAUAUUAGGGGAAGUAAAGUAAAAUAUUGGAGGUGCUGCUAAUUUACAGCUGCUGUAACUUACAGUUCCUUCAAAAAUAAUGUAAAAAAUUUAACACGUGGUGGGACCCACAUUAUGUUUGAAGAGGCCGUACAUUAUAGCAGUUGUAAAUUAGUAAAAUCCAAAUAUUAGACAAUAAUACACAUUAACAAUGCAUAUAAUUUGGGUUUGAUUUUUUAAAAAAUUAUGUGAGUAUUACCUAUCCUUAAGAUAUUAAUGAGAAUAUAUUUUAAUAAUAAAUAAUCAAAAUCUGUUUAAUCAUAAUAUGUAAUUGAUACAUUGCAUGUUAGAUUUGUUUGGAUUUUAAGUUGUUGCUAAUAAAUAUUUAUGUUGUGAAAGUCGAAUUCAAUAGCUACAAAAGCAGAGAUAACGGUAUUUUAUGUAGUUUUUAAGAAUACAAGGAUAAGACCAUAACGCAUGAGAUAAUGGUAUUUUAUAUAUAUUAAAAGACCAUAACACAUGUAUUUGAGCCAUUGAUAUUGAAGACACAUAUAGAGGAAAGAGUGCAGAUCCGGCCCUCAGUAUUGUGAAGCUUUCCUCAAGUAUUCUCAUGCACACAGACCUUAUCUGGUCAAGUUUUCUGAUUCAAUAUAAUCAAUUUCCGCGCAGUACUGACGACAGCUUCUCUGUAAAGCUCUUCAACCACAAGCAUUUCUACAAGGCAAAAGACUAGGACGUGUCAGAAUGAAUAUCAAUAAGGGAAUGUCUUAUGAAUUUAGUUUAUAUCCUAAUAUAAGACAAUCAGUAAAUAUUGGACUCAUUAGUUGCCCUUGCCUCAGACGUUUGGAUGCUAAGGGGAAAAAGGAAGUUUGAAUUAGUCAAUCUCAUUUCUAAUGGCAUUCACAGAGAACUUAUAAAACAAAAAAAUUAUAAAAAAAAAUUCAUCCAUAAAAAGCUUAGUAACGGAAAAACCGACUCUUUUAUCUGCCACUGACGAAAAAAAAACUGAAGUAUCAAAUAGAUAAAGAUUUUAAUUUUUUUCUUGGAAAAACUAAUAAUAAAUUAACAAUUGGAUAAUACUAUUAAUUAGAGAUCUUUAAUAUUAAGGUUAUCAAAGAUAGAAUGUGUAUAAAAAUUCUUAAUUAUAAGAUAAUUACUAACUAAAAAGAGGCCUAAAAAAGAAGAUUUGCUAUUAUAAGUAAUACCAAAAAUAAAAAAGGGAGACUUCCUAAUUGUUUAAUUGUUAAAAAAGAGGAUUUGCUAUUAUAGGCCUAAUUUGCCUAUAAGUAAUACCAAAAAUAAAACCGUUCCUGGAUGUAAAAAAUAAAAAUUAUUGUUAAAUUCCUGACUAAUAAGGUCAUUGAAAGUAUUCAAAGGACCUGAACUUAUAGGAAAGCCAGCCAUGAUGAACUAUACCACGUUGCAAGUGAGCUCGUAUCUUCAUCCCUUGAUCUGCCAUCGGCAUUUCUGUUCCACUCACUAUACCAUCCUUUUCAAUCGAUUUUUAUUGAUCAUAAGAGGCCAUGUGGCCCACCUUAUUUUUAUUUUGGAUCCAUAACCCAAAGCUGGCCCAAGUUCUGAUUCCAGAAUCAUUUGUCUACAAAGUGACCUCAUUCCGGCAAUUGGUUUAUGCUAAUAGCACGUGCAAUUUUCAUUUUCUUCUUUUUAUUAAUUAAUUUCAUCAUUAUUAUUUGCUUAUUAUUUUAAAUUAAUUAAUUAAAUUGUAUUAUUGAAAUUAGUCUUUCUUUUUUCUUUUCUCUUUCAAUGCACAAAGCCAAACAACCAUUCUUGCUUCAAAUACCGAAGAGCUCCUGACUACGGCUGUCAAUGCUUCUAUAUUUACGUGCUGUGCUGCAUCACUCUUAGCGAAAGCUUGAAUGAAUGAUUAAAGACAAAAGCUUAUAUAAAAGCAGAUGCCGGAGGCACUCAAAAAGCAUUUGAGAGAGAAGCUACACAGCAAAUCAUCAAACGUACUUCAAUGACUUUGAUUUUGAUUCUUUUUUUUUUCAAAAGAAGUAGAAAAGUCCAUGGAUCACGAUAACUGCUUGUCCUAUGCCGUGACCUCAUUGUCCGCUGCUAGUGUCAAAUAGAUUAAUCUUUCUAGUAGAUUAAUAUAAUUUAUAAUUUUAAUUUCAGUAUUAAUUUUUAAAAUGUUAGUUGUUAUAUUUAUUUUAAUAAUAUAUCUAUUUUUAGUAUAAAACUUUAAAUAUAUAUUUAGAUUAAAUAGAUUUAUAAUUAAUAUAAUAUAUCUCAUGUAUUAAUGAUAUUUAAAUUAUUUUAAAUAAUAUUAAGCCUAACUUAAAAUUUUAUAUAUUUAUUUUAAUAUUAUGUUUCUAUUUAUUAUAAAAUUUAGUUUAAUAUAAUAUAAGAUUGUAAAGUAUUCAAAUAUUUUUUAAAUAUUGAAAUUAUUAUAAAAUGUAUAUAUUGUUACAUUUUUAAUAUUGAAGUCAAUCUUUUUUAAGUUAAUAGAGUGAAAAGAUAUUAUAAUAAAAGGCUACGUAAUCUUUCACUUGCACAUAUUCUGUACUCUCUGGAGCAGGACGGUAGGAAAUAUGAUUACAAAUGUUAAAUUCGCCUUUCUUCACAAGUUUAUCAGCUUCGUUUGCGGCCUCUGCUGCUUGUUUACCAAGCUUGUAACAAGAAAUCAAAUUUGGGCACAACCUUUUGAAGCAGAACAUCUUAGCUCUAUCUUUAUCAUCAAUGAUUGAUUUUGCAACCCCUUCACUGAAUUCAGCAACUCUAUUUAGCCAGUCUCUGACACCCUUAUAAAUCUCAUCUCCUUGUAGAGUAGCCUCUCUAACCAGCAUUUGCACCCUUUCUCUUAUAUAUUCCAGCUCCUUCACUCAAUCUUUUAGCCCAUCUAUGUAGCUCUGGUACUCGGAACACAUAAGAUAUGUGCCACAUAAUCGGUUUGAAUAAUGCUUUUGAACCUUGUGAUACAAUGCUAGAAAAAGUAGGGAGACACCCUUCUGCAGCCAUUGCCUGUUGCUUAACAAUCUAUAUAAAUAAAUACAAGUGUCAAAGAAAGGAAUACAGAUAAAUUAAAAUGAACUAGUGGGAAAGACAGAGAAUGAAAAGACUGCAAACAAUAUUGCGAUAUUGAUCUUGAACUAACUAAUAAUUAAAUAGAGAAUUUCUUUUUCUUUCUUGAGGAUCAGAGAUUUUGCUAUUAACAAAAAGGUACUUCGAGGGUCUGAAUAAAAAACCAACCAUAAAUUAUCAAAAGCUAGUAAAAACACAGACGUAAAUAAUGAACAAUUACUUAAGCAAAACAGACCAUGAUACAAAGCAAAUCUAAUAAAAUGACAAAAAAAGAAAGAAAGAAAGAAAGAAAGAAAAUACAACAAAUAAUAUUGAAGUGUUGAUUAUGAGCCAACUGAUAUUUAAACAGAUUUUUUUAAAAUUUUUAGUCUUUUGCUAAAGGAUUAGAGUUUUUGUUAUUAAUAGAAAGGUUUUAAAGACCUGACAUUACUAGAAAAAUACUAAAUAAUGACAGAAAUUUUAUAACAUAUAUCGUUAUGUCACGAAUGUGUCAUGAAAAUAUGAUAGAUUCGUGAUAUAUAUUCAUGUCCAGAGUAUAUGACAUAUUCAUGACUUAUAACUUAACCAUCGUAAAUAAAUGAUACAUAUAAGUCAUGCUUAAGUUUUGUGAACUUAUAAGAUUGUAAAACAAUGCCGUUUAAAUUAACGACACCGUUUUGUAUAACUUAAAACCCAUUAACACUCGCAGCCAAAUUUUGGCUAAGCGUUGAAUUAAUCCCUCUCUCCACUGUAGAGAUGGCAGAAAAGCCCGCUCAGACCGGAUCCGGACUGGACCCGGUGCAUACGGUCCGGGUAAAACCCGGAUCGGAUGCAUGGAAAAAGCGGAUCCGGGCACGGGUCCGGUCACAGCACCAAGAAUCUGGAACCCGGACCCGUGCCCACUUUUUUAUUAAGUAAAAAAAAAAUAUAUAUAUAUAUAUAUAUAUAGUAGUUUUCCAAUCAGGGAUUAGUUAAAAGACAAAAUAAACACAUACUCCAAUGCAUUGUAUUUUAUCAUGUAGUGUAGUAAAAUUUAAAUUUUUUUGUCUUUUAGCUAAUCCAACUACUAUAUAUAUAUAUAUAACAACAAAAAUGCAUUUUGCUUUACCCAAUUUCCCCCAAACCCAACCGGCCAACCCUAAAUCGCAACAAGUCUCAGAAUCGCCACCUCCCUCCGUUUCUCCACCAACAACCACCACCCAUCUUCACCGAUGCAGUGUUGACGGCGCGGCCUCUUCCCCACUUACAGAAAAAUGCGCAUGCUUUUACCGAGAAAAGAAAGCUUUUAUUUUUUGUAUGACAUCUGGUCCUCCCAUCAAGCUUACCUGAGGCAGCGAGGCUGAAAGUCUCUGUUAUCAACCAUCAGGACACCAGAAAGAGUAAUUGCUCACAUCGUAAGCGCCAUGAACUAAUUUUUCCGAAAAGGAGGAAAUGAAGGUCACAAUGGAGCUCAUUUCCCGCGAUUCGAGAGCCCUACAGAGAGGUAGGACCCCUAACUCACUCCGUUUUAGUCACCUUUCAAUGGCUCCCUUAAUUUCCUAAAUCAAUAAGUGUUCUAAAAGGGCUUGAAAAAUCAAAAUGAUGCCCAACAUUAGUGCCAGGAUUAAGGAACUUUUCACUGCAAAGAAGUGAAUAGCUACGUGGAUGAAGUUAUGGGCCAUGCAGAAAUUCACACUUCACUCUCUCUUGAUUUGUACUCAAAAGUCGCCACCAACCUUCAAUUAUAUGGACUCAUGGAUUCAAUAUUUAGGCUUACAAUUGGACCUUCACAAAGCAAUUGGAGCACUCCAAGCUGCAAAAAAUGUCUCUUCUCUGUGACAUCUGCAGGUGGGCUAGAAGAAGGUUAUGCAUAGAUGGUCUAUGUGCGUGUGCUUACUAAAUGCAUACAAAAUGUAUAAGAACUGAGAUUCCUAUGUUUUUUCCUUUUUAAUUUUAAUAAUUAUGUUAGAUGUUUGCUUGGUAGUUAAGAUGUUUUGGUUUUGGACUGUUACGCUUUGUUAGAACUUAAAAGUAAACAAUUGUUUAGGCUGUAUUUUUUUUUACAGUGUUUUCACCUUUGAAAAUCCGGGUAGAGAAAACCCGGAAAAACCCGUGCCCGGAUAGUGCCGGGCAUGUACCCGGCCUGUAUAAAAAAAAUUCCGGACACGGUGCGGGUUCGGGUAGUUACGUGUGACAUCCGGGUCGGUCCCGGGCAGCCUCAAACCCAGACCCGACCCGGACUUUUGCCAUCUCUACUCCACUGGCCACUGCAACCUAAAAUAGUUUUUCACUUUAAUAACCCAAAAGCUUUCCUCUGUUUCAACUAAGCGAAAAUUUACAUAUUAAAGCCUGGCUCAAAUUCCUUUUUUCAAUCGAAAUUAAACGUAGCCACAAAACCCUAAUUCACCACACCAAUUUAUCUCUGCCCGGUAUUCAUUUAAACCCUACCUCGCGGUUCAAUGUCAUUCAAUACGAUUGCAGAUGCUGUUUCAACUUGUCAUUUAGUUAGCGCCAUCCAGUUCUCUAUGGUAAGCCUUAACCCUAACAACUAAUCGACUGCGGUAGCACGUUGCUUGUUAGGAGUGGGGAUACAUUAUUUGAAUAUAUGAAUUGGGUGAUGUUAGUGAUUCAUUCCCCUAUUUGUCGUGAAUUGAGAUUUGUGCAUAAUGCUAGUAAGAUUGCUAAAAAUUUCAUAUUUUGUAUUGUUCCAGUUGAAUUUCUUGCUUGUGGAAGAUAAAACAAAAGUUCAAUUUCAUGUUGAUUUAAUUCUUCUUUUCCUUCUUUUUAUUUUUCUUCUUUAUAGUCACGCUCUGGCUUUGGUGCUAUGCUUAGUGCAGUUUAUGGUUUCAAGAUUAAGUCAUGUUUAUUUGAUGGCAUCGAUUCCAUCGUUGAGGAUUGGAUUGUUGAUCAAAUGCACAUAGUAAGCUCUUCUUAUUUUAUCUCAAUUUUAAUUUUCUUUUAUUAUCUGCCUCUACCUGAAAAUGGACGUGUUUUACUAGUAAGCAUAGACCUUGUUUAUUUAAUUGAUAUUUUAAUUUUAUGUAUAAGAAUGGAGGUUUAUUUUGGAAAAAAAAAGAAAUAAAAAAAAUACUCUGUUGAAGCUAAUUAGUACUGAAUUUUUUUUGGUGGUGCGACCAGAGGUGGAAACAGGGUAUGAAAAUGUGUUACUGGUGAGGCUGCUGCUUAAGAUGAGAAUGCAUUCUUUUCAAAAAUCCUUGGAAGGUGUGAUCUAAUUAUAUUUGAUGGAAUAUUAAAUGGCUAAAAAUCUGUCAUACGUUCAAACUUUGUUUGUGUUUAGAAGAAUGGUGUUGACUGUAUAUUCGUUUGGAAGAAUGGUGUUGAUUGUAUAUUCAUUUGCUUAGCCUUUUGACAGAUGGAUUUGGAACUGACGAUAAAUGUGAUUCAAUUUACAAGGUUUUCGAGGGGCUCACAGUGGAAGGGAUAUUGAAGAACUGGUCGAAGUUAAAGCCUAUGAUUGUGAAA